This 220888-nucleotide long non-coding RNA is filed under the name Coffea arabica (coffee). Its description in RNAcentral is "long non-coding RNA (CARA_LNC002661)". The record is from RNAcentral. Lineage: Eukaryota; Viridiplantae; Streptophyta; Magnoliopsida; Gentianales; Rubiaceae.
AAAGCACACACAAACCAAAUAGAAACACAUGAACACUUAAUUAAGCAGAGAAUAACAGCUUCUGCAAUCUGCGUAUCGCAGCUUGAUAGUCUGAUUAGUUCUUUCCUUGAGAAAUGAAAAUGAGAUCACUUUGAGACAUCCAAUGGCAUGCUUCACUUUGGCCAGGAGAAGUUUUCAAUAUCUUCAAGGCCACAUGAUCAGGGGACCAGCCUGAAGUAUCCAUAUGACAUACCACCGUGACUGUAUUAACUGGAACUUUGGUCCUAGGUUCAACAACAUCUACUGCAUAGACUUCAAUAUUGGACAGCAAAUGGCAGAAAUAUGUUGCAAAAGGAAGAAAUAAUUGAUGACAUGCCACAGUUUUUCCAUAUUUAAGCUUUUCCACGCGUCCAACCAUCAAUUCUUUUCUAGAACCCUCUGUGUUUUUCGAUGCCAAUGCCACCAAAUUCUUGUCACCUAUGGCAGUUUUUGAAAAUUCAAUCAUUUCCUCAAGGGAUUUUGCACAGCUCUGAGGCUCUUCCUUAAGAGCAGGAGUAUUGCAAUAAAUAAGGGUGUAUUGAAUGGCAUCUUUUGUUUGCGGGCUUUCAAAGGAUUGAGGAAAUAAUUUUCGUAGGUCAUUUUCCGUAACAGAGAUCUUUGAUGCCGUUUGAGAAGGAAGAAAUGACUGUUGGGGCAAUUGGUUUUCCAAGCUUGAGAGAUGCACCAUGUUUCCUUGUUUGAGAAGUGAGAGUCUGAAGAAAGAAAAAGGAUCAACAUGUAGGACAACAUUUGGGCUAAUUCUGCCAUAGCCGUAAUUAUUCUUGUCCAAGAAACUAUCAACACGUGCUUUGGAUAAACAAGCUAGGUUUGCAAGAGAGCAAAGAUUUGCAUCAAAUGGAAGAUUUUUCUCGGACGCUAAUGAAGUGAAAUGUUCAGCUUGUUCCUUGCUCAGUGGAGAUAGUUUGGACAGAAGAUUUCCAGGCAUGGUGCCUUGGACAUUUUCUGACCAAUAUUUGAGCUGAUUCAAUGCAGUGAAUGAAGAAGAUGAAAUGUGUGCAGCAAAAUGGGACGUAGGAAACGUGAGGGCAAUGACAAAGAGAACGAUAGCAAACGUUGAAGAGGCCAUUGGUUUCAUCGACACUAAUAUUGAGCUAAUUUUCUUCAGUGGAUGAAGUGCUGAUGACUUUGCUAGUGCAGCUUCUAAUUUAUACUAGUGCUCGAGCCUGGACACAGGGCCUCACCUGCCCAUUUCAGGAUAAAAUGGUUACUCUAAAUUUUUUUUACAUCUUGUUUUAGUUGGUAUAUAUCUUUACUUCAAUUUAUUUACAUCCCACUCCAACUUAUUUGUACCUUAGUCUAAACCGGUUGGAAAUGGAACUUGUGAGGCCUCAUCCCCCACUCUAGCCUUGUGUUUGCUCCAGCUAUAAUCUCUAAAGGGAAACCGUUCAAAAUGUUCCUUAUAUUUUGUCAUAUAAAUUUUUUCCUUCUUGUUGUCCCUAAAAAUUAUCAAUCCUCAAUCAUUAUUGUCCCUAAAUAAGUAGAAUCUAAUCCAUACCAUGUUCAUUUUUCUCCAUAAAAAAGUGGAAUAUGACCCAAUCCAUAUUUAUUUUUGCCACAAAAAAAUGGGAUCUACCCUUUUUGGACAUAAAAAAUAACUGUAUAUAGGUCACAUGGUGAUUUUAAACUAGUCAGAUAUUUAGGUUGGAACUAAAUUUUGCUAAUUUGAAUUUUUAAGUGAUUUAAUUUGAAGUUUAUAUUUUAAAAGUGAAGAACGAAAAAAUUUAUUUGAUAAAAUGUGUGGCAUGUUUUGAAUGAUUUUCUCAUCUUCACAUGUAUAUAUUGUACAAUUAAUCCAAAACAAAACUCCAAAUGUACCUGUGUUUACUAAUCCAGAAAAAAAGAGACAAAAUUGAAAAAUAAAUUUAUUUGAAUAGACAAUUUGCAACUUGUUCCACGUUCGCAUUUGAAUGGGUUAAAUACACUAAUCAUACAUCCACGUUAGACAAUUUGCGGUUGUCCCAUUUUAUGCUCUCAGCUUGCGGUCCAUAACCUGAGAUAUGUGGUAGUUAAAAAGACAAUAUUUGUAAUCUCGAAAGUGACGGACAAUACAGUCCCGCACAUUUAGUGCGUCUUGUAGGUAUAUAUGGACAACCGCAGCAAGGAAUUACAUCUCCAAAUACGAAAAUUUCAUGAAAUGAGAUGUAGGUGUGUGUAUAUGUAUAUAGGUAUAUAAAUAUGUAUGUAAGUUUGGUUUAUAAAAUAUUAGUCAAUACUAAUCGUUCAAAAUGACCAACAAAUUUCUUAAUAAAAAAACAUUGAUAUCCUUGGGGAUACUUUUUUAUCCAAUAAAGCAGCUGAAAAUUGUGUAAAAAAUGCAUGCUUCCUAUAAACAAGAUUGGAAAAGAAAACGAAAAUGAAUAAGUCACAUGCUAUGAAAGUCAGUUGAAAAGGAAAAGAUUGGCUCGUGUAGCCAAAAAUUCAUAAGCAUUGCAGUUACCAGCAACACGUAUUUCCGAUUUUCAGAUGUCCACGAUUUGUAUAAGGGUUCUAGUCUGUUGCAUUUGCAUCCCACAUACAUUGAUAACUCCAUUUGAUUUGAAGAGGAACACCUUGCGCAAAAGAAAGAUGUUGCAGAAAUUUGAGACAUGAAAAAAAAUUUAGAGACUAGCAUUGAAACUUUUCCAUUAAGGAAAUAGAAAGUUUAAGAGCUAUCAAUUGCUACAGCUAAAAUAAAAUAAGAAUGAGACAGAGAAAUAGGUUUUGAAACACACUGUGUGAAAAAUGGAUUUAAAAUGUGGUCAAUUGUUUGUACUAGUAGCAAAGGGUAAUUCCAACAGUCCCAAACGUAGGGGCAAGUGUAGGCAUUUAACAAAAGAAAAUUCUAUAUUAAGUGAUAUACAAUAAUACAAUAAUCACAAUUUAAAAGAUGGCGUACCUCAUGAUAUCUAAGAGUUCUCAUAUUUAAAUUUGAUAAAUGGGAACGUCAUGCAAGUUGUUCUUAUAGCAUGCAAGUGUUUUUGGAGUAAAUCGAUUUUAGAAAAGUUUAGAACAGUACUAAGAAAAGUUGCUUUCUAUAAUUGGUUAUCAGUUUUAACAGCAUUGAUUUGGUUUAGUUACUAUUACACUAUAAUGUCUUAGGGAAACAAUUAUCUGUUCACAAAAAGAUAUUAAAGUGCUACAAUUAACGAACUCUUUAAUAGGCUUUGUUGAUUAAUUCUAGAAUUAGAUGAUUGUAAAAAACAAUUAGACUAUUAACAUCGAACUUUUAUUUUUUUUCUUCUAAGAACAAUAGGAAGGAAUAGCCUUACAUUCUUUGACAAAAAGAAAGAAAGUAAAAAUCCCUAGCUACAUUAUUUGAGUUCUCAAGUACUACUGAUUAUGGAUGGAGAAAGAUUGCUCAAAAUUGCUGUCCUUUUGAAAUUCAUGAAAUUAUUAAUCAAUUGGCAACUUUGGUUGACUGGUCUUUUAUUGGGCAAUUUUUUGACAGAAGUUUGUCGGAGAAUAUCCUCUCCUUCAAUUUAAAAGAAGAAAAUUUUGAAGUAAUUCCUCCUACACUAGCCAAAAAUCUUUUCUAUGUUCUUCAGCUUGGGCUGGAUAGUGACCUGAUCGAGUUUAGGUAUUAAGAGCCAAUGAGUUCGAUCGAUUAGUUCGGGAUCUAGCUGAAUGAUGUCAUAAUGAUGCCAUAAAUAUAUUUUAAUUAUCUAUAAAGUAAAAAUUAUAUAUAAAUUACACAUUAGCUUGACAUAUUUGGUGAGUUUAUAACAAAUAUGAAGAACUCAUUCAAAUAGUUGUACAAAUUUAGGCUGGAAAUAUAAUUUGAUAAGUAUUUGUGGUUUAAUAUAUAAUUUUUUUGAAACAAUUCAGUGUCAAUUCUUGAACUUAAAGUCCAAAUACACAUUGAUGAGCCUAAAACUUUUUAAUAGGACAAUUCUUCAACAAAAUUGAGGUUUGUAUGUAAAAAUACAAAAGUUAGAGUUGCGUAGAGUAAUUAUAAAAGAAGUUUGGGAGUAUAUUUAUGAUUAUAAAAAAUGGAGGGUCAAAACAAAAUACUAGAAAAGUUUUAUAUUUAAUUGGCAAUUUCUUCUCCACCAUGCAUCUUCAUCAGCCAGGAAUCGGGAGGUUUCAACCUUCAUCUGCAUUCCCCUUUUUUUUGGUUUCUUUUUGUAAUGAUUUCAUUGUUUUUUUGUCCCUUUUCUUCAACUGGGUAAGAAUCUUCCCCUUAUUCUUUAUUUUCGUUCUCUCCUGUUUUCUUCUUUUUCUAUUUAGAUCUAUAAAUCUUUGAGAGAUGACAAUGAUAGAUUUAUAGAUCUAUUUUCUCUUUUCCUUUUUUCUUCUCUUGCAGUAAUUGAAACUUUUUAUUAUGAUUUGUCAAAUAUCUUACCACCUUUUUUUGGAGAGAUAAAAUUAGGCUUUAGAAAUGAAGAAAAUUUUUGGAAAAAAAUCACAAAUCAGCAAUGAAGAAAUUCAGGUAAAAUGAGGUUUUUCCCGAUUUUAUUGAUUCCCAGUUUAACACUCGAUUUUUUAAGGUGACUUGGACCGAAUGCUUGAUCGGUCUUGGUUUGCCCGGUCAGACUGAUUAGUCUAAUCCAAAUUUUAAAACAUAGGAUUUAAAAGGACAUAUUUGACUUGGGGAUCUAGCAGCAGAGCAUUUGAGACUGAAAAUAUAUAUGGAUGUUAAACAAGGGCGGCAAUGGAAAGAUAGUCUAAUGCUAUACCAAAGCAAGGAAACAAAAAGAAAAAGGAUUAAAAGUAAAAUUAGUUGUGACCAAAUAAAUGUAGCCAACUUGAACAUGGUAUAAAAGCAAUUGAGCAAAUGCCUUGUUCAAUUCAAGAUAAUUGAGGUACAAAAUCUAGAUUAACACAGCAAAUUAGGUUGCAGAAUGUUGGGUGUGGGCCAGCUCAUUUGUGAGCCAAACUAGAAAAUCAAAUAUUUUUAGGUUUAAGUCAAAAAUUUGACUUAAAUAAAAAAGGCGAGCAGCCGCAUGAAGUAUGAUUCUUCGGUCCUUGUGCGAGAAAAAAGAUUUCAGCCGCCGCUCUUGCUGGCUUGGUGAAGAAGGAAAAGAGAAAAAUAACUGGGAGAUCUUGAUUGGAAGGUGAUUCGAAUCCCGAUUGAAAUAAAAUUUUACAUACGCGAUCCUCUCAUCAAUCUCUACUCAUCUACUGGUCCAGAUUUUAGAUUUCCUCUUCGUUUGGUGACACCUUUCUAAACUCACUUCUUUGAUAGUUGUAGUUUUUGGGGGUGAUUUUGUAGUAAUUUCGUUUGAUUGGUAUUGGUGAUAUUAUUGUCAACCGAAUAUUUUGGGUAGACCUGUGUAUUCCUAUUGUUGUGAUAGUGAAGAUUUUUGACUGGACUAGAUCCCGUGGUUUUUCCCAAUUUGGAUUUUUCACGUAAAAAUCUUGGUGUCAUGUGCCUUUUAUUUUUCUUGCAUUUUAUUAUCACUACUGGUAUUAUUACUUGGUGAUUUGAUUUAUUCCUAUUUUUAACCGGUACAUAGAGAAAGAGAAAUUUGUCUUGGAUUAACUCUGAUAUUGUGUGUCUAUACCCAUACCUCUUUCCCAACAAAUGGUAUAUUAGACAAUCUUCACAUUUUGCACUUUCAUAAAGCAAUUACACCACAACUAUUCAGUUUUAGAUCGACAACUUUGUAUGCUACAGUUCCUUAGGCUGUCAACCACGUAAAAGAUGUCUUUCCGCAUCAUAUUGAAUGCGUUAGUUACUUUGUUUAGCAAAUUUAUAAUUAUUGAGAUGCAUGAAAUACUUUUUUUUCUGCAAGAAGAAUGGUUAAAUUCUCAAUUACAAUGAAAACAGAUAAUAUAGUAAUCCCACCAAUAUUGUUUCUUUAAACAUUUUGUUGUAAUACUCUCAACCUUUUGCUUUUCUGGUAAUAUACUUUCUUUUCAUUUCCUUUCCUUCAAUUCAAAAGGUCACUAAAUUUUUUUCCUCAAAUGGCGCCUAAAUUACUUUAAAAGCAAAGAUAACUAGUGAGAUGCCAAAAAUUUCCAAUCAAUUAUAUGCUUUACUUUGAAACUUACCGGUAGUUCCACUUGUUUUAAAUUUGUAUUAUUUAGGUAGGUUAAAAAUCGAACCAAACUAUUCGAUAUUUGAAAUAAGUUUGGUUCAGUAAAAACUUGUUCUAACUUGAUUUAUGAAUUAAUCAAACAAAGUUUGAACAUCAUUUUGUGUUCAAUUAACUUUUAAACUCUAUUUAAUCCUGGUACAAUUAGCAUAAAACUUGAUUUUAUAAGUAAAAAAUUCAAGCUAUUUGAGCUCAACUCAAAUCUGGCUUGAUUAAAGUCAACAUUAAAUAUAAUUUCAAAUUUGCUAAAAUAAUUAAACAAAAUUGAACGCUAACUUGUCCUCAAUCUUACUAUUGUCCUUAAAUGCAGCCAUGCUGCAAAAUACCUAUGCAUUAUUAGUUGGCCACUUACUUCGACAUCUUCUUAUCCUCAACUUCUUUUGCCUUUCUUUCCUUUUUUGUCUUCUUUUGUUUUUAUGUUACAGUACGGUACACCUACAAAAUUAUUUUGCUACCCACUUUACCCCGCUAUACAACACGGAUGAAGGUUACUAAAUACAAAUUAGGGACAUGAGACUUAUGAAAUAGAGGCCGUAGAAAACAAAUGGGAGAACAAGAAAUCUAUAUUCUUUCUGUCAACUUGCAAUACUCAAUCUCCUUCAACUUCAAUUUCCUUCAAAGUUUCUUUUAAUUUUUUCUUGGUGCUUUAAACAUGACACAUUUCCUACUACCUUUUCUUUAAAAAAAAAAAAAAAAAAAAAACAUUGGCACGUGAAGUUGGCAAUUGGCACUUAUCAUACAAGUGGCUCCGGAUGUGCGGUAUCGUUUGUUUCUUUUGUUUCCUGGGGAUGAGUUUUUGGACUUGGACCACUCAUAAAUAAAGUUGUUUCCUCCUGUGCGGUAUUUCUUGUCAUGGUUGCUCUUACAAUACAGCCAGCCAAUGAAAGUGAAUGUGACAGAGAGAUAUACGCACGGAGACAAAGACAAGGCUGCUCGUGUCUCAUCGUACGAUCCAAUAAUUUGGGAAUUCGAAAAAUCUAAAACCAAAGGAGAAAACAAAUGUAAAUGUGUAAAUUUACAAGUAACCAGUAUUGGUGUAAUCAAUGCAUAAAUGUGUACAUUACAACUGAUAACAUGCAUAAACAAGAUAAACUCACAUUUAACGAGACUUGACUCAACGGUUAUGAUUGUUGAAUCUCAACCUUGAUUUUCUAGACGAACAUCUCGCUGUACAAAUUAUUUAAAUUGCUAUUUUUAAAAUUUUUGUAAAAAAAUAUAUUAUAGUGAUUUGAUAUAUGUGAAAUAAAAGGGUGAUUGAAAAAUUUAUUUAUAAAAAAUCUAAAAAAUUAUCUAUAGAAAAUAGUAAUGGAAGCAAAGGUUUUUGAAUUAUUGGAGCACCCCUAAAUUAGGAAGGACGAAAAUUCAUUAUCACAUCAUAGGACCAGCUAGUCUAUUAUUCUACAAGGUGAGAUAAUUAUGAAAUUGACAUGAAGAAAUACUUCCCACACGAGUCAUGAAUCGAUCAGAUGUGGGACUGGUGGCGGCCGCCAUCUCAAAAAUUAUCAUACGACAAGACGUGUUUCAACACCAUAAGUUGCUUUCGAAGAAUAUUAAAAAUAAUGUUCUGCACAAUAUUUGGACAAGGUCACAAGAAUGGCUCAAAUCACUGAAUCAAAAAAUCCUUUAGCUGCUCAGCUUGAGUUUCACUAAAUAUUUUGAAUUGCAGAGACCUAGUCAAAAAUCGAGUUUGAUCAUGAAAAACAAGGAAAAAAUAGAAAAGUUUUUCAUUUUUUGGUGAACCAUUUUCUUUUUUCUAUUUUGUUAAAGUUUUCCAUAAAAUAUGUUUACCAUAGUUUGAUGGGUUAGAUGCAAAACUUAGCUCUUAAUUAUAACAAAUUUUGCACUUUACUCCUUAAAAUUAUCUUAUUUUGACUUUACUCCACUAUUAGUCAACUCAAACAUUAUAUACCCAUAACCUGAAAAAAACAUUCAUCCUGAGGGUUAAUGACAGUAAAUCCCCUCAAGGUAUUGCAUGUUUUAUACUUUACUCUAUAAAGUCAUCUUUUCUCAAUUUGUAGGUUUGUCCCAAGACCAUUAGUUAACUCCAAUAUUCUGUAACACCCAAGAAAAAACAAUAGCUAAGAGACAUUUAUAUCCUUGACAGGAUAGUGAACUGAAUAAUAUUUUAUGGAUAUGAGUCUAGUUAAAUUUCAUCUCGUAAUUACACUUUUUUAAGACAGGGGGAAAUUUCUCGAUCAUUUUAUGCCUUAAGGAGGAAAAAUAAACAAAAUAUUAUUUAAAAAUAAAAUAUGAAAACUGAAAAUAUUACUAAAUUUGUAAAACCCGCUUAAAAACUGUCAAUCUCUCUUUUCAAAUGUGCAUAUAGGUUUGCUUUUCAUUUAAUGGCUACAUUUUUGCUUUGCAUAAAAAAUAUACACUUUUCGUUGUUAGUAACACUACAAAGGGGCAAAAACAUGAUGGAUUUGGCAUUCCAAAGCUUUAUUGUCACUUGUGCUCAGAGCGCACCCGACGUGUGUACAAUCAAAAAAUAUAUAAUAUUAAUAGUCAUAUAUUUUAAAUAAAAUUUUUAUUACUAAAGCAAAUUUUAAUCUUUUAAAUAUUUUUCAUAAAAUAAUUUUAUAUUGGUAGUUAUGUUGAAUACAUAUACUUAAAAGUAAAAAUAGUCAUGGGUGGUUAUAGAUAGUUAAAGUAAAAGUAAUUUUUAUAAGGGCAAAAAAGAAAGUUCAUAAAGUGACGAUAAAAGUUAACCCUAAUUUUAACCCCAAAUCUCUUUGUCAAGCUUUACAUAUAACUAGUGCCAAAGGCACACCCACAUGUAUGCAAUUUAAGAAUAAAUUAAUUUUUAUGAAAUUUUCUUUAAUGAAUUGAUAGUUAGUAUUUUGGUAGUUAUGUCAAUUGGUAGUUAUCUUGGUAAUUAAACUUUUUUUCAUAAUAAAAAGUUUGGAUGUUUAAAUUUUAAACAUAUUGGUAGUUGCAACAAAAAUUAUGUUGGUUAUAUAUAAUUGGAUAGUUAGGAUAAAAUUUAAUUUUGUGAGGAUAAAAAUGGAAGUUUAAAAAGUGACAAAAGGUAUUUACCCCACCCUUUCAUUUCCUAGAGUAAGUAAGGGUAAAUUUGAAAACACACAAAACUAACACCAAGUUAACUACCUACACAUGUUUUAUUAUUUUAAAGAUAUAGAUUUUGUAAUGCUAAAAGGCACUUUUCUCAAACUUCAACGGUUUACUACAGAGGCAUUUUUUUUACAAGUGCUCAAUACACACCCAAUGUGUGUGCAAUCAAAAAAUACAUAAUUUUUAUGGUCAUAUAUUUUAAAUAAAGUUUUUAUUACUGAAGCAAACUUUAAUCUUCUAAAUGAUUUUCAUAAAAUAAUUUUAUAUUGGUAGUUAUAAUGUUUAGGGGUAGUUAUGUUGAAAACAUAUAUUUAAAUAGUUGAAAGUAAAAAUAAUCAUGAGUAGAUAUAGGUAGUUAAAGUUAAAGUAGUUUUUAUAAGGGUGAAAAAGGAAGUUCAUAAAGUGAUCAUAAAUGUUAAUCCCAAAGUUAACCACAAACCCUUUCCUUAGACUUUAUAUGUAGUAUAGAUAUUGGUGAAUUUAACUAAUGAGGGAACAAAGUGAUAAAAAGAUAAUAAAAUUUGGAAUUCUAUGGGGGAAUUCUUAUAAAUAACCCGAGUUUGAUACUAAAAAAAUUAAUGCCUUGUUUAGAAAGAGAUUUUUUAUCAAAAAAUCUAUACGUUUUUCAUAAACACAUUUUUUAAUCACCUUUUUACCUCACAUAUAUGAAAUCGCUACAGUUUAUUUUUUACAAAAAUUUCAAAAAAUUGCAAUCCAAACAUAACCUAAACUUUUAUAGUGCGCCCAUGGAUAAUUAGGAAACUGUGAUGAUCUAAUAAAAGUUUUCCAGGGUUAAAAGUAAUAAGCCCCCAAAACUUUUGGGAUGCUUUGCACUACAGUCUCUAACGUUGAUUUUGUGCCAUUUAGUACUUUUGUUUUUUUAAAUGAGAUGUCUUAAAUUCAAAACUUCAUACUUACAAUUCCUUCCACCUCACCACUUAACCAUACCCUCCACCCCAAACUCCAAUUUUAGUACUUGUGUUAGUCAACCUCAACAUUUGCCGUUAAAUGGUACUAAUUUCUAAAAUUACCCUGAUUUCUAUGACAAAAAUACCUGUUGUCCUAAAUACAAUAAAAAGAUCUCCACAAAACCCUGCAAUCCUUUUGUUUAAUAUAAAAAAGUUUAAAAAAAAAACCGCAAGCAUUUUGACAGUGCCAAUACAACAAAACCACAAUCUUCCUUUAAUUAACUUAAAUGCAGCGAAGUAUUUCUUCCAAUCUUCUACUCCAUAGUCUUUUUUUUUUUUUUUUUGGAUUAACCGUAGGAGAGCGAAGUACUUUUGUCCUUUUUCUCCUUUUUAUCAAUCUCACAGCUGACAAAACAAAAAUUUUCAAAUAUAUCUAAACUAGCAGUUCCGUCUCUCACUUAUCUUUUUGCUUUCAACAGGUUUUGUACCUAAACAUUAUGUUUUUUUUUUCCCGCAAAAUUAUGUGCUAAGUACAUUCAUUUCCAGAAUAGACAAUUAGAAACAGCAAUGCUAUUAUUCAUGUUCAACUCGUUUGAAUUUGGAAAAGGUUUAAUCACAGAAUAAACAAAUAAAACUCGAAAACAAGAUUGAUUUGGAACCAACACACAAAUUUGGGUGCAAGCGGAUUGAAUAUGUUAUUGAACCCCACAAAAAAUUAUAUUGUUGCCCCACUUUGCCCCCUUAUUCUCCUUACCAGUAUUGCAACUAGAGGUGUUAAAAUGGAUGAUUUGGACGGGUUUGGAUUGGCAAAAAUGGAUAAUAGGUAUAAGUAAGUCAACCCAUUUAUACCUAUUUAAUUAAAUGGGUAUAAAUAGGCAAGCCAAAAAUGAAUUGGAUAACCCAAUUACUCAUUUAUAACCCAUUUAUUUUAAUUUUUUAUAAACUCAUUUAAAUUCAUUUUGCAAACUAGGUUAUCAAUUUAUACCACCCUUUACACCCAUCAUUAGUUUUAAAUAUUUACUUAUAAUGCUCAAUAAGCCUAUUUACCAAAUUUUUUUCCAUCCGUACUCUAUGUCGUAAAAUUACAUGCUAUUUAAUAAUUGAACAAUCAGAAUAUAAAAAUUUGAACUAAGUACUAUAAAAGUUAAACAUAAAAAUUUAAUCCAAAAAUUUUAAACUCCUAGCAUUUUUUUCAUGUGUAAAUUUAAAAUUUCAUUUUGAAAAAGUAGGAAAAGAGGCUAAAACUUGUCAUAAAUUGGUAACACUAAAGAGUAAGUUAACAAACUAAGAGAAAAAAAAAUGAUAAGAUAAAACCAACCAAUGAUAAUAAUAAUGAAACAAAAAUAGUUAACAUCAUAACAAAAUGAAGAAUCUGAAAAAAAAAAUGGGUGGGAGAAGAGAGAAUGCUUGGGGGAAGAUAAUUCUAAAUGGAUUAAUUGGAUUUGAUGGGUUAUCAAUAAUACCCAUUUAUUUAAAUGGGUAUUAUUGGAUAAUCCAUUUAUACCCAUAUGCAAAAACUUAAGAUACCCAUAUCCAUAUAUUCAUGGGCGGGUAUGGGUAAAUUUAGUUAAAUGGAUUCAUUUGCCACCUAUAAUUGCAACCAAUGCAAGUAAAAAUUGCGAUACUUGUUUACUACAAAAUAAGGACGUGAAUUUAUCAAAUAGAAAGUGGAGAGAAAAAAAAGGGCAAAAUACACUUAACUCUCUUGUGAUUUAUUGAUUUUUUACAUAACCUCCCUAUAGUUUCAAAUACUAUAUAUAACCCCCUCAUAAUUUGCAUUAAAGUUUCAAAGUGACAAAAGUGAUUAUUUGCAAUGAAACCCAUGAAAAUAUCGAAAUUGCCUUUGUUUAAAACCUAAAAUGACUGAACUGAUCAAAAAAUAUAAAUAUAAUAUGCAUGACACUCUAACAUCGUAUAGUUUUAUAUUUUACUAUAUAGUCCCCUUAUAGUUUAGUGUUUUACCAUAUAAUCCCCUUAUAAUUUUUAAAAUAUAUACAUAAUCUUUUAUGGUUAUAAAUAAUUUUUAACUUUACAUAAGAGUAUUUUUAACAUUCUAGUUGACUCCAUUAUGGAAUACAAAUUCAGUUAUUUUAAGACUUUAAUUCAAAUCAUGAGAGGGGUAUGUGUAUCUUUUGAAACUAUAGGAGAAUUAUGUGAAAAAAUAUUAAACCAUAGGGGGUAAAGUGUAUUUUUCCAAAAAAAAAAAAGGAAAAACAAGGAGUGAGACCAUUUUCUCAUUUUAUAUGUGCACUUUAGUAAAAUAGUUAAUCAUUUUUCUUCUUUUAAAUUGUAAAACUCAACCUCUUUUAAUUUAAAAUUUCAUUCGAAUGUUAUUUUAAUUUUGAUCUUAGUUCUUCAAAAUUGGCAUAUUAAUUUCCUACAAUUUUUGUAAGGAAAAAAAAAGCAUAAAACAUGGCACUUGAAGUUGGUUGUCGGCACUUAUAGCUUGUAUCAUUUGUUUGCUGGGUACAAGUUAUUGGACUUAGACAACUCAUGGAUAAUUAAGUUGAUUUCACCAGUGGGGUUUAUGGUGGCUUAUCUCCUUCUUAUCAUGUUUGUUCCGACGAUGCAGCCGGCCAAAGAAAUAGGAUGAGAAAGAGAAAUGGGCGCAUGGAGACGAAGGGCCGGCGGCUCCUUUUGAUAUAUCAUCGGUCCCAAUUGUUUGGGAAAUCUAAAAGCGAAGGAGAAAACAAAUGCAUGCAAUUAUGCGAAUCGGAAGAGAUCUGAAUUUUUUUGGAUCAAUUCAAGAACUCUCUAUAUUAGAAAGGGCAAUAAUGCAAUGUCACAUCCACAGGACCAGCUGGUCGUUUGUCAAUUAUUUUACAGUGGGAAAUUAUGAAAUUCGCAUAGGGAAAUACUUUCCUGCUCAUGAGCCGAUGAAACAGUGGAGUGGCGGCAGCCGCCGCCCUUCGAAAAUUUAAGUUUGUUUUUGGAUUGUAAUUUUUUUUAAAAAAAAUUCCUACGUUUUUUGUGGAUAUAUUUUUCAAUCACUUUUUUAUUUUACAUAUAUUAAAUCGCUACAGUAUUUCUUUUACAAAAAAUCCAGAAAAAUGCAAUUCAAACAAAGCUUAAAAUUUUAUUUAUAUCAGAUUUUUUUUUGUAAAACAUUAUAAUUUUAUUAAAUUUUGUAUUAAUGGCAAAAGUUACAUCAUCUGAAAAGUGGAUACUAUAGAUAUGAAAAACAGAUAAAAAUUACACUGUAAAAUUCUAAAAAAUAGUUUAAAAAAUGAGAUAAAAUAAUUGUAACCUCACGAAUAUCUAUGCAUGCUUGUGAUCGUCAAAUCUAUUGAUUAAUUUUUUCAAUUCUGAAUAUUAUGGUGAGAUUUACCAAAUAAACUCAAGAAAUUCCAAAUUUGAUAAAUAAAAUCUAAAAAAAAAGAGUUAGAUCGAAUAAAAGAAAAUAAAAAAAACUACCUAAAGCAUUCAUUAGAAAUCUCUAGGAAAGAAGAAAACUCUCACUAGGUAACACUAAGAGAGGAAAAAAUUCUCACUAGAAAAUUGUAAGAAAUUUUAUUUGUACAAAUGAAAAAAAACUAUAGAUAAAGCUCCUCCUAUGGAGAAAGAUUGAAAAAAUGUGAUUUCUCACCCGAAAGAAUUGAAUGAAGUUUUGGUUAGAGAAUUUUCCUAAAGAGAAACUAAUUCUCUCUUUCUUCUCUCAAGAAUUGGUGGGAGGUUUUUUUUAUGUCUUAUACAGUUCUUUCUUAUUUAUAUCAGAAUUAAGAGAAUGGAAAGUGAUAAUUUGGAGAAAAAAAUUUGAUCAAAGCCUUGAUAAUUGUAAGGUCCAAUUAAUAUUCUAGAUCUUGGCCAUAUUAGCUCGAGCUAAUCUAGGUCAUCCAUCUCUUUUCUAAAGAAAAUUUAUAUUUUUUUUUUGUUGUAAAAGUUAAUGGCCAGAUUUGGACCACAUCAGCAAAACUUGAUUUGAACCAUUAAUUGUACGUAUGCCAGGCAAUCGUGCAUUCUCCUAAAAGUAGCCAAUUGCCAUGGAAGGUUGUAAAUGACCAUCUUAAUCCCUGAAUUAAGAAACAGUCAUCCCAUAAAUCCUCUUCCUCCUUCCACAUUCGAAGACCGCCACCGCAGCUUACUCCACCCUUCAUUCACAAACCCAGUCAACAAUUUUUGCCUACAUAUCAAUCUUGAUUACCUUGCUAUAUCCCCUUACUCUUCCCUUCACGCUAUCUUCUUCCCAUAUUGAAGAAGCAAAACCAUGAUGAAAUAUUGUUUUGGGACAGGAAUAUGUCCAAAAGGGUGAUUUUAGGGCUAUCAAUGGGUCCGGACCCAAAUCUGAUCCAAUAUGCUCGUUUGUUCGAACCUGACCAAAUCCAAAUUAUAUGCAUUCUAAAUGGAUCGGGUAUGGAAUGACAUGUUCCGAUUCAUUCGGAUCCGAUCCAAUUAAUUGGACAUAUAUAAGUAAUAAUUAUAAUAUUCAUUAUAAAUUGUUACUAACCCACAUGUUUUCUCUUUGAAAAAAAAAGGAGGUACUCUAAGAACCAAAUAAUCUUUGGAAUUUUUCUCAUUGUGUAGUUACUAUUUUAUUAACAAAAUUUGUGUAAAAAUAGAAUUCAAAAAUUAUCAAAAAUUUUGUUAUACUAAAUUGAUUUUAUGGAUUGGAUAUAUCCGAAAUAGAUUUGAAUCCAACAGAAACUGGAUCCAGAAAUACAUAUUAAGACUUCAUUAGGUAAAUGGAUUGGGAUCCAAAAUAAUUAUUACCUGUCGGAUUUGUGUUAGCAGUUAUCAAUUUUACCCAGAAUCAACCCGAUGAGUUCUUAUUUUGUUUCUUUUUGGGCAAAGCUCAUACUAAUGGAGAGGGAUGCCAGUCCCAAAUUUAUUACUAAUAGAGAAAGGAAGGGCCAGGCAUUAAUCUAAACUCUAAUACAAGAAAAAGAAGCUAAUGAAAUGGAAAAAGGAGUACUACUCCCGUGCCGAUCUUAAUCUAAUGUUUGGCAAACUAAUACUAUCAACAGAAAUAAUAGCUUUUACUGUGAAGCAUGGUUCAAAGUCUCGGCCGACUCGUCACCGUCUCAGACCCUUCGAUACGUCACUGUGAACGGUUGAAACGGUCGAGUUACACUGAAUCACUCCGAGUCAUCCUAAGUCAACUCGAUUUUUUAUUAUUUUUACUAAUUUUUUAAUUAAUUUUGUUUACCAUAUUUUUUAUAAAUUUUAGAAUAUUAAAUAUUUCAAAAAUUCGCGUCUCACCGAGACUGCAUGCCAAGAUCGAUGUAGAACGGUCUAGGCCGCGACCGCGACUUUGAACCAUGCAGUGAAGGCAAUUCCGACGUAGAAGUGUAAAUCUGCUGCCGAGAGAGAGUUAAAGAAACAAGAAAGUAAACUGAAAAACUUGCUCCACCAUAAAUGUGAUGAACAAAAACCCGAUAACACCUUGAAGCAAAUGACGAAUUUGAACUAGGGCACUACACAUUGGCCAAUUAGCUAAAGCAUUGGUUGAUAAAGGUGCACAGGUAGCUUAGCAUCCACCUGUACCAGUACAUCAUCAGUAGUGCAUUAUUUUCUACCAGCAAAAAAUUUGCCUUGUCAAAUUCUUCAUAAAAUACAAAGACAAUCCUAUCAAUAUUAUGAUGCUAAAUGAGAAAUUUUGGGUUCGAGUCCUUCCAUCUAAAUUAUUUUAAAAAAAGCAAAAAAAAAAAUCCAUGAUGGUCUUGUAGAAGACUCUCUCGAGAUGAAGUUAACCUUUUAGUACUGGUAAUGGUAUUGAGUUUAUAAUGCUUUUCCAUGGUGGAAACCAUCAGACAGCCAUUACCGAUGUCCUCAUGGAAGUUUCUAGCCUAAAAAACUUUGCAGUAUAAGUAUUCUAAUCACUUAUUACAUAAAAUCCUAUCACCAAGGAACGUGCUCCUAACACAGCAAGACAAUUAUCAACCUUCAAAAUAAUCUUAAAAGCGAGCGAAGAGAUUCUUUGAAAAUGUGUUUCGUUCUUUCCACACCAUGAAAACCACAAAGCUAAUAUAGGUAAAAUACAUCUAAUGUGAUCAAGAGGUGCUUUAUCUAGAGACAAAUUAACAAGAAGACAUCAGCAAAGAAGAGAUACAUGUAUGAGGCUAGAAGGGAAUUCUGAAAACUGGGAAGUAAUGCCCGGCAAACUUGAACUGGAAUCGAGCCUUCUGUUAAAGUAUGCGGCAAAGAUGUUGUAAAAACUUGAUAUUUCAAAAGAUUUUUCGUUUGUUUCGGACUAGAGCUUUAUCUGAUAAUAUUUCAUCAGAUAUGGUUGUUUCUAUUUUGAUGGAGAAGUUUUCAAAGAUAAGGUUUUGACUAAAAGGCAAGUUCAAGUGCUAGAUAGGAAGUUAAGCUUCGGAUGGCCUUUUUUCAAAUGACUUGACCUUUUCCAAACUUAUCACCACAGAGGAUAGACCUCUGACUACUUCAAAAGAUAAAGUCUGGCACGAAGCAAGCCUAUUCUCACGGAAAAUUAGCUUUCAAAAUUCUAUCUUCUUCCGUCCCGUGAAGCUUAUAAAUAGAACCAGUUGCCAGGCUCAUUUCGCACUGCAAAAACGAAGUCUACACUUUAAAACACUCUCUACCUCCUCCUUUGUCUAUCCUUCACAACAUUCUUGCUUUUCUGCUGGGUUAGAAACAAGAUUUUUUUUGCUGGUUCUAUGUCCCUCUCACAAAGUAGAGGAAAACUUGUUUAAUUCUGGGGAAACGUUUCAAUACCCUGAAAUAGUUUCUUAGGACAGUGCUUUCUAGCACGACUCAAGUAUCCACGUGUUGACAUUGUUCGGGCCGCUUUAUCCAACAAUCUAAGAAACUAUGGCAUCUAACAAUGUUAGCACCCCACAGCCUUCAUCAGCAACUGUUGCAGUGGCACUACCAUUCGCCAAGCUCUUUCCGGAUGUAUCCAAAAUUGAAAUUUUCGCCAAUGAAAAUUUUAAAAGAUGGCAAGAACGUGUGCACUCUCUACUUGACAUCCAUGGAGUAGCUUAUGCGCUCACUGAAUCUCAACCUUCUGCAACUGCGGAUGCCAAGAGUCAAGAAGCAUGGCAAUAUGCCAAUAAGGUAUGUCGACACACUAUCCUUCAAACACUCUCUAAUGAAUUAUUUGACGUCUACUAUAGCAGCAAAGAAGCCAAGGCAAUUUGGGAAGCCUUGGUAACAAAGUUUACUGCCGAAGAUGCAACCAAGCAAAAAUUCGUCGUAGGAAAAUACAACCAAUGGCAAAUGACUGAUGACAAGGAAAUGAAAAUUCAAAUCACCGAAUAUCAAAUGCUGCUAGAGGACUUGAAAAAUGAAGACAUCAAUCUUCCUGAGAAAUUCGCUGCAAGCAUGCUGAUUGAAAAACUACCAGAGUCAUGGGCCGACUAUAAAAACAACUUGAAACACAAGGAGAAAAAUUAUACCAUGGAUGAGCUCGUGAAGCACAUCCUCAUUGAAGAUUCAAACAAAAGGGAGUUAAGAGCUACCAAGGCAAAGGAGACGGCUUUCAAAGCCAAUCUGGUACAAGGUAAUAAUAAAAGGUACGCCAAUAAAUCCCAGAAUUACAAGCCCAAAAAUUUUAAUUUCAAGCCUAACAAUCCCAACUUUAAGAAAAGGAAAGGCAAUUGAUUUUAUUGUGGAAAACCAGGACAUCAUGCAUUACAAUGCAGACAUAAUAAAGGUGACAGAGCAAAUGGUAAUCUUCCUAAGGUGCACUUAACCGAAGGAGAUGAUAUAAUUGCUGCUGUCAUCUCUCAAGUGAACAUUGCAGCCAAUGUCAAAGAGUGGGUGGUAGACUCUGGGGCUACUCGGCACAUAUGUGCAAAUUGAGAAGCAUUUUCCUCCUAUACUCCUAUAGGGGAUGAUGAGGAAGUUGUCUACCUUGGUGACUCACGAACUGCUAAUGUUCUGGGUAAGGGCAAAAUAUUCUUGAAACUCACUUCAGGAAAAACUUUGGCUCUCAAUGAUGUACUGCAUGUGCCCAACAUUCGGGCAAAUCUGGUUUCCGUAGGAUUGCUAGGAAAAGUUGGAGUGAAAGUGUCAUUUGAAUUUGGAAAGAUCAUAAUGACCAAAAAUAAUGUAUUUGUGGGCAAGGGCUAUUGUAAUCAGGGACUCUUUGUACUUAACAUUGCCAAUGUGAUCAAUGAGAAUGCUUCUUCUUCUGCUUAUAUUAUUGAUUCAAUUUCUUUAUGGCAUGCAAGAUUAGGACAUGUUAAUAUGAGUUAUAUAAAGAAAAUGCAAUCUUGUGGCCUGAUUUCUGGUGUUAAUGAUAAAAUGGAUAAAUGUGAGAUAUGUGCAGAAACUAAAAUGACAAAGAAGACUUGUAUAACUGUUCAAAGAGAAACUGAACUAUUAAAUUUAAUCCACACAGAUUUAGGUGAUUUAAAACAAACUAUGACUAGAGGAGGAAAAAGAUAUUAUGUCACUUUUAUCGAUGACUACUCUAGAUAUACUAAACUUUACUUACUUAGAAAUAAAGAUGAUACUCAUAAUGCCUUUUUAUCUUAUAAGUCUGAGGUAGAAAAUCAACUUAAUAAGAAGAUAAAAAGAAUUAGGUCUGAUAGAGGAGGCAAAUAUUUAGCCCUAGAUAAAUUUUGUGAACAUGAAGGCAUAAUACACGAAACAACACCUCCUUAUUCGCCAGAAUCUAAUGGAGUAGCUGAAAGGAAAAAUAGAACAUUAAAAGAAAUGAUGAAUUCUAUGUUAGUUAGUUCUCAUGCUCCUGAUAAUUUAUGAGGAGAAUCUAUUUUAUCUGCAUGUCAUUUACAAAAUAGGAUACCUCAUAAGAAAACUGGCAAAACUCCUUAUGAGUUAUGGAAAAGUUAUAAACCAAAUUUGAAAUAUUUAAAAGUAUGGGGAUGUCUUGCUAAAGUAUUGUUGCCUGAACCUAAGAAAAGAAAAUUAGGUUCUAAAACUUCUGACUGUAUGUUUAUUGGAUAUGCUGAACAUAGUGCUGCAUACAGAUUUCUUGUUUUAAAAAGUGAUACGCUUGAUUGUAAUACAAUUAUUGAGACAAAGAAUGCUGAAUUCUUUGAACAUAUUUUUCCAUUGUCGAGUAAAAUUUCUCAUGCACCUGUUGAAAUAAAUAGAGAAAUAAUUCCGAAUGAGGAAUUAAGAAGGAGUAAAAGGCCAAGAAAAGAAUUUUCUUAUGGAAAUGAUGUUCAAACUUUUCUUGUUGAUAAUGAUUCUUUAACAUACUCCGAUGCUAUUUCUUCCCCUGAUUGUAAAGUUUGGAAAUAAGCAAUUAAAUCUGAAAUUGAUUCUAUCUUGUCAAAUAAAACUUGGAUUUUGGUGGACUUACCUCCUGGUGCAAAACCUAUUGGUUGCAAAUGAAUUUUUAAAAGAAAAUAUAACUCUGAUGGCUCUAUAGAAAAGUACAAAGCUCGUUUAGUAGCAAAAGGAUUUUCUCAAAAACAAAAUAUUGACUAUUUUGAUACAUUUGCACCAGUAACAAGAAUUGCGUCUAUUCGAGUUUUAUUUGCUUUAGCUUCUAUCCAUAAACUUGUUAUUCAUCAAAUGGAUGUCAAAACAGCAUUUCUAAAUGGUGAUUUAGAGGAAGAAAUUUAUAUGUUUCAACCUGAGGGGUGUAUUGUAUCUGGACAAGAAAAUAAGGUUUGUAAACUAAUUAAAUCUCUUUAUGGCCUAAAACAAGCUCCUAAACAAUGGCAUGAGAAAUUUGAUCAAGUAUUGAUAAAAGAUGAAUUCUUGUCUGUAGAAGUGGAUAAAUGUGUGUAUGUCAAAAUUAUAAAUGAUCAAUAUGUGAUAAUCAGCUUAUAUGUGGAUGACAUGCUUAUAUUUGGUACUAGUCUAGAUAUUGUAAAUAAUACUAAAUAUUUUUUGUCCUCUAAUUUUGAUAUGAAAGACUUGGGUGAAGCCAAAAUGAUAUUGGGUGUUAAAAUCAUAAGGAGAGGUGAUGGUAUAAUGUUGUCACAAGAACAUUAUACAGAGAGACUUCUUAGGAAGUUUGAAAAUUAUGAUGUGACACCUGUGAGUACUCCUUAUGACGCUAACAUUCAAUUGAGGAAAAAUAAUGGCGACCCAAUUGCUCAGUCUAAAUAUGCUCAGAUCAUUGGGAGUCUGAUGCAUCUGAUGAAUUUCACUAGACCGGAUAUAGCUUAUGCUGUAUGUAGACUGAGUAGAUAUACUCAUAAUCCCAAUCGUGAGCAUUGGUUUGCAUUAGUCAGACUAAUGAAAUAUUUGAGAGGUACCAUGAAUUUUGGUAUACUAUAUAGUGGAUUUCCCACUGUAUUAGAGGGUUACAGUGAUGCUAACUGGAUCUCUGAUCCAAAUGAUACAAAAUCCACUAGUGGUUAUGUGUUCACCCUUGGUGGUGGUGCGGUAGCAUGGAAAUCAGCCAGACAGACAAUUAUUGCUCGGUCAACUAGGGAAUCGGAGUUCAUAGCUCUGGAGUUAACUGGCUCUGAGGCAGAUUGGUUAAGAAAUUUCUUAGUCAAUAUUCCUCCUAUUAAGGAUCUGUUGUCUCCUGUGUCUAUACACUGUGACUGUCAAGCGGCUAUUGCUAUUGCAAAAAUAAAUCUUAUAAUUGUAAAAGUCGACACAUGAGAUUAAGACAUGAUGUCGUAAAGCAGCUGCUUAGAGAUGGAAUUAUUUCCAUUGAUUUUGUGAAGUCAGAGUUGAAUUUGGCCGAUCUUCUGACUAAACCUGUAGGAAGAAAAUUAAUUCUUCAAACUACAAGGGAGAUGGGACUUAGGCUAACGGUUGUCAAUAGAGAUGGUAACCCAACCUAUGUGAUUAGUGAUCCCAUGAAAUAGGUUCAUAUGGGUAAUAACAAGUCGAUAUUGACUGUAAAAGCACUUGAAAUUUAAGUCCCUUCAAAAUUAAGUGCUUUGACUGCCAAUAAUUGUGAGGCUGAGUUUAAUACUCUUAAUGAAUUUAUAUUCCUUCAGGAAGGUGUAUUUAGGGCAGUAUACACUUGAUAAAUUCACCUAUAUGUGAGUGGAGUGGGGCCGCUCCUAUAAGAUUUUUUGGCCGAAUCUUUAGAGCUCUCAUGAACAACCAGGCGGGCGCACGACCUAAAUGCGCGAAACUGCAUUGAACAGCAAAAUUAUGGGUUAUAAUGUGAUUGAUAAGAUCUCUGUCAUACAAUAAGAAUUAUUGGUUCAUAGAAAGAUAUGUUUUCACCAAUAAUUCUGUAAGACAUAUUUUAUCAAUUUAAGUUUGGUUCAUAGUCCAAAAGACACCAAACUCAUUACAUUGAGCUCAGACAAAUCCAGCAGAUGUUUAUACUCUUUUGUCCAAAAUCUUUUGAAAUAGGUGGGAGAUUGUUGUAAAAACUUGAUAUUUCAAAAGAUUUUUCGUUUGUUUCGGACUAGAGCUUUAUCUGAUAAUAUUUCAUCAGAUAUGGUUGUUUCUAUUUUGAUGGAGAAGUUUUCAAAGAUAAGGUUUUGACUAAAAGGCAAGUUCAAGUGCUAGAUAGGAAGUUAAGCUUCGGAUGGCCUUUUUUCAAAUGACUUGACCUUUUCCAAACUUAUCACCACAGAGGAUAGACCUCUGACUACUUCAAAAGAUAAAGUCUAGACGAAACAAUCCUAUUCUCACGGAAAAUUAGCUUUCAAAAUUCUAUCUUCUUCCGUCCCGUGAAGCUUAUAAAUAGAACCAGUUGCCAGGCUCAUUUCGCACUGCAAAAACGAAGUCUACACUUUAAAACACUCUUUACCUCCUCCUUUGUCUAUCCUUCACAACAUUCUUGCUUUUCUGCUAGGUUAGAAACAAGAUUUUUUUUGCUGGUUCUACGUCCCUCUCACAAAGUAGAGGAAGACUUGUUUAAUCCUGGGGAAACGUUUCAAUACCCUGAAAUAGUUUCUUAGGACAGUGCUUUCUAGCACGACUCAAGUAUCCACGUGUUGACAUUGUUCGGACCGCUUUAUCCAACAAAAGAUUCAAUCGAAUAGCUACUAGCCAAAUUAUCUGAACAAGAAGAGCAUUAUUUGGAAACCAAAAUAAUACCAUGGACAUGAAUAUCCUCAUCUCAACGGCUAGAGGGAAUUCCAUGUGAUCUUCAAAACAAUGGAAGAAUUCUUCUUCUUUCUCACCUCCCCCCUCCCAAGCCGAAGCUAGAGUAAAACAACCAAAGGUAAAUAGCUGCCACACCAACAUAUCUUCUUGAUUUGAUCAAACCCUUAACUUCAAAAUUGCAGCCACUAUACGAAGAGGAAGCCGGUCAUUCAGCCGAGCAACAUUCCAAUCGAAAUUCAUAAGAAAAACUCAGCUACUAGACAAUAUGGUGGAUAAUCCAUAUCACAAACAACAGCAGAGGGUUCAUCCAAGACCCAUCUAUCAAACCAAAAAUCUAUCAUUCUCUACUCUACGCACCAAUCGAUAUUCACUUCAGCAACUCCUUUAAUGUAAAACAAAUGUUUUCAAACAACUUAACCCACGCAAGAUUGAACUUGCGUUGGAUGAAGAGCAUGAAGAUAUUUCCGCUACGUAAACUUUGCUUAAACUGUUUUUUUUUUCUAAAAUUCUAUCGUAGCUUAAUACUGAAAGCAUGGAUCUAAUCCCUUGACUUUCUCUACUAGAAAACGUAAGUUUUCCCAAGAAGACCAGUGAAUAUGCCUCGAAUUAUCUUUAACAUCUGACAGAAAGCUAUUAUACGUACAUUCAAUAGUUCUAACCACCACUUUUGGAGGAGAUAGCACUUGCAACAAGUACAUAAGAAUUUAAGAAGGGACAUGUUUCAGUAUAAUUAUUUUCCCACUAGCUGAUAAGAAUUUAGAAUGCCAACCAGAAUUCUCCCUCUGAUUUUCGAUACAAUGCUUCAAACAUUACUCUCUUUGAUCUACUCUCAUAUAAAGAAACUACCAAAUAGGAAAAGGGGAGACAUUGAAGUUGAAAUCCCAAAUAGAACAUACCAUACACAUCUAGCAGUCAAGAUCUUAUCGGAACAAAUAAAUAAGCUAUUUGCAACCUUGAUCCACUGAUCAGAUUAGUAGUGAGAAAGAAAGUACUUUAUCGCCUUCAAACACCUCUUCAAGCAAUGUGUAAAAAUGAUUGUAUCAUUAGCAAAAGCAAGAUGCAAAACUUGACCUCCUGAUAAUGUAAAAAACAUCCUCCUCCCAUUUUCAAAUAAAUCAAUCAAUCCAUGACCAAGAUAUUCAGCAGCUAUCACAAAUAAAGUUGGUGAUAAUGGAUCUCCUUGACGACGAACACCACGAAAGGACUUUAAGAAUCCCACAACUCCACUAUUUAAACUAAAUGAAAACCAAUUGUUGGAGACAAUGCGAAACACAAGAUCAUUCUUGUAUUCGCUAAACCAGAAAUCUCAAUAUUUGCAUAAUGAGAGACCAAUUCGCCUAAUCAUAUGCUUUCUCUUAACACAUUCAGUUCCUGGAGUUUCUUAUCAAUCUCAGCCACAAGCUCUUGAGCUAACAACAUGAAAUCAUUAAUUCGUCUUCCCAGAAGAAAUCCCGUCUGCAAUGGGGACAGAAAGAUAAUUUAUGGGAGAAUUGUUGGGUUUGUGAGUCCAACCCAUUUGUUGGGCCAAGUCACAAUUAGAGCCCAAAGCCCAUGGUCAUUUGGUUUCCGAGUCAAUAUUUGACUUGAGAUUAUAGGAAGUGACUAGUCAAUUAACUAAAACUUGAAGUCGCACAAAAGGGAAUAAAUAUCAACCUAUGAGAUUAAUUGCAACGUUAUUAAACUCGAACGGGAUAGCGACUUGGCUAAACUAUUGAAUCAAGGGUCAACUAGUCGGAUCGGUUGGACCGCUUUUAAAAACCCGCUCAUGUCAACAUGUCGUCAUAGUUAUUUUAUUUUUUUUUAUAAAUUAUAGAAAUAUAGAAAUUAACUUCUUAGUUAUAUUCGAUCAAUCAUAGAAAAUGUUCCAAAAAUAUUAGACUUGCAAUCAAAUAUACACCUAAUAAUUAUAUAUAAAAAUGUAAAUUCAUGGCUAAAAUAUGUCCAUUCUCCAAAACUACUUGAAAAACUAAAUUAAAACAAAUUAAUGCAAGUUGGAAUCACUGAUGCUAAAAUGAUAAGAUCAUAUGGAUGAAAACAUUUUGAUUUAGAGAUCAUUCAGGAAAGGGAAUGAUUUUUGUAUUUACACUAAGUGGAUGGCGUUUUCUUAUUCCUAUUAAUAAAUAAGACUCAAAUUAUGUUUGGGAAAAAGAAGCAAGAAAAGUUUGAAAAUUAGGUCAAUCAGUUGAACCGGGUCACUGGUUUAGUCAAUUUUUGACGGUUUUGACCAAAGCGAUUUUGUACUACAAACUAGCUCGGAAAGAUGGUCGAUUCAUAGUCGGACAGGUUGUCAGGACAGAAGAAAUAAGCUAAAUUUAAGAAUACUUUGUAACGGUGACGUUUGGGGAAUAAUUGUAGUGCAGCGAUGACGUUUUGUGAAAUGUUAGUAAUAAAAAGGGAUAAGUGGAACGGUGUCGUAUGAAAGGCUGAGUUAGUUAGAACAGUCACGUGGGUUGUGACAGAAAUUGGGUAGCGGUAGUUAAUUCAUCCUAUUUGUACACGUUUGAUUGGCUAAAGAGGCAUCAGAGAAUAACAAUUGCAUUUUCCCUCUUUUCCUACUUUCUCUUUCUACUCCCCUUACUCUCUGCAACUUCUUUUCAAUCUUCUCUCUCACGAAGCUCUUCUGAGCUUCUCUCCUUUCUCCAAUUCAGGGAUAUGGUCGUAGGAGCCUGACAAGUGAUAUCAGAGCUUGUCGAAUCCUUGGAAUUGAACAGCAAUGGCGGAGAGUACCAGAUUCAAGACUCUGGAAGAACAGAUCAAGAAAUAAGAUUCCAAGCUCCAGGAGGUAAUAGAAAGUCUGUAGGCUUCGCACCACCAACAACAGCAGCUUCGCGAGGAGCUGCGAACAGAACUCGAGGAGAACAACCAGAAAAUGGAAGGUCUGGUAAUAAGAUUGAAACAAGAGUUCAGCGCCUUCAUGAAGAUGAUGCUGGAAAGAGAGAAACUGAAUUAUGAACCAGGAAGAACCCUGAGUGAUCAACCACCUCUGCUGCCAACACCACCGCCUAGUCAGAGGCUGCAAGUUGGACUCGAAGGUAUCAAGAUUGGGAGGAGAGAAACAAACAAGGCACUGAUUCCAAAUCCCCCAAAAAUUGACUUGCCUCUAUUCGCUGGGGAAAGUCCAAGGGAAUGGAUCAGGAAGUGCAACAAGUAUUGCAUAAACUACCAAAUUCCUAAGGAACAGAAGGUAAAGGUGAUCGAGAUGUACUUGGAAGGGAAGGCGGGCAGGUGGUUCCAGGGAGUUAAGGCGGAGAAACCUGAAAUCACGUGGCCAAUGUUUGAAGAAUUAUUGGGCAAAAGGUUCGAUAACAAGGCAGGUAAGGAUAUUGUGGAGGAAUUUAACAAAUUGCACCAGACAGGGAAGGUGGAGGAGUAUCAGGAAAGGUUUGAGGAGCUCAAGGUCCUCAUGACAAUGAAGAAUCCGCAUCUGAGUGAAGAAUAUUUUGUAUCCAGCUUUAUCAGUGGAUUGAAAGAUGAAAUCAAGACUAUGAUCAAAAUGUUGAGGCCUACCUCUCUGUCCGAGACUUUUGAAUUAGCAGUAUUGCAGGAGAAUGCACUGAACCUUGUGAGGGCCUCAAAAUUUAUUAUUUUAAUAAGAAUAUUAUUAUUACUAUUUCAUUUAUUUAUUUUAUUGUUUUAUUUAUUUUAUAUAUAUAUUUUUUGAAAAGUUAAAUAAUAAAUGUGAAUACAAUUAUAUUAUGUAUUUAUAUAAAAUUACAUGAUCUUUAUGUGCAUAGUUCGCAUUUUCAUAAUUAAAUUAUUUUCAUUCGAACAAAAUUCCAAUGUUUGACUGACUAGUGCUAAGUUCAGUUUUUAAGCCGUGUCGAGGAAUUUAACUUUGGUGAAAGAUUAGUCUAUGAGUAGCUUUAAAAGAAUUAUAAAUGAGAUAGAACUAAGAUAGAUAAGAAAAGUGUAGUGGACAAAUUUAAGUGGAACAUAAGCAUUGGUCAAAGUUGGACAAUUUCCGCUAAAACUAAGUUUUAAUCUUGCCAUUGUUUCUUCCAUUUAAUUUCCUCCAAUUCACUUCAAUUUCUUUUCCUUUCUUCCUUAUUAUAGUCGAGAAUCCCCCUCCCUCAUUAGCCAAGAUAAUCACUUUCAUUCCCACUAAAUUUACUCUUAAGACAUUAAUAUGUAAGAGGGGACAUGAUCCUUAAAAUAGGGCUUUAAGUCCUAUCCUUCUCUUCCCAAUAUAAUGCUCCCAAUUUUUCAAACAUUUCAUUCCUUUUCUUCUUCCCUUAUCAGCCGACCACCCUCACACACUCUCUCCCUCUUUCUAGCCAAAGCUCUAUCUUCUUCUUCCUCAACUCAAACUCCAUGACCAACCAACUUCUAGCUUCACUCCAUCUCCUAUUUUUUUUUCUUGUUGUUCUAGCCGAGAGAAUGAGAGGGAGAAACCGAGAGGAGCUCUUUGUGGUGGCUGGCCAGAUUCUUGGAGAAGGAAAGAGAUCUCUUCGUGGUGAAGAUUGGACAUCCUAGCCUUGGGAAAAUCAGCUAGAACCUGAGGUAGUUCUCUAACCCAAAAGCUAGAGCUUUCAUGUUAUCUCUUGAAGAGUGAAUCUUGAAACUUCAUUGGGUUGAAUUCUUGUUGGAUUUGGUUAAUGUACGGGUUCUUGGGAUUCCCACAAAUGUAUGAUCUUGGUUGCUAGCAUGAUUUUUGAUUGGUAUAUGUGUGAAUAUUUGGAGUUGUGGCUUGAACUUUGGAAGGGAAGAACCUUAACAGAAAUCGGGAGAAAGAGGGGGAGAGAGAGAGAGGGGGGACCAAAAUGGUUUCUGUUUUCUCUAUUUUUCUUGGCUGUGUUUUCACAAAUUUAAAGAUUGAUUUGGGAGCUAAAAAUUUAAGCUUUAAGCUGUCAUUUUCUCUUACAAAAAAAAAAAAAAAACCCCUUCAAAUGGCGUUGCAAAAUGGUUCCAAAAGAAGGUUUCAAACCUGGAAAUUUCAAAUGAGAGUACGGUCCGAAAUUUCUGUGAUUAUUCGAAAAUGUUUGGGGCUCAAUUAGCCUUAGCACAUAACAUGAAAGUUGUAGAGAAUUGAGUUUAAAUUAUGCCUGUAAAGUUUCAGCUCAAUCGGAGCUGGGUAUCCUGUGAAAUGACAAAAUUGCCCCUGCUACCCUGUUUCUAUCAGAAAUGAUAAUCAGCCUCUGUAAUUGGUUAGUUUGACCGGGAAUAUUACUGAAUUGGUUGUCAAUGUCUUCUUAAGAAUUGUAGCCUUGUAUCUUAGCUUUGAAAUGGCUUUGGAAUCACCUGAAUCGGAGUUGUGUGUGCUGAGUUAAGAUUAACUGAAUCAGGACUAUCAGUAAUUGUGUCAGUGAGAAUUGAACCAAGAAACUUGGGCUAUUUCGGUAAAUUUGAUCUAGUUAGGGUGAGAACUGGGUUGAGAUGUCUUCACAAGAAUGGUAGAUCUAUGUCUUAGCUUCGAAACGGUAUAUUUUUUGUUUCAAUCCGAUAAGUGUAGCUCGAGUUGUGCUUAAAUUCCUAAAAGGAUUUGGUAAAUGGAUUUACGAACUGUACUUUCUUAUUAGGUGAGUGUGUACGUUAUCACACUCGCCAAAGGACAUGUGACUUUUCACUAUUUGAGUGACCUAUUUACCAAUGUGUUUAUGUGGUCAAUGUGGUUACUGGACGCUUGGUUUGAGGUGAUUAUUGUGAUUAUUGUGGCUGAACCCCUUGAGCAUUUGUUCGGGGUGACUAGCUUGAGGAUUUUAAUUGCUUUCUUGUUUUUGGCUUGAUGAUAGGUAGAGGUCUGGAGGUAUAUUGAGCUUUAGAUGCAUAUAUGUGAUAAAUCUUGCUUUAUUACAUGUUUGGCUUGUUAAUUAUUGCCAGAUAUUCCUUUAUUUGGAUAGAUGAACUUGUGUGUGUUUAAGUAUAGCAAGAGGAAAAAUUUUUGUUUUGAAUCUUUCAUGUUGGCCGAAAUUUUUGGGACAAAAUUUCAGAUUUUUGGAGCUUUUAUUUGAGUUAAAGUUGUGCCAAAAUAAUGGAUUCUAAGUGUAUUUGGGUUGAUUAAACCGAUUGGCUCUUCAAAGGAAAAAAAAGGAGUGAACUUGCUAAAGUGAAAACUGGAAAUCUGCUUUCUGGAACAACAGACCAGUUUCGGAAAAAAAAGUUAUAUUUUCAUGUAUACCACUCCAAAUCGAGUCCCAUUUGUUUUUUUUUUUUGAAACUAGACACAUAAGGUUACAAAUCAUGUAAAUUUCAGGGGCUAACUCAUUUUCUGUGAUUUUUGGUGUUUUUUUAAAGUCCGUUGGAAAAACGGAAUUUUACCUGCCCUGCAUUUUACUGUAGCAGUCUAUUGACGGAAACACUGGGCAAAAUUCGUAUGGAAUGUCAUCAAGGUGUCUUCUACAAAGUUUUAGCCCUUUCAAUUAGGUUUCCAACGGUAUCAACUAUGCAAAUUUUGGACUCGUAAAUAUUAAGUUACGAUUUUCUAAAGAUUUCUACCAUAAACCUCCAGUUUCCUGAUUUUUACAAUAAACAUGAAAACGACUUGAUAUUUUUGCUUGGCCUUGAAUAUGCACGUGAAUGAUCGUGAUUAUACAUGUCUCAGGUGAAUACGAGAACUCCGAAGAACCCGUUUAGCCGCUUAACUUUUUCUCUCUCAUGACUUUUGGUGAGUGUCAAAUGCAUGUUAAGUGUUUAAAUGAAAUGUUUCUCGUACUUGCUAGUUCAUGAGGGUAGAGUGUACUUUACCGCCCUUGUCCUCUAUUUCAUGAAAUUGCUUGCUUGAUAAGUGAUAAGUGUUACAUGUGAAUGUAAAUGAAAGUGUUUUCCGUGAGCAUUGAGCAGCAGAAUGUAUCACACCCUUUUAGGGUUGGAGGUACCGCUCAUCCCGUCUCAAUGCUAUGACCAAAUCUUGUCGAUUGGAGAUUCGUCUCAUCGACCCAAAAGUGAAUGGGGGGGGGAUGCCCCAACCCAUUGGCUAGCCUUGUAACUCGAGCCGGCAAGGGCUUGGUCGAGAAACUUGGUGAACCUUAGGCAGUGUUAUAACUUGAUCCAAAUAAGAUGUCUUGCUAGGUAUCCUUGUUAAGUGAUACCACCUACAAGCUUGUUUGGUUACGGAUCCAAGAGGGUGUCAUGGUGGCUGGAGGUAGUAAGUGGAGUUCUACAUGGAUAACUGUAAAAGUUGACGGAGGGUCAACUACCUGAGCUUGGAUAGCGCGUGGAUUAGCUCCUGAGAGCUCUCGUAUCCUUUUAAUUGUGAUUAAAUUCCUUACUUGCUAAAUGUUUCGAAGUUACUUGUUACUCAAGUUAUUGCUUUAUAUUGUGUCUUUGCUCGCAUGCUUGCAUGUUUUUCCCUUGGCCUCAUUGAGCGUCAGCUCACCCCAAUUUGUUUUCCUUAACAGGUUUGGAAGUGGAAGUUCUGAGGCUUAAUUAGUGACAAUCCCUUUGGGUAGAACUAGUCGUUAUCUUUAAUUCUGGGACUCCAUAGUGUAAAACUUAUGAUUAUUUUGGGCUUUCGGUAUUGUAAAAGUACAUUGAAAAUCUUGGAUGUAAUAUAGAAGCAUGAAUUGUUCUUUUAUAUUUUAGAGUACAUGAAUGUUUUAGUGGAGUAUUUCAUGUGAUAUUGGAGUUUAAUUUGUAAUUUACUUGAAGAUUGUAGUGAGUCCCGGCGAGAGUUGGGCAGGCGGUCUGCCGAACCCUUUGGUUCGCCUUAGGGGGAGGUGGGGUCGUCAUAGUUGGUAUCAGAGCUCUAGGUUUCAGAUCUCUGUAGUGUAUCCUAAGUUCUAAAAGUUGAGGAUGCCACACAGUGGGAUUCGGGUUCGUUUGAAUGUUAAGUGAAAAAGUGAAGUAGUGAGCAAUUGUGGUUUCGAUGGUUAUUAAGAUUCAAUAAUUGAGGAUUAUUGUGCUAGACUAGCAAGAGAGAAGAAGAUUGUAAGAGAUUAAACACUAUUUAAAAGAUAGUAAGUAAAUUUCUUGAAUAAUGGCAUUUGCUAGGAGGCGUUCUUGAUUUAAGGACUUAUGGGGAAAUAAAUGAUUAAUUUGUUUGGGAUAACCUUUAGUGCUUGAUCGUUGCCACUAGAUAUAUUUUAGAGUUGAUAUACCUUGUUCUUGCCUUGGGAACAUGACUGCAAUUAUGUCUUGGAAUUUGGAAGGCCUACCUUUUGUAGUACCUAGUUAAGUAUGUGGUGACUCGUGCUUGUUAAAGGAUAGAUAUUAUGAUGGAAUGCGGAACUUUAAUUGAAAAGAUAGUUGAUGUAGCUCUAAUGUUCAAAAUGAGGUUGGCCUUACCUAAGGGAAUUAAGCCCCCUCGCUCAGUUGCAAGCUAGACUAUGGAGCACGACCUUUUAUACCUUUUGUUUAUGAUAGUUGGGGUGAUGCUUGUGCUUUGGCCUGUAUAUUUUGUUAAGCAUGAUAUUUGUUCCCUUUUGAAGUAUUUGAAUGCUAUAAAUUCUAUACCUGAUCAUGUUGACUUGUUAAUUUGUUUGGUAGUACACAUGCAAAGUUUUAUUUUCAUUAUCGACUCAUGCAAUGACAUGCUCUCAUUUUGGUUGAUUGUUCUCCCUCUUGUAUGACCUUGUUCAUAAAAAAAAAAUUUGAUUUGUAUGUCAUCUGAUCUAUUGACUGUUCCUGUGAAAAUAUGAAGUGUGCUUUGAUUGCUUUUCAAGUUUUAAAUUCCAUUUUUCCUUCAUUGGACAUAUUUAGAUUUAUAUAUUUAUAUAUUUAUUCAUUUACUAGAGUUAUCCAUCUAUUAGUUAUUUAUUUAUUUAUUAUUUUUGGUCCUCCGUAAGAAUUAGAAAUAAAGGGUAGAAAGGAUCGAGACUGUGGGCCAGAGGGGCCAGGCAAACCCCAAAGCGUGGAAGAUAAUUGGGAAAUAAAGUUGAGGGUUAGUGAAUGAUGACAAAGAGAUAACUAGUGGAGUAUAUAUUGAAUUAUUAUAAUUAAAGAAAAAAAAAAGAGUAACUGCAAGGAGGUAAACUAGUGGAUAAGAUAAGCUGUUAUUAAGAAGUUUCAUUUAGUGCGAGUGUGACAAAAUUUAUGGUAAACUUUGGAGAUCUAAGACUUGUUAUAAUUAGGGUUGGAGUUUUGGAUGAGAUAGGUGUUUGAACUCAUUAGAUUUACAAGUUUAUGGUUAAAUUCAAUGAUUCCCGGUUAAUUGAGCUUGGGUUAUGGAAGAUAUUCCUUGGACUUUGAUUACUAGGCUAGAUGCCUCGGGAAUUCUCUAUGCUUCAUAGUGUAAAAUUGUGGUGAAUCUUGGCGGAUAAGAUAAGAGAGCUUGAUAUAUGUUGAUUAUUGGAUAUUGUGGUUAAUUCAUGAGAUUGAUGAAUUAUAAUAGGAAAGUGAUGAUAGGAUCGGUGAAAAUUUUUGGUAGUAUCUCUGCUGGCCGAACAUGUUUAGUUACCUUUAGCCCUGUUUUCUUACAAAUCAUUGGCAAAAUUUUGCUUAAUAUUUUAAACGUUGAUUCUUGAAAAUGAAAUUUGAAGUUGAAAGGAAAUAAUUUUUAAACCUGGUUUUGCUAAAAAUUUUUCCAAAAAGGAACACCGUACAGUUUUAAAAUUUGUGAUGCAUUGGUGUAAUAUAUAUAUAUAUAUAUACACAUAUAUACAUAUACAUAUAUCAUAAAAAAAAUCCAAAAUUUAGUUUCGUUUAUUAGAUUUAAAAGUUGACAAUGGCUCUUUUCACCGUGUAAAAUUUUCAAAUUUUCUUAAAUUCUAUGAGCAUCGGAAAUUUUCCUACGAUAAAUGAAAUGUCAAAUCCAUUCUUGCUUUUCCUAUUUGUUAAAGCUGUAGUUUAAGGUCAAGAUCCAUUUAUUUACAAAUUUAAUCUUGAAAGGAUGCCUUUUGGGACAAAUGUAGAACUUUUGAAUGGUAUAGGACUGGUGAUUUUUGGAUUUAUGGAACUUAAAAAUACAGACAAUUUUAGUUUGAAAUAAAAGUGUCCUUUUAAACCUUACGACCUUAAAUAUGAAAAUAUUGAUCCGAUUUGAACUUGAAAAGAGACACGAGAAAAAGUUAAGAUUAACUCGUCAAAGGAUAUUAAUGGUUCGAAACCGUUAAAAGAGUUAUACAGAUAAUAGAAGGAGAGAUUGAUAGAUAGUUUUGUAUAAUCCAAUGGGAUCCUAGUACUUGAUCUAAGUCGAAACCGAACGAGGAGAUGAGAUCUAUUGGUAUUUUGAUGGAUUGACCUAGUUGAGUAACUAGUAAGGUUCUCCCUUGUGAACUUAAUGAUUACUUUACAUAUAUCUUGUGAUUGGCCCUAUAGGCAUGUUUUAAACUUGUACGAAUAUUUGAACUUCCAAGUUUUGUAUUCAUUAUUUGUGGUGUGACCUGGAUGGAAUGAAAGUCCUUUCAAUUUUUGCUUAACCAUUACUGUGUAUAUAUCCAAUUACUUGUUGUUCCUUUUUACAAAAAAAAAAAUAUUUAUACAAAUGUAUAUACUCUGAACUCGCAUAAAAAUUGAAAAUCAGGCAGAGUUUGGGUUUGGACCUUUUCUUAGAAAUAAGAAUGAAUAUUGGUCGUGAAUUGGAGAGUAAAUAGUUAAGUUUUAUGUGGCAUAAAAGCUAAUUCUCAGAUUAGGUGUGAAGAGUAGAGGCGUUGGACCGAAGUUUAAGUAAAUAUGAACCUGCAUGUCUGCUUAUUUUCUUAAAAGCAUUUUAUUCUCAAAAGUGAUUUGUGGGGUUAAAUGAUUUUUCUUGAUCAAACGUCCAAAUAACAAAUGUUAAACUUCUUACCAAAAGUCGAAUGCAUUUAGAAAUUUUGACUAUCAAGAUCAGAACCAAUUUCUUUUCUUCUUGUCUUCCAUUCGAAUAGCCAUUUUAUUUAUAUAUAUAUAGACCACAAUUUUUCCAAAUGUGUAUUUGAUAUCCUGUUAUUAGUUUGGUUACGAAAGGUACGUGAAAAAGCUUUCCUCGAACAAAUAAGAUUUUCAGUUGGCCGUUUUGGGACAAAAGAAACUGGAUCAUUUCUAAAAUUGUUAAUUUUGAAAAUCGAAUACUAGUAAAUAAUUUUGGACAAUUUGAGUACAACCAUUUGGUGAGUGAAACCUUUUAUAGAAAAUAUAUCUUUGUACUCGAGUUUUGAACUACAUGAUUGAGUCAUUUGAUUUAGUCGAGAAAAAACAAAGUAAAUUUCGAGGACGAAAUUAUUUUAAGGAGGGAAGGAUAUGAGGGCCUCAAAAUUUAUUAUUUUAAUAUUAUUAUUAUUAUUACUAUUUCAUUUAUUUAUUUUAUUGUUUUAUUUAUUUUAUAUAUAUAUUUUUUGAAAAGUUAAAUAAUAAAUGUGAAAAUAACUAUAUUAUGUAUUUAUAUAAAAUUACAUGAUCUUUAUGUGCAUAGUUCACAUUUUCAUAAUUAAAUGAUUUUCAUUCGAACAAAAUUCAAAUGUUUGACCGACUAGUGCUAAGUUUAGUUUUUGAGCCGUGUCGAGGAAUUUAACUUUGGUGAAAGAUUAGUCUAUGAGUAGCUUUUAAAGAAUUAUAAAUGAGAUAGAACUAAGAUAGAUAAGAAAAGUGUAGUGGACAAAUUUAAGUGGAACAUAAGCAUUGGUCAAAGUUGGACAAUUUCCGCUAAAACUAAGUUUUAAUCUUGCCAUUGUUUCUUCCAUUUAAUUUCCUCCAAUUCACUUCAAUUUCUUUUCCUUUCUUCCUUAUUAUAGUCGAGAAUCCCCCUCCCUCAUUAGCCAAGAUAAUCACUUUCAUCCCCACUAAAUUUACUCUUAAGACAUUAAUAUGUAAGAUGGGACAUGAUCCUUAAAAUAGGGCUUUAAGUCCUAUCCUUCUCUUCCCAAUAUAAUGCUAUCAAUUUUUCAAACCUUUAAUUCCUUUUCUUCUUCCCUUAUCAGCCGACCACCCUCACACACUCUCUCCCUCUUUCCAGCCAAAGCUCUAUCUUCUUCUUCCUCAACUCAAACUCCAUGACCAACCAACUUCUAGCUUCACUCCAUCUCCUUUUUUUUUUUUUGUUGUUCUAGCCGAGAGAAUGAGAGGGAGAAACCGAGAGGAGCUCUUUGUGGUGGCUGGCCAGAUUCUUGGAGAAGGAAAGAGAUCUCUUCGUGGUGAAGAUUGGACAUCCUAGCCUUGGGAAAAUCAGUUAGAACCUGAGGUAGUUCUCUAACCCAAAAGCUAGAGCUUUCAUGUUAUCUCUUGAAGAGUGAAUCUUGAAACUUCAUUGGGUUGAAUUCUUGUUGGAUUUGGUUAAUGUACGGGCUCUUGGGAUUCCCACAAAUGGAUGAUCUUUGUUGCUAGCAUGAUUUUUGAUUGGUAUAUGUGUGAAUAUUUGGAGUUGUGGCUUGAACUUUGGAAGGGAAGAACCUUAACAGAAAUCGGGAGAAAGAGGGGGAGAGAGAGAGAGGGGGGACCAAAAUGGUUUCUGUUUUCUCUAUUUUUCUUGGCUGUGUUUUCACAAAUUUAAAGAUUGAUUUGGGAGCUAAAAAUUUAAGCUUUAAGCUGUCAUUUUCUCUUACAAAAAAAAAAAAAAAACCCCUUCAAAUGGCGUUGCAAAAUGGUUCCAAAAGAAGGUUUCAAACCUGGAAAUUUCAAAUGAGAGUACGGUCCGAAAUUUCUGUGAUUAUUCGAAAAUGUUUGGGGCUCAAUUAGCCUUAGCACAUAACAUGAAAGUUGUAGAGAAUUGAGUUUAAAUUAUGCCUGUAAAGUUUCAGCUCAAUCGGAGCUGGGUAUCCUGUGAAAUGACAAAAUUGCCCCUGCUACCCUGUUUCUAUCAGAAAUGAUAAUCAGCCUCUGUAAUUGGUUAGUUUGACCGGGAAUAUUACUGAAUUGGUUGUCAAUGUCUUCUUAAGAAUUGUAGCCUUGUAUCUUAGCUUUGAAAUGGCUUUGGAAUCACCUGAAUCGGAGUUGUGUGUGCUGAGUUAAGAUUAACUGAAUCAGGACUAUCAGUAAUUGUGUCAGUGAGAAUUGAACCAAGAAACUUGGGCUAUUUCGGUAAAUUUGAUCUAGUUAGGGUGAGAACUGGGUUGAGAUGUCUUCACAAGAAUGGUAGAUCUAUGUCUUAGCUUCGAAACGGUAUAUUUUUUGUUUCAAUCCGAUAAGUGUAGCUCGAGUUGUGCUUAAAUUCCUAAAAGGAUUUGGUAAAUGGAUUUACGAACUGUACUUUCUUAUUAGGUGAGUGUGUACGUUAUCACACUCGCCAAAGGACAUGUGACUUUUCACUAUUUGAGUGACCUAUUUACGAAUGUGUUUAUGUGGUCAAUGUGGUUACUGGACGCUUGGUUUGAGGUGAUUAUUGUGAUUAUUGUGGCUGAACCCCUUGAGCAUUUGUUCGGGGUGACUAGCUUGAGGAUUUUAAUUGCUUUCUUGUUUUUGGCUUGAUGAUAGGUAGAGGUCUGGAGGUAUAUUGAGCUUUAGAUGCAUAUAUGUGAUAAAUCUUGCUUUAUUACAUGUUUGGCUUGUUAAUUAUUGCCAGAUAUUCCUUAAUUUGGAUAGAUGAACUUGUGUGUGUUUAAGUAUAGCAAGAGGAAAAAUUUUUGUUUUGAAUCUUUCAUGUUGGCCGAAAUUUUUGGGACAAAAUUUCAGAUUUUUGGAGCUUUUAUUUGAGUUAAAGUUGUGCCAAAAUAAUGGAUUUUAAGUGUAUUUGGGUUGAUUAAACCGAUUGGCUCUUCAAAGGAAAAAAAAGGAGUGAACUUGCUAAAGUGAAAACUGGAAAUCUGCUUUCUGGAAUAUCAGACCAGUUUCGGAAAAAAAAAAGUUAUAUUUUCAUGUAUACCACUCCAAAUCGAGUCCCAUCUGUUUUUUUUUUUAAACUAGACACAUAAGGUUACAAACCAUGUAAAUUUCAGGAGCUAACUCAUUUUCUGUGAUUUUUGGUGUUUUUUUAAAGUUCGUUGGAAAAAUGGAAUUUUACCUGCCCUGCAUUUUACUGUAGCAGUCUAUUGACGGAAACACUGGGCAAAAUCCGUAUGGAAUCUCAUCAAGGUGUCUUCUACAAAGUUUUAGUCCUUUCAAUUAGGUUUCCAACGGUAUCAACUAUGCAAAUUUUGGACUCGUAAAUAUUAAGUUACGAUUUUCUAAAGAUUUCUACCAUAAACCUCCAGUUUCCUGAUUUUUACAAUAAACAUGAAAACGACUUGAUAUUUUUGCUUGGCCUUGAAUAUGCACGUGAAUGAUCGUGAUUAUACAUGUCUCAGGUGAAUACGAGGACUCCGAAGAACCCGUUUAGCCGCUUAACUUUUUCUCUCUCAUGACUUUUGGUGAGUGUCAAGUGCAUGUUAAGUGUUUAAAUGAAAUGUUUCUCGUACUUGCUAGUUAAUGAGGGUAGGGUGUACUUUACCGCCCUUGUCCUCUCUUUCAUGAAAUUACUUGCUUGAUAAGUGAUAAGUUUUAUAUGUGAAUGUAAAUGAAAGUGUUUUCCGUGAGCAUUGAGCGGCAGAAUGUAUCACGCCCUUUUAGGGUGGGAGGUACCGCUCAUCCCAUCUCAAUGCUAUGACCAAAUCUUGUCGAUUGGAGCUUCGUCUCAUCGACCCAAAAGUGAAUGGGGGGGGGGACGCCCCAACCCAUUGGCUAGCCUUGUAACUCGAGCCGGCAAGGGUUUGGUCGAGAAACUUGGUGAACCUUGGGCAGUGUUAUAGCUUGAUCCAAAUAAGGGGUCUUGCUAGGUAUACUUGUUAAGUGAUACCACCUACAUGCUUGUUUGGUUACGGAUCCAAGAGGGUGUCAUGGUGGCUGGAGGUAGUAAGUGGAGUUCUACAUGGAUAACUGUGAAAGUUGACGGAGGGUCAACUACCUGAGCUUGGAUCGCGCGUGGAUUAGCUCCUGAGAGCUCCCGUAUCUUUUUAAUUGUGAUUAAAUUCCUUACUUGCUAAAUGUUUCGAAUUUACUUGUUACUCAAGUUAUUGCUUUAUAUUGUGUCUUUGCUCGCAUGCUUGCAUGUUUUUCCCUUGGCCUCCCUGAGCGUUUACUCACCCCAAUUUGUUUUCCUUAACAGGUUUGGAAGUGGAAGUUCUGAGGCUUAAUUAGUGACAAUCCCUUUGGGUAGAACUAGUCGUUAUCUUUAAUUCUGGGACUCCAUAGUAUAAAACUUAUGAUUAUUUUGGGCUUUCGGUAUUGUAAAAGUACAUUGAAAAUCUUGGAUGUAAUAUUUAAGCAUGAAUCGUUCUUUUAUAUUUUAGAGUACAUGAAUGUUUUAGUGGAGUAUUUCAUGUGAUAUUGGAGUUUAAUUUGUUAUUUACUUGAAGAUUGUAGUGAGUCCCGGCGAGAGUUGGGCAGGCGGUCUGUCGAACCCUUUGGUUCGCCUUAGGGGGAGGUGGGGUCGUCACAAACUUACAGUCCAGAAAUUCUAAGGAAAAUGUAAGGACUACCUCAGAGAACAGGUUUGGAAUCUCUAAAAGUUCAUCUCAGCAGUUGAACCACAUUUCACACUACAAAGUAUCCCCUAUUAGUUCAUUCAGAAAUACUCAUUUCAAAGGUAGACCUGUUUCAACUACUGAAGCAGAACCUAGAAGAAUUUCAGCACAAGAAAUACAAUAUAGAAGGAACCAUGGCCUAUGCUUCAAGUGUGGAGAGAAGUUUGGGCAGGGACAUCAAUGCAAACUGGGCCAUCUGAACUUCCUGAUCAAUGAUGAGGGAGAAGAAUCUGAAUUCGAAGAUGCACUGGGAGAGCAGGAUGAAACCACAGGGAAUCCAGGGCAGAUCAUGGAGAUGUCCUUACACACACUGUCCGAGGCACUUAAACGAAAAACAAUCACACUGGUAGGAAGACUAGAUGGGGAAGAGAUGCUGAUACUGGUAGACACAGGCAGUUCUGAUAGUUACAUAAGCAGUGAGAAGGUAAUUGCCUUUGAUAUUCCUUAUAAAUUAGUCAAUCCUUUUUCUGUGGUUUUUGGGAAUGGGGCUUGUGUAACCAGCAAGGCCAUAUGUCCUAAGGUGGUAUGGGGAAUUAAUCAGCAUAGGUUCUGUUAUGACCUCAAAGUGAUGGAUCUAAGUGGAUGGGACAUAGUGCUUGGGGUGGACUGGAUGACUCAGUUCAGCCCUAUCACUUUUGAUUUCCACAAGCUGACUAUCUUCUUGCAAGAUCAAGGGGAAGCAGUGCACUUGCAUGGCCAAGCUGAAGACUGUGACUUAGAUCUAAUCAGAGGAGGCGACCUGAGGACAUUCAUUGAAUACAAGAGACAGUUGUGCAUGUCCAUGAGAUUGGGACAGGGUGAUCUGAUGCAGGGAAAUGACAUUCCUGCAGGAGUCCAGGGCAUCAUUGAAGAAUUUACAGAUGUGUUUGUAGCACCCUCUGAGUUACCACCAGCAAGAAGUAUAGAUCAUGAGAUACCACUAAAACCUGAGGUUCAACCCUUCAAGAUGAAGCCGUACAGAUACCCUCACUCCCAAAAGAGGGAAAUUGAACAACAGGUUAAGGAUAUGUUGCAGCAUGGAAUCAUAGUGCACAGUAACAAUCCUUUUGCCUCCCCAGUUCUGCUUGUCAAGAAGAAGGAAGGGACCUGGCAUUUUUGUGUAGACUACAGGAGACUGAACGAGAUGACCAUCAAGGACAGGUACCCCAUACCUAAUGUAGACGAACUGAUCAAUGAGCUAGCAGGAUCCAAAUACAAAUCAAAGUUGGACCUCACUUCAGGCUACCACCAAAUCAGGGUCAAGCCUAAGGAUACAUACAAAACUGCAUUUCAAACACACUGUGGCCACUAUGAGUUCUUGGUAAUGCCUUUUGUGUUAAGAAACGCUCCAGCCACAUUUCAGUCCCUCAUGAAUCAGAUAUUCCAGCCUUACCUGAGAAAAUUUGUUCUAGUUUUUUUUGAUGAUAUCCUAAUCUAUAGUCCUACAUUAGAGCUACACCAGCAACAUCUGAGGAUAGUCUUGACAGUAUUGAGGGAACAUAAGUUGUUUGUAAAACGUUCCAAGUGCUCGUUUGCACAGUCAACAGUGGACUACCUUCGUCACACUAUCAGAGAGAGUGAUUCAAGAAUAACCACACAAUGAAACGUAAUUUACCACAAACUUCAGAUACCAAAAGUAAUCAUGAAAUGCUUCAUGAUCCAAUCAACGCGAGAAUAAGUAAUUUUGACAGAAUAAUUAUUGACUUUCUUCAUCUCUUUAGUAUUAUUUAUUUUUCCAAUUUAUUGUUUAGAACAAAAAAAAAUAAGUCAAUUCAAGAUAUGAACAUAUGAAAGGCUCAACAGCUGGAUAAUACUCAUUAACGACAGAGGCUAUUAAUCCAAAAGGACUAAAAUGGAGUAAACUUUAUAUUCCAAAAGGCAUUUAUGGUGGGGGAAAAAGAUAGAAUCUAAUAUGGCAUUAUACGUCCUUUCAAACCUUAAUAACGAUUACAAAUAAUUCAUAAAGACGCCAAGACUUUUGAAAGGAUUUAGAUUUCGUUGCAAUUUAGCCUUUACUCAUGAAAGGGAUGGUUGGAUAGGAAUUCUGUAGCAUGCCGGUAGCAGCCAUCCAAAAAGAACUAGUCCAUUUGUGCACAAAAUAAAGUGAAUAUAAUGUGUGUGUGUGUGUGUAUUAAAAAGUAAUCAAUUGGGUUAGAUUUGAUGAUUUGUGAUUACAGUGUAAUCUUUUAUAUAUAUUUUGUAACUCUAUUAAAUCUAAUAUUUUUCAAAUCAAAUAUAUCUGUGACAUAUUCAAUGUAUUUUUUGACAUUGGUGCAGAUUACUUUGUUAAACAAAUCGUGCUGGAUGAUGUAAUGGCUGCUUCAGCAAGAAAUGAAGAGGGAGUUAGCAGAAAGGGAAAGAUGGGAGAGAGACUUGAGAGGGAAGAUAGAAAAUGCGGAAAAUGAGAGAACUGAAUUUGUUGUAUCUGAUAGCAUGCCCCUCACGUCUUACCUUUAGGCUUAUUCAUACAGGAUUCAUCCUCUAGAUCCUUCCAUGCCUUAGCUAUAACAGAAUGCUUAACAGAACGAUCACGCAUGCAUGCAUGCAGUGCAGUAACUAACUAGCCAACUAACUCUCUGAUAUGCUAACUGACUUCCAGAAAUGGAAACCAUGGCCACUACAUUAUUAGCUAUAAAUAACUAGGGAAUAUCUAAAAUAUCUAGAGGAAAUAUCCAGAAUAUCUAGGAUCAUUACAAUACCUCCCCCUCAAGAAUCCUAGUCACUAGGAUUGAGUUGGAAAUCUGGAAAUUGUGAUUGUAUCACUGUGAUAUCCUCCCAAGUUGAGUCUUCAGUGCCUAGGUUCAACCAUUUGAUCAACACUUGAGUUACCUUGUGUCUUUUCCUCAUGAUUUCACGAGUAGCAAUAACACUUUCAAGGGCAAUUUUAACCUGUCCAUCCGUAGUAGUCAAAGGUAGUUCUUGAGUAACUACAUGAUUCUUGGCUGAGGGCUUGAGUAAGGAGACAUGGAAGGUAGGGUGAAUCAAGGAGCCAGCAGGUAAUUCCAACCUAUAGGCUGCAUUUCCCACCUUCUAAAGAACUUUGUAGGGUCCAUAAUAUUUUGAAGACAAUUUCAGAUUCUUUUUGACUGCCACAGACGAUUGUCUAUAAGGUUGCAGUUUCAAAUAGACCCAAUCUCCCACUUGGAAACUCCUUUCACUCCUGUCCUUGUCCGCAAACUGUUUCAUUCGAUUUUGUGCUUUGAUUAAAUUCCCCUUCAGCAGCUCGUUCCAUUUUCUUCUGUCCCCUAGCCAUUGCUCCACAGCCGCUACUGGAGUCCCCAAGGCAUUGAUGCCUAGUUGAGAUGGUGGAUAUCCAUACAGAGCCUCGAAGGGAGUCAUUUUUAAGGCUGUGUGAUGGUUGGUGUUGUACCACCAUUCAGCAGCAGCUAGCAAGGACUUCCAUUUAUGGGGUUGCUGGAAACACAGGCACCUCAAAUUUGUCUCCACACAUCUGUUCAACCUUUUUGUCUGUCCAUCUGUUUGGGGAUGGUAAGCAAUAGAGUAGUGCAGCUCCGUGCCUAACUUCCCAAACAACUCCUGCCAGAACAAGCUGGUAAAUAGCCUAUCCCUAUCAGAUACAAUGCUCAGGGGUAAUCCAUGUAGCUUAUAGAUGUUUUCAAAAUACAUGUUAGCCACCGACUGUGCAGUAUACUUCGAUGGUAAUGCUAGGAGGUGAAAGUACUUGGUGAACCUAUCAAUGACAACUAGCAUUCCCUCAUACCCCUGAGAUUUAGGUAACCCCUCAAUGAAAUCCAUUGAAAUAUGCUGCCAUGCUUGUUCAGGAAUAGGUAGAGAUUGUAGCAGUCCUGGUGUCUUGCAAUUUUCUACCUUGCUCCUCUUGCAAACAUCACACUGUUGUACCCAUUGUUCUACUUCUCUUUUCAUUCCUGGCCAGAAGAAUGGUCCCUUUAAUCUUUGGUAGGUCCCCAGGUUGCCUGAAUGACCCCCAAUGAGAGAGUCAUGAAAGCAGGCUAUCAGUUUCUGUCUCAAGUUCCCUGAGGAACCAACGUACAUCCUGCCUUUAUACCUGAGUAAAUUCCCAGCAAAAGAAUAAUUUGGGAGAGAAUCAGGUGAAGUAGUCAGGCCUUCAGUCAACUUAGUCAUAGAACCAUCCCCUUGGUAACUCUCUAGGACUUCAGACAGCCAUGCCGGUUUCAUGACUGAGAUGCUAUGUGUAAAGCUGUCCUCUUCAUAGCAUCUUCUAGACAGUGCAUCAGCCACCAGGUUUUCAUUUCCUUUCUUGUACUAUAUUUCAUAAUCUAGGCCCAAUAACUUAGUGAGCCAUUUCUAUUGUAGGGGAGUAGUUAUCUUCUGUUCCAAUAGGUACUUUAAGCUCUGGUGAUCUGUCUUGAUGAUGAAGUGGCUUCCCAACAGGUAAUGCCUCCACUUGGACACAGCUGUAAUAAGGGACAACAACUCUUUUUCGUAUAUGGACAGUCCCAAAUUCUUAGGUCCCAGAGCUUGACUGAGAUAGGCAAUAGGCCUCUCUUGUUGCAUUAGGACUGCACCAAUAGCCUUCUGACUAGCAUAUGUUUCUAGAGAAAAAGGUAAAGAAAAGUUAGGAAGUGUUAGGACUGGUGUGCUACUCAUCAGCUACUUCAGUUUUUGAAAGGCUAGCUCAGCUUGUUCAUUCCAGUGGAAGUUUUCUUUCUUCAAUAACUCAGUGAGUGGUUUGGCAAUGAGUCCAUAUCCCCUCACAAACCUCCUGUAGUACCCUGUGAGUCCCAAAAAUCCUCUCAAUGCCUUUAGUGAUGUAGGGGUAGGCCAUUCUACCAUGCUCUUGAUUUUUGAGGGAUCUGCCUGCAUUCCAUCUCCACUGAUAAUAUGCCCCAAAUAUUCUAGUUGAGACUGUCCAAAGAUGCAUUUGGAAAGCUUGGCAAAUAGGGAGUGAGCUUUGAGUGUUUCUAGGAAAGUUUUGAGGUGCAAAAGGUGAGUGUCUGGAUCUGAACUGUAUAUGAGGAUGUCAUCAAAGAAAACUAACACAAACUUCCUCAGGUAAGGUUCAAAAACAUGGUUCAUCAGGCUUUGAAAUGUUACAGGUGCAUUGGUAAGACCAAAUGGCAUAACAGUGAACUCAUACAAUCCUAGGUAAGUUUUGAAGGCAGAUUUUGGGAUGUUAGUCUGGAGCAUUCUGAUCUGAUGGUAUCCAGCCCUUAAAUCAAUCUUGGAGAAGAUCUUAGCUCCAAACAGUUCAUCGAGUAAAUCAUCAAUGAUAGGUAUUGAAAAUUUAUCUUUGAUAGUCAGGUCAUUUAGUUGUCUGUAAUCAACACAAAAUCUCCAAGUUCCAUCUUUUUUUAACUAAUAGAACUGGAGAGGCAAACGGGCUAUGGCUAAACUGAAUAAUGCCACUACUGAGCAUGUCCUUCACUUGCCUUUCUAUUUCAUUUUUUUGGUUGUGAGGGUACCUAUAAGAUGCUAGCUUGAAUGGUUUGGCAUUUGGCACUAAGGGAAUUUGAUGGUCAUAGUUUUUGGAAGGGGGAAGGGAUUGUGGUUCUCCAAAUACAUCUUUGUAGUCUUCAAGUAAAGCACUUAGGGACUGUUGAAAACCAAUGUCUAGAUGAGUUACAGUGUUUACCUGAGUUCCCUUCAUUUUCAGUCUGCACGCGUGUUUCCAGAUUCUGGUGCUCAACCCCUCCUUCUCAGUACUAUUACUAGGAAGUUUGAGAACAGUCUCCUUAGACUCUCCAUGUAACAAGAUCCUCUCCCCUUUCUCAUCAAAGGACAUGUUCGGCUGCCUAAAGUCAAAGGUGAUGGGGCUGUGUGCAGCCAUCCAGUCUACUCCUAUAAUCACAUCAUAUGGCUCCAAGUUAAUGACAAACAUAUCAUGAGUGAACUGUUUACCUUGCAUUUCCCUGCUCAUAUUCGGAAUCAUCUUGUGACAAGUCAAGUGCUCCCCAUUAGCCAUCCUGACCCUGAAAGGCUUGAUAGAUUGGACCAGUUCUGGAUAGAGUUGUGCCACUGCCCCUUUGAUAAAAUUGAGUGCUUCCCCCAUCCACCAGGAUUGAUAGUGGAGUUUCUUUGAUCCUCCCCUGUAGCUUGAUGGUGUUGUAAGUCAUCUUCCCAGUCAGCGCAUGUAUCUCCAUUUCUACCCCCUUGGCCGACUGUGCUCCUUGGUACUCGAUCAUCUCCCCUUCUACCAGAUCCUCAGGACUAUCUUCUACUGCUACAAUCAGGUGGAUUUCCUUUUGCUUGCAUUGGUGGCCUGGUCCGAACUUUUCCCCACACCUAUAGCAAAGAUGGUGCUCCCUCCUGUACUGCAGCUCUACUGGUGUGAUUUUCUUGAAGUUCUGAGGAGUCUGUUUCUUUACAACAUUGGCAAUAAUAGGUUUGGUAUGUGGAAUGGUGUACUGCGCAACAGACUGUGGAGUAUUCCCCAAAGAGAGGGAUUUCGGAUGAUGUUUGUGCUUCUUGUGGUAGGCUUCAAAGGCAUUCUCUUGCAACCUGGCCAACUCAAAUGCUUUGGAUAAUGUCUUGGGGUCAUGAGUCUUCACCAUUGAUCUCAAUUCAUCUAGUAGUCUACUCAAAAAACAUGAAAUGUAAUAGUUUUCUGGAAGGUGUGGGGCUCGAAUCAUUACCUCUGAUAGUAGUUCCUCAAAUUUUUCUUGGUAGGCUAGGACUGUGGAGGAGAGUUGUAACUUAUUGAAUUCCUCCAUUGGAUCCAUUUGUCCCAAUGUUCCAAACCGCUUGCACAACUCUCCAGAGAACUCCAUCCAAUCCAUCUUGUUACCCCUAGUAGACUUGAAUCCCUGAUACCACACUUCAGCUUUACCUUCUAAAUGGAAUUCUGUCAGCUCCAUCCAUUGCUCCAUAGGAAUAUGCAGAAGCUGGAAAUACUUCUGAAGUUUUCUGAUCUACUUCCUAGGAUUGUUUCCUCUGAACACUGGUAUUUCCAGCUUAGGUGCACUAGCGUAGAAUGAACUUCUGACAUUCCUCUCUCCUUGCUCUCGAGUCACCAUAUCUGAGCUCCUGGAGUGACUUCCCUCUGGCGAUCCCAAUAUUCCUUUCUCAGGAUUUCCUCGGUUCAAACUGGAGAGCUGUUGAGAAAUGGCUACCAUGAAUGCAUCUAACUUAUUGUUCAGCUCCAUGCUUACUGCAUCCAACCUUUCCUCCAUGAUCUGUUUGUUUGCGGCCAUGGAUUCCAAAAUUCCUUGGAGUCUGCUGUCUUGCUUGCGUAGCUGUUCCUCCAUGGUCUUCAUUCGAGUUUCAUCUGCCAUUGUUAUAUUGAUUUCAGCUUCUUAGUCCAAGGACCGGAAGCUCUGAUACCACUUGUAAUGGCUGCUUCAGCAAGAAAUGAAGAGGGAGUUAGCAGAAAGGGAAAGAGGGGAGAGAGACUUGAGAGGGAAGAUAGAAAAUGCAGAAAAUGAGAGAACUGAAUUUGUUGUAUCUGAUAGCAUGCCCCUCACGUCUUACCUUUAGGCUUAUUUAUACAGGAUUCAUCCUCUAGAUCCUUCCAUUCCUUAGAUAUAACAGAAUGCUUAACAGAACGAUCACGCAUUCAUGCAUGCAGUGCAGUAACUAACUAGCCAACUAACUCUCUGAUAUGCUAACUAAUUAACUUCCAGAAAUGGAAACCAUGCCCACUACAUUAUUAGCUGUAAAUAACUAGGGAAUAUCUAAAAUAUCUAGAGGAAAUAUCUAGAAUAUCUAGGAUCAUUACAGAUGAUUUCUAACUAGUUUAUUAAUAAUAUUGACUUCUUUUUUAUAAAAAAAAAAGUAAUCAAGGAAAAAUGGGGAAUCUAACAGUCUAAUGCUUGCUUGCUUCUUUUUAUUGUUUGAAGUGAUUUUGGUGUCUUGCUAGUUUGUAAUUGAUUCAAGGUGGAUAGAAAGAAAUUGUUCAGAAAUGUGAAAUAGGGUAAGUAUCCCAGUUUGGUUUUGGAUUUUGAAAGUUAUAAAAACGAAAAUGAUGUCAGUGAUCCUCUUCAAUUUUUUAUCACCAACCAAAGCAAUGAUUUUUAAGAAUAAAAAUAACAUUUGAAAUCAAAUCACAAUCUUUAAAGAGAGGAAAUAGAUGGUUGAGGGCGAAAUGGCCAUGGUGAUGAAUUGACAUCAUGGAAAUCAAACUGUGCUUAGUAACGCCAAAACGUCACCAUAACUCACAAAUGAGUGACUAAUGUGAUGCCACAUUAAGGCUUCAAUCUACUAUUACAAGUUUUACUAUGGACUAAAUUGUGUGGUAAAUUUAGUACUACUAAUAUUAAGUUUAUGUUUAAAACAAGUAAAUUUCAAUAAUUUAGGUAACUUACUCUUUAAAUAACAAAUUUUACUAAAAUUUUAACAAAAAUUGCCACUUUUUCUUCGAAACUUACCAUUUUCUAUAUAAAACUUGCUAAUUUUUCAAGUAAAACAUAUGAUUUUAUUAGCAAAUCAUACCACUUUUUUUAGUAAAAUUCACUAAAUGGUAAGUUUUCAAAAAAAAACUUACCAUUUUUAAUGCAAAUCUUACUACUUUUUUCAAGCAAAAUGUAUGAUUUUAUUAACAAAUGUUACCAUAAUUUUCGUAAAGUUUACUAAAUCAUUAACAAAUCUUACCAUCUUUCAAGCAAAACUUAUCAUUUUCUAUACAAAACUUACUACUUUUUGGAGGCAGAACUUAUGACUUGAUUAUUAAAUCUUACCUUUAUUUAGGAAUAAUUUUGGAAACCUCCCCUGAGCUUUAUGCUAAUAUCACAUAACACUUCUAAAUUUUAAAAAUAUCACUAGCCUUCCCUUGAGUCAUAUUUUUUUGUAAGAAUUUGACCCCUAUAUCAAAAAUAAAUACUCCUAACAUAAUUUUUUAAAGGAAAAUAGAUAUAUUUUUCUUCUAGUUUUACACUUUUGUGUUGUCUUAUUUUUUAAUUUUCUGCCAAAUUGAUUUUAAGAUAAGAUUUGAAUGAGAAAGACUUAAAAUGAUUUUUUUUAAGGGGAGAAGGUGUUAAGUGCUAAAGCAAUUGCCAGAAUAGCGAUUUUUUUAUUUUUGGUUUAUCCUAGAUUUUUUCCUAAAUAGUUAUUAGAAUAACAAAGAAAUUAAAUUUAAUAUAAGAUUGGUAUAGGAAGAUCAAAGAAGGCAGAGAAGACAGAUAUUUGAAUACAAAACUAAUGGUUUUAGUAGGCAUUUCUAUGAAUUCAGAUUUAUUAUCUUCUAAUUUUUGUGGCAUAAAUAAUUAUUUGAAUAACAAUUAAAAUUUGAGAUAAGGUUGCCAUAGGAAGCUUGGGAGGGGGAGAAGGGUAUUAAAGGCAAAAAAUGAUUAUUUUAGUAGACUUUUCUUAAUAAUUUCCUUUUGUUCAAAUUUUUUUGCACAAGUAAUUGUUAAAAUAGUAAAGUUAAAUUAAUAAAUGCUUGGCAUAAUACUACAAAAUAAAGGGGUGUUUAAGUGAAAAUAGUAAUUGAUAGAGCAAUGUUUGGGCAUCUUAUGCGCUGUUAUGUGGUCAUAAUUUUGGCUACUUAUUAUGCUAAGUAUUGAGGUUUUGUUCAUGUUUGAUAUUUGUGUAAAUUGUAGGCAGUUGGUGUCAAAAAGUGAUCUCUGAAGGUGAAUUUCCAGAAGACUUUUAUUUCAGGGCGUGCCCACGCCAAAAACUGUUCAAGAGACGCCUCAAAGUCGGACCAUGGGACUAACUAACUAACUAAACUCAUCCUUAUUCCUGCGGGAUGCGGUUGGAAGUGCGUCAAAACAAAAAGGCAGCAAUUUCCAGUGGAUUUGGUAACAACCAAUAAGGAGGAUGCGGGGAAUUGGGGAAAUAUUUGGAAAAGCUACUAUUUUCUCGUGGGCCAAGAAGGGUGUAACAGACAAGUAGUUUUAGUCUUGCAGAUAGCUUUUUAGUUUCUUACGUUUUCUUUGGAGGGCUAUCUUCUGGGAACUGGCAAAAAGCCAGAUUCAUGUGGGAUUAGGAAAUUAUCUUUAGUUUUGUUAUCCCUUGGUAGAGGAUUUGCUCUCUGUUUUGUUAUUACAAUUUUCUUUAGACCUUUGCUUUACUUUUUCCGAAUGGACACAAAACAAAAAAAGAAGCAAGACAUUUUCUUUUGUUUCUUCAUCACUUCAUCUUUCCCAACUCUCUUGUGAUUGUGUGGAUGGAAUCAAUCAAAUCCCGCGAGAUUGAUAUGAUGAGGAGCGGUUAGGUUUCUCUUCUACCCAAAGGUCGACGCGAAGGCACGGUCCAUAACAUCUGUGAGAUUUAAUCGAACUUUCACUAGUUCUUCCAGUCCGUUACUAUUCGUGUGUUUCCUGGAUUAACUGUUUAUGAUUAUUUUAUUAAUUGAGUAUCAACGGCAGGACAUUUAAUUUAAUCUAAUAGCCUACUGUCACGUUAACUAAAUUGAAUCCGUAAUUAUUCGUUUAGUUGAUAACUAGUGACAACCAUCAUAAUUGGCUUUAUGUUAGGGAAACGUAAGAUCUAGUUUAAAUAAACCCUCUUAGCGUGUUUAUUGGUUAGGGUUGGGUUUUUCUAGUUUUAAUGCAACCGGAUAAUUAAAUUUAUUGGUUAGGGUUGGGUUUUUCUAGUUUUAAUGCAACCGGAUAAUUAAAUUCCUACGAUCGUACCUAAAGCUGUUUUCUAGUUAGAGAAACAGUCAACGGUCGUACCUUGGCUGUCGAAAAAGUAAGGAAGAACUGGCUGUCAGAGCUUGUUGAUAGCUAUAACUAACCUAGUGACGAAUGAAUGAAAUAUCUUUGUAUCGAUGAUCAUUUAAUUGGACCGCGCCUAAAAAGUUGAUCCUUUGGGUAGAAUUUUACUAAUUGCUAUUUUUAGUGAAUUGUACUUGGUGAGUUAGCUUUUGAAUUUUGUUUAUUCUAUUUUCUUUUUCAGUCCAUUAAAUAUUCCCCAAUUUUGUUCUAUUGACUUGGAAAGAAACAAGUUCCUACCCGUUCCCUGUGAAAUCGACCGUACUUGCCAUUGUAUGCAAAUUUAAUAUUUUUGUAGACAAAUCUUGUAUAUCGAAUCAAGCAUACUCUUUGGGGAGACAGGGUGAAUAUAGUAACCCAUUGCACAUCUAGAGUCACUGCUCCAGUACUUAGAUUUGUUCUAUAAUUAAUUAUGGUAGUAAUUAGGACUUUUUAGUAAUUAUUAUUGCACAGGUUCGACACCUGUCAAUUUUUGGCGGCAUUGCUGGGAAGAAAGUGUCGACAAACUGGUGAACAUGGGAUUCUGGCUUACAAGGCAUGCCCACGCCUUGCAAGACGCCCUUUCAAAAAAAAAAAGAAAGACAAAAAGAGAGAGAAAAGAGUUUCGACACUUGCGCAGUAGGUAUAGCAAAUGGAAAUGCCUUGCUUGUGGAAUUUCUCCAGUAAAGCGUUGAGGUUAUGUAGUAGAUAUCGGACAUUCUCUUGACAUAGUGCACCCUCUCUUUACCUCCUUAUCCCGCCUUUCACCCAAGCCCUAUUACAACCCUAUUAAAGUCCCUUUGAUUUAUGUAUUGAGUUCACUUUUGAGUGGUGGAGAUGUGAUAAAUGUGCAAGCCUAUGGUAAUGUCAUUCCGUGGUGUUGAUUUGAGCGUUCCUGGUAUCUAUACAUUUUCUUGAAAGUGAUGAGUAUUACUACUCAUACUCUUUGGAUAACUACCUAUCCAGUGUGCUCUAACUUUGGCGACAUUGUCAGGAAUGCAGGAUGCUUGUGUUAGUGUAGAUCACCGCAUAGUAGUUCCUUUCGUGAUUGAACUUCUGAGCUUCAAAAUGCUUGAGGACAAGCAUUGCCUAGGUGUGGGGGGAUUUGAUAGAGCAAUGUUUGGGCAUCUUAUGUGCUGUUAUGUGGUCAUAAUUUUGGCUAUUUAUUAUGCUAAGUACUGAGGUUUUGCUCAUAUUUGAUAUUUGUGUAAAUUGUAGGUGGUUGGUGUCAAAAAGUGAUCUCUGAAGGCGAAUUUCCAGAAGACUUUUUAUUUCAGGGCGUGCCCACGCCAGAAACUAUUGAAGAGACGCCUCAAAGUCGGACCGCGGGACUAACUAACUAACUAAACUCAUCCUUAUUCCUGCGGGAUGCGGUUGGAAGUGCGUCAAAACAAAAAGACAGUAAUUUCCAGUGGAUUUGGUAACAACCAAUAAGGAGGAUGUGGGGAAUUGGGGAAAUCUUUGGAAAAGCAGCUAUUUUCUCGUGGGCCAACGAGGGUGUAAAAGACAAGUAGUUUUAGUCUUGCAGAUAGCCUUUUAGUUUCUUACGUUUUCUUUGGAGGGCUAUCUUCGAGGAACUGGCAAAAAAGCCAGAUUCACGUGGAAUUGGGAGAUUAGCUUUAGUUUUGUUAUCCCUUGGUAGAGGAUUUGCUCUCUGUUUUGUUUUUACGAUUUUCUUUAGACCUUUGCUUUAUUUUUUUUGAACGGACAUGAAACAAAAAAAGAAGCAAGACUUUUUUUUUGUUUCUUCGUCACUUCAUCUUUCCCAACUUUCUUGUGAUUGUGUGGAUGGAAUCAAUCAAAUCCCGCGAGAUUGAUAUGAUGAGGAGCGGCUACAUUUCUCCUCUACCCAAAGUCGACGCGAAGGCGCGGUUUAUAACAUCUGUGAGAUCUAAUCGAACUUUCACUAGUUCUUCCAAUCCGUUACUAUUCGUGCAUUUUCUGGAUUAACUGUUUAUGGUUAUUUUAUUAAUUGAGUAUCAACGGUUGGAUAUUUAGUUUAAUCUAAUAGCCUACUGUCACGUUAACUAAAUUGAAUCCGUAAUUGUUCGUUUAGUUGAUAACUAGUGACAACUAUCAUAAUUGGCUUUAUGUUGGGGAAACGUAAGAUCUAGUUUAAAUAAACACUCUUAGCCUGUUUAUUGGUUAGGGUUGAAUUUUUCUAGUUUUAAUGCAACCGGAUAAUUAAAUUCCUACGGUCAUCCCUGAGGUUGUUUUCUAGUUAGAGAAGUGGUCAACGGUCGUACCUUGGUUGUCGAAAAAGUAAAGAAAAACUGGCUGUCAGAGCUUGUUGAUAGCUAUAACUAACCUAGUGACGAAUGAAUGAAAUAUCUUUGCAUCGAUGAUUAUUUAAUUGGACCGUGUCUGAAAAGUUGAUCCUUUGGAUAGAAUUUUACUAAUUGCUAUUUUUAGUUAAUUGUACUUGGUGAGUUAGCUUUUGAAUUUUUGUUUAUUCUAUUUUCAUUUUCAUUCCAUAAAUAUCCCCCAAUUUUGUUCUAUUGACUUGGAAAGAAACAACUUCCUACCCAUUCCCUGUGGAAUCGACCUUACUUGCCGUUGUAUGCAAAUUUAACACUUUUGUAGACAAAUCUAGUAUAUCGGAUCAAGCACACUCUUUGGAGACAGGGUGAAUAUAGUAACCCAUUGCACAUCUAGAGUCACUACUCCAGUACUUAGAUUUGUUCUAUAAUCAAUUAUAGUGGCAAUUAGGACUUUUUAGUAAUUAUUAUUGUACAGGCUCGACACCUGUCAAUUUUUUGCGUCGUUGCCGGGGAACGGUGUUUUGGUUAAUUUUGUUUCUUUUCAAGUUAUUUUCUUUGGAUUUGUCUGGCACUUUUCUAGUUUAUGCCUCGUUUUUCUCGUACAUGUGAAUUGAUUUUCGACCUGGAAGUAAAGAAGAUUGCGCGCCGAACUAGGAAAGAAACUAAACAGCUCAGAGAGGAGCAAUCUAGCAUUGCAUCUCAGAUGCUGGAUCCAGAGGUUGAGUCAACAGAUUCGAGUGGUGAUAAUUCAAGUGACUCAGGCCAAGAGGACAUCCCUAUGGCGAAUCCAAGAACACUAAAGGAGUUGGCUGCUCCGGAAUUGACCCAGCAGCUUUUGUGCAUUACAUUUCCAACUCUAGCUGAGAAUACCUCCUUCGAACUGAAGUCAGAGUUAAUUCAUCUCUUACCCUCAUUCCAUGGCCUCUUGAGUGAGGAACCCCAUAAACACAUCCAGGAGUUCGAUGUGGUAUGUUCUAGUAUGAAACCUCCAGGGAUUACUGAAGAGCAGAUCAAACUUAGAGCAUUCCCUUUCUCCCUCAAGGAUGUAGCGAAGGAUUGGUUAUACUACCUACCUGCAGGUAGUAUCAUAACAUGGGCCCAACUGAAAAAGAAGUUUUUGAAAAAAUUCUUCCCGGCAUCCCGGGCUGCAAGUUUGAGAAAAGAGAUAUGCAGCAUUAAGCAGUAUCCCAGGGAAUCCCUAUAUGACUAUUGGAAAAGGUUCAAUAAGUUGUGUACUAGAUGCCCACAGCAACAAAUUAGUGAACAACUAUUGAUCCAAUACUUCUAUGAGAGACUUCAGUCAUCUGAUAGAAAUAUUAUUGAUGCUGCAAGUAGGGGAGCACUGGCAAAUAAGACACCGAGAGAAGCAUUGCUGCUUAUUGAAGCAAUGGCAGAAAAUUCUCAACAGUUUGUGUUAUUCUUGGUUUUGAUGAUCACAAAAGUUCGUUGAAAUGUUUAUACAGACCAAGAAAGUGAACACUUUGAUCAGGCCUGAUGGAACAAAGUAAGCAUAUGUUCGAUUAACUCCAGACUACGAUGCUUUGGAUGUGGCAAACAAGAUUGGAAUAAUAUAAACAAAUUUAGUCAUUGUUUUGUUCCGAUCAAAGAUACUGUCUUUUAAGUAUGACAAUUUUGUUAGUCUUGGUUCCUUGAAAUGUUUUAUCUAACUUUCUUCAAAUAUAAGUGUUGUUGCCUAUCAAAGAAUCAGGUACGAAUAUGUCGUGAGCAAAAACAGGACACUCAUGUCGGACGGCCGAAAGGAAUCUGUCGGACGUCCGAAGGGAUGAAGAACAUCAGGAAGGAGUUUCUGUCGGACGCACAUCGAUCGUGUCGGACGUCCUAAAAAUUCCACAAAGCUUUGAUGACUCUCUGCCAAGACACUGUCGGACGCUCGCAAGGAAGCAUCGGACGUCCUGAAGGAUCGGACGCAUGCUUCGGACGAACAUCAAUAUCAUUGGACGUCCUAAAAAUUCCUCGAAGAUUUGAUAACUCUCUGGACGACGUUCGAACACUGAAGCUCGGACGAUAAAAUUCCAUCGAACGUCCGAACUUCAAUUUGGCUGUUUUUCGGACGAUUGGUUCGGACGAUAAUUUGAUCGUCGGACGUCCGAAAGCCCCAACGGCUAGCUGACUCUUCAUCUGCCUUCUAUCCGUUGGAAGCUUUAAUGAAGCCCAUUUCUGUUCCCCUUUAAAAACAAACUGUUCUGAACGAAGUAAGAACUUUUGCACACUUGGUCUACAAGAUCUCAAGAGAUAUUUUAGCUAGAAAAUAGUCUCCAAAGUUAGAUUUGUUCUCUAAGUGGUGUGAACUUCUGGUGAGCUUUUCUCUUGUGGUUGAAAGUUUCAUUAGUGUAGCUUUGUUGAGGGUUAUCUGAGUGUUUGUAAAACUUCUUAGCUUGACUAAGUGAGGUUUAGGGCAAGGAGGAAGUGCUCCCUCCAUUGUACAUCUAGUUGAUCAUAUUUCAUCAAAGAGAAGUUGCUCAACCUUGUGAUUGGUCUUCAAGUUUAAGGAAAGCUUGGUAGACAAUCGGUUUGAUUUCCUAUUUUACUUUUUGUUUAAUAAAAUUCUCAUUGCUUAUAUAUACUUAUUUUUCUGAUCAAUAUUGCUAUUGUCUUCUAAUCUACUUGGUUGAUCUUUACUAGAAAAGAAGGUAAAUUUUUAUUAAAGAAAAAGUGCAUAAAUUUGGUUAAGGUUUUAAUCAACCCAAUUCACCCCCCCUCUUGGUUGUCUUUGGGACUUACAAUUGGUAUCAGAGCUUGGUCUCCUUGAGAUUAAGCUCUAACGGCUUGGAGUAAAGAUGACAACCAGUCAUGCUAUGUUUGUUGAGGGGCAAUCUGUUACUAGGCCUCCCAUGUUCAGUGGCUCCAACUAUGUUAGCUGGAAAGAACGGAUGAUUAUCUUUUUGUAAUCUAUUGAUAUUGAACUAUGGUUUAUUGUGAGUGAAGGACCGCAUGAAGCUAACUUUCUUGAUGCAGAUACAGGGUUGCUUCGGCCAAAAAUGAGAGCUGAAAUGAAUGCUCAAGAUAGGACUAACCUCACAUUGAAUGCCAAGGCCAUGAAUGUUCUUUAUAGUGCCCUAGAUUCAAAUGAAUCAAUUAGAGUAAAAGGCUGCAAAUCGGCCAAAGAAAUGUGGGAUAAACUAAGAGAAAUCCAUGAGGGUGGUGACAACGUGAAAGAACAGAAAAAGGCUAUCUUGGUCACAAAAUAUGAAUCAUUUAGAAUUGAACCUCUUGAGGAUAUUGACAAAAUGUAUUGCAGGUUCACUGACUUGAUCAAAGAUCUCGAGGUGUUGGGCAAAGAGUACACCUUGGGAGAGAAGAACAGGAAAAUUCUCAAUGCGUUGGGCAAAGAAUGGGAAAAUAAAGUGACUGCAAUAGAGGAGGCUAAGGAUUUAAGUUCUGUGGCUAUUGAAUCUAUCAUUAACUCACUAACCUCUUAUGAGUUGAAACUGAAAUCUAAAGUGCAGGAGGAAGAGGAAGCUAGAGCAAAGAGAAACAUUGCUCUAAAGACUACUCAAGGUGAAGAUGAUACAGCUCACUUGGAUGAUGAAGACUCGGAUGGUGAUGAUAAUGAUCUUGCUCUCAUCACCAGAGGUUUCAAGAGAAUCUUGAAUAAAAGAAAGUUUAGAAGGGGAGGACCUAGCAAUCAAUUCCAGAAUCAGCCAUCUAUCGCAAAGUACAAAGGAAAACAGGAUUUCAACAAGAAACAGUUGGACAAAUGCUUCGAAUGUGGACAGCUUGGACACUAUGCAAAUGAAUGCCCCAUGAAGAAGAUGAAAGAUGGAAAAGCUGAUCGGAAGCCAAGAUUCAACAACUUUCAGAUUACUUGGAAUGAAUGCAACUCCGAAGGGGAAGUAGAAGAAGAAGAAGAAUCAGCUCAAAUGGCCUUCAUGGCUAUUGGAAAUAAUGAGGUAACUUCCACACAUUCUCAAUCUGAAAGUGAUGAUGAUGAAGAUGAUGAUCUUGAAUCCUUUGUUGAAAAACUGCAUAAUGCCUUGAAGGAAUCUUAUGAUAAAAACAAGCAGUUAAAACAGAAAAUGGCUUUUCUCAUUCAAGAAAAUGCAAGUCUUUUUCAACAAAAUAAACAACUAAAGACUGACAAUGAAAGUCUUGUAAGAGCCGGAUGUAAUGUUCAAAAUGAGCUUGAUAGAAAGACAAAUAUUUGUGAAAUGCUGAAGGAAAGACAUGGUGAUUUGAAAAAAAGAAUGGACAACUUGGAUGAGACUUUGAAAGCAAGAAAGCAGGAGUUUAUCAAAAGGAACAUGUCAUCUACACAUCCUACUACUUUUCAAAGAACAUUUGCACACAACAAAAAUGCACAUGGUUUCACAACAUAUAGAAGAGGUGGAUUGAGAUAUGUCAAACCAGUACAUGUUAAGGACUCUUCCAUUAUGUGUGGUUUUUGUUGUCAAAGAGGGCAUUUGAAAGGUGAUUGCUAUGUGAAAAGAAAUCUGAACAAAGGGAUGAAAUGCAUGUGGUUAGUUAGAUACAAUGCUAACUAUUGCGGACCCAAAAAUUAAAAUGGGUACCAAACACUUUCUCUUUUCAGGAAAAAUGCUCAAACAAGUCCAAAUGGUUUAUUGAUAGCGGUUGCUCAAGGCAUAUGACCGGUGAUCCCUCUUUGUUCAUAAAGCUGAAAUCAAAGUCAAGUGGAAAAGUGACAUUUGGUGAUGAUGUGAAAGCUAAGACAAUUGGAAUAGGUGAUGUUGGUAAGGAUGGUGAUACUUUUGUCCAUAAUGUGCUCUUAGUUGAUAACUUAAGUUAUAACUUGCUUAGUGUUAGUCAAUUGUGUGAUAAAGACUUGAAUGUGUUGUUUAAAAAACAUGAAUGCAUUGUGCUUGAUUCCAAAUAUAAUAUUGUGUUCAAAGGUAAGAGAUUCAACGACAUAUAUAUUGUGGUUCUUGAUAAAAUUGAUUCUUCUAGCUUAAAAUGUCUUAAAGCUUCAAAUGAAGAUCCUUGGUUGUGGCAUAGAAGACUUUGUCAUUUUAACAUGAAUUUACUAAAGGAAAUUUCGAAAAAGGAGUUGGUUAGAGGCUUGCCAAAAAUCAGUUUUGAUAAGGACAAAAUAUGUGAUGCAUGUCAAUUUGGGAAGCAAACAAAAAAUUCCUUUAAACCUAAGAUGUGUGUAUCUACUUCUAAACCUUUGGAACUCUUGCAUCUUGAUUUAUUUGGUCCCACUCAAAUUACUAGCUUGGGAGGUAAAAGAUAUUGUUUUGUAAUUGUUGAUGAUUAUUCUAGAUACACUUGGGUGAUAUUUCUUGCUCAUAAAGAUGAUGCCUUCAAGAAUUUUACUUCAUUGUUUGCUAAAAUGCAAAAUCUGCUUGGGUUAAAAAUUGUUAGGAUUAGAAGUGAUAAUGGGACGGAAUUCAAGUAUUGUGGUUUUCCAGAAUUUUGUGAUCAUAAUGGUAUAACACAUGAGUUCUCUAUUGCAAGGACUCCACAGCAAAAUGGUGUUGUAGAAAGGAAAAACAGGACUCUUCAAGAGGCUGCUAGAACUAUGUUGAAUGAAUGUAGGUUGCCUAAAUAUCUUUGGGCUGAAGCGGUAAACACUGCAUGUUAUGUGAUGAAUAGAAUACUCUUGAGACCUAUUUUAAAGAAAACUCCUUAUGAGCUGAUUUUUGAUAAGAAACCUACGGUUGGUUAUUUCAAAGUAUUUGGUUGUAAAUGCUUUAUUUUGAAUCUAAAGGAACAUCUUGGUAAGUUUGAUAAAAAAUCUGAUGUAGGAAUAUUUUUGGGGUAUUGUGAGAAUAAAAGACGAUAUAGAGUUUUUAAUAGAAGGACUCUUGUGAUUGAAGAAGCUAUACAUAUAACAUUUGAUGAAACCAAUGAUGAUAAUUCCAAAAGUUCGUGUGAGGAUGAUGAUGUAGGUGUUCGAGAAGCAAUGAAAAACCUAUCAAUUGGAAAUGAAGGAAGCUCUAAACCAGCAGCAACUGAAAUGGAAAAUGAAGUUCAUAAUGAUCAAGAAGAGGAAGAUGAAGACAAAAAUGAUGAUCCACUCAAAGAUCUUCCCAAGGCUUGGAAAUUCAGCCAAAAUCAUCCAAAAGAGCUUAUAAUUGGUGAUCCAUCCGAGAAGGUAAACACUAGUUCCUCAUCUAGAAAAUUGAUUGACAAUUUUGCUUUAGUUUCUCUUUUUGAACCCAAAAAUAUCAAUGAUGCUUUAAAGGAUGAAAACUGGAUUUUGGCAAUGCAAGAGGAACUUAAUCAAUUUGAGAGAAAUGAAGUUUGGACACUUGUUAAUAGACCUCAAAAUCAACCUAUCAUUGGCACAAAGUGGAUUUUUAGAAAUAAGUUGGAUGAUAAAGGUGUUGUUGUAAGAAAUAAAGCCAGAUUAGUUGCUAAAGGAUAUGCACAAGAAGAAGGAAUUGAUUUUGAUGAAACAUUUGCUCCCGUAGCAAGAUUAGAAUCUAUUAGAAUGCUUCUUGCUUUUGCAUGCUUUAAAGGCUUCAAAUUGUUUCAAAUGGAUGUUAAAAGUGCUUUUUUAAAUGGUUUUAUUGAUCAAGAAGUAUAUGUGGAUCAACCCCCCGGUUUUGAAAAUACAAAAUUUCCAAGUCAUGUGUUUAAACUAUCUAAAGCUUUAUAUGGUCUAAAACAGGCUCCAAGAGCUUGGUAUGAAAGACUAAGUGGUUUUUUGAUUGAAAAUGGUUUCAAAAGGGGUGUUGUGGACACCACACUUUUUACUAAGCAAGUGUUGAAUGACCUUCUUAUUGUGCAAAUAUAUGUUGAUGAUAUUAUUUUUGGUGCUACUAAUGAGUAUCUAUGUAAGGAGUUUUCCACCACUAUGCAAAGUGAAUUUGAAAUGAGUAUGAUGGGAGAAUUAAAUUUCUUCCUUGGACUUCAAAUACAUCAAGCUCUUGAGGGAAUUUUUAUAAAUCAAGCAAAAUAUACCAAGGAAUUGUUGAAAAGGUUUGGCAUGGAGGACUCAAAGCAAGUUGGAACUCCAAUGUGCACUUCUACAAAGCUUGACAAAGAUGAAGAAGGUAAUCAUGUGGAUGAAAAGCAUUAUAGAGGUAUGAUCGGAAGCCUACUCUAUUUAACCGCAAGUAGACCUGAUAUUAUGUUUGCUGUUUGCUUGUGUGCUAGAUUUCAAUCUUGUCCAAAAGAAUCACAUUUGAAUGCUGUAAAAAGGAUUUUUAGGUAUUUGAAAGGUACAUUAGACUAUGGUCUUUGGUAUGCUAGAUCUAAUGAGUUUGCACUAUAUGCUUAUUCGGAUGCUGAUUUUGGAGGUUGUCGUGUGGAUAGAAAGAGUACUAGUGGAACUUGUCAUUUUCUUGGAAAUUGUUUAGUCUCUUGGUUUAGCAAGAAACAAUGUGCAAUCUCUUUGUCUACAACCGAAGCGGAAUAUAUUGCCGCUAGUGCAUGUUGUGCUCAACAUUUAUGGAUGAAGCACACCUUGAAUGAUUUUUGAUUGUUGUAUGACUGCAUGCCUGUAUUCUGUGAUAAUACUAGUACUAUAAAUUUGACCAAAAAUCCUAUUCAUCAUUCUACGACAAAGCACAUAGAUAUAAAGCAUCACUUUAUUCGUGAUCUUGUUCAAAAAGGUGAAAUAUGUGUAAAUUAUGUUUGUUCUAAAGAUCAAUUUACGGAUAUUUUUACAAAAGCUUUGCCAUUAGAUCAGUUCAUUCAUCUAAGAUCAAAAUUAGGAAUAAUCGAAAAAUCAUCUUAAUUUUUGGGUCUUCGGACGUCCGAAAGAAGAUGAACGGACGUCCGAUGAUGUUCUUCAGCCAUUUUCCAGAUUGCGCCUGUUCGGACGCAGCUGUCGGACGCACAACGUCGUUCGGCCGUCCGACAGUGCAACGGAUCAAUUUUUUAAAUAACUUUCUUUCUCAUUUGCUUCAGACUCUUCCUAUUCUAUUUCCUCUCGGACGAAAACUCUCUCUUCCCUCACUCUCAAAUUCGUACCAUUUUGAAGCUCUCAUUCUCAAAUUGACUCAAACAAAACUUUUUCUGACUGAUUGCGAUUCAUUUCUCCUGAUCAUUUUCCCGAAUCGCAUAACAUUUCACAAAUUCCCAAAUUUCCUUCAAAACCCUACUUUCUCAUAACCGCUCUGCCAAAUCUUGUUUAAGGCCUUUUUGUCCCAAAAUUUCUGUGCAAAUCACUUCCCUACCACUGUGUGCAUCAUUUGCAUUCUUCAUUCCACACAUUUCACACAAUGGUGAAUCUGAGAGGAGGAAAGGUUACUGCCGGACGCAAGCAUCCACUCAGGGAUGAGGAUGAGGAUCUUCCUACGGUCAAACGUUCAUCCAAACGCUUCAAGAGAGGAGCCAUAAAGGGUCAAAUGUCACGGCCUACUCCUCAACCCACCUCUCAGCCUGAAUCUGGACAGGGAACCUCUGCUCAACCGCCUCCAAAAUCAGCCCCUCCCCCUACAUUCUUUGAUGAUACAGCAAGAGACAAACACUCCUUGAUAUCCCAGAAAGGUGUCAUCCCUCAACGUACUGUAAACCCUUCUGAAUUUCGUCUCAUAGGUUUAGAAACCAUUCUGAAGUUAUUUGCUUUUCAGAAAUGGUCGCAUAUCAUUUCUAUGCCAAAUGUUUACUAUCCUGAAAUGCUGCAUCAAUUUUUUGCUAAUCUUAGAAAAGGGUCUGACCAAACUGAAAUCUUUUCCAGGGUUAAUGGGGUAGACUUAAUCUUUGACUCUGAAAUUGUGAAUUCCAUUUUAAAUACUACCAUUGAACGUGGGUGCAAGGAUAAAAUUACAAAUUUCUUUUCCUAUGAAGAGCACCCUAAUGCUGAUAAUCAUUUUGAUGGGGCUAAAAUGAUGACCUAUUUUAAAAGAAGUUUUUCCUCCCCUGCUGAUGCUAAACUGAAUGAUCUUGCCCCUGUGAAUUUAAUUGCUUUUUCUAUCAUUUCAAACCUGCUUGUGCCUACUGAUGGCCAUAGAACUGAUGCAAACAAAAUGGAGUUGUACCUCUUUUAUUAUUUUCGAGAAAAAAUUUGGAUUGAUUUUGGUUUUGUCAUGUGCAAGUUUUUACUUCGCUAUACCACUGACUCUCGCAGAAAACUAUCCUAUGGAAAGUUUCUUCAAAAGAUUUUUGAGUUUUUCAAAGUUCCAAUUUUAGGUGUUUGUCCCAAAGAAGCAUCUUCUUAUGCCUUUACCAAAGGAUACUUUGAAAGGAAAAAUCUUGUUUUUAAAGAUAAUAUGUGGUCUUAUAAAGAGGCAUCGUCCAGUGAACGUAGGUCUAAGGCUGCACAUGAUCCUUCAUCUAUUCCACUCACUCCCAUUCAUCCUAGGAAAUCUGCCACUAAGGCAUCUUCCUCCUCCAAUGAUGGAGUGAUUGAGCUUCUUCAUGAACUCAAACAGCAUGUUCUUCUUCUAGAACAUGGCCUAAUGCUCACCAUGUCCUCUGAGCAACAAACUGCCUUUCUAGACAAAAAGAACCAUCUCUUUCCCCCACCUGUGGUUGAGGAAGUGUCCCAUGACAAAGAGCCACACCCCACUGAUCCAAGCUCAUCAAUUCCAGACCCUGGUUCAUCAACUCCUGUGACUCCUCAUGGUCCUUCCACAGCAGAUAAAGGCAAGGAACCAGUUGAAGUGGAUGCUGAAGCUGAUGAAGAAACUGAAGAGGAGGACCUCUCCCAAUAUCAGCUCUCUCGAAGAACUCCUGGAUCCACACAGUUCACUACUUAGGACAUUUGCAUUCUGUUUGUCUAUUUUAUGUGUUUGUAAUGGUCAACAUUUGUAACCUUCUUUUAAUGUUUCUCUUGUUGGUACUGUAUGUUUAUGUUAAGUAUUUUGAAUGAUGACUGUGUUUAUGGAUGUUUAAGUAUUUUGGUGCAAUGAAUUUGGUUUUCAUUGAUGAAUGUGUUUGUGGAUGUGUUGAUGUGAUUGGUUGCCCUUUUGUGAUGACAAAAAGGGGGAGAGGACUGGAUUGAUGAUUGAUGAUUGGUGUUGAGGACUGGAUUGAUUGAUGAUUGAUGAUUGGUAUUGAUUGAUGAUUGAUGAUUGGUGAUGUUGGAUAUGUUGGAUUGAUUGUUUAAAUUUGGAUUGGCUGAUAUGCUUAAUUGUCAUAUUUUUAGAAAAUUGUUUAACUCGGAUGGGCAGCCAAGUGAGGGGGAGCUUUUUCAAAAUUUUCAAAAUUUUAUGAUUCACUAAAUAAGGGGGAGUUCGUGAGAAAGGGGGAGCUUAUAAUGCAAUCAUCAAAUUUCAUUUCAAACUUUUGUUUUGUCAUCAUCAAAAAGGGGGAGAAUGUUAUUCUUGAUUUUGAUGAUCACAAAAGUUCGUUGAAAUGUUUAUACAGACCAAGAAAGUGAACACUUUGAUCAGGCCUGAUGGAACAAAGUAAGCAUAUGUUCGAUUAACUCCAGACUACGAUGCUUUGGAUGUGGCAAACAAGAUUGGAAUAAUAUAAACAAAUUUAGUCAUUGUUUUGUUCCGAUCAAAGAUACUGUCUUUUAAGUAUGACAAUUUUGUUAGUCUUGGUUCCUUGAAAUGUUUUAUCUAACUUUCUUCAAAUAUAAGUGUUGUUGCCUAUCAAAGAAUCAGGUACGAAUAUGUCGUGAGAAAAAACAGGACACUCAUGUCGGACGGCCGAAAGGAAUCUGUCGGACGUCCGAAGGGAUGAAGAACAUCAGGAAGGAGUUUCUGUCGGACGCACAUCGAUCGUGUCGGACGUCCUAAAAAUUCCACAAAGCUUUGAUGACUCUCUGCCAAGACACUGUCGGACGCUCGCAAGGAAGCAUCGGACGUCCUGAAGGAUCGGACGCAUGCUUCGGACGAACAUCAAUAUCAUCGGACGUCCUAAAAAUUCCUCGAAGAUUUCAUAACUCUCUGGACGACGUUCGGACACUGAAGCUCGGACGAUAAAAUUCCAUCGGACGUCCGAACUUCAAUUUGGCUGUUUUUCGGACGAUUGGUUCGGACGAUAAUUUGAUCGUCGGACGUCCGAAAGCCCCAACGGCUAGCUGACUCUUCAUCUGCCUUCUAUCCGUUGGAAGCUUUAAUGAAGCCCAUUUCUGUUCCCCUUUAAAAACAAACUGUUCUGAACGAAGUAAGAACUUUUGCACACUUGGUCUACAAGAUCUCAAGAGAUAUUUUAGCUAGAAAAUAGUCUCCAAAGUUAGAUUUGUUCUCUAAGUGGUGUGAACUUCUGGUGAGCUUUUCUCUUGUGGUUGAAAGUUUCAUUAGUGUAGCUUUGUUGAGGGUUAUCUGAGUGUUUGUAAAACUUCUUAGCUUGACUAAGUGAGGCUUAGGGCAAGGAGGAAGUGCUCCCUCCAUUGUACAUCUAGUUGAUCAUAUUUCAUCAAAGAGAAGUUGCUCAACCUUGUGAUUGGUCUUCAAGUUUGAGGAAAGCUUGGUAGACAAUCGGUUUGAUUUCCUAUUUUACUUUUUGUUUAAUAAAAUUCUCAUUUCUUAUAUAUACUUGUUUUUCUGAUCAAUAUUGCUAUUGUCUUCUAAUCUACUUGGUUGAUCUUUACUAGAAAAGAAGGUAAAUUUUUAUUAAAGAAAAAGUGCAUAAAUUUGGUUAAGGUUUUAAUCAACCCAAUUCACCCCCCCUCUUGGUUGUCUUUGGGACUUACAGUUUGGCUCCCGCGAGAGUAACCCUACCCAUAGGGUUAACGAGGUAAAGACGUCGUCCAUUCAGCAGCAGCUAUCGGAGUUAACAUCUUUUGCUCAGCAGUUAGCUGUGGGGAAUAUGCAUCAAGCAAAGGUCUGUGGAAUUUGCACAAACAUGGGCCACCCCACUGACUUAUGCCCUAUUUUGCUAGAGGAUGGGGCUGAACUAGUAAACAUGGUUGGGGGCGUGCCCACGCCCCGUAGGUAGUACGAUCUAUACUCGAACACGUACAAUUCGAGUUGGAGAGACCACCCCAACUUCAACUAUGGGAACAGGCCACAGAAGUCAUUCUCAAAUCGUCCAGCAACCAUGGCAACCAAAGCUUCAACCUUCGUCCUCCAAUUCAGGAGGCUCUUUGGAGGAUAUUGUCAAGAGCCUGGCCACGAGUACUACUCAGCUCCAGCAAGAAACUAGAUCCUUGGUCACGAGUACUGCUCAAUUCCAUCAGGAAACUAGAUUAGGCAUGAAAAAUCUGGAGACUCAAAUAAGUCGUAUGGCAACUGCAAUUAAUCGGUUAGAGUCUCAAGUUUUUGAAAAAUUGCCAUCGCAACCCGAGGUAAAUUCCAAGAAUGUAAGUGCCUUGACAUUGAGGAAUGGCAAGGAAGUGGAGGGGCUUAAGGCCACGAACCUAAAGAGUAAAAGUGAAGAAGAGAUCGAAAAGGAGAUUGAAGAAGAAGGACGCAUUCGUGGAGACCCUAAGGUAACUCUUACUCCAUCAAUUCCCAUUGAAUCUAAUUUACCUCCUUUUCCAUACAGGUUGGAAAAGACAAAGAAGGCGGAGAUGGAAAAAGAAAUCCUAGACGUAUUCUGAAAAGUAGAGAUCAACAUUCCCUUGUUGGAUGCAGUUAAGCAGGUACCAAAGUACGCAAAUUUUUUUAAGAAUUUGUGCACCUAUAAGAGGAAGUUGAGACGGGACAAAAGAGCAGCAGUGGGAGAAAAUGUAUCAGCUAUACUCCAAAGAAAACUCCCACCCAAGUGUGGAGAUCCAGGUAUGUUCAUGAUCCCAUGCAAAAUAGGAAAUACACCGAUUAGAAAAAUAAUGUUGGAUUUAGGGGCAUCAAUCAACGUAAUGCCAAGCACCAUUUAUGUUUCUUUAAAUCUUGGGCCACUAAAAGAAACAGCCAUCAUAAUCCAACUAACUGACCGCACCAAUGCUUAUCCAGAGAGGCUAGUUGAGGAUGUCUUGGUUCAGGUAAAUGAGUUAGUUUUUCCAACAGAUUUUUAUAUCUUAGGUAUGGGAGAUGAAAAAUUGUUAAAUCCGUCACCUAUUUUGUUAGGUAGGCCAUUUCUUAGCACUGCUAGGACUACAAUAAAUGUGAAUGAGAGUACUUUAUCAAUGGAGUUUGAUGGCGAAAUUAUAAAUUUCAAUAUUUUUGAGGUGAUGAAGUAUCCGGAGGAAUCUAACUCAGUCUUUGCAUUGAGUGUUAUUGAACCUAUUGUAUAGGAAACUUUCGAAUUAGACUGUGAAGACGCAUUGGAAGUGGCCUUUAUCAAGCAUCUUGAAAUGGAUGUAACUCUUAAUGUGGACAUGAGGGAUGAGUUGCACCAUACAGUUGAAGCAUUACAUUCACUUCCAACCAUUCCUUCGAGGUAUGAGCUUACCUCUCUUUUUGUGCCAAAAACUCAGACAAAGUUGUUGCCUUCAGUUGCACAGGCACCGGAGUUAGAGCUUAAGACUCUCCCGAAACAUUUAAAGUACGCAUUCCUGAGAGACUAAGAGACGCUUCCGGUGAACAUUUCUGCACACUUAUCUCCAAGUCAAGAGAGCAAACUGGUGCGAACCCUUAGGGAUCAUAAGGAAGCGAUUGGGUGGAGUAUAGCAGAUAUCAAAGGAAUAACUCCGUUCUUAUGCAUGCACCAGAUACGGCUCGAAGAUGAUGCGAAACCGGUAAAACAGGCGCAGCGGAAAUUGAAUUCGCUAAUGAUGGAAGUAGUGAAAAAGGAGAUACUUAAAGUCCUGGAAAUAGGAAUUAUCUUUGCUAUCUUGGACAGUCCUUGGGUGAGUCCCGUUCAAAUAGUCCCAAAAAAAAUAGGAGUGACUGUAGAGGAAAACCAGGAGGGUGAGAUGGUUCCAGUCAGGAAAGCUACAGGUUGGCGCCAGUGCAUUGACUACCGGAGACUAAACGCUGUGAUGAAAAAGAACCAUUUUUGAUGUGAAACCCCGGUCUAGACAACCAAAACACCAUGGCUUAGGCAGCGGAAAUUUGACCCAACUAAUCCCUAGAAGUCACGAACAAUUUUGAUAUUAUCUCAACCCGUAACUACUCGAAUUAACGAACCAAAUUGGAGGUAGUAGAACGCCACAAUCAAGGAGAUACUCGAUUGAUAAGUUCGGGUGAAUAACUUGAGAAGAUUCUCAAGUAUUCAAAGGCAACUCUCUUGCCAAAGAGAAAGUGAAAACUCACUAAUUGUAUUUAAUAGCCAAAAACUCGUCCCAAAACAAAGAGGAAGUGAGGCAAUUUAUAGCCCUUACAAGCAUUAACCCUAAUCCAAAAGUUGACCAAACUACCCUACAUACUUAAGAAAGAUUUUGGGCCUUACUUACUAACAAAUGGGCCGCAAUUAAACUAUCUUAAUUACCUAGAUUUUUAAAACAAGAAAUAACCAAAAUCAACGAGAAAAAUCAAAUAAUCCUACUAAACUCAAGCAUUCGUGCAAUCAACUAGUCUUCACUUGAAUCUUCCAAUUCCCCGUGUGCUUGAAUGGGCCUUGGUCUUUAUAUUCUCAUCAUUCCCCUCCUCUUAAAAGCAAUUUGCCCACAAAUUGAAGCACGAAUGGUGACAAGACGAGUUACAUGCCUUCGACUCAAUCUUGUUAUGAUGGCUACAGAUGGCAUCCAAUGCAAAACCCAUGUGCUAAGUUGGAAAAUAACCCUCGUCGAACCUUGAAUCUCACAGACCAUCUUCAAUGUAUGCUCAACUUUAUUGUUUGUGGUCAUGAGAUAAGGGUCCUCAAAGUGGUAUGAAGUGUAUCCCGUGAAAUCGAACUCCGGCUCGAACACACUUGCAAGGUACCAAGGCGGAUUUGGUGAUGUUGGAGCUUCAUGUGGACUAAGAGCAAGACGAAAAGCAUAAUGGUCAUUGAGGUACUUGUUCUUUAAACGAACCCUUGGUACACAACCAUUCCUAAAAUAUGGAGUGUUCCCUUCAAGAUGAGCUCGAAUCAACUCCCCUUUGGUGUGGACUGAUUUAAGUUGACAUUGUUCCAUGAAUGGAUACCAAGGGGGUUUAACUCUUGGAGUACCAACUCCAUGGAGGCUUGCAACGUCUACAAUUGAUUUUGGAAUGGAACACACCAAGAUCAGCUCAACUUGCCUUUGCUUGAUCUGUAUAAAAGAAGAAACACUAAACAAAGCAAAGGUAAGUUUGUUAAGAAAAUAAUAGGCCUUCACCGGGUUGCUCAAGAUCAGCCCACUUUCUCUUCUUUCUUCCUUUUUACCACCAAUCUCAUUAGAUUUUUCCAUCUCUUUUCCUAGUUCAACAGCUGACCCUUUUAUCUCAUUACUUUCAACUUCCUCGGGUUUUACCUCUGCAGGCACAAUUCCCUCAUCUAGCUUUUUCUCCAUUCUAUAACGCUCAAACUCACUUUUCAUGCAUGCUAGAUCAAUACAAAGUUGGUCAUAAGUAAGUGAUACAAGUGCAAGACGACGACUAUUAAAUAAGAAGGAAUACUUAUUAGUAUGUCCAUCAAUUUUAACUUCUCGCCUCGACAUCCAUGCUUUGCCCAACAACACAUGUGUCACUUGAAUUGGGACUACAUCACACAACACCUCAUCCACAUAUUUGCUGAUUUGAAUAGGUACAAGUGUGUGCUUAGUAACCCAAACAUCCCUAUGAGUGCUCGUCAACUUGUAAGGUUGAAGAUGAUCAAUGGUUGGAAGAUUUAAUUUCUCAACCAUGAUAGCACUUGCAAGAUUGACUUCACAACUACCAUCAAUGGCCAAGCUACAAAUUUUAUCUUUGACACCGCAACGAGUAUAAAACCAACCAAGCAACUGAGAUUUGACGAGGUCCAAUUGCUCAUCUACACCACGUAAUGCCACUUCUUUGACUCCCUUAGGAUCAGGAAGACAAUGUUGUGGGCUAGCUUUUAUGUGUCUUAUACUCGCCAUGACGUAUGAGGGAACCUGCAAAAAGUUAGCAACGAAACCGAAGAUAUUGCCUUUCACGCUCCCUUACGUGUAUCCACUCGCACUCGUGUAUAUGGAUGUCACUCUAAUGGACUUACCAAAUACCUUUACCUGUUGGGUUAGGUAGUUGAGAAAUGCUGCUCAAGUCCAACAACCGUUACCAACCUUUCCACAAGUGUAAUCACAAGAAUGUAGGAGAAAAUGUAUGAAAGUGUUCCUAGAAUCUAGGAAGAGAAUAUAGGAGAGUUUCAUAAAGUGGAUGAGAGAAUAUAGGAAAGGUCCUAAAAAUGGAUGAGAGAAUUUUAGGAGAGUUUCCUAAAAAAUGGAUGAGAGAAUUUAGGAAAGUUUCCAAAAAAAUGGAUGAGAGAGUUUAGGAAAAUUUCCUAAAAAGGUAGGAGAGAGAGUGUCCAAGUGAGUACAAAGAGUUAUCCAAGUGCUUUACUUAGUUUCCUAAUUGAUUUUGGAAACAAGUUAGUUUUUGGAAACCUUUUGAAAAUCCUCUUCCUCUUGAACAACUUUUGGUAACCUUCUUGAAACAACUUUUGGUAACCUUCUUGAAACAACUUUUGGUAACUUCCAAAUUCUACUCCAAGAAAGAUUGCACAAAUCAGAUUUGGUUCUCUAUUCAAAACAAUUCGGUUGCCCCUUUCUUUCCUUGCCUUUUUUUUUUUCUCUUGCCAACCAAUUCCUCUUUUCUUUCUUCUUUUUUUUUGUCUUUUUUUGACUACAACUAUCAACCACGACACAAAACAAGGAAGUCCACAAAUAAUAACAACCAAGAACUCCAAGAUCUUUCAAGAACGUUCAAGGAAGUUGUCAGGAACUUCAGAAAUUUCAAGAUUGUGGUCAAGAAUUCAAGAAGCUCAAGAUUAUUGUAAGUUCUCUUCACGAUUCACAAAAUUCCAACAAUUUUUGCCAAAAUUCAGAUUUGAAAACCAAGUAAACAAGUUGGAUAACACAAACAACAAGGCUGGACAGAUUUGUAUUCGGAUGAACAGAACCCUAUGAACAGUAUCAGUGAACAGUGUCGGUGAACAGUAACGAUGAACAGUAAUAUUUUUUUUUUUUUUUUGGUUCUGAACAAACGAACAGAUUGGGAUAAACACAUAUGACUCGAAAUAAACGAAAACAAAAAAAAAGAUAUAACCUGGUGGUUGUCAACUAGCUCUGGUACCAACUGAUGUGAAACCCCGAUCUAGACAACCAAAACACCAUGGCUUAGGCAGCGAAAAUUUGACCCAACUAAUCCCUAGAAGUCACGAACAAUUUUGAUAUUAUCUCAACCCGUAACUACUCGAAUUAACGAACCAAAUUGGAGGUAGUAGAACGCCACAAUCAAGGAGAUACUCGAUUGAUAAGUUCGGGUGAAUAACUUGAGAAGAUUCUCAAGUAUUCAAAGGCAACUCUCUUGCCAAAGAGAAAGUGAAAACUCACUAAUUGUAUUUAAUAGCCAAAAACUCGUCCCAAAACAAAGAGGAAGUGAGGCUAUUUAUAGCCCUUACAAGCAUUAACCCUAAUCCAAAAGUUGACCAAACUACCCUACAUACUCAAGAAAGAUUUUGGGCCUUACUUACUAACAAAUGGGCCGCAAUUAAACUAUCUUAAUUACCUAGAUUUUUAAAACGAGAAAUAACCAAAAUCAACGAGGAAAAUCAAAUAAUCCUACUAAACUCAAGCAUUCGUGCAAUCAACUAGUCUUCACUUGAAUCUUUCAAUUCCCCGUGUGCUUGAAUGGGCAUUGGUCUUUAUAUUCUCAUCAAUUUUCCUCUCCCUUUUAUUGACCAGAUGAUAGAAAGAUUGGCUGGUCGUGUUUACUAUUAUUUUUUGGAUAAUUUUUCAGGGUACUUCAGAUCUCGAUAGCACCGGAGGACCAGGAAAAGACCACAUUCACCUGCCCAUUUGGUACUUUUGCGUACCGUAGGAUGCCUUUCGAUCUUUGCAAUGCUCCAACAACUUUUCAAAGGUACAUGGUAAGUAUUUUCUCCGAAUAUGUAAAAAGAUUAUUGAUGUGUUCAUGAAUGAUUUUAGUGUAUACGGGGAUAGCUUUGAUGAAUGUUUCGAUAAUUUAGCUGUAAUUUUGAAAAUGUGCAUAGAGACGAACUUAGUUCUUAAUUGGAAAAAAUGCGCUUUAUGGUAGAGUAUGGUAUUGUCUUAGGGCACGUUGUGUCGGCUAAGGGAAUAGAGGUAGAUAAAGCAAAAAUAGAUCUAAUUUCUACUUUGCCUUACCCUGUAUGUGUACGGGAAGUACGUUUCUUUUUGGGCCAUACAGGAUUUUAUAGGAGGUUCAUCAAGGAUUUCUCAAAGAUUGGAGCACCCCUAUUCGAGUUGCUGCAAAAGGACGUGACAUUCGAUUUCACCAAUGAAUAUAAGGUGGCUUUUGAUAAAUUAAAGGAGUCGUUGACAUCGCCGCCCGUCAUUCAACCCCCAGAUUGGAGCCUACCGUUUGAAAUAAUGUGCGAUGCGAGUGAUUAUGAGGUAGAAGCAGUGUUGGGCCAAAGGAUUGGCAAGGUGGCGCAUGCAAUUUACUAUGCGUCGAAAGCAUUGAGUGGAGCUCAACUUAACUACUCCACGACGGAGAAAGAAUUACUAGCCGUUGUUUUUGCACUAGAAAAAUUUAGGUCAUAUUUAUUAGGUGCAUGUAGACACCAAAAAUUUCAUCGAUUCAGUUUUAGCUUUAUUCAUUCAAUUUUGACUUCCUUUGAUUCAAUUUUUAGUUUUAUUAUUAUUAUUUAUUCUUGUCUCAUAUUUAUUAUUUUUAAUUGAUUGGAGGUUGCAAAUGGUAAUUGAUGUUCAUUCUUAUUUUAAAUGCAUUAAAAUUCAUCAUUUUCUUUUUAAAGCAAUUUUACACUAAAUUUUAGGAAAAUCCCGAAUAAAGAUCCAUUUUAUCUUUUUAAAAUUUGAUUUUUUCUUGCUAAGGCAUUUUGCAAGGUAAUUUUUAAAAAUUAAGCAUGUUAAACAAGUGUGUCAAUUGCAUGUUGAACAAGUGUGCAAAUAAGCAUUAGACAAGUGGUUGAGGAAUGGUAGGACAAGUGUAUAGGGGGUAGCUGUCAAGGACACUUGGGGGGUUUUUUGGGGGGCAUCGGAAAAAAAAGGAAGAAAAAACCCUCGAAGAGGCUUGAAAACAGGGGGAAGAGAAAAGAGCUAAAAACAGGGAGGGGGCUUCGGAGGAAAGGGGAGAGGAAAAACGAAAUCGAAAAAGGAGGGGAGAGUAGGGAAAAAUCUGGGGAGAGUCUGUGGGCUAAGAAAAACAGCGGAGAGAUAGCGGAAAAAAAGGAGAAAAAGAACGGCUGAGGGGAAGGCUAAAAAUCUGAAAAGAGAAGAAGGCUUCGGCUGGGAGAAGCUGGAGUGGAAAAAAUAGAAAAAGGGAGAACGGCUGCGGUUGAGGGCCGAGAGAGUGGAGAGCCGAGGAGGAAAAAUCAGAAAAGGAGGAGAAAAAUCAAGGGCGGCGGAUGAAGGGAAAAGCUGGGAAAAUUAGAAACAGAGAAAGAGAGGAUAGCAGCGGACAAAGAGCUUGCGACUGAGGAAGCAGAGCAGCUGGAACUGCCGUUCGCGGGAAGCUGUUGCCGCCCUCUUCCGUCACGCGCGACGCCAGCUUCAUCGCUUCUUCCAUCAUAGUUCAAGCUCCGCCCUCUGCCGGCACAAACAAGUGGCCAACCGCCCGCCCAAGCAACCAAAUCCGAGAUCAGCACCCGCAAAAUUUUACCAAGAAACAAACGGUAAGCCACCAUCAUCCUUCAAAUUUCAGUUUUCAUGUAAGUUUUCGAAGCGUGUUUUAUUUUUCACGUUGUGGCUUGUAGCCAUUUCUCUGUUGAAUUAUUCACUAAUUGGAAGUAUGUAUGCUUUGAAUGUCGAUUGGACUGGAGUUUUCUUGCAUUUGAUGAAAUUUUGGGUGCUGAUUCAUGUCAAUUGAGCGAGAAAUUGGUGAAGUUUUUUAAUGGCUGUUUGUUGUUCGACAGAAUGCUUCAAUGAAAGUUCGGCCUGAAGAAUGGAUUAAUUUCUGAUUUAUAUACGUUCGACUGUUUCAUGCUUGUCAAAAUAAUUGAUUCGAAUGGGUUUGUUUGGGCGUCCGUUUGUUUUGGCAAUCUGCUCCGCUUCUCGUUUGUUUGGUGUUCCUCUUGUAUGGAUUUAAAUUCAUGACAUAAAAUGGCGUGCGAGGGGAUUCAUGUGAGAGUCAUUUGUUUUGCUUUUGUUUUGUUUUGUUGAUUGGAGUCCGAAGUUGAAUUUUCUGGUUGCAAAGAGGAAUGAAAUAGCAGCGAACGUUGAGCCAAUUUGGGAAGAAGAGGAUUGCUUGAUUAAAUUCAUGAUUCCAGUCCCUCAAUUUCCCUUUCCAUUAUGAUUUAACCCCAGAAUUUUAGGACUUCAUAAUUUUUCCUCCAACACCUUCAUAAGUCCUUCAAUUAGGUCCCUGCUCUUGUUGCAUUUUAACCCCUCAGCUUCCCCUUGUUCUGAUAUGACCCGAAAAGUGGAAAAAGUGCGUUUGUUUCUCCCUUCUAGAUUUAAAUCAUCUUCUAAUAAGCAUGAAUAGUCCUUUUACUAGAUUAAUUCUUGUUUGUAGGUUCUAAUUGUGGUUCAAUAAUUUAUUUUGAUUUUAUCAUGUUGGGUUUAAUGAAACAAGUGCCUUGGGCUAAGAGGUUAUUUUUGUUUGGGUUUAAGAAAGUCGUUUUAGUUUAUUUUGUUUGGUUUUUUGGUUCGGGCUAGAGGGUCAAGGCCCAUCUAUUUGGUUGGCUAAUUUUUGGGCCAGGAUAUUAUACUAGCCCACUUGUUUUCCUUGGACUUUCGAUUGGGCCAAGUUAUCUUGGCCCAAGAAAGGUGAAGAUGGCCCAUUCCCUUUUUGUUUUGGAUUUUCGGUUGGGCUUGUAAGGCUUUGGCCCAAACAAAUAAAGGAAAUGGCCCAAUGGCUUGGUCCAUUAAGAAACCAGAAAACGAUUUUGCAAAUCAGUCCCUGAAUUUCUCCCUAAUUGUAUUGUGGCCCUGGACAUUUUCAACUUCUUUCAAUUCGGUCCUUGCUUUAAUUGCAAAUAGGUCCCUGAACUUUAUUUUUCUUUAAUUUUGACCUCCAAACUUUGUCAAUCUUUGCAAUCAGGUCCUUUCUUCUCUUGACUUCUUAAAUGUGAAUUGUCGACAUGAUUUAAUUGAUUCAAAUUCAUGCUUAUUUUUUAUCCUUUGUGAUUAUUUGCCAAAUAAAUUGGUACCUUGACCUUUUUAUUGUUUUGAAGCUAAUAUCUCAUUUACUCGAUUUCCGUUGCGAGGGAGGUAACUUCUAUAUUUUUGAGUUUAUUUUUUCCUACGUGCUCCUACGUGUUAUGUGAAUAUGCCUGUCUACUUUGCUUUCUUUGCCUUUCUUUAAUUCUUUUCAUUUUUUUUUACUUACUUUUGCUUUUUAUUUAAGUUAUUCAUUAUGGGGUAUGUGUACACCUCUUGGCUUGUAAUAGUUAGGGAUUUAAUUAUUUUAUUCUUUUCCCCCUUUUAGAUUGUAGUGGGGUCUCCCUAAUGUAAUAGAUAGGGUUUGGAGGAGCAUUCAAUGAAGACCUAUCGAAGACUUGUGCCUAGCUAGCAAAUGUAAUAGUUAGGGCUUUAAUUGUCUCAUGUGCCUUGCAUGCUUAGUUGCUACGUGUUAAUUUGCUUUGCUAGGGCCUUGCAUCUAGUCGAGCAUGCAAAAUGUUAUGUGCUAUGUGUUUAUAAGUGUUUGGCAUGUCUACUCGCUUUCCAUAGCCUGAAUAAAUGUGAUGGAUGAAUGUACGUCACCACACUAGUCCAAUGCUAGUUGUGGCUCAUUAUUUCAUUAGGAAUUCAUAGAAAGGGCUAGUCCAACGCUAGACCCAAUAGGAUUUUUCCUUUGUUUUUCAUUAAUGCAUUAUUUGCCUGUUCACUACAUAUCAUGCAUUUUUCCUUAGUUUUAUCAUCUGGCAUGCUCCUCGAUUCCCCUUUCCCCUCACUUUAGGAUUUUUGCAUUUCAUGCUAGUUAUAGGGUUCAUUUGCCUGAAGAGUCCCCUUCUGAUAAGGGAAACGAGCGAGUGUGGCUACUCGAUAGCCUUAGCACGCUAGUUUCGCCUUCUAAUCAAAGGGAAGAUUAAGUCACAAAGUUAGGACUCCCCGUUCCCGUCUUGAUGCAUUCCUAUAGGAUUCAUGCAUUCUAUUCAUUCACUAUCACAUACACUUACUUUAUAUUCUAACCCUUUUUCCACAUUCUCACUUCACACUACUUUUACACGUUUUCAUUUAACUACUCACACUCUAUGCCAUAUCACUCGCACACAUGCACUUUAUAUUAUUUUCACAUUAUCAUUCUUUACUCACCUUACCUUGUAAAUACAUUUGCACACCUCCACUUUUCUCACUUCACAUAAACUUACAUUUUCACAUGACAUGCACCCCAUUCAUUUUUACGUCAUUUAGGAUUACGUGUGACCUCUCCAAAGGAUCAUUAUUGGGCUUCACAAUUAAUGUGAUUGGCACCACUCAACCUUUGAAGAGAAAUUUCCCCCAAUACCCCUAGGUCUAGGGUUUUGCAUUCAUAUAGACAUAUCCAACACGCGAUACAUACCUUGGGUAGAAAAAUUAGGAAAAAUUGGUUUAAGUCACGCAACUAGCCUUGGCUAGGUCGAAGGGGUGCCUUGGAUUUUUUAUCCUUGCCUUCCCCUUCGUCAAAUGUGACCCCCGAUCCCUCUUUUUGGUUACGUAGACCCAAAAGUUCUUUAAAAGGGUUUAUUUACUUUUUUUAUUCAAAAACAAAAAACCAUUUUUUGGGUGACUUGGUACACCCUAACCCUAUACCAAGUGGCGACUCCAUUUUUGAUACAAAAAACCCUUUUUGAACUUUAUAUGGCCAAACCGUCGCAUUAUCAAGUCCCAUGGCCUUUUACUUUUCAUUUACACACGUUCACAUUCCAUUACACCACUCACAUCUCACACCACACACACACCACAACUCAUCAUCUUCGAAAAGUGGGGCGCGACAGUUGGCGACUCCACUGGGGAAGCUCCUAAGUGGGUCCGAGCAUUUGACUUAGCCAUUCGUUUCCUUUUUCUACCCUUUUUAUGCAUUGCACUUGGAUAUUAGGGUUGCAUUUUUUUUAUUUUAGGCCUUUUUGCCUCGUGCGCGUAUCCAACUAUUCCCUCACUCACGUACGUGUGAUUGGUUGAUUGGAUGUAUGUUUACUUGUUUAUCUCGCGCUUGCAUUGCAUUUGGGAGGGGGCGUGUCACCUUUAGAGCCUCACGUUGGUUCUCAACCCCUUCCCUCAAAAUAGGGGAGCACUUCAUACGUGCACGUUUACUUGCUUUUAUCCCAUUUUAUUUUGUUUUUCGUGGGCGUUUCCCACACCGCCUUGUAGGAUUAGGAUCGAUUGCCUUGGGUAGGCGGCUGGUGUGCUCUGCGCCCAUAACGCUACCUAAGGGAUCACUCGAGCCACCGAUCAAAGGCCUUGGGAGUGAUGACCCUUUGCCUUUAGGUCUGAAGGCUUGGGAGCCGAAGCUUUAUCGAGUCUAGGCAUUAAUGAACCAAACCUCAUGCAUCCAUGUUAGCAUUUGCCUAGGGUAGAGUCAGCCUCACCCUUUUUAAGCACAAUUAGGCACGAGGGAAGGGGUUCCACCCCUUUUUAUUGGCUUUUAUUGUAUUUCUUUUUCUUAAUUGCUCCCAAUAUGUUAUGUGUAUUACCAAUUGCACUAACCAUUCUUUUGUUUUCUUGGCUUGCAUUCAUAUGCCCUAGCAAUAAGAGGCCCUUUUGGCACUCUUUUAGUGACCUAUCCACUAGAUAACUCACAUGUUUAAAUUUCAGUCAUUAUACUUAAUAAAUACAUUUCAUUUUAGACCUUUUUUCCCCCGAUGCAUUAUUUAUGUCCCUUAGGUCAUAUUUGUCACAUAUUUACAUCGCUUUAAUAAAUGACAUCAUGCAUAAACCCUAGAAAGGGAAUGCCAUUUAGGGGAUCCCGUGUCAGGAAUAAGCCACCUUGUGUCUCGGAUACUUAAUCCAGUGAGACUUGCACGUUUACAUUUUGUACCAUCCAAAGGGGGUAGUGCACAAGGUAAGGUAGGAUCCGAUCAUUUUCAUAGAGUGAUCUUUGGGAUAUGAGCAUCUAAUAAUCACUUUUUGGCCAUUUUAUCAAAAAUUGGUAAAAAUUCCUUGCGUGAAGGACAGUAAUUUGAAGAAAUUCACAAAUGAUUCCUUCUAUUGAGACGAUAAAUAAAUUGAGGCCAAAAUUUGAUUUUUAGAAGCUCAUAGACUAAUGCAUCUCAAUCAUUUUGAAAUCACCAAUGGCCGGACAAUUCAACCAAUCCAUUUUACCCAUUCAUUCAAUAAAUCAUCAAUUCAUUUGAUCAAUUUACCCUUUUUAGGGUCAUCCGGUCGAUUUUGAAUAAAUCGUCAAUUCAUUUGACCAAUUUACCCUUUUUAGGGUCACCUGGUCGAUUUUCAAUAAAUCAUCAAUUCAUUUGAUCAAUUUACCCUUUUUAGGGUCACCUGGUCGAUUUUGAAUAAAUCGUCAAUUCAUUUGACCAAUUUACCCUUUUUAGGGUCAUCCGGUCGAUUUUGAAUAAAUCAUCAAUUCAUUUGACCGAUUUACCCUUUUUAGGAUCGUUCGGCCGAUUUUUGAACAAGUCACUAAUUCAAUUUCAUUCAUUUGGCCAAUUUACCUUUUUUUAGGGCAACCGAGCCGUUUUUUGACCUGUUUCCCUUCUAGGGUAAUCCGGUCGAUUUUCAAUAAAUUGUCAAUUUCAUUUGACCAAUUAGGAUUUCAAUGUCGAAUUCCAAAUUGGGAAAUCUAGUCAAUUUUGAAGAAAACCGUCCAUUGCAUCCAAUCACUUGAUCAAUUAGGGUUUUUGACCCGUAAUUCACUGAGAAAUUUUAUCAACGAAUUCCAAUCUCUUCGAUAGGAGUUCGUCAAGGUCAAACCCAUGCGUUUUGCAAAUCAAAGGUGAUCAAUCUAUUCGGACGUUGUCCUCAUUUUGACAAAUCUCUUGCCACUCCAAUGGCCAAAUUUUUCAAAUUAUUUUUCACUCAAUGAGUUGAUCAGAUCCGUCAGGUAUGGUAUAGUGCUUCCCUAGAGGAUUGCAUUUUCAUGCUAGGCCUACCCUUGGCAUAAAAAGGGUUCCCCCAUAGGACAUGCAUACCGAUUUUUUUUUAUUCUUACUUACUGACUCUGGGUAUUUUUCUUUUUGUUUUCCCCUCCCCCUGCAUUUAUAAAAAUGUUUCAAUAAGGCGAGAAUAUUCUUCUAUAUCUGAUAAUUUUGAUCCAAUAAAGCUUGAAGAUUACAAGUAUUACUUGAUUUUUAGGUAGACAUUGCCGCGAAAGCAUAAAGGGGAAAUUCUAUUUAUUUGAUUUGUUAAUACAUUUUGUUCCAAAAGAAAAGGAGACAAAAAGUGUAUGUGUUGAGCUCUUUACGAGUUUCUCUCUUCUCAUUUGUAUCAUAAUUGAUUGAGCAAUUUUGUUUCAAACUUUUUCAACAAUAAAAUUUUUUGGAUAAUUUUUGUUUUGUGUAUAUUUAUGUACAUUUCAUUCUUUAUUCUUACUCAUUGGAGAUUUCAUGAUGAUUUUUGAGAAAUAAGACCCAAUUUGAGAUUUUUCAACCUAUAGCCUGAAUUUCACAAGUGUGUGCUUCCUAAAAUCCUUACACUCGAUUGGUGUUCCAACCUGUACAAUAAGAGUGCUCAGAAAGAAAGAGAGUGAACGGUCACUCAAAAGGCCCUAUGAGAUACCUUUCUCCUUCACUUAAUUCCAAAAUAAAAUCAGUCACAUUGAUUGAUAAAUUGUAAAUUGGGGUAACUUUUGCUUGAAAAUGUUCAAGGCGUCUAAUCUGGUUCAAUCACAUCUAAGUGAAAGCAAAAAUGUGCAUUAUUCUUAUUUGUUUGGAAAAUUUGGAAUGAUACUUCAAGCAUUCGUUUCAUUACCUGUACAGAUUUUUAUCAUUUGCUCUCCCAUUUGAGCUUCUAAAAGAAUAAUUUCGUUUCAAAUAAGGGUCUUAAUGAUCACUACCCGUCAUUGAAAAAUUUUCAAAUAUCAAAAGAAGAAUGGGUUUUCAAUGACCAUUUCGCUACUUCGGUUGUCAUGAGGUAUAAGAAUGAUACUUUGGCCGUCAGUUCUACAAUCUAAACACUGAUCAUCCCUUGCAUCCUCGUUUGAGCUAAAUUGGUGGUUCUUUUCGAGUGCACAUAUGAUCGCACCCCACAUUGGGGAAGGAGAUUGGGAAAUUUUGAAAAAAGGGAAAAGAAAAGGGGAAAAGCAAAAAAUGCUAGAAUAAGGAGGGAACCGCAAAUUUGGGGAAUUUGAUUCCACUUGGGUUCCAAUUUUGAAAAAAAAAAAGAAAAGAAAAAGAAGAAAACAAGUUCUAUCCGGUGGAUCACUUAUGUUUCAUAGACAUGAAUGAGCAAGGGUCUUCCUCAGUCAGUUAAUUCAGAUACAUGCCAAAAAUUUCCCAUUAAUGAAAAUUUCUUUUCAGAGUUAAUGUAAGGAACGGAAUACAAGUCAGGCCAUCUUCUUUUCCGAUCAAGCAUCUAUCCCUAGUUAUCCCUUUUGAGCAUUCAGAAUGAAAUACUUCGUUUGGCAACCCCUGAGAAUCGCAAACCCCACACUGGGGCAAGUUGGUUUGAAAAAGGAAAAUUUCAAGAAGCGGAAAAGUGAAAAGCCACAAAAUCAAAAGGCAAAGGAAGAAAAGAGAACCUCAGUUCAAAAAUAAACUGGGGCAAAUUUUGUGAAAGUUCGAAAAAAUGGCCGAAGGCCGAAAAAUCAAAAGAAAGAAAAUAAAAGUGAAAAAGCCUCAAUUGAGCAAAAACUGGGGCAAAUUCUGAUUUUACCCUAAAAUAGGGUUGACGCAACAAUGCGAUUUCAGAUUCUUCAAACCACUUUUGAAAUCCGCUUUCAAGCCUUAACUUUUCUAAGCACCCCACCUGACCCCAUUACAAAAGCCAAAAGUCCUGACUUCUGUUCUUUGCAAUGGCCCUGUCAAGAAAAUUUCUGAUGCCGGAAAAUUUUAGCUGUAUUGCUGAAUUGCUUGAGUAUGAGGUUGGCGCUACUCAUGUGAAAACCCAUCAGCUCGAGGGAAAAGAAAAGAGGCAAAAAGCAAAGCAAGAAAAGUAAAUGCAAGGAAAAUGCAAAAAGACUUGACGCUGAAGUCCCUGGGGAAUGAUGAGAAAAUCCAAACAAAGUCUGAAAUCUUUUGAGUUCAAAUAGGGGCAAUUUUGGAAAAAUGUGAUCUUCGGUGCAAUGUCCUUGAAAGUUUUAUUCUUUAGCUAUCGUUUUUCAAGCCAAAUUACAAGCUAAGAAAGUCCAUCGUUGACUUAUUCCUUCAUGACAAUCCAAAGUGAGGAUCAUACUCAUAAGAAAUUCAUCAAAUCAUUUGUGAUCAUAAGGGUAUAACCCGUUUCCACAUGUUUAGCUAUCACUUCUGUCCAUACGUUACAAGCCUAGAAAGCUGGUAUGUUGACUAAGUUUUCUUGAAAAAUAAGGGUGACAAACUCUUUGCUUUCACUAAGAUGUGACAUUGAAUGGAUUACAUACAAUUGGGGCACAAAAAUGAGACAGAUUCUGACCUCUCAUUUUCCUUCAGCCACUUCCAAAUCAAAAAUAAAGUCACUUGAUUGGUCCUGAAAAAUGAGCCAACCAGAAGUGGUGACCCGUUACCCUAAACACCAAUGCUAAAAGUGAGGAAGAAAUCUUCUUGAAUUUGGUGUUACUUCGAGGAAUUCAUCAUGAAAUUUCUGCAUGAGUUUCAAACUUGACGUUUAAAGUUUCUUCACAUUGUUGUAUAUGUGCACUCUUUUCUAAAUUUUAGAAAGUGCGGUUUUUCUUUGUUCAAAUCAAUGGGAAAUCAUCUGAACAAAUUUUUGCAAUUAAGGGAGCCCACACUGGGGCAAAAAUUUUAUUUGUGAGAUUUCAUGAAAUAAGCCCAUACUGGGGCAAAUUUUUUGUAAUACAUUUGAGAUUUGUGUCCAAAAAUCAAAUAAUAACAUUUUUCGAAACAAUCCCGCUGCUCUUUUCCUGGAAUUUAAGUGCAUGUCAUACUUUGAUGAACCCCUUGUACAGGUAUUCAUGAUUCAAAAUGACGAAAGGCAUCCAGUAAGGCGGAAGGCCGAUACUGCAAAGAGAAGCAAGAAGAAGGAGGAAAAAUGGACACUACACUUGGGGCAAAUUAUUUUUUUAAAAUUUUUGAAAAAAGGGAAAAAAGAAGGAAAAAAGAAAAAAAGAGAAAAAACCAAAAAUCAAAUCAAAAAGUCAAAAAUCAAGUUCAAAUUCUUGUUUCUUGAAAAAUCAAAUUUGAUUUCUUGUGGGCGAAGCUCCAAUGCACGCCGCGCAUCAUUCUGUUCCCCCCUUCUCUUGACAUUCCAAAUCAAGUUGGGCCUGGAUUUCGUGCCACCAACAUCAUUUUAUCACGUUGGGCCUGGACUUGGUGCCGCCAACAUCACUUUAUCACGUUGGGCCUGGACUUGGUGCCGCCAACAUCACUUUAUCACGUUGGGCCUGGACUUGGUGCCGCCAACAUCACUUUAUCACGUUGGGCCUGGACUUGGUGCCGCCAACUUCACUUUAUCACGUUGGGCCUGGACUUGGUGCCGCCAACAUCACUUUAUCACGUUGGGCUUGGUUUUCGUGCCACCAACUUCGCUUUGUCACGUUGGGCUUGGAUUUAGUGCCACCAACAUUACAAAAGUCACAUUGGACCGGGUUUUAUCCCGCCAAUCUCGGCAGGACCGGGUCUAAUCCCGCUGACCGCUUACAGGACCGGGUCUAAUCCCGCUGACAGGCAGGACCGGGUCUAAUCCCGCUGACCGCUUACUUCGGCAGGACCGGGUCUAAUCCCGCUGACCGCUCACCUCGGCAGGACCGGGUCUAAUCCCGCUGACCGCUCACCUCGGCAGGACCGGGUCUAAUCCCGCUGACCGCUCACCUCGGCAGGACCGGGUUUUAUCCCGCUGACCGUCCACACCCCGUCGGCCUCAGAUGUUAUCCCACCGACCAAUUCAUCACACUGGGGCAAAUUUUUUAGAUAAUUUUUCAAACAAGUCCUAUACAGUUCUCUAUUUAAUUUUCUGUUCGGGUCUAUCCCAUGGGUCUGUCCCAUCUACAUUUUUAUCCGAGUCUAUCGCAUUUACAUUCCUGUCCGGGUCUAUCCCGUUUACAAUUCUGUUCAGGCCAGUCCCAUGUUUGAAAUUCCUUGUUUAGGUCAGCCCUCCGAAUAGGGGCAACCGAAUGGUACAGGUAAGCAUUUGGUGUCUACUUCUUUGUCUCAAGUUUUUUCAAAACUCAGACAAAGAGGGGCAAACUGUAGACACCAAAAAUUUCAUCGAUUCAGUUUUAGCUUUAUUCAUUCAAUUUUGACUUCCUUUGAUUCAAUUUUUAGUUUUAUUAUUAUUAUUUAUUCUUGUCUCAUAUUUAUUAUUUUUAAUUGAUUGGAGGUUGCAAAUGGUAAUUGAUGUUCAUUCUUAUUUUAAAUGCAUUAAAAUUCAUCAUUUUCUUUUUAAAGCAAUUUUACACUAAAUUUUAGGAAAAUCCCGAAUAAAGAUCCAUUUUAUCUUUUUAAAAUUUGAUUUUUUCUUGCUAAGGCAUUUUGCAAGGUAAUUUUUAAAAAUUAAGCAUGUUAAACAAGUGUGUCAAUUGCAUGUUGAACAAGUGUGCAAAUAAGCAUUAGACAAGUGGUUGAGGAAUGGUAGGACAAGUGUAUAGGGGGUAGCUGUCAAGGACACUUGGGGGGUUUUUUGGGGGGCAUCGGAAAAAAAAGGAAGAAAAAACCCUCGAAGAGGCUUGAAAACAGGGGGAAGAGAAAAGAGCUAAAAACAGGGAGGGGGCUUCGGAGGAAAGGGGAGAGGAAAAACGAAAUCGAAAAAGGAGGGGAGAGUAGGGAAAAAUCUGGGGAGAGUCUGUGGGCUAAGAAAAACAGCGGAGAGAUAGCGGAAAAAAAGGAGAAAAAGAACGGCUGAGGGGAAGGCUAAAAAUCUGAAAAGAGAAGAAGGCUUCGGCUGGGAGAAGCUGGAGUGGAAAAAAUAGAAAAAGGGAGAACGGCUGCGGUUGAGGGCCGAGAGAGUGGAGAGCCGAGGAGGAAAAAUCAGAAAAGGAGGAGAAAAAUCAAGGGCGGCGGAUGAAGGGAAAAGCUGGGAAAAUUAGAAACAGAGAAAGAGAGGAUAGCAGCGGACAAAGAGCUUGCGACUGAGGAAGCAGAGCAGCUGGAACUGCCGUUCGCGGGAAGCUGUUGCCGCCCUCUUCCGUCACGCGCGACGCCAGCUUCAUCGCUUCUUCCAUCAUAGUUCAAGCUCCGCCCUCUGCCGGCACAAACAAGUGGCCAACCGCCCGCCCAAGCAACCAAAUCCGAGAUCAGCACCCGCAAAAUUUUACCAAGAAACAAACGGUAAGCCACCAUCAUCCUUCAAAUUUCAGUUUUCAUGUAAGUUUUCGAAGCGUGUUUUAUUUUUCACGUUGUGGCUUGUAGCCAUUUCUCUGUUGAAUUAUUCACUAAUUGGAAGUAUGUAUGCUUUGAAUGUCGAUUGGACUGGAGUUUUCUUGCAUUUGAUGAAAUUUUGGGUGCUGAUUCAUGUCAAUUGGGCGAGAAAUUGGUGAAGUUUUUUAAUGGCUGUUUGUUGUUCGACAGAAUGCUUCAAUGAAAGUUCGGCCUGAAGAAUGGAUUAAUUUCUGAUUUAUAUACGUUCGACUGUUUCAUGCUUGUCAAAAUAAUUGAUUCGAAUGGGUUUGUUUGGGCGUCCGUUUGUUUUGGCAAUCUGCUCCGCUUCUCGUUUGUUUGGUGUUCCUCUUGUAUGGAUUUAAAUUCAUGACAUAAAAUGGCGUGCGAGGGGAUUCAUGUGAGAGUCAUUUGUUUUGCUUUUGUUUUGUUUUGUUGAUUGGAGUCCGAAGUUGAAUUUUCUGGUUGCAAAGAGGAAUGAAAUAGCAGCGAACGUUGAGCCAAUUUGGGAAGAAGAGGAUUGCUUGAUUAAAUUCAUGAUUCCAGUCCCUCAAUUUCCCUUUCCAUUAUGAUUUAACCCCAGAAUUUUAGGACUUCAUAAUUUUUCCUCCAACACCUUCAUAAGUCCUUCAAUUAGGUCCCUGCUCUUGUUGCAUUUUAACCCCUCAGCUUCCCCUUGUUCUGAUAUGACCCGAAAAGUGGAAAAAGUGCGUUUGUUUCUCCCUUCUAGAUUUAAAUCAUCUUCUAAUAAGCAUGAAUAGUCCUUUUACUAGAUUAAUUCUUGUUUGUAGGUUCUAAUUGUGGUUCAAUAAUUUAUUUUGAUUUUAUCAUGUUGGGUUUAAUGAAACAAGUGCCUUGGGCUAAGAGGUUAUUUUUGUUUGGGUUUAAGAAAGUCGUUUUAGUUUAUUUUGUUUGGUUUUUUGGUUCGGGCUAGAGGGUCAAGGCCCAUCUAUUUGGUUGGCUAAUUUUUGGGCCAGGAUAUUAUACUAGCCCACUUGUUUUCCUUGGACUUUCGAUUGGGCCAAGUUAUCUUGGCCCAAGAAAGGUGAAGAUGGCCCAUUCCCUUUUUGUUUUGGAUUUUCGGUUGGGCUUGUAAGGCUUUGGCCCAAACAAAUAAAGGAAAUGGCCCAAUGGCUUGGUCCAUUAAGAAACCAGAAAACGAUUUUGCAAAUCAGUCCCUGAAUUUCUCCCUAAUUGUAUUGUGGCCCUGGACAUUUUCAACUUCUUUCAAUUCGGUCCUUGCUUUAAUUGCAAAUAGGUCCCUGAACUUUAUUUUUCUUUAAUUUUGACCUCCAAACUUUGUCAAUCUUUGCAAUCAGGUCCUUUCUUCUCUUGACUUCUUAAAUGUGAAUUGUCGACAUGAUUUAAUUGAUUCAAAUUCAUGCUUAUUUUUUAUCCUUUGUGAUUAUUUGCCAAAUAAAUUGGUACCUUGACCUUUUUAUUGUUUUGAAGCUAAUAUCUCAUUUACUCGAUUUCCGUUGCGAGGGAGGUAACUUCUAUAUUUUUGAGUUUAUUUUUUCCUACGUGCUCCUACGUGUUAUGUGAAUAUGCCUGUCUACUUUGCUUUCUUUGCCUUUCUUUAAUUCUUUUCAUUUUUUUUUACUUACUUUUGCUUUUUAUUUAAGUUAUUCAUUAUGGGGUAUGUGUACACCUCUUGGCUUGUAAUAGUUAGGGAUUUAAUUAUUUUAUUCUUUUCCCCCUUUUAGAUUGUAGUGGGGUCUCCCUAAUGUAAUAGAUAGGGUUUGGAGGAGCAUUCAAUGAAGACCUAUCGAAGACUUGUGCCUAGCUAGCAAAUGUAAUAGUUAGGGCUUUAAUUGUCUCAUGUGCCUUGCAUGCUUAGUUGCUACGUGUUAAUUUGCUUUGCUAGGGCCUUGCAUCUAGUCGAGCAUGCAAAAUGUUAUGUGCUAUGUGUUUAUAAGUGUUUGGCAUGUCUACUCGCUUUCCAUAGCCUGAAUAAAUGUGAUGGAUGAAUGUACGUCACCACACUAGUCCAAUGCUAGUUGUGGCUCAUUAUUUCAUUAGGAAUUCAUAGAAAGGGCUAGUCCAACGCUAGACCCAAUAGGAUUUUUCCUUUGUUUUUCAUUAAUGCAUUAUUUGCCUGUUCACUACAUAUCAUGCAUUUUUCCUUAGUUUUAUCAUCUGGCAUGCUCCUCGAUUCCCCUUUCCCCUCACUUUAGGAUUUUUGCAUUUCAUGCUAGUUAUAGGGUUCAUUUGCCUGAAGAGUCCCCUUCUGAUAAGGGAAACGAGCGAGUGUGGCUACUCGAUAGCCUUAGCACGCUAGUUUCGCCUUCUAAUCAAAGGGAAGAUUAAGUCACAAAGUUAGGACUCCCCGUUCCCGUCUUGAUGCAUUCCUAUAGGAUUCAUGCAUUCUAUUCAUUCACUAUCACAUACACUUACUUUAUAUUCUAACCCUUUUUCCACAUUCUCACUUCACACUACUUUUACACGUUUUCAUUUAACUACUCACACUCUAUGCCAUAUCACUCGCACACAUGCACUUUAUAUUAUUUUCACAUUAUCAUUCUUUACUCACCUUACCUUGUAAAUACAUUUGCACACCUCCACUUUUCUCACUUCACAUAAACUUACAUUUUCACAUGACAUGCACCCCAUUCAUUUUUACGUCAUUUAGGAUUACGUGUGACCUCUCCAAAGGAUCAUUAUUGGGCUUCACAAUUAAUGUGAUUGGCACCACUCAACCUUUGAAGAGAAAUUUCCCCCAAUACCCCUAGGUCUAGGGUUUUGCAUUCAUAUAGACAUAUCCAACACGCGAUACAUACCUUGGGUAGAAAAAUUAGGAAAAAUUGGUUUAAGUCACGCAACUAGCCUUGGCUAGGUCGAAGGGGUGCCUUGGAUUUUUUAUCCUUGCCUUCCCCUUCGUCAAAUGUGACCCCCGAUCCCUCUUUUUGGUUACGUAGACCCAAAAGUUCUUUAAAAGGGUUUAUUUACUUUUUUUAUUCAAAAACAAAAAACCAUUUUUUGGGUGACUUGGUACACCCUAACCCUAUACCAAGUGGCGACUCCAUUUUUGAUACAAAAAACCCUUUUUGAACUUUAUAUGGCCAAACCGUCGCAUUAUCAAGUCCCAUGGCCUUUUACUUUUCAUUUACACACGUUCACAUUCCAUUACACCACUCACAUCUCACACCACACACACACCACAACUCAUCAUCUUCGAAAAGUGGGGCGCGACAGUUGGCGACUCCACUGGGGAAGCUCCUAAGUGGGUCCGAGCAUUUGACUUAGCCAUUCGUUUCCUUUUUCUACCCUUUUUAUGCAUUGCACUUGGAUAUUAGGGUUGCAUUUUUUUUAUUUUAGGCCUUUUUGCCUCGUGCGCGUAUCCAACUAUUCCCUCACUCACGUACGUGUGAUUGGUUGAUUGGAUGUAUGUUUACUUGUUUAUCUCGCGCUUGCAUUGCAUUUGGGAGGGGGCGUGUCACCUUUAGAGCCUCACGUUGGUUCUCAACCCCUUCCCUCAAAAUAGGGGAGCACUUCAUACGUGCACGUUUACUUGCUUUUAUCCCAUUUUAUUUUGUUUUUCGUGGGCGUUUCCCACACCGCCUUGUAGGAUUAGGAUCGAUUGCCUUGGGUAGGCGGCUGGUGUGCUCUGCGCCCAUAACGCUACCUAAGGGAUCACUCGAGCCACCGAUCAAAGGCCUUGGGAGUGAUGACCCUUUGCCUUUAGGUCUGAAGGCUUGGGAGCCGAAGCUUUAUCGAGUCUAGGCAUUAAUGAACCAAACCUCAUGCAUCCAUGUUAGCAUUUGCCUAGGGUAGAGUCAGCCUCACCCUUUUUAAGCACAAUUAGGCACGAGGGAAGGGGUUCCACCCCUUUUUAUUGGCUUUUAUUGUAUUUCUUUUUCUUAAUUGCUCCCAAUAUGUUAUGUGUAUUACCAAUUGCACUAACCAUUCUUUUGUUUUCUUGGCUUGCAUUCAUAUGCCCUAGCAAUAAGAGGCCCUUUUGGCACUCUUUUAGUGACCUAUCCACUAGAUAACUCACAUGUUUAAAUUUCAGUCAUUAUACUUAAUAAAUACAUUUCAUUUUAGACCUUUUUUCCCCCGAUGCAUUAUUUAUGUCCCUUAGGUCAUAUUUGUCACAUAUUUACAUCGCUUUAAUAAAUGACAUCAUGCAUAAACCCUAGAAAGGGAAUGCCAUUUAGGGGAUCCCGUGUCAGGAAUAAGCCACCUUGUGUCUCGGAUACUUAAUCCAGUGAGACUUGCACGUUUACAUUUUGUACCAUCCAAAGGGGGUAGUGCACAAAGUAAGGUAGGAUCCGAUCAUUUUCAUAGAGUGAUCUUUGGGAUAUGAGCAUCUAAUAAUCACUUUUUGGCCAUUUUAUCAAAAAUUGGUAAAAAUUCCUUGCGUGAAGGACAGUAAUUUGAAGAAAUUCACAAAUGAUUCCUUCUAUUGAGACGAUAAAUAAAUUGAGGCCAAAAUUUGAUUUUUAGAAGCUCAUAGACUAAUGCAUCUCAAUCAUUUUGAAAUCACCAAUGGCCGGACAAUUCAACCAAUCCAUUUUACCCAUUCAUUCAAUAAAUCAUCAAUUCAUUUGAUCAAUUUACCCUUUUUAGGGUCAUCCGGUCGAUUUUGAAUAAAUCGUCAAUUCAUUUGACCAAUUUACCCUUUUUAGGGUCACCUGGUCGAUUUUCAAUAAAUCAUCAAUUCAUUUGAUCAAUUUACCCUUUUUAGGGUCACCUGGUCGAUUUUGAAUAAAUCGUCAAUUCAUUUGACCAAUUUACCCUUUUUAGGGUCAUCCGGUCGAUUUUGAAUAAAUCAUCAAUUCAUUUGACCGAUUUACCCUUUUUAGGAUCGUUCGGCCGAUUUUUGAACAAGUCACUAAUUCAAUUUCAUUCAUUUGGCCAAUUUACCUUUUUUUAGGGCAACCGAGCCGUUUUUUGACCUGUUUCCCUUCUAGGGUAAUCCGGUCGAUUUUCAAUAAAUUGUCAAUUUCAUUUGACCAAUUAGGAUUUCAAUGUCGAAUUCCAAAUUGGGAAAUCUAGUCAAUUUUGAAGAAAACCGUCCAUUGCAUCCAAUCACUUGAUCAAUUAGGGUUUUUGACCCGUAAUUCACUGAGAAAUUUUAUCAACGAAUUCCAAUCUCUUCGAUAGGAGUUCGUCAAGGUCAAACCCAUGCGUUUUGCAAAUCAAAGGUGAUCAAUCUAUUCGGACGUUGUCCUCAUUUUGACAAAUCUCUUGCCACUCCAAUGGCCAAAUUUUUCAAAUUAUUUUUCACUCAAUGAGUUGAUCAGAUCCGUCAGGUAUGGUAUAGUGCUUCCCUAGAGGAUUGCAUUUUCAUGCUAGGCCUACCCUUGGCAUAAAAAGGGUUCCCCCAUAGGACAUGCAUACCGAUUUUUUUUUAUUCUUACUUACUGACUCUGGGUAUUUUUCUUUUUGUUUUCCCCUCCCCCUGCAUUUAUAAAAAUGUUUCAAUAAGGCGAGAAUAUUCUUCUAUAUCUGAUAAUUUUGAUCCAAUAAAGCUUGAAGAUUACAAGUAUUACUUGAUUUUUAGGUAGACAUUGCCGCGAAAGCAUAAAGGGGAAAUUCUAUUUAUUUGAUUUGUUAAUACAUUUUGUUCCAAAAGAAAAGGAGACAAAAAGUGUAUGUGUUGAGCUCUUUACGAGUUUCUCUCUUCUCAUUUGUAUCAUAAUUGAUUGAGCAAUUUUGUUUCAAACUUUUUCAACAAUAAAAUUUUUUGGAUAAUUUUUGUUUUGUGUAUAUUUAUGUACAUUUCAUUCUUUAUUCUUACUCAUUGGAGAUUUCAUGAUGAUUUUUGAGAAAUAAGACCCAAUUUGAGAUUUUUCAACCUAUAGCCUGAAUUUCACAAGUGUGUGCUUCCUAAAAUCCUUACACUCGAUUGGUGUUCCAACCUGUACAAUAAGAGUGCUCAGAAAGAAAGAGAGUGAACGGUCACUCAAAAGGCCCUAUGAGAUACCUUUCUCCUUCACUUAAUUCCAAAAUAAAAUCAGUCACAUUGAUUGAUAAAUUGUAAAUUGGGGUAACUUUUGCUUGAAAAUGUUCAAGGCGUCUAAUCUGGUUCAAUCACAUCUAAGUGAAAGCAAAAAUGUGCAUUAUUCUUAUUUGUUUGGAAAAUUUGGAAUGAUACUUCAAGCAUUCGUUUCAUUACCUGUACAGAUUUUUAUCAUUUGCUCUCCCAUUUGAGCUUCUAAAAGAAUAAUUUCGUUUCAAAUAAGGGUCUUAAUGAUCACUACCCGUCAUUGAAAAAUUUUCAAAUAUCAAAAGAAGAAUGGGUUUUCAAUGACCAUUUCGCUACUUCGGUUGUCAUGAGGUAUAAGAAUGAUACUUUGGCCGUCAGUUCUACAAUCUAAACACUGAUCAUCCCUUGCAUCCUCGUUUGAGCUAAAUUGGUGGUUCUUUUCGAGUGCACAUAUGAUCGCACCCCACAUUGGGGAAGGAGAUUGGGAAAUUUUGAAAAAAGGGAAAAGAAAAGGGGAAAAGCAAAAAAUGCUAGAAUAAGGAGGGAACCGCAAAUUUGGGGAAUUUGAUUCCACUUGGGUUCCAAUUUUGAAAAAAAAAAAGAAAAGAAAAAGAAGAAAACAAGUUCUAUCCGGUGGAUCACUUAUGUUUCAUAGACAUGAAUGAGCAAGGGUCUUCCUCAGUCAGUUAAUUCAGAUACAUGCCAAAAAUUUCCCAUUAAUGAAAAUUUCUUUUCAGAGUUAAUGUAAGGAACGGAAUACAAGUCAGGCCAUCUUCUUUUCCGAUCAAGCAUCUAUCCCUAGUUAUCCCUUUUGAGCAUUCAGAAUGAAAUACUUCGUUUGGCAACCCCUGAGAAUCGCAAACCCCACACUGGGGCAAGUUGGUUUGAAAAAGGAAAAUUUCAAGAAGCGGAAAAGUGAAAAGCCACAAAAUCAAAAGGCAAAGGAAGAAAAGAGAACCUCAGUUCAAAAAUAAACUGGGGCAAAUUUUGUGAAAGUUCGAAAAAAUGGCCGAAGGCCGAAAAAUCAAAAGAAAGAAAAUAAAAGUGAAAAAGCCUCAAUUGAGCAAAAACUGGGGCAAAUUCUGAUUUUACCCUAAAAUAGGGUUGACGCAACAAUGCGAUUUCAGAUUCUUCAAACCACUUUUGAAAUCCGCUUUCAAGCCUUAACUUUUCUAAGCACCCCACCUGACCCCAUUACAAAAGCCAAAAGUCCUGACUUCUGUUCUUUGCAAUGGCCCUGUCAAGAAAAUUUCUGAUGCCGGAAAAUUUUAGCUGUAUUGCUGAAUUGCUUGAGUAUGAGGUUGGCGCUACUCAUGUGAAAACCCAUCAGCUCGAGGGAAAAGAAAAGAGGCAAAAAGCAAAGCAAGAAAAGUAAAUGCAAGGAAAAUGCAAAAAGACUUGACGCUGAAGUCCCUGGGGAAUGAUGAGAAAAUCCAAACAAAGUCUGAAAUCUUUUGAGUUCAAAUAGGGGCAAUUUUGGAAAAAUGUGAUCUUCGGUGCAAUGUCCUUGAAAGUUUUAUUCUUUAGCUAUCGUUUUUCAAGCCAAAUUACAAGCUAAGAAAGUCCAUCGUUGACUUAUUCCUUCAUGACAAUCCAAAGUGAGGAUCAUACUCAUAAGAAAUUCAUCAAAUCAUUUGUGAUCAUAAGGGUAUAACCCGUUUCCACAUGUUUAGCUAUCACUUCUGUCCAUACGUUACAAGCCUAGAAAGCUGGUAUGUUGACUAAGUUUUCUUGAAAAAUAAGGGUGACAAACUCUUUGCUUUCACUAAGAUGUGACAUUGAAUGGAUUACAUACAAUUGGGGCACAAAAAUGAGACAGAUUCUGACCUCUCAUUUUCCUUCAGCCACUUCCAAAUCAAAAAUAAAGUCACUUGAUUGGUCCUGAAAAAUGAGCCAACCAGAAGUGGUGACCCGUUACCCUAAACACCAAUGCUAAAAGUGAGGAAGAAAUCUUCUUGAAUUUGGUGUUACUUCGAGGAAUUCAUCAUGAAAUUUCUGCAUGAGUUUCAAACUUGACGUUUAAAGUUUCUUCACAUUGUUGUAUAUGUGCACUCUUUUCUAAAUUUUAGAAAGUGCGGUUUUUCUUUGUUCAAAUCAAUGGGAAAUCAUCUGAACAAAUUUUUGCAAUUAAGGGAGCCCACACUGGGGCAAAAAUUUUAUUUGUGAGAUUUCAUGAAAUAAGCCCAUACUGGGGCAAAUUUUUUGUAAUACAUUUGAGAUUUGUGUCCAAAAAUCAAAUAAUAACAUUUUUCGAAACAAUCCCGCUGCUCUUUUCCUGGAAUUUAAGUGCAUGUCAUACUUUGAUGAACCCCUUGUACAGGUAUUCAUGAUUCAAAAUGACGAAAGGCAUCCAGUAAGGCGGAAGGCCGAUACUGCAAAGAGAAGCAAGAAGAAGGAGGAAAAAUGGACACUACACUUGGGGCAAAUUAUUUUUUUAAAAUUUUUGAAAAAAGGGAAAAAAGAAGGAAAAAAGAAAAAAAGAGAAAAAACCAAAAAUCAAAUCAAAAAGUCAAAAAUCAAGUUCAAAUUCUUGUUUCUUGAAAAAUCAAAUUUGAUUUCUUGUGGGCGAAGCUCCAAUGCACGCCGCGCAUCAUUCUGUUCCCCCCUUCUCUUGACAUUCCAAAUCAAGUUGGGCCUGGAUUUCGUGCCACCAACAUCAUUUUAUCACGUUGGGCCUGGACUUGGUGCCGCCAACAUCACUUUAUCACGUUGGGCCUGGACUUGGUGCCGCCAACAUCACUUUAUCACGUUGGGCCUGGACUUGGUGCCGCCAACUUCACUUUAUCACGUUGGGCCUGGAUUUGGUGCCGCCAACAUCACUUUAUCACGUUGGGCCUGGACUUGGUGCCGCCAACUUCACUUUAUCACGUUGGGCCUGGACUUGGUGCCGCCAACAUCACUUUAUCACGUUGGGCUUGGUUUUCGUGCCACCAACUUCGCUUUGUCACGUUGGGCUUGGAUUUAGUGCCACCAACAUUACAAAAGUCACAUUGGGACCGGGUUUUAUCCCGCCAAUCUCGGCAGGACCGGGUCUAAUCCCGCUGACCGCUUACUUCGGCAGGACCGGGUCUAAUCCCGCUGACCGCUUACUUCGGCAGGACCGGGUCUAAUCCCGCUGACCGCUCACCUCGGCAGGACCGGGUCUAAUCCCGCUGACCGCUUACUUCGGCAGGACCGGGUCUAAUCCCGCUGACCGCUCACCUCGGCAGGACCGGGUUUUAUCCCGCUGACCGUCCACACCCCGUCGGCCUCAGAUGUUAUCCCACCGACCAAUUCAUCACACUGGGGCAAAUUUUUUAGAUAAUUUUUCAAACAAGUCCUAUACAGUUCUCUAUUUAAUUUUCUGUUCGGGUCUAUCCCAUGGGUCUGUCCCAUCUACAUUUUUAUCCGAGUCUAUCGCAUUUACAUUCCUGUCCGGGUCUAUCCCGUUUACAAUUCUGUUCAGGCCAGUCCCAUGUUUGAAAUUCCUUGUUUAGGUCAGCCCUCCGAAUAGGGGCAACCGAAUGGUACAGGUAAGCAUUUGGUGUCUACUUCUUUGUCUCAAGUUUUUUCAAAACUCAGACAAAGAGGGGCAAACUGUAGACACCAAAAAUUUCAUCGAUUCAGUUUUAGCUUUAUUCAUUCAAUUUUGACUUCCUUUGAUUCAAUUUUUAGUUUUAUUAUUAUUAUUUAUUCUUGUCUCAUAUUUAUUAUUUUUAAUUGAUUGGAGGUUGCAAAUGGUAAUUGAUGUUCAUUCUUAUUUUAAAUGCAUUAAAAUUCAUCAUUUUCUUUUUAAAGCAAUUUUACACUAAAUUUUAGGAAAAUCCCGAAUAAAGAUCCAUUUUAUCUUUUUAAAAUUUGAUUUUUUCUUGCUAAGGCAUUUUGCAAGGUAAUUUUUAAAAAUUAAGCAUGUUAAACAAGUGUGUCAAUUGCAUGUUGAACAAGUGUGCAAAUAAGCAUUAGACAAGUGGUUGAGGAAUGGUAGGACAAGUGUAUAGGGGGUAGCUGUCAAGGACACUUGGGGGGUUUUUUGGGGGGCAUCGGAAAAAAAAGGAAGAAAAAACCCUCGAAGAGGCUUGAAAACAGGGGGAAGAGAAAAGAGCUAAAAACAGGGAGGGGGCUUCGGAGGAAAGGGGAGAGGAAAAACGAAAUCGAAAAAGGAGGGGAGAGUAGGGAAAAAUCUGGGGAGAGUCUGUGGGCUAAGAAAAACAGCGGAGAGAUAGCGGAAAAAAAGGAGAAAAAGAACGGCUGAGGGGAAGGCUAAAAAUCUGAAAAGAGAAGAAGGCUUCGGCUGGGAGAAGCUGGAGUGGAAAAAAUAGAAAAAGGGAGAACGGCUGCGGUUGAGGGCCGAGAGAGUGGAGAGCCGAGGAGGAAAAAUCAGAAAAGGAGGAGAAAAAUCAAGGGCGGCGGAUGAAGGGAAAAGCUGGGAAAAUUAGAAACAGAGAAAGAGAGGAUAGCAGCGGACAAAGAGCUUGCGACUGAGGAAGCAGAGCAGCUGGAACUGCCGUUCGCGGGAAGCUGUUGCCGCCCUCUUCCGUCACGCGCGACGCCAGCUUCAUCGCUUCUUCCAUCAUAGUUCAAGCUCCGCCCUCUGCCGGCACAAACAAGUGGCCAACCGCCCGCCCAAGCAACCAAAUCCGAGAUCAGCACCCGCAAAAUUUUACCAAGAAACAAACGGUAAGCCACCAUCAUCCUUCAAAUUUCAGUUUUCAUGUAAGUUUUCGAAGCGUGUUUUAUUUUUCACGUUGUGGCUUGUAGCCAUUUCUCUGUUGAAUUAUUCACUAAUUGGAAGUAUGUAUGCUUUGAAUGUCGAUUGGACUGGAGUUUUCUUGCAUUUGAUGAAAUUUUGGGUGCUGAUUCAUGUCAAUUGAGCGAGAAAUUGGUGAAGUUUUUUAAUGGCUGUUUGUUGUUCGACAGAAUGCUUCAAUGAAAGUUCGGCCUGAAGAAUGGAUUAAUUUCUGAUUUAUAUACGUUCGACUGUUUCAUGCUUGUCAAAAUAAUUGAUUCGAAUGGGUUUGUUUGGGCGUCCGUUUGUUUUGGCAAUCUGCUCCGCUUCUCGUUUGUUUGGUGUUCCUCUUGUAUGGAUUUAAAUUCAUGACAUAAAAUGGCGUGCGAGGGGAUUCAUGUGAGAGUCAUUUGUUUUGCUUUUGUUUUGUUUUGUUGAUUGGAGUCCGAAGUUGAAUUUUCUGGUUGCAAAGAGGAAUGAAAUAGCAGCGAACGUUGAGCCAAUUUGGGAAGAAGAGGAUUGCUUGAUUAAAUUCAUGAUUCCAGUCCCUCAAUUUCCCUUUCCAUUAUGAUUUAACCCCAGAAUUUUAGGACUUCAUAAUUUUUCCUCCAACACCUUCAUAAGUCCUUCAAUUAGGUCCCUGCUCUUGUUGCAUUUUAACCCCUCAGCUUCCCCUUGUUCUGAUAUGACCCGAAAAGUGGAAAAAGUGCGUUUGUUUCUCCCUUCUAGAUUUAAAUCAUCUUCUAAUAAGCAUGAAUAGUCCUUUUACUAGAUUAAUUCUUGUUUGUAGGUUCUAAUUGUGGUUCAAUAAUUUAUUUUGAUUUUAUCAUGUUGGGUUUAAUGAAACAAGUGCCUUGGGCUAAGAGGUUAUUUUUGUUUGGGUUUAAGAAAGUCGUUUUAGUUUAUUUUGUUUGGUUUUUUGGUUCGGGCUAGAGGGUCAAGGCCCAUCUAUUUGGUUGGCUAAUUUUUGGGCCAGGAUAUUAUACUAGCCCACUUGUUUUCCUUGGACUUUCGAUUGGGCCAAGUUAUCUUGGCCCAAGAAAGGUGAAGAUGGCCCAUUCCCUUUUUGUUUUGGAUUUUCGGUUGGGCUUGUAAGGCUUUGGCCCAAACAAAUAAAGGAAAUGGCCCAAUGGCUUGGUCCAUUAAGAAACCAGAAAACGAUUUUGCAAAUCAGUCCCUGAAUUUCUCCCUAAUUGUAUUGUGGCCCUGGACAUUUUCAACUUCUUUCAAUUCGGUCCUUGCUUUAAUUGCAAAUAGGUCCCUGAACUUUAUUUUUCUUUAAUUUUGACCUCCAAACUUUGUCAAUCUUUGCAAUCAGGUCCUUUCUUCUCUUGACUUCUUAAAUGUGAAUUGUCGACAUGAUUUAAUUGAUUCAAAUUCAUGCUUAUUUUUUAUCCUUUGUGAUUAUUUGCCAAAUAAAUUGGUACCUUGACCUUUUUAUUGUUUUGAAGCUAAUAUCUCAUUUACUCGAUUUCCGUUGCGAGGGAGGUAACUUCUAUAUUUUUGAGUUUAUUUUUUCCUACGUGCUCCUACGUGUUAUGUGAAUAUGCCUGUCUACUUUGCUUUCUUUGCCUUUCUUUAAUUCUUUUCAUUUUUUUUUACUUACUUUUGCUUUUUAUUUAAGUUAUUCAUUAUGGGGUAUGUGUACACCUCUUGGCUUGUAAUAGUUAGGGAUUUAAUUAUUUUAUUCUUUUCCCCCUUUUAGAUUGUAGUGGGGUCUCCCUAAUGUAAUAGAUAGGGUUUGGAGGAGCAUUCAAUGAAGACCUAUCGAAGACUUGUGCCUAGCUAGCAAAUGUAAUAGUUAGGGCUUUAAUUGUCUCAUGUGCCUUGCAUGCUUAGUUGCUACGUGUUAAUUUGCUUUGCUAGGGCCUUGCAUCUAGUCGAGCAUGCAAAAUGUUAUGUGCUAUGUGUUUAUAAGUGUUUGGCAUGUCUACUCGCUUUCCAUAGCCUGAAUAAAUGUGAUGGAUGAAUGUACGUCACCACACUAGUCCAAUGCUAGUUGUGGCUCAUUAUUUCAUUAGGAAUUCAUAGAAAGGGCUAGUCCAACGCUAGACCCAAUAGGAUUUUUCCUUUGUUUUUCAUUAAUGCAUUAUUUGCCUGUUCACUACAUAUCAUGCAUUUUUCCUUAGUUUUAUCAUCUGGCAUGCUCCUCGAUUCCCCUUUCCCCUCACUUUAGGAUUUUUGCAUUUCAUGCUAGUUAUAGGGUUCAUUUGCCUGAAGAGUCCCCUUCUGAUAAGGGAAACGAGCGAGUGUGGCUACUCGAUAGCCUUAGCACGCUAGUUUCGCCUUCUAAUCAAAGGGAAGAUUAAGUCACAAAGUUAGGACUCCCCGUUCCCGUCUUGAUGCAUUCCUAUAGGAUUCAUGCAUUCUAUUCAUUCACUAUCACAUACACUUACUUUAUAUUCUAACCCUUUUUCCACAUUCUCACUUCACACUACUUUUACACGUUUUCAUUUAACUACUCACACUCUAUGCCAUAUCACUCGCACACAUGCACUUUAUAUUAUUUUCACAUUAUCAUUCUUUACUCACCUUACCUUGUAAAUACAUUUGCACACCUCCACUUUUCUCACUUCACAUAAACUUACAUUUUCACAUGACAUGCACCCCAUUCAUUUUUACGUCAUUUAGGAUUACGUGUGACCUCUCCAAAGGAUCAUUAUUGGGCUUCACAAUUAAUGUGAUUGGCACCACUCAACCUUUGAAGAGAAAUUUCCCCCAAUACCCCUAGGUCUAGGGUUUUGCAUUCAUAUAGACAUAUCCAACACGCGAUACAUACCUUGGGUAGAAAAAUUAGGAAAAAUUGGUUUAAGUCACGCAACUAGCCUUGGCUAGGUCGAAGGGGUGCCUUGGAUUUUUUAUCCUUGCCUUCCCCUUCGUCAAAUGUGACCCCCGAUCCCUCUUUUUGGUUACGUAGACCCAAAAGUUCUUUAAAAGGGUUUAUUUACUUUUUUUAUUCAAAAACAAAAAACCAUUUUUUGGGUGACUUGGUACACCCUAACCCUAUACCAAGUGGCGACUCCAUUUUUGAUACAAAAAACCCUUUUUGAACUUUAUAUGGCCAAACCGUCGCAUUAUCAAGUCCCAUGGCCUUUUACUUUUCAUUUACACACGUUCACAUUCCAUUACACCACUCACAUCUCACACCACACACACACCACAACUCAUCAUCUUCGAAAAGUGGGGCGCGACAGUGCAAAAAUAAUUAUUUUCUCUGAUCAUGCAGCCUUGAGGUACUUGUUAGUGAAGAAGGAUGCAAAACCAAGGCUCAUAAGGUGGGUUUUACUUCUGUAAGAGUUCAAUUUAGAGAUUAAGGAUAAGAGUGGGGCCGAGAACUUGAUGGCUGAUUAUUUGAGGCGUUUUCUUACGAAUAAGGAAGAUCUGUCAUUGAGAGAAUUGUUUUUCGAGGAGCAGUUACUAGCCAUUAAUUCGUCAGUACCUUGGUAUACUGAUGUUGUCAAUUUUUUGGUAACAAAUCAAUUACCUGCAGAUUGACCAAAGGCUAAGAGAGAUAAAUUGAGAAGUGAUGCCAAAUACUAUAUUUGGGAUGGCCCUUACCUGUGGAGGCAAUGCUCGGAUCAAGUGAUAAGAAGGUGUGUAAGUGCAGGUGAGUUCCAUUCUAUUUUAACUUUUUGUCAUUCAUUUGUACGUGGAGGGCACUUUAGACCAAAGCGAACAGCUCGUAAGGUGUUGGAGAGUGGUUUUUAUUGGCUUACUCUGUUUAAGGAUGCAUAUUUAUUUUGUAAAUCUUGUGAUAGGUGUCAAAGGGUGGGGAAUAUUUUUCGUAGAGACCAAAUGAUUCAAACUCGCAUGUUGUUUGUUGAAAUUUUUUAUGUCUGUGGUAUAGAUUUCAUGGGUCCCUUUCCCUCGUCUUUUGGUUUCUUAUACAUUUUACUUUGCUGUCGAUUAUAUUUCUAAAUGGAUGGAGGCAAAGGUCACCCGGACUAAUGAUUCGAGAGUGGUUGCAGAAUUUAUAAAGUCUAACAUUUUUUGUCCGCUUUGGAAUGCCUAGAGCUGUAGUUAGUGACAGGAGCACUCAUUUUUGCAAUAAAACGAUCGUUGCCUUGUUCCGUAAAUAUGGCGUACUCCACCAAAUAUCCACACCCUAUCAUCCGCAGACGAAUGGUUAGGCCGAAGUGUCGAAUAGGGAGAUUAAGUCAAUUUUGGAGAAGAUGGGGUGGCCUGAUAGAAAGGAUUGGAACUUGAAGUUGGAAGAUGCUCUAUGGGCUUACCGCACCGUGUAUAAAAUACCAAUUGGAACGUCCCCAUACAGAUUAGUCUUCGGGAAGCCGUGCCACCUCCCAAUAGAAUUUGAACACAAGAAAUUUUGGGCAAUUGAGCGGUGCAACAUGGACCUUGUGGAUGCCGGGGGACAUAGAAAGCUCCAAUUACAAGAGUUGGAAGAAUUAAGGAAUGAAGUCUAUGAGAACGCAACAAUUUAUAAAGAGAAGAGCAAAGUCUUUCACGACUAACAAGUCUCAAGGAAGUCAUUUGUAGUAAGGCAAAACGUCCCCCUAUAUCACUCGAGAUUUAAGUUUUUUUCCGGUAAGUUGCGUUCGCGUUGGAUUGGUUCAUUUGUCAUUUCUAAUAUUUUUCAUUAUGGUGCAGUGGAAAUCCAAAGUUUGAAAAUUGAGAAGAAGUUUGUGGUAUAUGGUCAACAUUUUAAACCCUAUUAUGAGAGGUUUAAUAGUGAGCAAGUGGAUGUCAUAUAUGUUGAUGAUCCAAAUUGUGUGGCUUAACUAGCUAUUACUGUGUCUAGCCAAAAACAUUAAAGAAAGACGCUACUUGGAAGGCAAUCCAAGGAUUUCAAUUGUGUUUUAUUUCAUAUUUGUGUAUUCAAGAUCAGUGGAUUUAGGUUCCUAUUGACAAACAAUCUGUAUUGUACGUCAUGGGUGUUUCUGUGCAGUUUUAUUCUAGGUUGGGGGCACAAAUUUGUGGGCAAGAGACUUCAUGUUACAAGGCGUGCUCGCGCCUUGUAUUCACCGCACAUGGACAUUUGUAAAAUUUGGUGAACAGAGGACUUACACCCCCAAGGCAUGCCCACGCCGCACAGCAGAUCGUGUCGAACAUAUUACAAUGGGAUGGGCAGACAGAGUCAAACGUGACCAGGACCUUCUCUAACCCCACUUUUCUACUUUUCUCUUUUCUUGUCUUGACUGGUCUUUUCAUUUUUUUUUGUCUUAGCCUCCCCUAGUUUUCUCCCAUCUUUGCUGAAAUCUCAGAGGCCACCGCCACUGCACACCUGCUCCGUUGAUGCCGCUGUCUCCACUAUCUGCGGUCAAGCUCCGGCCGCCAUCAUGCACGCUGUCCGGGCGCACAUCGGCAUCGCCAUAUGCGCCUCGCCGACGCUGCUCAUGCACGUCUCAUGCCGCACGCCAACGCCUCCGUACUUCCCUUCCUCGCCGUAGCGCGCCACCACCGUAGGCGCCAUCAGCUCUACCUAGGGCGCCACACCAAUCAUCGACCGCUCGCGCCCCGCGAUAUCUCACUGUUCCCCGCCGUCGCGACUGCUGCCCUCCGCCAUCGUCGUCAUUGAGGCUCCACUUCUUCCUCUCUGUGCACCACCAACGCUUGCUCCUUCCACGCCACCGCGCCGACCGCCGACUCACCCCUGACGCCCUUGCAGUCGUACCGACCGUCGCUUCCACCGGGGUCCCCUCCAGCAUGACAAAGUGGUACCCCUAAUUCAUUUCUUGCCAUUACUGCUUAAAAUCUGAAAUUGUUUCUAUGCGAUAUUACUCUAUUGUUUGAGCUGAGCUUGCUGAACCUCUGAGACUUUCAUAUGUGUUCUUUGCUUCGCGGUUGAAUUGCUGUGAUUGGUUGUUGGUGUUGGUGUAGAAUUGUUGUGGGGUGCUGAGGUUGUUGUUGUUUAUUUUGCUUUCGAAUUGGUUGUCGAGGGUUUGAUAGGUGAAGCACGUGGCGCAGUAUCAAUUCUGGUUUAAUGUUGAGUGCAUUGUUGACCAGUUAUUUUAGGAAUCUGUUUGUCUUUUUGCCUUGUUGUUGUGGUGGUGGGGUAAUUAUAUUUUUCUUUGCUAUUGGACUGUUGACUGUUGAGUGACACCUAUUGACUGUGGUCCCCUGUCCCCAUUUGGUGGUUGCUUCACUGUUUCUGUGCUUAUUCGUAUUUGUCCUGUGGCCUCCAAAUGCCUUCGAAAAAGCGCGUGUUCAGACACCCACUUCAUCUGGUCCAUCUAAGUCCCAACCUCGUAAGAGGCGAGCCCAAUUCAACCCCCCACUCGAUCCCGUUUAGGUCUCUCUAAAAGUACUAUAUCUCCUGGGACAUGGGGGGAACCUACCACUAACCUUACACAGGAACAAAAGGACCGAUUGACUAGCUUGAUGCCACGUCCUUUUGCUCCGUGUAAAUGUUUCCAUGCCCCAACCCUGGAUCAUUUGCAAAUUGCACGAGAAGUUGAACAGUUGUUCUCAGCAAUUGGUUGGCAGUGGUAUCUGGUCAUCGACUAUCCUACAUUUGAGGAGCUAUGUUAUGAAUUCUACUCCACUUUUGAGUUCAAUAAAAAUGAAUUCAUCACUUUGGAUGAGCGGGGGUGAUUACAUUUAGAUUAAGGGGUACCCCACAAGAUUUGUCCAUUAAUGACUUUAAUCUGAUUUUGGGGUUUUUCAGUGAAGAGACCCUUUCCUCCGGGACGUAUAUCAACAGUGCGUGUGAUUAUACCAGACCCUUUGCUAGUGAAUAUAUUGACAUAUGGAGGGAGUAGUUCACGGACCCUCAACUCUAUGAUCCGAGUCAGUCCAAGGCCUCUCAUCUUAAGAAUCCGAUCUUGAAGGUUAUCCACAGGUUCUUGGCCUACAAUUUCUCGGGUCAGAAGAACUCUUCCGGCACCCUUGCCAAGGUUGAAUUCUAUUUUCUUUGGUGUAUGCGCAACAAAGUACAUGUCGACUUUGGGUGUUGGGUGACCACUCAAAUGCAAUCCGUCAUUCAAAAGCGACAUAAGUAGGUGAUUAUGGAUUCGCUCAUUACUCACUUGGCCGUUCGGUUGGGAUUGCUUGACCUCGACAAAGAACACAAGUUCGCUCUAACUUGCGAGAUUGAGCCAUUGGAUUUGCGUAGCUUAGAAAGGAUGGGGGUUAUUUUCAAAGUAGGAGAUGUAUAUCAGAUGACGCUUCCUGGCGAUGGCAGGCUACAACCCCGGGUUCCUCCUACUAUUCCCCCUACUGGUUCACCAACCCGCACAGAUCAAGUGGGUCCGUCCUCCUACCAUGCUCCCCCUGCUUGGGAUUUCCAAUACCGUGCCCUCCAAGAUUCUAUUCGUGAACUAGGCGAGCUAGUUGUGGGACUGGAUGGCCGUCUUGCAGCGUUGCAAGUUUUUUCCCGUAUUCAGACAAAGAAUCAGGCAGCUUUCUUUGCUUAGAUUGGAUUCUAGCUGCCUCAUCCUCCUCCCCCUUAGUGUUUCGCUGCGUCGUCUCGGCUGUCAGGGAAGUUUCACCCCUUUACACUUACACACUAUUUAUUUUUGCUACAUUGAAGACAAUGUCGAUUUUAGGUGUGGGAGGGAUGGUUUCUAUUAUUUCUUUUUUGCUUGAAAAGAGAAAAAAAAGAAAUAAAAAAAAGAAAAAGAAAGAGAGGAAAAAAUGAAACAAAAAAAAAAGUAUAGUUAGUUGACUUCUUUAGUUCUAUAUUUGUUAAUUGCUAGAGCAUGUUGCUAUGAUGGAUUGCACAAUCAAGGUGCACGUGUAUGUAUCAUUUAUGCUAACUAUGUACUCUACUUUUCCUAGCCAAUGUAGCUGAGUGAUGAAUAUGCUGGACUUGACCCAUUCUUGAAACUUUUGGGAGUUUUUGAGCAGUGCACGAGCACAUUACUCUCGUUUGCUUCGUUUGUGUUGUUGAGUGGGUAUCACACAUGGUAUUAACAUUCUAGAACUUGCUAUUUUAUACAUGUCAAAGCCACAUCUUGUUGAACUGGAUGCAUUUGAAAUGAUAAAGGCAUUUAGGAUUUAACUUUCUUUAAUUUUCUACAAACCAUACCUUCAUCUUGUCUCCCAAUAGUGAAUCAAUUUGAGCUUUUAUUCUUCUCCUUUGUUUGUUAGCCGUGUUUGAUAACCCAGGACUUUUUUUUUUGACUUUCUUGUCCAACCUUGUGUCGUUAAGAGAUGUCUGAAUUUCAUUGUUUGUGCAAGGCAAAUAAAUUUAGGGUCGCAAGUGUUGUUAGAAUAGAAGUUGUAUGGUGUUGGUUCUGUGCAUCUGAGAUCGAAAAGAAAAAGAAAAAAAAGACGAGAAAAAGAGAAAAAAGAAGGAAAAAAAUGUCUACAAACUGGUGAGCAUGGGAUUCUGCUUACAGGGCGUGCCAUGCCUUGCAAGACGCCCUUUCAAAAAAAAACAGAAAGAGAGAGAAAAGAGUUUCGACACUUGCGCAGUUGGUAUAGCAAAUGGAAAUGCCUUGCUUGUGGAAGUUCUCCAGUAAAGCGUUGAGGUUAUGUAGUGGAUAUCGGACAUUAUCUUGACACAGUGCACCCUAUCUUUACCUUCUUAUCCCGCUUUGUUGGCCUAAUCAGCAACAUCCCUCAGAUUCCGGCUCGAAGGGACUAACCGCCCAACUCGUGGCACCCAGGGGUGCAGCCCCUCAUGCUGGCCAAGCGUGGUACGAUGCUUUUCGCUGCUAUUGUGGUUAAGGAAAUAAAGUUACAUCUUCACUAACAGCUAUAGCUUUUGGUGCAAUGGUAAGCGCUUGAUCCUGACAAGUGGUAUCGGAGCGAGGUCGCAGGUUCGAGUCUCCCUGGUUAUUGUUGGGGGAGGAAAUGUUGGCCUAAUCAGCAACAUUCCUCAGAUCCCGGCUCGAAGGGACAGCCCGUGGCACCCAGGGAUACAGUCCCUCAUGCUGGCCGAGCGUGGUACGGUGCUUUGCGCUGCCAUUGUGGUUAAGGAAAUAAAGUUGCGCUUUCACUAAUAGCUAUAACUUUUGGUGCAAUGGUAAGCGCUUGAUCCUGACACGCUUUUCAUCCAAGCCCCAUUACAACCCUAUUAAAGUCCCUUUGAUUUAUGUAUUGAGUUCAUUUUUGAAUGGUAGAGAUGUGAUAAAUGUGCAAGCCUAUGGUAAUGUCAUUCCGUGGUGUUGAUUUGAGCGUUCCUGGUAUCUAUACAUUUUCUUGAAAGUGAUGAGUAUUACUGCUCAUACUCUUUGGAUAACUACCUGUCCGGUGUGCUCUAACUUUGGCGACAUUGUCAGGAAUGCAGGAUGCUUGUGUUAGUGUAGAUCACCGCAUAGUAGUUGCUAUUGUGAUUGAACUUCUGAUCUUCGAAAUGCUUGAGAACAAGCAUUGCCUAGGUGUGGAGGGAUUUGAUAGAGCAAUGUUUGGGCAUCUUAUGUGCUGUUAUGUGGUCAUAAUUUUGGCUACUUAUUAUGCUAAAUAUUGAAAUUUUGCUCAUAUUUGAUAUUUGUGUAAAUUAUAGGCGGUUGGUGUCAAAAAGUGUCUCUGAAGGUGAAUUUCCACAAGACUUUUUAUUUCAGGGUGUGCCCACGCCAGAAACUGUAGAAGAGACGCCUCAAAGUCAGACCGCGGGACUAACUAACUAACUAAACUCAUCCUUAUUCCUGCGGGAUGCGGUUGGAAGUGCGUCAAAACAAAAAGACGGCAAUUUCCAGCGAAUUUGUGAUAGGGUAUUAAUUGUUAGUAAUUUUAUUGUUAAUUUUUUCCUUUGUCCUUACCAAAUAUUGUUUUAAAUUGUUAAUAUAUACUUGUAUUUGGUAUUUGGACCUAUCUACAGGAAGUGGAACUAAAAAGUGCUAAAAAGGGGGGACCUUUUGGAGAGAAUUGCUCCACACGUGGGAGACUUCAAAAAGCUUCACGAACCUGGCCCACAGGAUACUAAGCAACGGACUUCCUUUUCUUUUUGCUGAUAAAGAGUUGCUGACUAGGAGUCUUCCUAUCAAAAGGAAACGAAAAAAGUGGAAUUCGGAGAGCUUUCUUUUUGUACCUUUUCUUUCAAUUCGGCAGGGACAACGUAGGGAGCAUUAGUCAUUGUUUAAGAGACAGUUUAGUUUUCUUUCUUUUCUUUUUCAUGCGUAAGUCUUGUUCGAUAAAAGUCUCGACUGGAGAAAUAUCGUUUAUUUCUUGAUUAUCUAGUGAAAAACGUGAUGCCUUUGCAAUUAAUUAAUUUGCGUGGAGAUUUACUGAUGCGGCGUGGUUAAGUUUUUCAUCUAGUCAAGGAUCAAUGCGACAAUGCAAUCCCUAAUAUCCGUGAGAUCGAAUUAAUUUUCAUGCAUUCCUUAAUUUGUUAAUAUUUGCACGUUGUCUGCUUGAAUUUUCAUGGGAUUAUUUUGUUAAUUGAAUGUCAAGGGCCCGAUGUUCAAUGCGACUUAUUAAUCUCCUGUCAAAUUAGUUAAUUAAAUCUGUAAUUAUUUAAAUUGAUUGAUAUCAGUGGCAACUAACGUUUUUAUACACUAGGGGAGCGUUCAAUCUGUUUCAAAUAACUCUCGUAGCAUGUUAUUGAUUAGGGUUAGACUUUUCUAGUUUUUAAUGCAAUUAGAGAAUUAAAUCCUAUGAUCAUACCUAGGAGUGUUUCCGGGUUAGGGGUAAUCAACGGUCGUACCUUGGUUGUCAAUAAAUUAAGGAAAAGCUGGUCGUCAGAACUUAUUGGCGACUAUAACUAACCUGUUAAUAAAAUUAAGUAAGCCUCCCUUGCAUCAAUAAUCGGAUGAAUGGACUGUGUCGGUGAAGUUGUAUCCUUGGCUCGAACUUGUCUAUUAUUUAUUUAAUUCCUAUCUACAUUCGUGUUAGUUAAUCGUUUACUUUUGGUUGAAUUGCUUAAUUAUUUUUAGUUUCAUUCCGAUAAAAUCCCCCAUUGUUAACUUGAACUUUAGUAAGAAACGAAUUACUCCCAAUCUCUGAGAAUACGACCCUACUUGCCCUGUUUUCAAAGCAAUAAUUAUUUGUGAAUAAGCAAUCCCAUUCUGGUAUAUCGGGUCAAGCAAACUUUUUGGAAACAGGGUGAAUCAAGUAACCUAUUGCACACCUAGAGUCCCUACUCCAGUACUUAGAAUUGGAUUUUGAUUACUCCGAUUGGCAACUAGGUUUAUUUUUAUUAUUGCGCAGGUUCGGCCCUUGUCAAUUUUUGGCGCCGUUGCCGGGGACUGGCAUUAAUUAUUUGUUUCUUUUUAAGUUCAAUUUUGUUCUAAUUUUCUGAUAUUUUUCUAGUUUAUGCCUCGUUCUUCUUGGACAGACGAAUUAAUUUUUGACCCUGAAGUAGAGAAGACCGCGCGUAAAAAGAGCAAAGAGACAAGACAGCUUAGAGAGGAGUUGUCCAGUGUUGCACCUGAGGGACUUGAUCCAAAGGUUGAGUCAACAAAUUCGCAUGGUGAUAAUUCGAGUGAUUCAGACCAAGAGGAAGUCACCAUGGCGAAUGCACGAACAUUAAGGGGGUUAGCUGCCCCAAAUUUAAAUCAACAACCCUUAUGCAUUACUUUUCCGCAUUUAAAUGAUAACACAUCUUUCGAGUUAAAAUCUGGCCUGAUUCAUCUUUUACCAUCUUUUCAUGACUUACCAGGUGAGGAGCCCUACAAGCACUUGCAAGAGUUCAAUGUCGUUUGCAACAGUAUGAAGCCCUCGGAAAUUACAGAAGAGUAGAUAAAAAUGAGGGUCUUUCCCUUCUCUUUGAAGGACUCCGAGAAAAAUUGAAUGUACUACCUACAACCAGGUAGUAUCACCACGUGGGACCAGCUGAAAAAAAAAUUCUUGGACAAAUACUUUUCGGCGUCUCGAGCUGCAAGUCUAAGGAAGGAGAUAUGCGGUAUCAAACAACACCCAGGCGAGUCUCUCUAUGAGUACUGUGAGAGGUUUAAGAAGCUGUGCAUCAAAUGCCCUGAGCAUUAGAUAAGUGAGCAACUGCUCAUCCAAUAUUUCUAUGAGGGGCUACUCUUCAGGGACAGAAGUAUAAUCGAUAUUGCAAGUGGAGGGGCAUUGGUGAACAAGAUUCCUCGAGAAGCAUGGGAGUUGAUUAAAGGGAUGGCUGAGAAUUCACAGCAGUUUGGUUCAAGAGAGGACAUCCCGACGCGUAGGGUGAAUGAGGUAGAAACAUCCUCUAUCCAACAAUAGCUCUUCGAAUUGACAUCUUUUGUACUACAACUAGCUGUGAAAAAUGCUCCACAAGCCAAAGUAUGUGGAGUAUGCACUGCUUUGGGUCAUUUUAUGGAGAUGUGUCCACUAGUUCAAGAAGAAAGUGCAGAGCAAGUGAACAUGACUGGUCACGCGCCCGCGCCAAGAAGGCCAUAUAACCCGUGUUCGAAUACGUACAAUCCGGGUUGGAGAGAUCACCCUAACUUUAGUUAUAGAGGAAAUAGGCAGUCCAAUUUUGCACCAAAUAGAGAGCAAGGGCAUCAACAGCAGUACCAGUCUCGCCCACCACCACCCCCUUCGAACUCAAGUCCGUCCAUGAAAGAGAUGAUGAAGCAAUAAAUUGCUAAUCAACAAAAGACGGAUUCAGAGUUGUAAAGUAUGAGAAAUCAAUUGGGACAGAUGCAAUCAUUGCAAAAUCAAAUAAAUCAAAUGGCCAUAACGAUCAACCGCCUGAAAUCCCAAGUUCAAGGGAAGUUGCCAUUUCAACCUGAGUUGAAUCCGAAAAAUGUAAGUGCACUGACCUUGAGGAGUGGCAAGGAAGUCCAAGGAUCCGAACCGGUGAUUCUUAGGACAAGGACAAGGAACGAAUUGAGAAAGAGUUGGAAGAAGAGGGCAGAGACAACAAAGAUCCAAAGGUAACCUCGGACCAAUCAUUACAGUUAGAACUAAUCCACCUUCCUUUCCUAGCAGGUUGGAGAAACCAAAGAAGCAAUACAAAGAAAAAGAGGUCCUGAAGAUAUUUCGCAAGGUGGAGAUCAACAUUUCCCUACUGGACGCGAUUAAACAAGUACCCAGUUACGCAAAGUUUUUGAAGGACUUGUGUGUCAACCGAAGGCGGUUAAAAGGAGAUGAACGAGUUAUAGUGGGGGAGAACGUGUCAGCAAUUCUACAAAGGAAACUUCCCAUCGAAAUAUGGGGACCCAAGUAUGUUACUAUUCCCUGUAGGAUCGGUAAUACCUUGAUUGGAAAGGCCAUGUUAGACCUAGGAGUUUCGAUAAACGUCAUGCCAAAGUCCAUAUAUGCUUCUUUGAAUUUAGGUCCUUUAAAAGAAACGGGGAUAAUAAUUCAAUUAGCUGACCGAACUGCCCUGAUGGGUUGAUUGAAGAUUUUUUUAGUAAAAAUUAAUGAAUUGAUUUUUCAACUGAUUUUUAUGUGCUUGAUAUGGAUGAUAAAUACUCCCACGACCCCUUACCUUUAUUGUUAGGUAGACCCUUUUUUAGCACAGCCGAACCAAAAUUGAUGUUAACAAGGGUAUCUUGUCUAUGAAAUUUGAUGGUGAUAUUGUUCACUUUAACAUUUUUGAGACCAUGAAAUAUCCUUCAGAUUCAAAUGUCAGCUCUGUUUUCUCUGUAAAUGUUAUUGACCCUGCGGUACAGGAGGUUAUUGAAAUUGAAGGCAGGGAUGAGCUGGAAGUCGCCUUGACCAGGCACUUCGAGUCAGAGACGACCUCUGAGAUAGAGUUGAGUGAAGAGCUCAAAUGUGUGAUUGGAGCGUUGCAAUCAUUGUCAAUCACGAAAACAAGGUAUGGGCUUGCACCCAUUUUCACACCUGAACCUCACCAACGGUUACUUUCAUCUGUGGUGUAGGCACCUAUCUUGGAACUGAAACCCCUGCCGAAACAUCUAAAGUAUGCAUACUUGGGUGAAGGGGAGACUCUCCCAGUGAUCAUCUCUGCUAGUUUAUCGGAGGUCCAAGAAGACAAACUAAUUCGAGUUUUGAGGGAACAUAAGCAGGCGAUAGGAUGGACCAUCGCCGAUAUCAAGGGAAUUAGCCCCGCGGUAUGUAUGCAUCGCAUUCGACUCAAUGAGGGUUCUAAACCCGUGCGGCAGGCUCAGAGGAGACUAAAUUUCCUCAUGAUGAAGGUAGUGAAGAAAGAGAUCCUGAAACUGCUGGAUGUGGGGAUAAUAUUCGCAAUAUCAGACAGCCCUUAGGUAAGUCCAGUAUAGGUGGUUCCGAAAAAGGCAGGGGUGACGGUGGAAUCAAAUUAAGAGGGUGAGCUCAUGCCAGUUCGGAAGCCCACCGGAUGGCAACAGUGUAUCGACUAUCGGAAGUUAAACGUCGUCACAAAAAAGGAUCAUUUUUCCCUUCCUUUUAUUGAUCAGAUGGUAGAGCGAUUAGCAUGUCGAGCUUAAUAUUAUUUUUUGGAUGAAUUUUCAAGUUAUUUUCAGAUUGCUAUCGCACCCGAGGAGCAGGAGAAGACCACUUUCAUGUGCUCGUUUGGAACAUUUGCAUACAGGUGAAUGCCAUUUGGAUUGUGCAAUGCACCUACUACCUUCCAACGUUGCAUGGUAAGCAUUUUUUCGGAGUAUAUUGAGAAGAUUAUUGAGAUUUUCAUGGACAAUUUUAGUGUGUAUGGUGAGAGUUUUGAUAACUGUCUAGAUAACCUGAAACUAAUCUUAGUAAGGUGUAUAGAAACUAAUUUCGUGCUUAAUUGGAAAAAAUACCACUUUAUGAUCGAACACGGGAUAGUUUUGGGUCAUGUAGUGUCGUCUAGGGGUAUUGAGGUUGAUAAAGUGAAAAUAGACAUUAUAUCUACUUUACCUUACCCCAUGAGUGUGCGGAAAGUGCGUUUUUUUUGUCACGCAAGUUUCUAUAGAAGGUUCAUCACAGACUUCUCGAAAAUUAGAGCACCCUUGUUCCAACUUUUGCAAAAAGAGGUGCCCUUCGAAUUUGAUGAAGCGUGUAAGAGGGCAUUUGAUAGGUUGAAGGAGCUAUUGACCUCGUCAUCUAUUAUACAACCUCCUGAUUGGAACCUACCAUUCGAGAUCAUGUGCGACACCAGCGAUUAUGCAGUGGGCGCGGUGCUGGGUCAGAGAGUAGGAAAGACAGCCCAUGCUAUCUACUACGAGUAUCAAGCCUUGAACGGAGCUCAAUUGAACUGUUCAAUCACCGAAAAGGAGCUUUUGGCGGUUGUUUUUGCUUUAGAGAAAUUCUGGUCUUAUUUACUAGAUACCAAAGUUAUUGUCUUUUCAGACCAUGCAGCGUUGCGGUAUCUGUUGACCAAGAAAGAGGCAAAACAGUGACUGAUAAGGUGGAUAUUAUUGUUACAAGAGUUUGACCCAAAGAUCAGAGACAAGAAAGGGGCAAAAAAUCUGGUAGCAGAUGUAGACACCAAAUUUUUAGCCUUUCUUUUUCUUUUUAUUUUAUUUAUUUAAUUAGUUGAUUUUGUUUUAAUUUUUGCUAAGAAAAUUGUUUUACUAUUAUUAAUUAAUUCAUUGAAAAAAAGAAAAAGAAAAAGCUAUUCCAUGUGCAUGUGCUUGGCACGUGCGCCAUUUUCUUUUCUUUCAUGCAAAAAAUGCAAGCGGAAGGCGAAAAUAGGGACAGAAAUUUGCAGCUGCAUUUUUUUAAUCCCAGCCUCAUCUCAAAAAUGCCAUCCAAUGGCUCAAGUUUUCAGUAGAAACCCACCCUUCAUCCUCACCUUUGAGGUGAGGGUUUUAGGGACCUGGGGUUUCCUAUAAAAGAAAAAAGAGCAGCGGGGACAAAGGGUAAGAGGAGUCGGCAGCUGGGGCUGAGUAGAAACAACGGAGGAAAAAAGCAAAAAGGGGGGGUUCUUGGGGAGAGUAGUUGACGGCUGAAGGAAAGAGUGAAUGGAGAGUCUGAGGGCUAGAGAGAGUUUUGGAGAGGGUGACGGCCGAAAGAAAGAAACCAAGCGAGAGGAAACCAAGGAAAGGAGAAGCGACUUCAUCAAUGUAAAGGGCAUUUCGUGGGUCUUCGUUUCCAGAAACAACGUGUUUGUCCUGAGACUGGUAGAGAAACGAAUCAAGAGUCUGAGGAAGACACAAGGGAGGAUCGGGGAAUAAGCAAAGGAAAUCUGCAAAAUCUUGAAGAAGGCUUCGAAGCUGAGAGCGAGGGAAAGAGGACUGCUCGACGAGGUGGCAACUUCUGCAGCAAAAGUUCCCGAUCGCGUUCCUGGGAACCCGUAUGCGUUUCCGGGCAGAUCCCAAGGCCGCUCAACCAUGCUAGCAUUCUCAGGUAAAAAUGCCUCUUAUUUGGUGGAUUUUAACAUGUUUUUAUGAAAGAUAAAGCCAUCGGAUGUGAAUCUUUUUGUUUGCUAUUGGGUCAAGCUCUCGCUGGUUCUAUGAUUCUGCCAUUUUGCUCGUUUGCUAAGAUCUGAUUCAGUAGGAACCUAUGAGAUGAGUCUGAUUAAGAACAUGGGGUUUAGGGUUUUCUGUAGUGGUCACCUGAUGAAUCCAUGAGUUCUUUGCUCGAUGUUUAUGGUCAGUCUUUGUGUGCAUGAAUAAGCAAACCCAGAAAAGUGGCGUAAAGCUUCGGACAAGUCUGUUUUGAUGUUUCCUUGAUUGCUGCUUCUCCAUUUCUUGUUGUUUGUGUAAUAUUUGAUAUCGGGUUUCAGUGUUAAAUGGAGCAAAUGGUGAGUUUUGGUUGUUGGCUUGGAGAUUGAUCCAUCGGAUCCGAACAUUUGAUAAUAAAAAUGGUAGAAGGUUUUUUGAAUGCACCUGGUUCGAUGUUAGUUUUGUACUUGGGUUAUGUUAAUAAGGGUGAUUUGGAGAUUUAUGAGAGUUCUAGUUCACAAACAAAAUAAGUUUCAUUGAUUUCUUUUCAUAUAAUAUCAGCGUGGGUUGAGCUGCAAUUUUGCAGUAGAAAGUUGCGGCAGAAGAAGAAUGUUUUUUUCAUAUCAGGUUGCAUGAUCCUUUUGUAUGAGUGUCGGGUGCUUAAAUAUAAUGGUUUUAUGUUAGAAAACAGAGGGGGGAAUGUUUAAUAAUCCUGUUGCCUGGCUUCAGUUUGCAUUGCGCUUAUAGUUUGCGCAUAAGAAUGCUUGUUGCAGCGGUAUGGACGAAGUUCUGUUUUUUCCUUUUCCUGUUUCAAGUUCAAGUUUUGACUGUGGAAUAUGUGUGUUUUGUUGCUCAAUUUAAGUUGAAGUCUAGGUGAAAUGUUUUGGAUCAAGUCUGGAAUCCUUAUUUGAAAUGAAAGGGCAACAGCGUGCGUUUGUUCUUGAUUGCAGAAGCUUUAAGCUUCGGGAUUGUGCAUGGACUUGCAUGAAUAGCUUUCAAAAUUUGCACUUUGCUCCCCUUAGCUUCUAUCUAUGCUACAGAGGCCCAAUUAUGUUCUAAUUUCUUGCAAUUAGGUCCUAAAGUAAUUGCCAUUUGAACCAUUGCUUGACCUUUCCAUUACUUAUGGGCCUUUGAAGUUCCCAAAUAUUUUAAUUGGGCUUGAAUGAUUGGUUAAGGCUUGCUCUUGGGUCCUUAGUAGUUUUUUUCUAUUUUAGGAACUUGAUUGACAAUUUACCUUCCUUGCAAUUAUGCAUUAUUUGAUUACAUUCAAUUUGCAAUUGGGAAGGAUUAGGUGAUUUGUUGGUUUAACUUAUUUUGUGCUUUUGUUUAUAUGGUUAUUCGUGAUGCCUUGACUUUUUCUUUUAUUUUGGAGGGUAAAUAAGUAAUCUCACUCCAUUAGGGCCCCAAUUCAAGGAAGGUACACCCUAUCUCUUAUUUCUUACUUUAUUUGACUUUACGUGCCCUAUGUGACUUUACGUGUUUGAUUGCAUACCUCUUGAAUGUUUUUUUUAUUAUUUUAUUAUUUAUUUAUUUGUUUGCUUUAUUGACUUUAGUUUUGUAUAUCUAUUUUAGUUCAAUUUUGAUCAUUUGAAAGGCAAUUUAAUGUCAAAGUUGUAAUAACUAGGUUAUGAUUUUAUUUAUUUAUUUCUUUCCCCCUUAAAUUGUAGUAGGCGUUCCCUUUUGUAAUAGAUAGGGCUUGGGUGUGCCUACAUGCCUAUGUGUUUAAUUGCUUUCCCUAGGCUUCUGCAUCUAUAUAAGCAUGCUUAUGUGCUACGUGCUAUGUGAAACUAUGUGCUUUGCAUGUCUAUUUGCUUUAGUAUUAUAUCUGAUUAUGUGGAUGGAAUGCACGUUACCGUGACUAGUCCAAUGCUAGUCAUGAUCUUCCCCUCGAUCACUCACAAGUCCAAUGCUAGAUCCAAUAGGACUGUCCCUCACUAGUACAUACUUGCAUGCCUUCACUACAUCUUCAUUCAUUUUUUUCCCUUUUAGUUUUACAUUUUUGCAUGAUCCUUCACUCCCUUUCCCGCAUUUGAAACAUGAUUUUUAGGAUUUUGUAUUUCAUUCUAGUUAUUAGGGUCAUUUGCUUGAUUAGGUUAGGGAGUCACCCUUCUGGUAAGGGGAAUGGACGAGUGUGGCUACACAUAGCCUUAGCACGCUCAUUCUUUUUCUAAUCAAAAGGCAAAUCGUAAGUCACGAUUUAGGGUCUCCCCGUACACGUUUUGCUUGCAUUCCUCUAGGUCUCAUGCAUUUCAUUUUGCACACACACACACACUUUACACUCUCUCUCAUUUGCACACGUACACUUUACACUCUCUCUCAUUUGCACACGUACACUUUACACUCUCUCUCAUUUGCACACGUACACGUUACAUAUUCAUUUGCAUCCUUACACUUUAUACACUCCCUCAUUUGCACACAUGCACUUCUCACUAUCACUUUACACUCUUCCUCAUUUGCACACAUACACUUCACAUUAUCACUUUGCACACUACCACCUUACACUUUCUCACUACACACCCGUUCAUAUUGAUCACAUUUGCAUCCAUUCAUCUCACUCGAGCAUUCAUUUGCAUUUAUUCGUGGCCUCUUUGAGGGUUCACCAUUUGGCUAUCACAAUUCAUGUGAUUAGGACCAAUCGAGCCUCAAAAGAGACAUUUUGUUCCUUUCGAACCAAUAAUUAGAUUUAGGUUUGCAUUCACAUUAGACACAUCCAAAAUGCGAUACAUCUUUUGGGUAGAAAUUAGGAAACUUGUCACUAAAUCACGCAACUAGCUUAGGUUAGGGUAAAAGGGUGCCUUAGACUUCGUUUUUGCCUUCCCUUUUAUCAACCGUGACCCCCGAACUCAUCUCUUUGAUUUUCGUAGAUUAGGAGUCAUCUAAAAAGGUUUUUCACCUCAUUUUUCAAAAACUAUUUUUUGGGUGACUUGGUACACCCCAACUCAAUAACAAGUGGCGACUCCUAUUUUUCAUGUUAAAAACCCUUUUAGAUUAUCGUUUUGGCCAAACCGUCGCAUUUAAAAGUCCCAUGGCCUUUUCCUUUAAUUCUCAUAUUCACACACUUCACACACAAUACACAUUAUGACUUCAAAACAAACUUUCACUUUUUUCUUUAUAUUUUCUCAAAAAAUGGGGCGGGACAGCUUGGCGACUCCACUGGGGACUUCCUAAGUGGGUCCGAGCACUUGAUUUAGUUAUUCUUUUCCUUUUUUACCCUUUUCAUGUAUCGCAUUUGCGUGUUUAAGGUUGCAUUUUUUUUCUUUUUUAGGAGUUUUGCAUUCCGCGCGUAUCAACUCACUCCCUUACUCAUUUGCGUACAUUUGAUUUGAUGGAUGGAUGAUUUAUUUAUGUUAUCCCGCGCUUUGCAUUGCAUUUGGAUGGGGGGAUAUUACCCUAGAGCCUCGCGUUGGUUCUCGAUCCCUCCCCUCCAAAUGGAGCACUAGCAUACGUGCAUACGCUUUAUUUUUUAUCCCUCAUUUAUUUUUCUUUUUAGUGGCUUGUCACGCCACUCCACCCUACUAGGAUUAGACGACCCAUUUGGACGUGUGAUCGCGACACGAUGUGUGCGUAGCAUGAUCCAAGGGGUCACUCAAUCUUCCAUUUUAAACUUUGGAUUGAUAACCUUUAGUUUUUAGUCAAAGGUUGAGGAUUUUUGAUAGAUUCACUCAGAUAUGUAGCCGUGACACGAUGUGUGCGUAGCAGUGUCUGGAGAAUCGCUCGAGCCACCGACAAAGAACCUUGGGAUUGAUGACCUUUGGUUUCCAAGUCUGAAGGCUCGGGGACCUAAAACCUAUCGAGUCUAGAUGCAUUAGUGAGCCAAUACCGCAUGCAUCCAUGAUAGUUUACUUAGGGUAGAGCCUGCCUUACCCUAUUAGGAACACUAUUCACGAGGGGAGGGAUCCAACCCCUCUUUUCCUUUUAUUGCUUUAUCUCUUUGUAUUGCUUUGCUUCAAUGUGUUAUGUGUAUUUAUCUGAUUGAACUAACUUUUCUUGGUUUUUGUCUCUAUUGCAUUCAUAAAUCCUAGAAAAUAAGAGUUCUGGCAUGGUACUCUCUAGGAACUUACCCUAUUUGAUGUGACACGUUUAAAUUCAAUGCUUCGCAUUUGUAACAUGAAUACAUUUCAUUUUAGGCGUACCCCGGCAUACAAAAGGGGGUUCCUUUAGGUCACGUUUCAUUUGUAUACUGCAUAUUUAGUUGCUUUGAUAAAUUGACAUCAUGCAUGAACCAUAGAGGGAAUGCCAUUUAGGGGAUCCCACGUUAGGAAUAAACCGCCAUGUGUCUCGGAUAUACAAUCCAAUGAGACUUGCACGUCUAUAUUUCUUGUACCUUCCAAAGGAGUAGUGCACAAGGUAAGGUAGAAUCCGAUCUUUUUCCAUGAUUAUAGAACAAAUUUUGCACAUUAGAAUAUGAACAUCUAACAAUCAUUUUUUGGUCAUUUAUCUGGUAAAAAUCCCUUGCGUAAAAGGCAUUAAUUUGAAGAAAUUUACAAACGAUCCCUCAUUGUUCAGACGAUAAAUAUAUCGAGGCCAAAUCUUGAUUUUAGAAGACUCAUAGACUAAUGUAUCGCAAUGAUUUUUUUUUGAAACUACCAAUAGGUAGACAAUUCAAUAAAUCAUCAUUUUCAUUCAAUUCGUUUGAUCAAAUUAUCCAUCAAAUUCUUCCAAUCUAUUUGGUCAAUUCAUUCAUUUUAGGACAAUUCGGUCAAUUUUGAAUAAAUCAUCAUUUUCAUUCAUUCGACCAAUUUACCCUUUUUAGGGUGAUCUGACCAAUUUUGAAUAAAUCAUCAAUUCCAUUCAAUUCAUUGGAUCAGUUUAUCUAUUUUUAGGGUGAUCUAGUCAAUUUUGAAUAAAUCAUCAAUUUCAUCCUAUUCAUUUGACCCGCUUAUUCCGUUUAGGGUUUAACUCUAAGGUUCACUAAAUAAAUUAGUCGACACAUUGCAAUCCUUUCAAGAGUAGACUCUUUUACACAUCAUUUUAUGUGUUGAUCAAAACAAGCAAUCCAUUCGGACUUUGUCCUCAUUUUUAGGACAAAUGUCUCUUCUCACUCCAAUUGACCAAAUUUGUUAAAAUUAUUUUUUCACUCAAUAAGUUGAUCGGAUUCAUCAGGUAUUGUAUAGUGCCUACCCCAGAGAAUUGCAUUUUCAUGCUAUGCCUACCCUUGGCAUAAAAAGGGCACCCCCAUAGGACAUGCAUACCGAUUUUAUAGUCUUGCUUACUAACUCGGGGUAUUUUUCUUUUAUUUUCUCCCCUCCCCUGCAUUCAUAAAAAAUGUUUCAAUAAGGUGAAAAUAUUUUUUCUAUAUCUGAUAACGAUUUUAUCUAAUAAAUCUUGAAAAUUACAAUUAAUAUUUGAUUCUUGGAUAGACCCUACUAUUUGAAGAAUCUAUCUGGAGGCACAAGGCUAAAACACCUAAGAGACUUCAUAAUUGUUUGUCAAAGAAAAAAUUUUGUUUAUUUGAUUUGUUAAUACAUUUUGUUCCAAAAGAAAAGGAGACAAAAGUGUGUAUAUGUGGAGUUCUUUAGAAGUUUUUCUCUUCUCAUUUGCAUUAUGAUUGAACAAGAAAUUUUGUUUCAAACUUUUCCAAUAAUAAAGUUUUUUAUUUAGACAAUUAUUGUCUUGUAUAUAUAUUCAUCUAUAUUUCAUUCUUUAUUUUGCUCAUUGGAGAUUUCAUGAUGAAUUUUAAGAAAUGAGACUACAUUGAGAUUUUUUCAACCUCUAGCCUGAAAAUUCACAAGUGUAUGUUUUCUAAAAUCUUUGCAUACACUAGAUUGGUGAUCUGAACUAUACAAUAAGAGUGUUCAGAAUUAAAAAGAGGUCACUCAAAAGACCCAAUGGGAUACAUUUUUCUCCUUCACUGUACAAUUCAUAUUUUUGCCCAUUUCUAUUAGCCCCCCAAAAUCAGUCACAUUGAUUGAUAAAUUACAAAUUGGGGCAAUCUUUGCUUGAAAAUGCCCACUGUGUCUAAUUAGAUUCAAUCCACAUCUAAGUGAAAACAAAAAUGUACAUUAUUCUUAUUUGUUUUGAAAGUUUGGAAUGAUACUUCAAGCAUUCGUUUCUCUAUCUAUACAGAUUUUAUCAUUUGCUCUCUCAUUUGAGCCUUUAAAAGAAUAAUUUCGUUUCAAAUGAGAGCCCUAAUGAUCACUACCCCAUAUUGGAAGAUUUUUCAAAUAUCAAAAGGGAGUGGAUUCUCAAUGAGCAUUUCGUUACUUUGGUUGUCAUAAAACUUAAGAAUGAUGCUUUGGCCAUCGUUUCUACAAUCUAAACAUUAUUUAUCCCUUGCAUCCUCCUUUGAGCUAAAAUGGGUGGUUCUUUUUAAAAGCAUUUAUGAUCGUACCCCACACCGGGGAAGGAGAUUGGAGGAUUUUUCAAAAGAAGAAAAAAAGGAAGAAAAAGGAGGCAAAAAAUGCUAAAAUUCAAGAAGAAGAGAGGGAAUUGCAAAUUGGGAAAAUUUGAUUCUAUCUGGGAUUUAAUUUUGGAAAAGAAAGAGGAAGAGUUUUGUCCGGCGGAUCACUUAUGUUUCACAGAUAUGGAUGAACAGGAGUCUUUCUCAAUCAAUGAUGCGAGACGCGGAAGCAAAGACUGGAUUUCAGAGGUACACGUCGCGAUUGACGGAAUGGAACCCGACUUGGACCACUCAAGGACGGAUUCAACGGUAGAGGACGCCACAAUCAAGUGUGUGAGCUUGAUUGAUAAGUCAAUAAAACAGCCUAGGAACCACGCUCGGACAUUCAACUUAGCCUUCACAAGCUAAAGGAAUUUGCCACAACCAAUGGACGAAAUUCUGGAAUUUUAUUGAAUAAUAUCGGAAAACUGAAUGUAAAACAUGAUUUAAGGCUAUUUAUAGCCUUGACUAAACCCUAAUAAAGCUUGGAAAAUACAAAAGAAAAUUCGGCCAACCCAUUUCCUUCACUUGGCCGAAUAUUAACCCAACAACCUAUGGCCCGUAACUCAGCGUAGGUACUUAACUGCGGCCCAAUCAGCCGUUUGAAGCUUGACCACUUGCAUCCUCAACUGUAAGCAACACUUUAGUAGUCUCGCCCGGAUCUUCCAACUCAAUCCCUUCAAUGGGCGGUUUCUCUUGGGUUUGGACUGUGACGGCCCCACAUCUCCUUAAGGCGAACCAAAGGGUAUCCGCGGGACGCCUGCCCAACUCUCGCCAGGACUCAAGCAAUUCCAUUCCUCUUAAAACCAAACCGAACAUUUCGAAGAGAGUAACAUGAGUACAAAUAAUGCGGAAGCGUUCAACUUAACAAGUCACUUAACAUGUAACCAGUACAUCGGGUAAACAUAAUACGACUUAAAUUCUAAUUACACGUCAGGGCCCAAAUUUUACAUUUCAAUUCCAAAAGUACAGUCCAAACCAGGGCCUAGCCAAAAUAUAGAAGAAAUCCUAAACAAAAGUACAACGAAGGGUUUCUCCAUACUUCUCCGAGAUUCGGUCCUGUUAAGGAAAACAAAACUAUGGGGUGAGCUAAAUGCUCGUGAGGCCAAGAACACAUAUUCAAGCACAUUGUUCAAAUAGCAAUCCUAAAUUUAUUAAAUAAAACCGUGAUAUUUCAAUAAUCAACCAUUCGAGCAGGAAAAGUAAUCAGAAACAAUUCAAGGAUAUAGUAGCUCUCAGGAGUUAAGUUCCACUCGCUCUGCCGAUGUCAUUCGUAUACCUUCCCGCGAUGACCCUCCGUCAACCGGGUCGGUAUUUCCAUUUCCGUAGAUCACCACUUACUUCCCUCCGUCCACCGUACACCUCCAGGGCCCACAAGUCAUUUAUAAGGCGAUACUCCACGAGUAUGCCAAGCAAGACCUCUCAUUAGGUCAAGCUUAUAUAUCUCAUGGCUCGCCCAGGUUCCCGACCAAGCCCAUUGCCGGCUCGAGUCCAAGGUCGGCCUAUGAGUUUGGGCGUCCCCCAUUCAUUUGAAAGUCGAGGAGAUUCACUCCAACGACGUAUGUAGUUAUAACAUACCAUUGCAUUUCAUUCAUUCAUUCAAUACAUUUCAUUCAUUCAUUUGAAAUUAGAACGAGUGUGAUAAAAUACACACCCGCCCUUAUUUUUAAAAUCUCCAACAAUUACCACAAAUAAGCAAGUAUCAAGGAUUCACACACUUGACACUCACCGAGCAAUUCAAUAAGAAUUAUUUUCUGGAAGUUCAAGUGUCCACUGUAAGAUCCUCUUGAAGGUCUCCUUGUGCGCCUGGCAAUUAAUAGUGGAUAAUCACUCAAAUAUCAAAAUUAUCAAGGAAGAUUGUACACUAGUACAAUCUAAAGAAUAUUUCACAAAAAUGAACCUCAAUUACUCGUAAAUCGAGGUUCAACUUGCAUUUUAUUAAGUACAAUAUUAUUUGAGUUUUUAUCAUGAAAAUCGAGGGCAAAACGUUUGAAUAAUACUAAGAGAAUUAAGAGUUUUGGAAAAACUCCUUUGCCUUGAAAAUUGAAAAUUUUCAGUUUUAUUAUAAAUCUUUGAAAAUUCGUAUCUCUCUCGAUAUAAGUCCAAAAUUGGAAAACUUUAUCCCGUUGGAAACCUUUUGGAAAGUGUUAAAAGUUCGUAGAAGACACUUUUCCAUGAAUCUAAGUGGAAAGUACUUAAAAAUGAGCUUGAAAUCACUGUUCCAGAAUGUUCAGGAUUGAGUUAAGGUUGGUUUUUUUUGCUAACUUUGGAAAUUUGGCAGAAUUCACUCGUUGCAAGCUAGCCCUUGAAAUUUAUAACUCAAUUAGAGGUGUAAGUAAGGUUUAGGGCAGAACAAGCGGAUUGAGAAUUGGAGUUUCGAGCACCGAGAUACGGUAGCUCGAAGUUGGGAAAAUUCAAGUCUGGUGAACAAUUUCCAGAUUUGAGUUUCCAAAAAUUGGAACCUUAGCUAAGUGUCAAAACGAACUUGGAUUGGUAUAAACUUUUGUAGUAUGUUACUCCUAUAUGAAAGGUAUCUCUCUAUCAAAUUUCAGGAAAAAAUACCUUCGGAAAGAUAGUUAAUUAAUCAUCCAAAGUUCAGGAAAAUUUCUAAGGCAACCUGUCUUUUGACUUCAUUUCCCAAUUCAAAUCGUUUAAUCAACAAAGCUAUCCAACCAUGGUUCAUUUAUGAAAUAAAGGUCUAAGAUACAUCCAUGAUACCUUUGGUAGGUGUUUAGCAUCAAGAACUUCAAUUAAUAAGAUCACUCCCAGGUUUUGUCCCAAACCAGUCCAAGUAUUACGGUUUUUCCAAAACAGUGCAGUCCUCUUGUUUCGGUCACAACUCAGUCAAUUUAACUCAGAAUCGAGCAUGGUUUAUGUCGUUGAAAAAUACAUUCAUAGGGCUAUAAUAUCACAGAAGAAAUCAUUUCAAAAUUUGGUGCCCAACUAGUUCAAAAUUGGGCAUCAAUUUGCUGCCUUAUCACUUCAUUCCAGUUGAACAGAGCAACAGGACAGCGAUCUUAAAACGUUUGGUUCGGCUCACUCACAAAGAAUCAGAACGUGCAUUUUAUCUCAAAUUAAAGCCUGAAAUGUCUAGUUUCCAACGCCACCAACGGCACAUGAUUUCGACAUCCGAGGACGGAGUUAUGGCCGAAUCACCACCGCUGGUCAGAGCCAUACGUGAACAGUUUCCAGAUUUGCUAGUUUCACAAAAAAAAUUCGUUUGCCCAACCAAACCUCAUUAUUUUUCAAUGAAAUUUUUCACACAUCUAAUACGUCAUAUAAACAUCAAAUUCAAGCCAUUAGGUCAUUAAAAAUUGGCCUUAAAAUGGCCGAACAAGGCAGGGGCAAAAUCGGAAACUUUUGCUUCUUGCACCCAAUGAAGUUUCUAUCAAUUUCACACCAUUAAUCCAUCAUUUUAACCACUAAACCAACAAUAUAUCCACCAUCAAUCAUCAAAUCAGCAACAACCCAAGAGUGGGAGUUCAUAGAGCCCACUUUCACAUUUUUCCAACAAUAUCAAGUCAUCUACUUAUAUGCAAGUACUUAGAGAUGCAUAUCUACUACUAUAAAUCAAGUUUAAGGUGAUGGAUCAUGUUAUACCUUCUUAAUGUACUAGAACAGAAUUUUUGGCCCUUGAAAUGCUCCAAGAAAUCGUGAUUUCCAGCACCCUUUUUGCAGCUCAAAAUGAUCUCCUAGUGUUAAGCUAAGUGUGGUGCAAGUUUGGUUGAAUUUGGAGAUGUUUUGGUGGUGGUUUGAGUAAGCUUUGUGAAGUAAAAUGAAGAACAAUGAAGCUUAAGAGAGAGAGAGAGCUAGUCGGCAGUCUUGAGAAGGAAGAGAGAGAGAGUGAUCAGAUUUUUAAGCUUCCAAGAGAAGAUACUAACUUGUGGCUACAAAUCACCCAUUAGUCAACUCACAUUAGGGGGCAUUUGGCGCGAUUAGGGCUCGUUUUCACGCGCGUUUGGUUCACUAGUGCACUAAGUCUCUAAUGCACUUAUUUUCAUGUAAAUAUUAUUCACUCUUAAUUGUCCCGAAAUAAGGGUCUAAAGUCCCUCAAAUAAAGUCGCGCGUAUGAAAACGCGUACCGUCAAUUUUAACGCUAUAACGCGAAACCUCCGAGAAAUUCUUAUAACAACCGUGCUACUAACUAUCACUUGAGUAUUUAUUCAUAAGAUUACCUAUUUUAGGACCAUAGUACAAGUCUCCAAUAUUCCAAACUUAUUGUGCUCCCACGCGGUAAAAUCUCCGAGCACUGUUCACUAUUUUUACUAAACGCACUCCAGGAAAUUAAUUUUUGAGACGAGUCACUUUAAAAAUAUAACGAAGUUAUAUUAUCAUGUAUUUAGGUCUAAUAAGACUAGAAAAUAUUUCUCGUGGUAAAAAUCCAAUUAAAUAAUUUAUUAAGCCAUAAGUUAGGCUAAAAAAAAUAAUAGUUUUUACGAGUCCUCACAUGGACGGCAUAAACCAAGGCUUGAAGUGACUCCUUGAAUCUCUUAACUCGUGCUCGUGUCACUGGGCCUUGGGGCACCUUUACAGGGUCUACUUGAGCACCAUGGGCCUCGUCCGCAUCAAUCAAUUAAUUCAGAUACAUGCAAGAAAUUUCGCAUUAAUGAAAGUUUCCUUUCAGAGUUAUUGUAAGGAACGGAAUAAAAAGUUAGGCUCUCUUCUUUUCCAAUCAAACAUUCUAUCGCUAGUUAUCCCUUUCGAGCCUUCAAAAUAAAAUACUUCGUUUGGCAACCACUGAGGAUCGCAAACUCCACACUGGGGCAAGUUUGAGUUGCAAAGGGAAGGAAAGUUUCAAGAGGUGAAAAGUGAUAAAGUAACAAAAGAAAAAGAGAAAAUGAAACAAAAGAGAACCUCGGUUAAGCAUAAACUGGGACAAAUUUUGAAAAGUUCAAAAGAAUGGCAAAAGGCCAAGAAGAAAAUAGAGAGAAGAAAAUGAAAGAGAAAAGAGCCUCGGUCGAGAAUAAAUUGGGGCAGGUUUUGAUUUAACCCUAAAAAUAGGGUUGGCGCAACAAUGCGAUCUCAGAUCAUUUAAACCACUUUUGAAAUCCGCUUUCAAGUUUUAACUUUUCUAAGCACCCCACCAGACCCCAUUACAAAAGCCGAAAGUCCUGACUUCUGUUUUUUGCAAUAUCUCUGUCAAGAAAUUUUCUAAUUGGCAAGUGAUGCUCAUAUAUUGAUGCCAAGGAAUUUUUAAAUAUAUUUGAAUUGAUUAGGCGUGAGGUUGACACUGCUCUUCAUGUGAAAACCAGCAAGGGCACUUUUGAAAAAAAGAAGGAAAAAGGAAAAAGCAAGCGAAAUAAAUGCAAAAGAAAAAUGCAAAAAGAUUCGAUGCUGAAAGUCCCUGUUGAGUGAUUAUAAAGUCAAACAAAGGUCGAGAUUGGGGCGAUUUUUGGGAGGAAAUGCGAUCUUCAAUGCAAUGUCCUUAAAAUCUUAUUUAUUUAACUAUCGUUUUCAAGCCACAUUACAAGCUCAUAAAGUCCAUCGCUGACUUAUCUUUCAUGACAAUUCGAAGUGAGGAUUAUGCUUCUAAGGAAUCCAUUAAUCAUUCAGGAUUAUAAGGCAAUAACCGGUUUCCACAUGCUUAACUGUCAUUUCUACCCAUAUGUUACAAGUUUAUAAAGCUUAUAUGUUGACUAAGUUUUCUUAAAAAAUAAGGGUGACAAACUAUUUGUUUUCACUAAGAUGUGAUAUUGAAGGGAUUACAUACAAUUUGGGCACAAGAAUAAGACAAAUCCUGACCUCUAAUUCCCCUUAGCCCCCUCAAAAUAAAAAAUAAGAUCACUUGAUUGGUCCUGAAAGAUGAGCUAACAAAAAAGAGGUGACCCAUUACCCUAAGUCUCGAUGUUAAAGUGAGGAAGAAAUCUUCUGUAAUUUGAUAUUAUUUUGAGAAAUUCAUCAUGAAAUUUUUUGUAUGAGUUUAAGCAAGAUGUUUAAUUUUCUUCACAUUAUACGUUAGGAAACAUAGUUUCUUACUUUGUUCAAAUAAAUGGAGAGUCAUCGAAACAAAAUUUUUGCAAUUGAAAGGGCCCACACUGGGGUAAAUUUUUGUAAUGCAUUUGAGGAUUUCGUCCAAGAGUCAAAUAAGAUAUUUUUGAAUCAAUCAUACUGCUCUUUACAUGAGUAAUAGGUGCAUCAAUCAAAAAAAUAAUAAGAAAUUUAAGUGCAUGUUGUACUUUGGUAAGACCCCUAUACAGGUAUUCAUGGCUGAAAUUGAUGAAGAAACAUUUAGUGAUGUGGAAGGCCGAUACCGGAAAAAGAGAAGAAAGGAAAAGAAAAAGGGCUCUACACUGGGACAAAUUAUUUUUUGAAAAGAAUCUCUCAAUCAAAAAAAAAUCCCAAAAAAAAUCAAAAGAUCAAAAAUCCAAAAAAAAAAAAUCAAAAGAUCAAAAUUUUAAAAAAAAAUCAAUCAAACAAAAAAAAUAAAAAAUAAAAAAUCAAGUUUAAAUUCUUGUUUCUUGGAAAAUCAAAUUUAAUUUCUUGUUUCUUGAAAAGUCAAAUCUAAUUUCUUAUUGGUGAGUCUCAGCGUCCGCUGCGCACCCUUCUACCUCAUUUCUGGACAACCACAUUUAAUUCACUGACUUCUACCACCGUUAGCAUCGAGUCUAUCUCACUAACGUGUGCGUUUUUAUUCAACUACCGUUAGCAUCGAGUCUAUCUCACUAACGUGUGCAUUUUUAUUCAACCACUGUUAGAAUCGAGUCUAUCUCACUAUCGUGUGCGUUUUUAUUCUACCACCGUUAGCAUCGAGUCUAUCUCACUAACGUGUGUGUUUUUAUUCUACCAUCGUUAGCAUCGAGUCUAUCUCAUUAACGUGUGCGUUUUUAUUCAACCACCGUUAGUAUCGAGUCUAUCUCACUAACGUGUGCGUUUUUAUUCUACCACCGUUAGCAUCGAGUCUAUCUCACUAACAUGUGUGUUUUUAUUCUACCAUCGUUUGCAUCGAGUUUAUCUCACUAACGUGUGUGUUUUUAUUCAAAUACCGUUAGCAUCGAGUCUAUCUCACUAACGUGUGCGUUUUUAUUCUACCAUUGCUAGCAUCGAGUCUAUCUCAUUAACGUGUGCAUUUUUAUUCAACCACCGUUAGCAUCGAGUCUAUCUCACUAACGUGUGCAUUUUUAUUCUACCACCGUUAGUAUCGAGUCUAUCUCACUAACGUGUGUGUGUUUUUAUUCUAUCUUCGUUAGCAUUGGAUUCAUCCCACUAACGUUAUUCUAUCUCCGUUAGCAUUGGGUUCAUCCCACUAACGUGCCUUUCUAUUUUCGAUUUUUUCGGCAGGCUCGAGUGUUAUCAUACUGACCGACUAUCACGGCAGGUUUGGGUUUAUCCCACUAACCGAUUCUCAAGGCAGGCUCGGGUGUUAUUCCACUGACCGAUUAUCAAGAUUAUUAAGGCAGGUUCGGGUUUAAUCCCACUGACUGAUUAUCAAGGCAGACUCGGGUUUAAUCUCACUGAUCGAUUGUCAAGGCAUUUCAUUCAUCACUGCCACUAAACAUGGGUUAGUCCCACUAGUGAGCACUUCAUUCAUCAUUGCCAUUAAACACGGGUUAAUCCCACUAAUGUACAUUACAUCUUAUCGUUAGACAUGGGUCAGUCCCACUAACACUUCAUUUCACUUCACUUCACUUCAUCCCGUUGGGUUUGGAUUUUGUGCCACCAACCUCGGCAGGCUUGGGUUGUAUCCCACUGACCGAUGUCAUAGCAGCUUCGGGUCAGUCCCGUUUUAAAUUUCUUGUUCGGGUCAGUCACGUUUUAAAUUCCUCAUUCAGGUCAGUCCCGUUUUAAAUUUCUUGUUCAGGUCAGUCUCGUUUUAAAUUUCUUGUUCGGGUCAGUCCCGUUUUAAAUUUCUCGUUCGGGUCAGCUCCAUUUUAAAUUCCUUGUUCGGGUUAGUUCCGUUUUAAUUUUCUUGUUCGGGUCAGUCCCGUUUUAAAUUUCUCGUUCGGGUCAGUCUCGUUUUAAAUUAUUUGUUUGGGUCAGUCCCAUUUUAAAUUUCUUGUUCGGGUCAGUCCCGUUUUAAAUUCUUUGUCUGGGUCAGUCCCAUUUUCUAAUUUUUUGUUAAAGGGGUCAGUCCUCAUUUUGAAAGCGUCAGUCAUUCGAGUAGUUUGCAGCAGAAUAACCACAGGUGAGUAUUUGGUGUCUACGUCUUUGUCUCAAAUUUCUUCGAAACUCAGACAAAGAGGGGUAAACUGUAGACACCAAAUUUUUAGCCUUUCUUUUUCUUUUUAUUUUAUUUAUUUAAUUAGUUGAUUUUGUUUUAAUUUUUGCUAAGAAAAUUGUUUUACUAUUAUUAAUUAAUUCAUUGAAAAAAAAGAAAAAGAAAAACUGUUCCAUGCGCUCGUGCUUGGCACGUGCGCCAUUUUCUUUUCUUUCAUGCAAAAAAUGCAAGCGAAAGGCGAAAACAGGGACAUAAAUUUGCAACGGCAUUUUUUUAAUCCCAGCCUCAUCUCAAAAAUGCCAUCCAAUGGCUUAAGUUUUCGGUAGAAACCCACCCUUCAUCCUCACCUUUGAGGUGAGGGUUUUAGGGACCUGGGGUUUCCUAUAAAAGAAAAAAGAGCAGCGGGGACAAAGGGUAAGAGGAGUCGGCGGCUGGGGCUGAGUAGAAACAACGGAGGAAAAAAGCAAAAAAGGGGGGUUUUUGGGGAGAGUAGUUGACAGCUGAAGGAAAGAGUGAAGGGAGAGUUUGAGGGUUAGAGAGAGUUUUGGAGAGGGUGACGGCCGAAAGAAAGAAACCAAGCGAGAGGAAACCAAGGAAAGGAGAAGCGACUUCAUCAACGUAAAGGGCAUUUCGUGGGUCUUCGUUUCCAGAAACAACGUGUUUGUCCUGAGACUAGGAGAGAAACGAAUCAAGAGUCUGAGGAAGACACAAGGGAGGAUCGGGGAACAAGCAAAGGAAAUCUGCAAAAUCUUGAAGAAGGCUUCGAAGCUGAGAGCGAGGGAAAGAGGACUGCUCGACGAGGAGGCAACUUUUGCAGCAAAAGUUCCCGAUCGCGUUCCUGGGAACCCGUACGCGUUUCCGGGCAGAUCUCAAUGCCGCUCAACCGUGCUAGCAUUCUCAGGUAAAAAUACCUCUUAUUUGGUGGAUUUUAACAUGUUUUUAUGAAAGAUAAAGCCAUCGGAUGUGAAUCUUUUUGUUUGCUACUGGGUCAAGCUCUCGCUGGUUCUAUGAUUCUGCCAUUUUGCUCGUUUGCUAAGAUCUGAUUCAGUAGGAACCUAUGAGAUGAGUUUGAUUAAGAACAUGGGGUUUAGGGUUUUCUAUAGUGGUCACCUGAUGAAUCCAUGAGUUCUUUGCUCGAUGUUUAUGGUCAGUCUUUGUGUGAGUAUUGGAGCAGGGACUGAAACCCGAAUUGCCAUCUCAACCUGAAUUGAACCCGAAGAACGUAAGCGCGAUGAGUACUGGAGCAGGGACUCUAGGUGUGUAAUGAGUUACUUGAUUCAUCCUAUUCCCGAAGUGUUUGCUUGACCCGAUAUACCAGAAUGGGAUUGCUUAUUCGCAAGAAACUAUUGAUUUGUAAACAGGGCAAGUAGGGUCGCAUCCUCAGGGACUGGAAAAAAUUCGUUUCUUUUCAAAUCCACAAUAACAAGGGGAUGUUUUUGGUAUAAACGAUGACAAUCAAAGGAGUUUAAAUAAAGAUAAAUAGCUAACUAGGAAUUAAAUGACAAUUUACUAAAAUCAGAGUAAUAAUAAUUAAAGGUCUAGCCAAGAAAUAACUUCAGCAAUGGUUCACCUAAUUGAUCAUCGAUGCAAAUGCAAUUCCAGUUAUUUACUAAUAAAUAGGUUAUAACUGUCAAACAAGCAAUGACAGUCAACCCCUUCUUACUGUGUCGGUGACUAAGGUACGCCCGUUAAUCACUACUCUAAUUGAGAAAUAAUCCUAAGUACGCCCGUAAGAUUUAAUUUUCCAAUUGCCUUACGUAUUAAAGAAGCCCUAUUCUAACCAAAUAACACACUACCAGGGUUAUUUUAGAUUAGCCUGCGCAUUCCCCUGACACAAACCCAAUCAUGCCAGUUGUCACUAUUUUAGGGCAAUUAAACAAUUACGAUUUAAUGCUCUAAUUGACAAUAGGUUACUAAACUAAUUCAUUAUCUGGAUCCAAGACAAUCAAUUAAUUAAAUAACCAUAAGUACUACAAUCAGGGAAUAUGCAAAUACCAAUAAAUAAGAGGAAAAGAUAAAUUUAAAUCGAUCUCACAAUUUUUAGAUGAACCAAAACCUCCGUUGUUUCUUGACCAGAAAAGGGAAUUUAAUUCAUCCCGGAUAGGAAAGACCCACACAAAGUUGCAGCAAUAGUUGCGGCCAUUGUCUCCAAGAAUUGGGAAAAUUCAAUUCGUUCGAAUCAAUAAGAAAAGCAAGCUACAGAAAAUAAUUACUGGUCUUCACUUUGUCUUGACAUACGAAGAAGGAAAACUACUAAGAGCCCACAAGAAGAAAAGUCAAAAGCUAAAACUAAAAAGUAGUGCCCUCUUGUUUCUCUCUAUUCCUAUCUAAUGCCCCCUGCUUUGCAGCUGCCCCGCGGCAGAAAAAGAGAGAGUCCAGCCUUGUUCCGUCUCUUCCUUCUUCGGUAAGUACCAAAAGGGGAAAAGUUCCCCUUUUCCAAAAAUGCCACUGGGAUGAGGGCUGCUACUUGAACUCCUUUCCUAAUGACUAUCAAAUUGGCACUUGUUGUGGUAUUUUUGUUCUACUCCCUGUAAUAAAUGUAAAUUUUCAAAAGUGAGUAGAAUCUAACAAUUAAUCCACAUCAGGUCAAGUAAUAAGAGAAAUUAAUAAUAAAAGAAAUGAUAAAAUUGCGACCUAUCAAAAUGGGAUGGAUGUUUAGAUAGGAAUUCUGUAGAGGGCUGGUAGCAGCCAUCCAAAGAGAACAAGUCCAUUUGUGGACAAAAUAAAGUGAAUGGAGAAUAUAUAUAUAUAUAUAUACGCUACAUGAAUAUUCAACAUAUACAAAAAUGUGAUCAAGAAAAAUGAGGAAUCUGACAGCCUAAUGCUUACUUGCUGCUUUUUAUGGUUUAACUUUAAAGAGACUUUGGUGUCUUGGUAGUUCGUAAUUUGAUUCGAGGUUGAUAAAAAGAAAUUUUUCAGAAAACGUGAAAUAGGGUAAGUAUCCUAGUUUAUUUUAGGUAUUGAAAGUUAAUAAAAAUGGAAAUUAUGGCAGUAAUCCUCUUCAUUUUUCCCCACCAACCAAAGCAACGAUUUUUAAGAAUACAAACAAGAUUUUAAAAAAUAGUUGUGGAGAAAACUUUUAACAAGUUUAAAAUGCAAAGUGUCCAUCAUAAUGUAGAAGAGCACAAUAAUUAGAACUCCCACGUUGGCUAAGCAAAAAUAUAUGUUUGCUCUAAUAACAUAUUACAUAUUAAAUUAUUUUACUAUGAGGUAGGGUACAUUUUUUUUAUAGUUUAGCAAACUAGAACAAAAUUAUAAUAAUUUUAAAUUAAUAUAGUUGCGUGGUGAAAUAUCAUCUGCGGCAAUAUAUAUAUAUAUAUAUACACACACACAUGCGCACGCACACUACUUAUUCAGUUGAAAAAAAUACAAGAAUUUGACAAUAUUGGUUAAUCAAAGAGCACCUUUAGUGACAUGAGAAUGAAAAUUGCUCCUAGAAUAUCUUCCUGAACUUUGUCAUUGAACGAUUGCUCAAAGAGUCUGUAAGAAAUUUAAUUCAUUCUAAUUUUGUCAGUAUUUAAGAAAGUAAGGAUGAUUGAAUUUGACUGCCAUUGUUUUCGAAAGAAUGACUCCACUCAUUAAAGAAUCAAGCCAAAAUUGAGACAAGUAUGAACAAACAAGCAAUUAGUAAUUUAUAUUGUGGUAAUACAAGUUUAUACAAAAAAAAAAGUAGGCACAGUGUAUUUUUUCUGCACCUGUUGUCUAAUAAUAUUAUCACCUUCCAAACUUUGUGGGUUUGUAAAAUGCAUCAAUUAUGGAUCUUGGAGUAAAGAUAUUAAGUAUUAACUAAAUUAACUAAUUAUUGAACUUAUACUCAUGGAAUAAUAAUUUUUUUUUGUAAUGUGCUAAUCUCUAGAAUAUUUGACUUUUAAUAUCCAGGUCUCCCAAUGGUGUGGAAAUUAAGUUGUUCUUCAACAUGCAGCUUCGUGGGACUUCAAGCAUGCCAAGAGUUUCUGGGAAAGAAUAGGUCAAGAUAAGUGACUUGGAGGAAUCUUCAAAAUCAAUACACUUUGUUGAAAUUGAAACUCUUGGAAGUAGCUUGACUGCAUUCAUACCAAAAAGUAAUUUAACAUAAUACUUAUGGACUUUCUCCAUCUCUUUUGUCAUUUCUUUUUCGAAAUUUAUUGUUUAUAGGAAAAAGAAAAAGUCGAUUCAAGAUAUGAAUCUAUGAACAGUUCAACAAUCUAGAUAAUAUUACUCAUUAACGAGAGAGGUUAAUCUAAAAGGACUGAGAUUCGUAGACCAACUGGUCACUACUCAUUACUCAUUAAUAUUCUAAUGUUUGCUUGCUUCUUUUUCAUGGUUUAACUUUAAAGUGAUUUUGGUGUCUUGCUAGUUUGUAAUUUGAUUCAGUCCGGUUGAUAGAAAGAAAUUGCUCAGAAAAUGUGAAAUAGGUUAAAAUAUCCCAGUUUGGUUUGGAUAUUGAAAGUUAUAAAAAUGGAAAUUAUGGCGGUGAUCCUCUUCAUUUUUCCCCACCAAUCAAAGCAGUGAAUUUUUUAAGAAUACAGACAAGAUUUGAAAAAAUAGUUAUCUAUAAUAAUGUAGAAGGGCACAAUAAUUAGAACUCCUAUAUAUGUUGGCUAAGCAAAAAUAUAUUUUUGUUAUCAUAAGAUCUUACAUACGAAACGAUUGUACUAUCAGGCAGGGUAGAUUUUCUUUAUAGUUAGCAAACUGGAACAAAAUUAUAAUAAUCUUAUUUUAAUAAAAUUGCCAAAUGAAAUAUCAUUUGCAAUGACAAUGUAUAUAUUACUAGUUUAAUUGACAAAAUAUAAGGAUUUGACAAUGCUAAUUUGAUUAAUCAAAGAGCACUUUUAGAAGAUAUUACGUUUACACGUAAAACUUAAAAGCCAAUUUAUUUAUUUUUUUUUGCUUUUCUAAAUUUAAAUUCUUUUUGCACGUGCUUCCACUAUUAUCUUGCUCUACAUUUGAGAAGAACUUCUUACAACUUUCUUCAAAUAAAUACCUUUUCCAUACAAAUCCCGCGCCUUUAUAUAAACAAUUACGCUGGUUACAAAGUUUAUCAAGCAAUAAUGAAGAGGCCGAUAACAUUUUAUAGUACCUUACUUUUCUUCUUUCUUUUACAUCCUGAAGAAGUGAUCACUUUCACUUUCUUGGAAGAUCAUUUGUGCCAUCAUGAUGAGGCUCUUGCACUGCUUCAGUUUAAGGAAAUGCAUAGCACAUCAACUGAUGCUUCUCAUGAUUGCAAUUAUUUUGGUCAGUACUCAUAUCCAAAGACAACACAUUGGAAACCAGAUACAGAUUGUUGCAAUUGGGAUGGUGUCACAUGCGACAACAUCACCGGUCGUGUAAUUGGGCUAGAUCUGAGUUGUGGCCAGCUUCAGGGAGUCAUCCAUCCAUACGCUACCCUUUUCAAUCUUUUCCAUCUCCACAGUCCCAACCUUACUUUUAAUGAUUUCACCGGCUCACGGAUUUCAUAGUGAUUUGACUCGCUAAAAAGUUUGAUCCACCUCAAUCUCUCAAAUUCAAAUUUCCAAGGUGAGGUUGCUUCAGAAAAUAUCACACCUGUUCAACCUAAUUUCACUUGAUCUCUCUUUCAAUCUCUUGUGUAAUUCUAUGGGUUGCUCAUAUCCAAGAUAUGAAUUUAGUAAUUUUGAAGCGAUGCUUCAAAACAUAACCCAUUUAAGAGAGCUAUCACUUUCGUCAGUGAACAUCUCAUCCGAGUUAAGGGUGAAUUUUUCUUCAUCUUUGACAUAUCUAGAUCUCUCAUAUACUGGAAUAACAGGUAAUCUACUAGGCAAUGUUUUUCAUCUACCGAACAUGCAAGUUCUCUCGUUAGAUAGCAAUGAGAAUCUUACUGUUAGUUUAUCAAACUUGAACUGCAGCAUUUCUGAUUCUCUGAGGCAGUUGGACCUAUCGGCGACAAGUCUCUCUGCUGCACUGUCAGAUUCAAUUGGGUGCAUAAGGUCCUUAAAUUCUUUGGAUCUAGGAACUUGUCAAAUUUCUGGUGUCAUUCCUGAAUCAAUUGUCUUCGGAAGAUAACUAUCUUCUAGGGAAAAUUCUAGCUAAAUUUUCCUGUUCACAAAAGCUAAGUAGACUAUCACUUGGUCUUUUUAGAUCUCUCUAGUAAUCAACUAAGCGGUUCACUUCCUCCAACAAUUUUUACUAUUCUGACUCUAUCUUAUCUUGACCUUUCUUCAAACCAUUUUGCUGGGGUUGGGCAAGACGUAUUUGUGGACUUCAAUAAGCUUCAAAAGAACCCUCUUGAGAAUGAAGCCCCACGGAACACUAAAAACAAUGUGAGCAUUUCCUAUCCAGAUUUCUGGCACUUGGGAUUGUCUUCUUGCCAGAUAAAGGAAUUUCCUGAGUCGCAUAGAAAUUCAAAGAGCUUAAAAUUUCUGGACCUCUCAAAUAACAGGAUUCACGGCGAAAUUCCAAGCUGGUUCAUGUUGAAGAAAAGGGUUCAGAUUGGGAAAAACUUCAAGCGUAUAUUACUGAUUGCAAUAGUCUGCUGAUAUAGUUACAAGAAUUUGACAAAAAAGGGAAGAUACAAUUAUUCCUAAAAUCAUGUAAUGGAAAGCUAAAACUACUCCUACAAUCACGUCAUGACAAAAACUUAUAUGGUAACAAUAUAUACAGCUAUAUGAUUGAAUAUCUCAACACUCCCCCUCAAGUUGGAACAUGGAGAUUGCGAAUGCCCAACUUGCUCAACAAAUGGUGGAACUGAGCUUUCCCAAGUGCUUUGGUGAACAAGUCGCCAAUUUGAUCACAUGAGCGAACGUGAGCAGUCUGCAACUCGUUACUUAGUAUGCGAUCACGAAUGAAAUGGCAAUCAAUUUCAAUGUGCUUUGUACGUUCAUGAAAAACUGGAUUUGCAGCAAUGUGUAGAGCAGCUUGGUUGUCACAAAAGAGAGACAUGGGUGAUGCUAAUGAAACUUUCAAAUCUGCAAACAAAGAACGCAGCCAGAGGAGUUCACUAGUAGCAUUGGCCAUUGCCCUAUACUCUGCUUCAGCGGAUGAGCGGGAAACUGUAGUUUGCUUUUUGGACUUCCAAGAAACCGGGCUAUUACCGAGGAAAACGAUAUAACCACUAGUCGAUCGUCGAGAUGUUGGGCAGCUGGCCCAAUCUGAGUCACAAUAAGCAAUGAGUUGCAGCAAACUAGCAGAUGACAAGAAUAUACCUUGGCCUGGUGCCCUUUUGAGGUAGUGAAGGACUCGAUAAGCUGCAUCCAAGUGAGGAACACGUGGAUCUUGCAUAAAUUGAUUGAGAACUUGUACUGGAUAGCUAAUGUCAGGUCGAGUUAUCGUCAAAUAAAGUAGCCUUCCAAUGAGACGACGAUAUUGACCAGCAUCUUUAACUACUGCACCAACUCCCGCUGCCAAGUUGUGUCGUUGUUCCAUAGGAAAGUCAGCAGGACUUGCGUCGAGAUGACAAGUCUCUUCAAGGAGGUCUAGAGUGUAUUUUCGCUGGCUAAGUACAAUUCCUUCCUUAUUACGAGCCACCUCAAUACCAAGAAAAUAUUUGAGUUGCCCAAGAUCUUUGAUGCGAAAAGCUGAAUCAAGAUGAUGCUUCAUAUGAUUGAUGGUGGUUGAAUCAUUUCCAGCCACAAUAACAUCAUCUACAUACACUAACAAAGCAGUAAAGUGUGCUCCACUGGUGAAUGUAAAAUGUGAAUUAUCUGUAGCAGAUUGACUAAAACCAAUACUCUACAAGCAACUAGAAAAUGUUUGAAACCAAUUUCUAGAGGCUUGUUUAAGGCCAUAAAGGGACUUUCGAAGUCGACAAACCCGAUUGUCACCUGGUUUUGCAAAGCCUUGUGGUAUUUUCAUGUAUACCUCUUCACGUAGAUCUCCAUGCAGGAAGGCAUUAUUAAUGUCCAGCUGAUGUAAUUCCCAAUGUCGUACUGCAGCCACAACUAAUAGACAACGUAGAGUUGUAAGCUUUGCAACUGGAGCAAAAGUAUCAUGGUAAUCGAGUCCUUCAACCUGUGUAAAACCUUUAGCAACCAAACGUGCCUUAAACCGCUCAAUUGUGCCAUCAGACUUGUACUUGAUUUUGUACACCCACUUGGAAUCAAUGGCAUGCUUACCAGGUGGUAGAUGCUCUAAUGUCUAAGUUUGAUUCUCCUCCAGUGCCUUAAUUUCUUGCUGCAUAGCAAGUCUCCAACGAUGAUCCCUAACUGCUUGGGAAAAAAACUUUGGUUCGUCUAAUGAAGUGAUGGAGGCCAAAAAAGCUUUAUGGGCAUCAGUGAAAUGAGAAUAGGACAAGUUAUGAGAGAUAGGAUAAAUUGUACCUGAGUUUGCUGAUGGAGGGGACUCCCGAGAUGGUUCCAAGGAGGGUAACAACUUAUAAUCAAAACCAGAAAGCUUUGUGGAUACAUGCCUUACUCGAUGUGGACGCUGCAAGGAAGGAAUUAUAUUUCCACUAGGGCUGCCAGUAUCUGGUUGUAGUGUAGAAUUAUCUUUUUCAUGUUGGGUUUGUUGGGAAAAUGUAUGUUCAAUAGGAGAUGGUGUGGUGUCCAUCGAAGUGGAGUUUAUAGGAGGUGGAAUUGGGUCAGAUUGUGAGUAAUCAUGCUGAUCUAUAUGGGGUUGCACACUCCACAUUGAAGGUUUAGACUCGUUAUUUCAUUGAAAAGGAAAUUCUGUCUCAUAAAAUAUCACAUCCCGUGAUACAAAUACUUUUUCUCUUUCCAAAUCAUAGACUUUAUAGCCCUUUUGUCCAUGGGGAUAACCAAGAAAAAUACACCGAUAGGCUCUAGUAGAGAAUUUAUCUCGGUGUUUGUCAUGAUUAUGAGCAUAACAAAGUGAUCCAAACACCUUCAAAUGAUUGUAGUUGGGUUUACUUUUGAAAAGUACCUCAUAUGGGCUCUUGCCUUUGAGAGUGGGAGUGGGCAUCAAAUUGAUAAGAUGAACUGCUGUCAAAACACAUUCUCCCCAAAAUUUCAAAGGUAAAUGGGCUUGAAAACGCAAUGCUCGCGCAACCUCAAGAAUGUGGCGAUGUUUGCUCUCCACUCGCCCAUUUUGUUGUGGAGUAUCAACACAAGAGGUUUGAUAGUCAAUCCCUUGACUAGCAAAAAAAUCUCUCAUGGUCCUGAGACAAAUUCACUCCCAUUAUCACUUCUCACAACCUGUACUGGGUAACCAAAUUGAGUUUGUGUAGAUUGGCAGAACAUGGUUAGAAAAUCAUAGGCCUACAAUUUAUUUUUCAAAAGAAAGACCCAAGUACAUCGUGAAAAAUCAUCAAAAAUAGUUAAGAAAUAAUGAGCACCACUAAGUGAUAAGACAGAAUAUGCUCCCCAAAGAUCAACAUGAAUCAAAGCAAAAGGUUUAACACUUUUCUUAUUGCUGUUUGGAAAAGACAAUCUUGUUUGUUUGGCCCUAUGGCAUACAUCACAAAUGUGAUUAAAAUUGCUAGGAAAAGGAAUACUAGAAAUUAAUUUUAAUCGGCUAAAGGAAGGAUGACCCAAGCGCAUGUGCCACAAGGUAGCAUCAGAUUCAGUAACACUAAGACUUGCGAGCCCGUGGCCUCCUUCUAAUUGAUAAACCCCAUCUCGGAGCCUACCCACUCCAAUCAGCAUCCUCGUACACAGGUCCUGAAAAAAAACAAGAAUCAGGAAGAAAGGUUGCUGAGCAGUUUAAUUCCUUUGUAGCUUUGGCAAUAGAGAGGAGAUUGAACUUGAAACCAGGCACACAAAUAACAUUUUUCAAAUUGAUAUUUGGUGUUAGGUAGGCAUUACCAACGUGAGUUACAGGGAGACUAGAGCCAUUUGCGAUUCUCACAUUUGGAUAUGAAGAGAUGCAUUUAACAUUGUCAAGUAUACUUUUGUCUCCAACCAUAUGGUUAGAGGCACCAGUAUCCAAAAUCCAUGAGUUAUGGAAUGAAUUGCAUUUACCUGCAAAGUUGGCCAAGGCCUCAUUAUCAUGAUUUGGUGGUCCAAGGAUUUGCAUGAGUUUGUUGUACUGGUCCAUUGUCAAUCCAAGAGGUUGUUGUGACUGUGACUUCUCACUUGGGUUGAUAAAUUGGUGGUCAGUUGCUGCUAUGUUGCCAUAGAUUUGCAUCUGCCCUGAAUUGUUCUUGCCUCCACCACAAUUGCCACCUUUGCUUUGUUGAUUAUUCUUCCAAUUUGCUGGAUACCCUAUUAUCUCAAAGCAUUCUUCCUUGAGAUGUCCCAUUUUCUUGCAAUGUUCACACCUUUUACUUGAUCGACUUCUUGGGGCUUGACUCCUGGUAUUUUCGUUGCCCCUACGAUCAGUUUUUGCUGCAAAAGCCGCUCCUUCCAGGCUGUGUGAUGUUUGUUCAUUUACUUGUACAAAGGAUUGCUCUUCUUGUAAAGCCAAGGAAAACAGUUUACUGAGUGAAGGUGUAGGUUCCAUGGACAGCACAUUAGAUCUCAACCGAUCGAAAUUUCCAUUCAAUCCCAGUAGAAAUUGAAGGGCUUUUUCUUUUUCUCGGCGUAAUAAGUGAUCCUUGGCUGCCUCGCAUUUGCAAUAAGGCAAUGGAUCAUAGAUUUACAGUUCUUGCCAUAAGGUUUUGAACUUGGUAUAAUAUUGAGUUAAAGGCUGCCCAUCUCCUUGUAACAUGUUGGAAAAUUAUUUUUUUAUUUUAUAAAGUCGAGGUGCAUUACUUUGUCCAUACCUUUCACAAAUCUCAGUCCAAAUUUCUUGUGCCGUGCCGGUGUAGACAACGCUCUCUUGUAUGUCCUUGGCCAAGGAAUUCCUCAGCCAUGCUCUAACCAUUGCAUCAUUCUUCUUCCACCGUUGAAAGUCUGGUGACUUUAGAUCUGGCACUUCUAGACUGCCAUCAAUGAAACCACCCUUGCCUUUGGCAUAUAGGGCUGUUUCCAUGGUGCUUUUCCAUGCUGCAAAAUUUUCUCCUGCGAAUGGUGUGGAGACAAAUUGCAGCCCUGGAUGAUCUGAAGGUACAACACAUAGGGGGAGUCAUCAUAGAUUGUAACCUCUCCCCCUUUCGUUGAAUUCUCUGGAGUUGACAUAUUUUAUUGUCAACAAUUGUUAAGGCUCAACCUGCUCUGAUGCCAUGAAGAAAAGGGUUCAGAUUGGGAAAAACUUCAAGCGUAUAUUACUGAUUGCAAUAGUCUGCUGAUAUAGUUGCAAGAAUUUGACAAAAAAUGGAAGAUACAAUUAUUCCUAAAAUCAUGUAAUGGAAAGCUAAAACUACUCCUACAAUCACGUCAUGAUAGAAACAUAUAUGGUAACAAUAUAUACAGCUAUAUGAUUGAAUAUCUCAACACAUGUCCAAGACUUGGGAUAAUUUGCCCUACUUGAAUCUUUCGCAUAACUUUUUGACUGGUACCAUAGACCAACUACGGUGCAAACAUCUGUUGCAUCUAGAUAUGAGUUUCAACUCACUUCAGGGUCAAAUGCCUUCUUCUAUCUGUAACUCAACUUCUCUUUUCAUUCUUGAUUUGUCAUAUAACAAUUUGGUUUCCCGAAUCCCUCAAUGCUUGGGAAACUUCAGCCAGAAGCUCUCCGUUUUGGAUUUGGGAAAUAAUGGACUUUUUGGCACCAUUCCCACAACUUUUUCACAAGGUAACUCUCUGAAUAUUCUUAUGCUGAAUGACAAUCAACAAGAUUGAUGAUAGAUUUCCAAUUUGGUUGGAAUCUCUACCUAAUCUACAGGUUUUCAUAAUCGAUUUCACGGAGGAAUUGGUAAUUUUCAAACUGAAAGCCCAUUUCCGCAGCUGAGAAUCAUCGAUGCAUCCUGCAAUGAGCUCACUGGUGUUCUACCUACAGAACUCUUCAAAAGCUUAGAAGCUAUGAGAAGCUUAAAGGAUCACCCUGGGCAAUAUAGGUCAGAAACUGGCUAUGAGCUUGAUUAUUACAUCCAUUCCUUGACUUUAGUAAUCAAAGGGACGGAGUAUAGUCUUGAAAGAGUCCUGAUAGAUCGAACAGCCAUUGAUUUCUCAAGCAACAGAUUUGAAGGACAAAUUCCAGAAAUUAUCGGAACCCUUCAUUCUCUUCUUAUACUCAAUUUCUCUCAUAACAAUCUCAGUGGUCAUACUCCCCGGGCAUUAGGGAAUUUGAAUAAGCUUGAAUGUCUAGACCUCUCUUGGAACCAGCUUGAGGGAACUAUUCCUGUGGAGCUUCUGAAUCUGACAUUCCUUGAAUUCUUACACCUUUCAGAAAAUCAUCUGAUUGGACCCAUUCCUCGAGGAAGACAUUUUGAUACAUUUGGGAAUGAUUCAUGCAGAGGGAACUCGGCCUUGUGUGGAUCACCAUUGACUAAAGAUUGUGGAAAUACAGGGGCACCACCACCAGCCUCGCCAUUCGGAUCUGAGCAACAAUAUGAUCCAGAGUUCUUUGAUGGAUUCACCUGGAGAGCUGUUGUUCUGGGAUAUGGUUGCGGAUUAGUGCUCGGACUAACCAUGGGAAGUCUCGUGUUCUUAACUGAAAAACGAAGAUGGUUCAUAUAGAUUGUUGAAGAGUCGUACAAUCUGUGAAAAAGAUCGAGGAAAUAUGUCCACAUACGAACUUGAGAACAGCAAUGCAAUUUACAAAAUUGGUGGGCAAAACAUACUCUCUUCUGCAGCUGUUGUCUAAUAAUUUUACUUCCUCUGCAUAAUUUCCAUUUUCAUAAUCAAAUAUCCUUGGAAAUGAUAACUUUUUUCUAUGGCUAAUCACCAGAAAAUUUGACUUUUUAUGUCCAGGCCUCCCAUUGGAGUCGUAACUAGGAAGGAUCAGCAGUAAAACUGGCUUUGUUUCAGUUCCAGUUGUAUGUAUCUGCUAUGCACGUUUUAAGGUUCUAAUAGUUGCUUCUUUUUAUGAUUGUCAAGUUCCAGGUGCAAAGAGAUUCUGAUUCCUUGCAACUUUAUCUUUUGCUUCAUGGUUAAAAAUGAAAUCAAGAACAUGUUCAGAAAAUAUGAAAAAAGGGUAUAUCCCAGUUUGGUUUGCACAUUGAAAGUUGUUCGAUGAAAAUUAUGACAAUAAUUCUCUUCAUUAUUCCCCACCUGCCAAAGAAGUUAUCUUUGAGACUACAAACUAGGCUAGUGUGCUUUAAAAUGCUUUACAUUGACUAAUCAACAACGAAGAUGUUCUUCAACUUGCACCUUUGUGGGACUUGAUUUGGAACAGCUUUGCACCAUUCGAACUUCAAUCGUUUACUGCCACAGCUGGUAUGUGUGAACAGAGAGAGACUAAUCCAAGCCACUUUUCUUGACUUUGUGGAAAAGAACAAGUCAUCCUCAGUCUUUUGCAAUAAAUUAUAGAUAAGUGAAGCCUAGUCUUCAUCCAAAAUUGUCAAAAGUGAAAUUCAUGGAUGCAACUUGAACAUAACUUAUUCUUCACUGGACCUGAAAAUUAGAGCACCAGCGACCAGCUUAAUCUUAAUUGGCUUUGGAGCUUCCACGCCAAAUGGUACGACAAUUUUGAGAAAAGGGAAGGGAGAGUUAUAGAUUUCAAGAGAAUGAUCUUUUUUCACACUACCAAAUUAGGGUCUACUAACAAAAUUUAUAGUGAAGUUCUUCAAAUCAAAUGAUCAAUCCACGAGACAAAAUCUAAUAGCAUGAACUAACUCGAAAAUAAGGUUGAGAUCUCUAUUUUAAAUACAAAAGACAAUUCACAUAUCCGAGAUAAUGAGUCAAGGAUAACCAUAUAAUAAAGCACAUACAACCACAAACUUCAAACAGCAACAAGUAACCAUGAAAUGCUUCAUGAUCCAAUUAACACAAGAAAAGCAAGAUAGUUAAGUAAUCUUAACAGAAUGCUUAUUGACUUUCUACAUCUCUUUAAUCAUUUCUUUUUCCAAUUUUUUUUUUUGUUUUACAACAAAACAAAAGUGAAUUCCAGAUAUGACCCCAUUACAGGUUCAAAAGUACAGAUAAUACUCAUGAACGAAAAGGAAUGAGAUGGGUAGGCCACUUUGGCCCCAUAGCUGUGACAAUUAGUGGACUCGUUGAUCCAAAGGCAUUUAUGGUGGAAAUGAAUUUAGAACGUAAAUGUAGUUUCUUGGCAUUACAAGUCUUUACAAGCCUAAUGAAGAUAGCAAAUAAUUCAUAUGGAUGCUACGACUUUUCAGAGGAGCUAAGGCCCAUUCUAAUUAGCCAUUACUCAUGAAAGGGAUAGUUAGAUAGGAAUUUAGUAACAUAGUGAUAGAAGCCAUCCAAAGAGAACCGGUCCAUUUGUGCACAAAGCAAAGUGAGUUUAGGAUAUAUAUGCUACACCAACAAUCUGCACAUACAAAAUUUGAUCAAGCAAAAUGAGGAAUCUAAUAGUUUAUACACUAGUGCUCCUUUCUUUGCAAUCUCGAGAAAUUACCAGUUUGUCUUCCUUUUUACCUCAUUUGUGUCACCAUGAUGAGAGUCUUGCUCUACUUCAGCUUAAGCAAAUGUUUCAAAAAUCAACAGAUGCUUCUGCCUACUGUGAAAAUGCAUAUCCAAAGAUGAUAUCAUGGAGCAAAACUUCUGAUUGCUGCACCUGGGAUGGGGUAACAUGCCAUAGAGUUACAGGUCAUGUAAUUGGCAUAGACCUUAGUUGCUGCCAACUUCAAGGAUCCAUCUAUGCUAAUAGUAGCCUGUUCAAUCUUUCUCGCCUCCAAAAGCUUAAUCUAGCUUACAAUGACUUCAAGAAUUCACCAAUUUCUCAUGGCAUUGGUGGCUUGACUAGUUUAACAAACCUCAAUCUCUCCAAUUCCAAUUUCUACGCUCAAAUUCCAUCCCAAAUAUCUUUACUGUCAAAUUUAGUUUCACUCGAUCUCUCCCAAAAUCCUAUUGAGUUUGAACAUCAGGAUUUCCAACUGCUUCUUCAAAACUUAACUCAGGUUAGAAUACUUUCUCUUUCUGACGUUAGUAUCUUCUCCGAGUUCCCUAAGAACUUUUCUUCAUCUUUGACAAUUGUGGAUCUUGGUCAAACUCAAGUUUAUGGUAAGCUACCAGACCAUAUUUUCUAUCUAGCAAAAUUGCAACAACUCAUACUAAAUGGAACUCAAGUCACUGGAAGUUUACCGAACUUGAACUGCACUGCUUCAUACAUGUUGUCGUACUUAGAUCUUGCUUACACAAAUUUUUCUGGGGAACUUCCCAACACAUUUGGCUGCUUGAAGUCCUUGAACGCCAUGUUGCUCGAUGGAUGUCAGUUCACUGGUCGCCUUCCUGAGUCAAUUGGAAACCUUUCUCAGCUCACUACGAUGUCUCUGACUCAAAACAGUUUCAGUGGGCCUCUUCCAUCGGUGAUCUCAAACCUUGUCCAACUGGAAGUUUUAGACCUUACAGGCAACCAAGUGCAAGGCCAAAUACCAGAUUGUUUCACAAAUCUCCAAAAAUUAACUCAAUUGUCAUUGCGAGACAACCAUUUGGUUGGGCCUUUCCCAUCCACCAUUGCGAACCUUACCAAUCUCCAGACGCUAGAUCUACAAUCCAAUUCGAUAACAGGUCCUCUUCCAUCAAACGUGAGUGGCCUUCAGGAAUUGUCUUUUCUAUAUCUUUAAAACAACUUGCUCCAUGGCACAGCACCGACAUGGUUAUUUAGCCUGCAGUUACUCACAACUUUGCUUCUCAAAAACAAUCUCCUAACAGGACAAAUCGAAGAGCUCAAUGGAAUGUCACUGAUGAAAAUUGAUUUGAGUAAUAACCAAUUAUAUGGUCAAAUUCCUAAAUCAAUUUCAACACUCCCAUUUUUAGAUUUCCUUGACCUCUCAUCAAAUAAUUUGAGUGGCGUGCUUGAACUAUCCAGUGAUGGUCUUGAGUACCUUGUUCUCUCUAAUAAUCGAAUAUCAUGGAGCACCAGCGGAAAUGUCAGCAACUCUUUACCAAACCUUUAUCGUUUAGAGCUAUCUUCUUGUGAGAUGAAGGCUUUCCCAGAAUUUCUCAGAAGCUCAAAGAAGUUAGAAGUUCUACAGCUCUCUGACAAUAAGAUUCAAGGUCAGAUUCCCAGCUGGGUGACAUCCAUGCCUUGGGAUUCACUUCUGUAUCUAAAUCUAUCUUAUGACCACCUUUCUGGGAUGGAUGCAUUACCUUGGAAGAAUCUAAGGGUUCUAGAUGUUCGAUUCAACCAAAUCCAAGGACAAUGGCCUUUUUUCAUUUGCAAUUUGAAAGCUCUAGCAAUUCUUGAUUUGUCAAGGAACAAAUUUACUGGUGCAAACCUCGGUGUUUUGGGAACUUUUCUAGUUUUGUGGUCCUGAAUUUGGAAGGAAAUGGCCUGCAAAGGACCAUUAAUUCAAUGGUAUUUGCAAAAGAUAUCAGAUUGAGAUAUCUUGGUCUGAAUAGAAAUUUCUUGGAAGGGCCGCUGCCAGAAACUUUGGCCAACUGCAAGUCCUUGAUGUGGGGAACAACCGUCUGAAAGAUAUAUUUCCUGCAUGGUUACAAAAUCUUACGGAGCUCCAAGUUCUUGUGUUGAGUUCUAACAGAUUCUUUGGACCCAUAAGCAUUUUCAAGGCUAAGAGUCCAUUCCAAAAGUUGCAAAUCUUCGCCCUCUCUUGCAAUGAGUUCAGUGGUGUUCUAUCUACAGAACUUUGGAAAGCUUCAGGGCUAUGAUGAGCUUACAAAGCAACAAAUCAGAAUCUAAAUACUUGCAUGCAACCGGUAAUACAACAAAUUAUCUAUACUCUGUCAGCAUGACAUCCAAAGGCCAUGAGAUUGAGUUCACCAAAAUCAUUAGAACUCUCACAACCAUUGAUCUGUCAAGCAACAUGUUUCAUGGGAGGAUCCCAGACGUCAUUGGAAAUCUCUACUCCCUCAAGUUGUUGAACUUAUCCAACAAUAACUUUUCUGGCCACAUUCCACCAGCUAUUGGGAACCUGAAAUUUCUUGAAACAUUAGACCUUUCAAGAAACCAAAUUGGAGGAGAGAUUCCAAUGCAGCUAACGAAUCUUACAUCUCUUGAAGUCCUAAACUUAUCAUGCAAUCAUCUUAUUGGGCAAUUCCUCAAGGCAAUCAAUUGCGCACACUUGGUGAAGAUUCAUACAGCGGAAACUCAGGAUUAUGUGGAUUCCCAAUAACAAAAAGCUGUGAAGAAAUGCAUGUGCCACAAGCGCCCCCAGAUGAGGCAUUGGAACAAGGCGAGGAUUCGAGUUUCAUGGGUGGAUUUACAAGGAAAUCAGUGCUCAUAGGAUAUGGUUGUGGACUUGUUCUUGGCAUAGCUUCUGGUUUUCUAAUGUUUGCUACUGGAAAACCAAGAAGAUUGGUAAGAUUCAUUGAAGAAGAAGCAUAUAGUAAUAGUGUACUCUUGUUUGGAAAGAGAAAAACUGUAUAAUCAGCUGAAAAAACCAAUAACAUGUCACGAGCGCAUGGAAGAAGAAACUAAAUAUCCAGAUAAAUGAGGUAACUAGAACAUACAUUCUGUGAUUUUAUAUUGUUUCCUUGUACAACUUUGUUAUCUAUAUCAUCAAAUGUUUACAUUCUUAAGAUAAACUGUACUUCUUACAGUUGCCCAAUUUAUAUUCAAGCACUUACUAUCUUUGUGCUUAAUAAGCUAUUAUUCAUACAGCGGGUCUGGUUUUAUAUUUGUAUAGCUGAUAUCAAAUUUUUGGAGCAUGUCUCGUUGCCCCAUUAUUCAAAAAUAACAGCUUUAAGAUCUCCAGUCUAUGAACCAAGAUAUCACUCAAGGCCAUAACCAAAAGGAUGACCUCACAGGAUCCAAAGCCAUUUCUGAUAAUUAGUGAGACUGAUAGUUUCUUGGGUUUUCACUGAAUUUCUGAUUCAAUGAAUUAGAAUAGACAGCUUUAAGGAUAUGAUACCUUUCUUUUUAUUAUUCUCAUUUAUUGAUUUGAUCAAUUCAUCUAAGCAAUCACCAUUGUUGUAGUUUAAUGUGCUUACCUUUCAUUUUUGUAGGUGGAGAAAUUUGGGAAAGAGAACUUUUCAUUCCACGUUAGAUGUCUUAAGUAUUUGUGUUAGACCUAUUAACCUUUCACGGUUCUUCAAGUGCUGUCAAUUACUAAACUCAUAGAAAUCAAAAUCCGCUUCAAAAUUUCUCAUAUUAUGUCCUUUGUUCUUUUCAUGUGUGAAUCUUAGUGUGGUUUUGUAACACUUUGUAGAAGCUCAACAAUUGAUUACUAGAUUCAGGUUUCUAAAAGAUAGUCUCCAUUAAUUAUAUGAUUUAGGAAACCCAAAUUAAUGGUGAAAAUAAUAAUUACAUUUUUCAGAAGCUCCUAAAGGUAGGAACUAAUAUUGAAAUUCACCUUUAUGAGACGGUACAGACUCUAUACAUUGGCACAUCCCAAAAUUAUUCUGAAAAUGAUCCAGCUUUGUGUCAAAGUUCAUUAAGGGUACACAAGAAUGUCCAACCACAAGCUAAAAAUUAGUUUUACUAGAACUAAUUUUUAUUAAACUUCAAAACAUAAGCUAAAUUAUUUAACAACAAAAUAGCAAUGAAUUGAGAACAUAGGAUUUGUAAUUCAACAAAAAAGAGGAAAUUAAGGAUUAUGUGGAUUUGCACAAGUACAUGUAACUUGAUGUUACUGUUGGAUCUUUUAAUUGGAAAUAAAGGAUGGCUUACCUAAUUAAAUUUACCACUACCAGGUCAACCUUCUUGCAGUUUCAGCAUUGUUUUUUCAAUAACUCAGCUUCCCCAUGGAUUUUGCUGCAUUCAAAUAAUUUUGUCCUCAGCGUCAGAGAGAAGUCAUAGACAAGUAAUUUGAUUGAUAAGAAACCAACAUGUCAGGCCAUUCAAUUAACUUCUUAAUCAUGUAACUCACCGUUGUGCACAGAAAUAUGAGACUCUAAAAGACAAACCUUGAAAUAGCAUUUCUCCAUUCACGUUUAGUUUGAUUUUAUGAUCUAAAGUAACUGCUGGUGUACUUGCAACACAAAAUGAGAAGACUAACGUGCUUUGUGCAUCAGUUGAAUGAAGCUAAAGGAAAGCACCAACAAAGUGCCCUGCGUCUGGUGAACAAAAGCCACAUAUGGCAACACGAUGAACAUCUCCAGCUCCACGACAAACCUAGUUGCAAAGUUACCCAUUAAAGAACAUAAAAACGAAAGUUGAAAACUUUCUGAUCGAACAUCUUUAAAACCAACAGAACAAUCUUCCAGAAGGAGCAAGUCAUUCUGAUUCUUGUGCAAUCUUUUAUCAAUCCCACAAGGGUGGAACAAAACCUAGAAGUGGAUUCAAUUAAUAACUCUAUGGUGACAAAUUGUCAUCAAAAGAUUUAAGCUCUGAAGGAAACAACUAUAACCAAAAUUUUAAUUGUGGUAUAUACAUCUAAAUGAAAGCAAUUUCAAAGUUUGAGGAGCCAAAAACAUCAGCAAGAAUGAUGAUUGCUACCCAUAAAAGGAAAAAGAAAAAAAAGGAUAAGAUCAGCAGCUCUACUCAGCCACCACUCAAACUGAUUGCAACAUAGCUAGAACAUGUUGACACUCUGCCUAAUCUAAUUAACGAGAAACUGGCAUGUCAUACAAAUGCACUUCUGGACACGCAAUUGCGAGAAACUGGCAUGUCAUACAAAUGCAAUUGAUAUAAAUUUCUGCUGACAUGGGAACAAAAUGUUGAUCUCAGCAUCCUGGCAGUAUACUUCAUGGAUGGAAUAGUUGGAAAAUUGUAUUCAGCAAGUCAUGGAGCCUGAUGUUUCCAAGUCACUCUCUUCACUCCCAGCAAAUUUAAUAGAUCUGCCAAAAAGAGCCAUCUUCUCUGACAAAUUACGAAGAGCAUCCUGCCUAUUAGCCAAUUCCAUAAGCACCUUAAUCCUCCUAAAUGAAACAUUACUUGGUUUUUGCCCUUUCUCCACCAUCUGCAAGAAAGACCUCUCAGCCUCAUCCAACUUCCCCAUGUCACAAAGCAAAUCAAACAAAACGUCAGAGACCAAUAUAUAAGAGCCAUACCCCAUCUCCACCAUAUCAUUCCAUAGCUCAAGUCCCAUUUCAACCUUCUCGUGCCUUCUCAACAACCUGAUCAAAAACAUACAAGAUUGAGUGUUUGGUAGACACCCUGUUUCCCUCAUUCUCAGGUACAAGUUCCAUGAACUUAUCAAAUCAUUCCACCAAUAAAAGUCCUCAACAAAAUAUUUUAAGUAGUUGCAUUUGGGCUCAACACCUUCUUUACCAUCUCAUUCAUCAAACCAUAGGCAUCCCCAAUCCUCUUUGCAAUACAGAAAUUUCUAAUAGCAGCAUUGUAAGCUGCCACAUCAGGAUAGCAUCCAUACUCUCUCAUCUCUUCCAAAACAUCCCUUGCCUUAUCAGGUUGCCCCACAAGCCCCAAACCACCAAUCAAACUCGUAUAUGUAAUCACAUCUGGACUAAUAUCCCUCUCCCUCAUCUCCUCCACCACCCUAUACGCCUUAUCCAUUUCUCUCGUCUUACAAUACACAUCCACCAAACACUAUCAGGUUCAACCCCCAUUUCCCUCGUCUCCUCAAAAAAGCCCUCGGCCUCAUCAGUUGACUUCCAACCAGCCAACAAUAUAUUAAAAGUCUGCAAAUUCGGCCUAAAUUCAUGCUUCAAGUUAUGAUACACAUUCCUGGCAUCACUCAUCCUCUUCUCUUGACACAAUGUCCUAAACAGUGCAUUGUAACAACUAGUAUCAAACUCCAAAACAAGCCUUCGAAACCGCUUAAACGAAAUCACAGUCUGCUUAACUGAACAAACCUUAGCAAUCCUAGCUAAGACAACUUGAACAGUUCUUGAAGUGAUCGAAGAUUGAUCCUUUUUCUUCGCUUCCACCAAAACCUCCCAAAUAUUAUCAAAUUUUCUGCUCCUACCCAAAACAUACAGCAUUGUAUCCAAAGAAAAUGCAGAAUGCAAAAACCCCUUUUUCCUAGAUGUAAACUUAAAGAAUUCCAAAGCCUGUAAUGGAUUAGAAUGAGAAAAUCUGACCCUUUUCAGAACAUUAUCAAUUAAGUCAUUUGAGAAAGGGAUUGAAGCUGCUGCUGAUCUCAGUGACUGUCUGAGUUCAACUGAGGUUCUUGAACUUGUUAGUAUCCGAAAAACAGUCUCAACAUCGUCGUUUACAGCAGGGGAGGAAGAAGUAAAAGGCGGGAUUUUUUCAAUUUGGGGAAUGGAACUAAAGAAAAGAAGUGAAUUUAAACAGGCAUACCUUACUGUUGCCGUUGAUGAUGUACAAGAGUGAAGAAAAAUGGGAUUUCUGAUAAAAAGAUGGAGCAAUUUUUUUGGGAUGAAAUCUGAAUGAAGACAAGAACCAAAUAUUCAGACUCUAUGCUACUGCUGCUCCUGCAGGUUUUCCCUCAAGUAUUCGAAUGCAUGAAAUUUUUGGGAUUUUUGUGAUUUUGGGGUCAUUUUUUAUGCUGUGGUUUUGCCGCAAAGCGAUUCUUCCAGCUGAAUUGAAGUGAAAGUUACACUUCAGGGAUGCACCUCUGUAUUCUUUUGUUUUCCUCUUUUUUGCCUUUUUUUUUCCAUCGGCGAAAUAAAAAGAGAAAAAAAAAGUAGGCUAAUACCAUAAAAAUGACCAUAGUUUUAGAACCAUCAGAUCCAAUUACUUUUAAAGGUCAAACUAGGAGGGGAACACCGCGCGAUGCGCGGUGUAAUUUUCAAGUUUGCCCAGAAACGUUCAAUUAUUCAAACUGGGAUAUUCAAUAUAAAAAGUUACAUGAAGGUGCAUCCAAAUGUUUGUGAUUAUUUUUUAUAAUUUUAUUAUGCAAUGAAGAGAGCCACAAUUUCAGUCUAGUUGCUAAAUGACAGUCAUUUUUGGUAUGCUGACUAAUUGGACAGCAAUGGCAAUGUCAUUAGUUUGAAAAUAAUAUAACACUGUGUAAUGCUGCCUUAUAUUUUUUAUGUACACCAAAAUCUGUGACUUUGUAGCUAAAAAAAAAAAAGAGAGAGCAGUGUAGUAUUGCAGCAAGGCUUAGCCUUAUUUUUAGACUCUGAUACAACCAAUCCACUAUUUUCGUAAUUGCAUCAAAUUAACCCAAAGACUGAAAGAAAGACCUAUUACUUUGUAGUACAAUAACCAAAAUGGCUUCAUUAGCUUGUAACUUCAAGAAAUCUACGGAAAGCAAAAGAAUUGUGCUCACAUAUCAACCGUAGUGAGAUAAACUGCAUUUGACCAAAAACGGAGGAGGAUUACCUAAUGCAGGUGUAUCUUCUCAAUACAUCAAUAGUAUAGGGGAUGGUCAAGUACUCAAUACACAAAAAAAAAAGAAAAAAGGAAGUUUCACAGGCCUCGAUGCAAUUCUACCUUUGAUCAUUUGAUGCAUGUCAACAACCAGAAUCCCGUAAAAGGAAAGACAAGUACAUGAGAUAAUGUAAAAGCCUGCAUUUAUGAAACUUACUACCAGUAGACUGCAUUCCAGAGGUUCUCAUUACACAUCAAAGCUGUUCCAGCUCAAAAAGGAAUAUAAGAAAAAGAAGAAAAAAGAAAUGCACAGUGUGCAUCAAGCCUUUUCCUUGUUAUUAGAAUCAUACACUUCAAAAUAACCGAAAGACCGAAAAAUGCAUUACUUUGUAGUACAAUAACUAAAAAGGUUUUUAUUAGCAUAUAACUUCAAGAAAUCUAAUGAAAAGUGUGAAUUUCAGAGGAAGAGAAUAAAUUCCCCAUAUUUUUAUUCAUCAAUGGUAAGGGUAUAUAUACAGGUAUAGACAUCUUAUAAUAUGAAGAUAUCCUAUUACAAUAAAUCAGUCCUCUAAUUCCUAUAAUUUAGGCUACAAACUAGCCUACAUUUGUUAGCUAUCUAAUCCCUACAAAUCAGCCUAUAUCAAUCUGUGACAGCUAUCUAAUCCCUACAAAUCAGCCUGCAUAUAAUCUGUAACACUCCCCCUCAAGCUGGAGCAUAGAUAUUAAUCAUGCCCAGCUUGUUACAUAGAUAAUCAAUCCGGACCCCGUUAAGAGCUUUUGUGAAUAUAUCACCUAAUUGUUCUCCAGUCUUCACAUAACCUGUAGUGAUCAAACCUUGUUGGAUCUUUUCACGAACAAAAUGACAAUCAAUCUCAAUGUGUUUCGUUCGUUCAUGAAAGACUGGAUUGGAAGCAAUGUGAAGUGCAGCUUGAUUAUCACACCAUAGCUUGGCAGGUACUGAGACCUUAAUUCCUACUUCACUAAGGAGCUGAUAUACCCAUAUGACUUCACACACAGACUUGGCCAUAGCUCUAUAUUCAGCUUCCGCACUGGAUCGUGAGACGACAUUCUGUUUCUUACUCUUCCAUGAGACCAAAUUUCCCCCAACAAAAACACAAUAUCCUGAAGUAGAUCUCCUAUCUUCCUUACACCCUGCCCAAUCUGAAUCUGAAAAACAUUCAAUCCUAGUAUGACCAUGAUUGCCAUAUAGGAUUCCACGUCCAGGAGCACAUUUUAAAUAGUGCAAAACUUGUUCGACUGCUUUCCAAUGGUCAACAGUUGGUGAGGACAUAUAUUGGCUUAACACACUCACUGAAUAAGCAAUAUCAGGACGUGUCACAGUAAGAUAAUUCAACUUUCCGAUUAGUCUUCUGUACCUCUCAGGAUCUGCACACAAUUCACCUUCUUUGGUUAAUUGUAAAUUAGGAACCAUUGGGGUACUACAUGGUUUAGCACCCAACUUUCCCGACUCCGACAGUAAAUCAAGUACAUACUUUCUCUGUGAUAGAAAGAUUCCCUUCUUACUCCUGCUAACUUCAACUCCCAAGAAAUACUUUAACAUCCCCAAGUCUUUGGUAUAGAACUGAGUAUGAAGAAAGGACUUUAGAGACGAAAUUCCGCUAGAGUCGCUACCUGUGAUUACAAUAUCAUCCACAUAUACAACUAACAGAAUAAUACCUCCAUUAGAGUGUCUAUAGAAAAUAGAAUGAUCUGACUUGCUUUUCUGCAUCCCAAAUUUCUCAAUAGCUUGGCUAAAUUUUCCAAACCAAGCCCGAGGACUCUGUUUCAAGCCAUAUAGAGAUUUUUGCAGACGACAGACUUUCCCUUUCCCAUACCCCCCUUGAGCAACAAAACCAGGUGGUUGCUCCAUAUAUACCUCCUCCUGAAGAUCACCAUGAAGAAAGGCAUUCUUGAUGUCUAACUGAUGCAGAGGCCAGUCAUAAGCUGCAGCAAGGGAGAUAAACAACCUGACCGAAGCAAGUUUAGCAACAGGAGAAAAAGUAUCAUGAUAAUCCACCCCAUAAAUUUGAGCAUAUCCUUUAGCAACAAGUCGAGCUUUCAAUCGAGAAAUGGAGCCAUCAGAAUUCAUUUUGACAGUAAACACCCAUUUACAUCCAAUGGCUUGUUUACCUGCAGGUAAGGUAACCAAAGUCCAUGUACCAUUGACAUCUAGAGCAUUCAUUUCCUCAAUCAUAGCAGUCCGCCAUCCGGGAUGAGCUAAUGCCUCUCGAACAGUCUUAGGUACAGAAACAGUGUCUAGGGAUGUAAGAAAAGCACAAGAAGAGGAAGACAAAUGAUGGUAGGAAACAACUGAAGAGAUUGGAUAAGUACAUGCACGUUUACCUUUUCUGUGAGCAAUAGGGAGAUCAAGAUCAUCGUUGGCAGCCGGAUCUGAUGACAAAGAGACUGGUUCAUCAGGACAUGAUUCUGGAGACUCAAGGACCAAGUCAGAACUGGGCUGAUGUGCCCGACGUGAGUAGGUAUAUUUGAUGGGAGGCUUAACCGGUGUAGAAGGAGGCGGACCCAAAUUUGGUAUGACACUAUAGAUUAACAAAUCAUCAUCCUCCCCUGGACUCACAGAACUUGAAGAGCCUGAAGAUGAAGAUAAAGGUGUUUGUUCCAAAAAAGUAACAUCAGCAGACACAAGAUACUUACCAAGACUAGGACAAUAACAACGAUACCCUUUUUGCAUGCGAGAAUAACCCAGAAACAUACACUUUAAGGACUUAGGAUCAAGUUUUGUAACUUGAGGACGAACAUCCCGAACAAAACAAGUACAACCGAAUAUCUUUGGUUCUAUAGGAAACAACUGUUUAUUUGGAAAUAGAGUGUGGAAAGGAGUAUUACCAGACAAAACAGAGGAAGGCAUACGAUUGAUUAGAAAACAAGCAGUAGAUAGAGCAUCAGCCCAGAAACAUUUAGGAACCUUCAUUUGAAAUAACAAAGCUCGAGCAGUUUCAAGAAGGUGUCUAUUCUUUCUCUCGGCAACCCCAUUUUGAGAAGGGGUGUCAACACAAGAGGUCUGAUGAAGAAUACCCUGCUCAAGCAUGUAUUUCUGAAAACUGCUUGAAACAUAUUCUUUUGCAUUAUCACUUCGCAAAAUUUGUACAGGUUUACCAAAUUGGGUUCGAAUUUCAGCACAAAAGGAAGAAAAGUGAAGAAAUAGUUCUGAGCGACUUUGCAUCAAAUAAAGCCAUGUCAUUCUAGAAUAAUCAUCCACAAAGGUAACAAAAUAUCUGAAACCAGUUUUAGAGGUAACUGGACAAGGACCCCAAACAUCAGAAUGUACUAACUCGAAGGGAGCAGUAGCUCGCUUAUUGAUUCUAGGACUAGAACUAAGACGAUGAUGUUUAGCAAACUGACAAGACUCACAAUCUAAGGAAGUAAUGUUUGAAAACUGAGGACAAAGUUUCUUCAACAUAGAAAGCGAAGGAUGACCCAAUCGACAAUGUGCUUCAAAAGGAGAGAUUGUUCCAGCACAAGCUAUAGACCCUGGUUUCGGUGUAUCAAGAAUGUAGAGACCGUCAGACUCAUGUCCCUCACCAAUAAUCUUCUUCGUCAUGAGAUCCUGAAAUGAACAAUAACCAGGAAAAAAUGAGACACAACAAUUAAGAGCACGAGUAAGUUUGCUGACAGAAAUCAGAUUAAAAGAUAGUUGUGGUAGACUCAGAACAGAUGAUAAAUGGAGAGAUGAUGUGGGCUGAGUGGUUCCAGACCCAAUAACACUGGAUGUUGAACCAUCGGCUAAAGUAACAGGAGUGAUAGAUUUAUGUGGCUGAAAGUUAGAAAGUAAACUAGGAUUACCUGUCAUGUGAUCAGUAGCACCAGAAUCAAUGACCCAUUUUGGAGAAGAGGAAACAAGACAUGCAUUGGGUUUACCUGUCUCGACAGGAGCAGUAACAUGACCAGAUGGCUGUUUCACUGUUUCUUGAAACUGAGUCAAUCUAGCAUACUUAUCCGCAGAUAUUGUAACAUGCUUGUCAGAGGUGGCACAACUAGAUGCAAUAUGGGCAGAGUGAGCCUUCUUAUACUGCAGCUUCCGACAGUCUCGCUUGAUAUGACCUGGUUUAUGACAGUAGUGACAUACAAUCUCUCCUUGCUCCUGUCCAUGAUUGCUAGUAUUCUUAUCAGAGUGGUUGGGCCCCGACCCCAUGCUCGUACUGUUGCCAUUACUCUUGUAGUGUUGUCUUCCUGAAUCAGCUGUGGUAGUUCGGCUAAGAAGAACACUGUUAGGCUGAGUAGAUAGAACAGGUAACGUAUUCUCUGUACGGAGAACCCUUCGAAAAGCAUCUUCUAGACUGGAAAUUUCUGAACCGGAAAGAAUUUGAGAUUUAGCAGUCUCAAAUUCAGACGGAAGACCGGCUAGAAAACUCAUAACCGCCAUCUUCGCUCGCUGAUUUCGUUGUUCCUCCACAUCACAACUGAAGGGAAGCAGCAUAUUGAGCUCUUCAUAUGUUUUCUUGAAGUCCAUAAAAUAACUGGUGAGAGACUUGUCUCCUUUAUCUGCCCUGUAAAAAUCCUUGCAAACAUCAUAGAUACGAGAGAAAUUUCCUUUUCCAGAAUAUAAGAACUGUAAAUAGUUCAUUAAUUGUUUUACUGUCUUACAAUGAGUCACCAGACCAACCACCUCACUAUCAAUAGAAUUACGGAUCUGUAUAUACAAGCGAGCAUCCUCUCUCAUCCAAGACAAUUUAGAGUCAUCCGUAGGUGGAUCAUCAGUCAGAUGGCCAUCCAUAGAAAUACUGAGCAGAUAUAAUUCAAUAGUAUUGUUCCAAUCAAGAAAAUUAAUUCCAGUUAACUUAUGUUCCGUGAUUUUUGAAACCAGCGGAACUAUAUCAGAAACAACUCCAGGCUUUUUGUCAGACAUAAUUGCUAAGAAAAUUCAACAAGAUAACAGAUUACCCACAAGAAAAACCUGUUGUAGCCAAGUCCCACACCUAGAUCGAUGUUGACCCACAAACAGGUAUGCAAAUAGCGUCGAGAGACAGAGGAGAGGUGCUGGGUUCUGACCAAUCGGUACUACGUACCUCCCUGAGUUGGCGGUGUCUAUAAAGGAACCUCUAAAGCCUGUACCUUGAAUAUGGCAGCAGCUUCCCUCACACCCAACAACCCAGAAAAAAAAAAUUUAUGAACAAACCUUGCUCUGAUACCAUGUGAAUUUCAGAGGAAGAGAAUAAAUUCCCCAUAUUUUUAUUCAUCAAUGGUAAGGGUAUAUAUACAGGUAUAGACAUCUUAUAAUAUGAAGAUAUCCUAUUACAAUAAAUCAGUCCUCUAAUUCCUAUAAUUUAGGCUACAAACUAGCCUACAUUUGUUAGCUAUCUAAUCCCUACAAAUCAGCCUAUAUCAAUCUGUGACAGCUAUCUAAUCCCUACAAAUCAGCCUGCAUAUAAUCUGUAACAAAAAGAAACUGUGUUUACGUAUCAACCUUAGUGGGAUAAAUUGCAUUUGAUCAAAAAAGGAGGAGGAUUAUUAAUAUAGGCCAUACUUCUAUCCUCUCAAUACAUCAGUAGCAAAAGGGAUGGUCAAACUCUUGGCACAAAAUAACUCAUCCAGUUACACAAGAUUUUAAACCAAAUAAAAAUAUUAUGAUAACACCAUCCGCGUGAGAUAUAAUGCAUCAAGAGCUGACAUACAUAUAUAGCAGGUAAUGCAAAGAUCAGAUAGCUACAGUUAGUGCAAAAUCUAGUAUCCAGGGUCAUACGCUUCAAGGCUUUGAUCUUGAUAAAGCUUCAAGGGUGGCCGAUUCUGCUUCCCACAUAAAUAAACACGUAGUUUUGUUAAUCAAAUGGCAGAGGCAUUCUUGAGUGGUACUGCAAAAAUCCACUUCGUAUAGUUAAAUAUUAGUAACAAUUACCAUAUUCUCCAAAAAUAUAUCAUAGAUUUUUUUCUUUUAUCAUUGUCACUUCCAUUUUAAUCUAACUUUUUUCACUUACAGGAACAUCAUAAUUAGCGCCUAUCUAUGCAAUUACCUAUAUGGCAGACAAGUUUUUUCCAUAUAAUUAUCCCUGAAGGCAAAAGUAUGGGGCAAAGGAUUUUGUACAAUUCAUAGGUUAGGGCAUACUGCACCAGUGUGGCCAAAGAAUAAACGAACAAUCUUCAAUUACAAUAUAAAACAUGCAAUAACUACAAAUGAACAAUUUUCCAUUACAUUAUUAUAUACACAAUAUACACACUGUUGUAAAAAAAAAUUCCAUUCAUAGAGAUGGUUACAUUAAACCGAAAGGUGAAAGAAAAAAGGUUAGAAUCAGCACCUUAAAAGUAGUAGAAGGCCAUUAUUUGCUUUAUUAUAUGCCGAUAAUUUUAAUACCUAAUUCCAUCAUGAAGAGCCAGGUAGCCAUCUAAUUUAACGCCAAAUAAGGACACAAAGAAAUGGUUCGCAAGCUAAAUAGCAGAAAAGAUAAUUAACAGAAACUUAAUCAUUUUCUCAUAAUUAACAGAAACAUAAUCAACAAAGACAUCUACUAAUUAUUAGUAUACAAGCACAUCAAUUUGACUAAGAUAUUUUUUUAAAUAAAGUGUAAACAGCUUACUUGUCUAAAGCUGAACUAUGCUAAAAGGCCAAAGCUUGGGCUUAGACUGACUGGUACUAAACGAAGCAUUACCCCUAUAAAAUUCAACCCAAAAGUUAACAAAAAUAAACAGGAGCAAAAAUAAAUUGUUCAUAUGCAAAAUGGAAACAAGUAGCAAAAAAGAAGGCUGUAAAAUGUUACACAAAGAUAAUCACCAAGUUUUUAGCCAAAGACAUUGUGCUAAGAUUUAAACAACCCAUGAAUCCAAAACUAUAUGGUCAAAGAAGGAAAAGAGAUCUAGGGAUUUUUUCUUCUAAAUAAUAGGUUUUUUGGUAAACAUACACCUUUCAUAACAGCAUUUGUGGCCAAAGUGUUAUCUACCAACCAAUCUAACAAAUUUUGCCACUUUAACCUCCUUUCCCACAAUUAGUUGAAAAUUAUUCAAAACUAUAAUUAAAAACUUCAAACUAAAGUCAUCAAAAGAUGAAAUAAGUUCAAUUCCAUUGGAAAUUGACAAUGGCGGAGACAUGAAAAAGAAACAAAGAAAAUUGACAAUUUAAGUUAUUUCGAAAAUCCCAAGCAACAACUAAACAAGAGCUGGGAAAUUUGAGCAUAUAACAUCUCGAGUGAUAACCAAUGCAAUCUUGAUUUUGAGCUCCAAGACUCCAAAUGAUCAAGUAGUAUAGUACAGCAUAAACUGAAAAGCAUGAAACUUUUGCACUAAAAACCAAAGCCAACAGAUGAGAUAACUUAUUUAUGGCUUGGUUCCUAAGCUUAAAUGACACCACAAAUACAGCAAUAAUAAAAAAUCAACUUUAAUGUGCUCAAACUUCAAAGCUUGCGACGUCUGUGCAAUCACUCAGUUGAAAUUUUAGCUCAAAACACUAUACAACGGAAAAGGAAUAAGCAAAAGCACAAAAACACAUAAAAUCCGACAUUUUAAAAGCAAAAAAAAAAGAAUCCAUGGAAUUAAUGUUUGGAACCUUUUUUACGGCAUGCAGUGCAGCUCCAUGACCACUGACGCCAGCGCCAAUAAUGAUGAGAUCGUAAUCAAAGGAUUUGGGAGCGCUUCCAUUAUCAUCCGAAGAUGCAGAAACCUUCGUCGGACUCGCCUGCGCUUUUCUCGGAAAAAUUAGCCUCUUUGCUCGAAUAAACUGGCCGCGCUUCAGCUGCGAGGGAACUGAAAACCCAGAGAUUUCUAAUAUUUCACCUGCAAGAUCUAAGCAGAAGAAAAUAAAAAACAUACUACGGGUAGGAAAGCAGAUUUCUAAUAUUUCACCUACAAACUCAAAAGCAUACUCAACAAGAAAAUAAAAAACAGCAGAUCUCUGGGUUUAUAAAUACUUCUGACUUUCACUGCUUUUGGAUGAAGAUUUUACUACAGCUUUCUUUGUUUGCUCAAAGAAGGAGAUGAAAAAAUAGUAUUUCAGACCUCUAGGUUAUUAAUCGAAAGAUUAACAAAUCUUAGCAAGAAAAAUGUCUUUCUUUCUUGAAUAAAGGAAACUGUAAAACUUUGGGGAAAUAUUGGAGCUUACCAAUUAAGAUGAUUUCUGUGUCUCAUGCGUUCAGUAGCUUCAUAUCCAGACCAAUUCUAACAAGGGAAAAAAAUCAGUUAGAAUCAUAUAAUUGAAAAAAAAGGAAAGAGAAGAAAGGAAAAAGGGGGGAGGGGGGAAACGGGAAGGAAAAACAGAGAAAAAAGGACCAAAUAAAAACAACAAAAAGGAACAAAGAAAAGAAAAGAAAAGAAAAAUGGAAGGGGAGAGGAGAGGAGCUCUGGAGAGCAACGAAGCGGCGGACAUGAAUGAGGGGAAAGAAAACAAGGGAAGCCCUAAAACAAAAUUUUUGGCACGCGAGUCCCACGUGAUUGACGACCAAAUUCCAGCCAAUAAAACCCAGCCACGUCAGCAAAACAACAACCACCCUUAACAAUCCCAUUCGCGCUUUUACUAUAUAGGUAGAUUAGCAUUAUUCUUGUUCGGCUGGUUCUAGUUUCGAUUUCAGUUUCUAUCAUUUUCAAUUUUAGUAUUUUUCUAGGUAUAGUUUUCAGAUUUUCUAGUACAUUUAAUUACUUAUGAUUAUAAAAUUAAUUUUAAGAAAAUAUAAUAAUGAAUUUAGAGUAACGAGAAACUAAAGAAAAUGAAUGUAAAAAAAAAUAAGGCUUUUAUUGUAUUAUUAGCUUACAAGGAAGAGAAAGAUGAUAAAAAAAAAAUUUAUGUAAAACAUAUCUCAUAUUUAUUGAAUGUUUUAAAUAAAACAAAAGAUACAUAAUUUUCUAUCAAACUUGAAAAAAGAAAAAGAGAAAAACAUCUCAAUUUUCUCACUAACUUGCGCAUUGUUUUUCUUUUGACUCAACAUUUUAGAACUAGCUUAAUGCUGUUGAACUUUCGGUGAACCUCAACCAAAACCUUUAACCAUGGUUCCAACACCGAUUUAAAAUUUCCAAAUUAGUUAUAAUUUUUUUUUAACAAAUUGCUGAUUCAAUUCCGAUUUGAUUCCAAUUUGAACCUGAACUAUGGCCAUGGUUAUUACUAUUACGUAGAGGUGGCAAUUUGUCCCAAAUCCCAAUGAACUACCCAUACCCAAAAAGACUUUGGCGGGAUGGGUAUUGUAAUUUGAUAUUAGGUUUAAAAUGGGAUGCAUCCCAAUUAUACUCAUUAUUUGAUGGAAAAUGUUGGAAAAUACUUGGGUACCUAUUGAGCCCAAAUAUCUUCCCAAAAAAUUUCAUUUUAUCCAAAAAUUCAUCAUUAUUUUUUUUUUUUUGCAAAAAUCUGAUUUUUUUUCACUUCCAUUUUCUUUCAUUUCCUUUCUUCACUUUCCUACAAAAGAAAACCAGUUAAGUAAAAAUGAUUUCAUUUAAACAACUUUAAAAAAAUUAAAGAUAACAAUAAAAAUAAAAUAAAUUGGUAAAAUUUUGGUGUCUACAAGAUCAAUACUUUACUAACAACUGUUGGUACCCUAUAUGUUAAUUUUAUGCUAAUUGUUGAACUAUCUACAUAGAUUUCUAUAUGCAACCCUGUUAUCAAUUUUUAAUCAGCUUCUUCGUUUCUGUGCUAGCUUUAUUCAGCAUUUAAUGUGAAUUUCUUUUGUAUCAAAUUUUGAAAAUUUUAAGAAUGUCAGUAAGAAUGAAUGUGGUGUUAAAAAACUUGUUUCUAGUCCUUGUGUCAGACAACAUUAUGGGUAAGGUUGGAAUAUGGUUGUAUAUCUAUCUUUUCCUUUUUUUGUUAAUCCAAUUUUUGGUUUAAUCCAGGGAGAAGAUAUGUUCAUUCUUACCAAAAUAUUAUGUCUUUUAAAAGUAACUGCUGAUCGUUCUAAAGUGUAAAUGAAUUCAGGAAAAUAUAAAUUCACAAUAAGAUCAAAAGAAAUUUAAUAAAUAAAAAUAUUAAAGUUAUAUAAAAAAUAAAAAAGAAUUAAAGGAAAAAUAUAGAAAAUAGAUUUGGGUAUUGGACGGGAUCAAUCUAAACCUAUCCCAAAGUGAUCCCGCCCAAGUUAGUCCCAAAAUAUAUAUGGGUAAGAUUAGACCCAAACCCAUAUGAUUCGGUUCUAUUUCGAAUUCAAGCAAAUCACGUCCAUCCCGCCCAUUUUGCCACCUCUACUAUUACGAACCAAAUAGUGAAAAACUUGGGUUUUUUUUUUAUGGAAAUGAAACAACUUUGGUGCGAAGGAAGCUCAAGGGCUCAUGCAUCAAAAACAGAAACUGUUUCGUUGAAGCCCUUUUGGAUAGUGGAUAUUGCCGGCUCAGGCCAUUGAAUUUGAAUUGAAGAAGGAUUGCAUCGUGAUAUAAAUAAUUAGAUUGUAAACGAAUUGAAUCGAAUACAAAAUCUAUUCCCAGAUUGAAUUCUGGAUAUUAAGUCACACAACAAGUAGGAAAAAAUAAUAAAGUUAAAAUUGCCAUGUAUUGCCAAUUUUUCAUGUAAAUCCGAACUUUUUUUCAGUUUUCAUAUAAUGUUUUUAAAAAUUGAAGCCAAAAUCACUAUAUGUACUCGAAUUGUUAAUUAGGCAUUUUAUGACUAAUUUGAUUUAGCAAGUGCUCUAAGUUUUACUCAUCGUUAGCUUAAUUUCUUAAGAUUAUACUCGAAUGCCCAAAUGCACGUAAUUAGAAUGGUAUCUUAUGUACAUAUUAUUAAAAUGAUGUCUUAUGAAAUUAUUGCAGGUAUCAUGCAACAAAAUUUUAUCAAGUCCUAAAAAUGAUGUGAGUUCUUGGAAAAUAUUUUAAAAAGAAAAAAUGCAUGCAUUAUUAUUUUGGUAGUCCACUUAUAUUAAUUGCAUGAGCAAUUGAAGGCAGUCCAAAAUUUUUUCAACAAUCUUUACAAGUGCAAAGUGUUCAUUGUUCACAAUAACAAACAAGGGUGAAACUAUAAAAACUAUUCUUCCUUGGAAAAAUGUGAAAUGUGGGCAAAGAUAUUAUGAAAAUAACACAAAAGACUCGAUGAUCAUAAAAUCAAAUGUUCAAAACAACAUAGAAUAGUUCAUGAUCUUUGUAUACUUUAUACAUAAAUGCAUAAUUAAUGAGUUUUCUAUUAAAUUCCAUAAACUGCAUGGAGGAUAUUAUCAGUUUCAUAUGAGAUUAACUUGGGGUCAACUGGUCAUGGGUAGACCAUGAGAUGCCCUAAAACAUGACAUGGAGAAGAGAAUCUGCAUAUUAAGUGGCUCUUAGAGUCUCUUGCUACUAAUACUCUUGUUUAUGCCUUGGCUAAAAAGCUUGAGCUGCAGGUUAAAUGGCCUUAAUUUUAAGUACUCUUGUAACUUAGCUUAAUUUUGAAUUUGGCCCUGAACAAAUAAUUCAACUCUUGAUUCGAGUUCGAACAAGAAAUAUGAUUUGAUUAAAGUAUCAAAUAAAAUUCGAGUUGAAUAUUCGACUCGUACAUAUUCAAUUGAUUAAAGUUCAAUGCAACUCAACUAAUUUUUUAUAUUUUUAAGUUUCUUAAUAUUUUUUAUAAAAUUAUGCAUUUCCUAUUUUAUUAUUAAAAAAUUAAAUAAAAUUCCAAGCUCCGAAUUGAGCUCGAGCCUAGUGAGUACUAAAUUGAAUCAAACUCAACCUUAAAUUUUAAACUCGUUUAGGAUUCGAAUUGAGCUUUCGUUUGAGUCCAAAAAUUCAAAUCAAGUCGAAAAAUUAGAAUUGGAAUCUGAGUCUAACAGCUAAGAAGUUCGAGUAAAUUCGUUUGCUGCCCUAGCUUUAUGGAUUUGAAAUCCACGAAAUACAAGUUGAAAAGCCAAACAAUUAAUCAAGAAACCAGAGCAUCAAAAACUAUUCAAAAGUUUCCUUUCCUUUCUUCCUCAAUCUCCAUCCCUUGACCAAGACAAAAAAGGUUUUCACUAGUAACGACAUACAAGAAAGGUCUAUCAAUCCUUUAAAGGGCUAAGGGAAAGAGGAAAUGAAACCCCAACUCAAGGGAAGAACAACAGGGACAAUAAUUACAAAAACCUUUACAACUAUACAAAAUUCCUGUAGAAUUGAGGGAUUAUUUCCUCACCUCAAAAUUAGGGAAUGCUUUCUCUAUAACAUGAGUUGGCACUAUGUACUGUUAUGAUUUUUCUUUGUGUAUGUCAAAUAUGGAUCCUGAGCAAUGGUCAAAACAUCUGGCCUCUCUGCCUGAUUAUAUGUAAGACAACGACGAAUAAAAUCCUGCAAAACAUAAAAGGAGUUGCUACUUCAGCAUACAGGACAAAGGUGAUGAAAGAAAAGUUUAGCGCAGUCUAUAUACCAGUAUUCUUCAGCUUUUUGUCAGCAAAUGUCCUUUAACCACAUGUUAACAUCAUUCAUCGCAGAAAAUCCAAAAACUAAAAUAAACAUUGUAAUAAAGAAUCCAAGCUAAACAAGGAAACAUCCUAAAGGUAUAAAUUUUGCACCUUUGCCAAGCAAAUAAUUUAGAAAUCCAUCAACAGUAUUGUUAUCAAUUUUCAUGAGAAUCAGCAAUGGCAGUUUUAUUUAUAAAUCAUCAUCAUAGUUUCUUCAUUUUUGACAUACCUAGCAAGUUUCUCUAUUUCGUUUUGUUCCUUCAUCAAUCAUUUCCAUAUUAUGACUUGCAAUAUGAGUAAAAGGAAGCAUGAACAUUAUGUCUGAGCCAGUCAGCCAGAUGUUAAUCUGUCUCAGAAACUGCUAUAAAACAUUGAUACAAAUGAGAUUUUCAAAUUUGCAGCACAUCUGGCUUGGAGAAUUGCCAGAGACGAGUGGGGGGUGGGGGUGGGGGAAUAGAUUGACAUGUUUGUAAAUGGACACCCUCGAUUGAAUUUCAUACAGAAUACUUCCGCUAACAGAAAGUAUAGACAUUGACGAGUCAAAACCCAUUUACUGAAAUAAAUUUUGAAGCACUUCAAUACCACACAAAAAUUGACUCCACUAUGUUGGAAACAAUAACCAUUAUGAAACAAACAAGAGGAUAUCAAGAAUAAACUCAGUAGCAUCCACAUGAUUGGCAUGCUUAUCCAUUACAGAUAAAUUAAAGAGAUAAUUGUUGAAACUUUUGUCAAAUAAGAUUUACACAAGUGAAAACACAUCAAAUUGUAAAGUAUAAGAAAGAUGAUCGAUUUCACACCCCACUUUUACUGUUAUCAAAUUGUGGUAAUAAACACUAGCAAUUAGUGCUGGUGAUGGUGAUAGUGGUGGUGGUGGUGGUCAUAGUAACAAUGAUAUAGUCUCUCCUACGCAGACUCUCUUAGAGAAUUUACCCUACAUAAGGAUGUCGAAGAUUAUCACCCCAAGAAACAUUAGCAAAGAAGUUUACACACAAAUGAUUAGUGAACCUGCCUUUGCCUCGUUCGACACAGCUGGCCUUGAAGGAAAAUCCACCUUCCGGGCUUUAAUGAUGGUAUCUUCGCGUAAAACAAACAAAACAGACAGAAUUCAACCAAGAUCAAUCUAGCAAACGUCCGUGAUCUAUCCCCCAUUCUAACAACAACUCCCAAUUUUCCUUACUACGAGGAGCUUUAGCCCAUAAGAGACAAGUCAAGUUGAACAAUUUUAACCACUGUUGAUUUAAUAAAAUUUGGAGUGAAGCCCUCCAACGUGUACAGGGCUUGUCUUUCCAAAAAAACAAAAAACAAAAAACAAAACCGCUGCUGCAACUACUUCCAUUAUCAGUAUUCUGUAUUCGAAAAUCAACAUUUAGUCUUUCCCAAAUUUAGUAUAUUUUAGUGCAUAAUUGAAAAAUUCUCUUGGCGCAAGUGGAAAAUUAUAGAUUUGCAAUCAAUUACAAAUUUUCCUCGAAAAUAGAUGCCCAGUGAUCAACUAUGGCGCUUCAUAGUUCACCUUUUCCAGUCUUAUACUUAGGAGUUGGUCUUAAUAGUGCAUUAAUUUUUUCAUAGUUAAUCAGAAUUUUCUAUGACAAAAAAAAGAAGAAGAUUCAUGAAGAAAAAUAAUCUAUUGGCUGUACUUUUUUUCGAUUUAGACAUCAAUAGUGCAAUGGCAAAAGGACUUUGUAGAUGAAGCUAGUUGAUGUAAUGAAUUUAUGAUGAUUUAAUUAACUAAAAAGGCAAUCAAUUCGGUCUACUAAAUGUCAUACUCAAGAGGUCAUCAUCUUUGUCAAAGGGUCUAUACAUUCCAUACAUUAGUAGUAAAAGUUAGUGGAUUUGUUAGUAUUGAUGACCAUGUUAGCCACUGAUUUCUAUUAAAUCAUGUCUUCAGCUUCUUAUAAGCUUCUCUAUACCCUACCUAAUCUCAUACCAUUUUACUUUCUCUUGGAUUAUGUGGAAUGCCUACUUGACUGCCUGCAAUGCCUAUAUUUUAAUGAUUCCGGUGCAUUUUCAAAAUCUUCAAUUUAUUUUGUAAAGUAUCGAAGUUCAGUUCACUAAUUGGCCAUAAAAACAGAUCAAUAGCAAAGUUGAAAUAUGCCACUUAUCCUGAGACUUUGCAGAAAGUUUGGAAUGUUAAUGUUGUCCCUUGUAAUCCGAAUUAUCCGAUUAUGUGAAACUGAAGUUGUUGAAGGGUGAGAUGAGUUUUUCACUUGUAUACAAGCUGUUUAAUGGGGUUUUCAAUAAAAAACUUUAUCAUUUGCUCCAAAAAAAAAAAAAAAAAAGAAGAAGAAGGGUGAGUUGAGGAAGCUGAAUGCUAAGCAAUAUAGUUCUAUUAGUGAUAGAAUAAACAGGUGUGUAUGGCCAGUUAUGUGAAGUGCAAUCCUUUUCCUUCAUUCACCUUUUGAUAUCUCUUUGCAAUUUCAAGAACAAUCUCAGAGUAGUUGUCUCAACUAGGAGGCGACCAGCUAGGAUUUAUGUUUACUUUACGGGCCAAAGAUACUGGCCUGGCCACGUCUUCUUCUUCUUGGUUUUUUUUUUAAUUCUUCUUAUAGAUCUUUCAGGCGAGUAAGCAACCUUUUGGGGAAAUAAUGUGGUAUAUUUGGACAUUGGGAUAAUUUAACAAAUCUCCUCUGAGUUUAUAACAAAUUCAUCAUAGCUCCCCUCAAAUUAUGACAUGACGCUUGUGUCUAUUAGCUAUUGAUUUCCAAGGCAAAUACUGAAGUUUACCUCUAUGUUUACCAUUGACACUUUCUAUACAAAGCGAUACAAAUUAUAUAUAAGAGAUUUGUGAAAAUGUUAUACUUCCGAGCUAUAACUCAUAAACAAAGGCAUUCGUAAAACCCUUUUGAUUCAAAUAUAUAGAUAUACUCAACUAUACACUUAACAAUUUAAUGUGUGCUAAAGUGAGUAGAAUAGGCUUUUGAAAAAAGUACUCAAAAGUAUGCUACUUCCAUCAUUACCUUCUAGCACGCAUUGUGCAAACUCUUUUCAAAUAGAAAAAAGGGAACGGAAAGGAGAUACAAAAAAGGGUUACAAAUUCUUUAAAAUAUGGCAAGGGUAAGCAUGGAAGUAACAUAUAACAUGAAACAAACAUGUUAAGGAAACCUUAAAUCAAGAGAGGUAACAGUAAGUUUGAAAACUUUGGUGCAGCUAAAUGAAGUCAAAAACCUAAAACAAGGUUGAUGGAAUUAUCCUUUGUAAACUUUAUGUGUCCGUGGCCAAGUGAAAAAAUACUGUUCAAAAUUCUUAUUUCUAUCGGAACCAUUUCGAGGAACUCCAAUUUGGAUGUCAAUACUAAAAGAAAUUUUCCCUAUGGUACAACUGAUUUUGAAAUUUACUAAUUAUUUAUAUUUUUUUUCGGAGACGACAACUGUUAUAUAAUCUAAUCUAUCCUACACUAAAGGGGAGGGGGCGGACCUAAAGAGGCCCAGGGGUAUAUAGGAAGCAAAUGCAUUGUAUAUAGGAAGCUGAAAACCAAACAAGACUUUAUUAUUAGGUUAUCAGUAUUAUUAGUCGUAUCCAAGUGUCAUCAUGUUUUUUUUAUUCAAGUGUCAUAACGUUAUUGAUAGUAUAAUUGGGUUGCAUGAUUAUGGUUGAAAGUGUGGACUAUGCGAUUAAACUCCGUCUUAGGUGAUAGGGUGUUAAUUGUUAGUAAUUUUAUUGUUAAUUUUCCCUUUUAUCCUUGUCAAAUAUUAUUUUAAUUAUUAAUAUUUACUUAUAUUUGGUAUUUGGACUCAAUUUCAGGGAAUGGAGCAGAAAACUACAAAAAAUGAAGGACUUUCUGAAAACAAUGGAGACUUCAAACAAUCGGGCCCACAUGGUGCCACAAACGGAUGGCAUUUCCUUUUUGCUGAUUAGGAGUUGAAGUCUUUGAUGGGCAACAGGAAACGAAAAGUAGAGAAAAAUUCGGCAGAGCCUUCUUUUUGUACUUGGACUCCCAAUUCGUUGGGGACCACAGAGAGCAUUAAGGAGUCAUACUUUUGCUUGGAAUAAAAAGAACGUACAGAGGCUAGGGAUAGUUUUUAGCAAUAGUUUAGUUUUCUUGCUUUUUCCUUUUCAUGCACGCCUACUGUUAUCAAUGGUUGUACCUUGGUUAUCAAUAAAUUAAAGAAAAAUUGGUCGUUAGAGUUCGUCGGCGACUAUAACUAGUCUAUUAAUAAAUUAAGUGAACCUCCCUUACAUCAAUGAUCGGGUAAGUGGACUAUGUUUGAAUAGUUGUAUUCUUGGUUAGAAUUUAUCUAUUCUUGAAUUAAUUCCUGUGUAUAUUUGUGUUAGUUAAUUAUUCGUUUUAUUUGAAUUGCUUAAUUAUUUGUAGUUUUAUUCUGAUGAAACACCCCUUUUACCAAUUGGAAUCUCAAAGAGACAAAUAUCCUCAAUUCCUGAGGAGACGUGUGAGAACCCGUAUUUUCCCUAAUAAUUUUCCUAGGGUUUUUCCCCUUUAAUGGCAUGUUUUUUGCAUUUUCUGGCUUAGAAAAUUUUCCUGGUGAAUUUUAUGAGUAAUUAUAGUUUUUAGAUGAUUUUUCUAGCAUUGGAUAGUUUUUGAAAAAUUACGGAUAUAUAACGGACGUGGGGCCCACUAGUGCGAAAAGUUCGGAAAAAUUCGGCCAAUAAGGUUAAGUUUCGGAUACUGAGUGAAAUUUAUCGGGUGUUAAGAGAUAAGUAUAGGAUGUGAUGUGAUUGAUGUGAGAGGAAAACAAAAGGAUAGAAAUGCAUUAAUGAAGUGACACUUGUCAUGUUGGGAUUGGUUUCACUUGUUGACAACUAUUCAUUUUUUUUGACUUUUCUUACCAAUUGAUUAAAUAUCUCAAAAAUCACAAAAAAAAUCACUCUUGUCUUCACCUUCUUGGCCGGCCACCUUGAGCUUAAGAAGGAAGAAAACUCUUCAAAAUCUUGGCUACCAUCUAGCUCAAAUCCUCCAAAACAAUUGCUUGAUCUUGUUUCUACUCCAUAAAAUCUCUCCAUUUGGUACUAGUAAGUGAUUUGGUGAAGUGUUUAAGGAAGCUAAGGUGUCCAACAACUCUCCCUCUCUUGUUUACUAGGUGAGUGGUGAUUGAACUUCCUCCUACACUUAAUGAAGCUUAAGUUGUGCUUAGUGGUAGCUAAAGUGCUGAAAUUUGUGGUUUAUUUCUUGGUUUGAGAUGAAAUGAUGAAGUUUUCAAUUUAAUGGUGUAUUUUCUGGUUUAAUGUGAUCAUGAUGUUGUGGUUAUCUAUGAUGGUUGGUAAUGAAGGGUAAUGACUCUAGUAGGUGUACAUGAUUGGUAAUUGCAAGCAAUUUUGGGUUUGGAAGGAAUUUGAGAAAGUUAGGGUUUUAUAUCCCCAAUUCUGUCCGAUUUUGUAUCUCAUGGUUAGAGGCCGAAUUGGCCUUGUCUUAAAACAUGAAAGUUGUAGGUAUUGAUGUGUUUGAGGUGCCUGUAAAAUUUCAGGUUCAUCGGAGUUGUGUAGAGUGAGAAAAGUCGAUUUUACUGUUGCUGUUCUGGGUUCUUCAGGAUGGCCGAACUGCGUCUGUAAUUGGUGGUUUUGGCUGGAAUUGCUUUGGAUUUGGUUGUUGAGGCCUUCUGAUGAAAUGUAGCUUGAUGUCUUAGCUACCGCAUGCCUUUGGUAUGAAUGAAUUUGGACUUGUAUAGACUGAGUUGGACUAAUUACAGCAUAGUGUAUUUUGUAAACCUGCAAUUAAGGUUCUGGUUUGGUAUUUUGCAUAUUUGACCUAGUUGUGCUAGGAAUUGGACUGAGUGACCUUCUACAUUGUUGUAGCCCUGUUUCUUAGCUUCGAAACGGUGGGUCUUACACCCUCAUCCGAUAAGCGUAGUGCAAUUUGUGCCAUUACCGCAAACUGAGGACAAAACUGUUUUUUUUUCAGGGCCAAGUUAGUUACAUUUCCUGAUUUUCUGGUUUGCUAUAAUGCUUAUAUAUGAAUAUGAAACCCUAUUGGGGUUGUGAUUGGCAUGGCUUUAUGACUCGUUAUCGAGUCUCAUUGUAUUUGUUUACGUGUUUUAGGACGUGACGAGGGUUCACGACGACCUUUUAACGACGGUGCAUGAAACAUCACCUACUUGAGUAGUGAGUAUACUACUCACUUGAAUGUUUAUAAUGUGGCUUUGCUAUAUGUGAUUGUGAUGCCUUGAAGGCUUGUUUGGCUAUUGGACAUGGUUAAGGUGAGGGUGUACUUGACCGCCCUCAUCCUUUUUAUCUUGUUAAUGACUGUUUACCGUUUCACUGUAAUACUGCACUUGCUAUAUGAGAUAUUGAAUUCCAUUCAUGGGAAACUGUUUGGGUGUCGGUUGGACGAGUAUCCAACGGCCCUACUGCAUUACUGAGCUCGACCCCGUUGGUAGUUACUUGAAUCGAGCCAGCGAGGGCUUGGUCGUGAAAAUUGACUAGCCACGGGGACUGAAAUGGGAAUCUUGUGGUAAUGAGACCCUUGGUUCCGGUGUACUCGAGUAUCACCUAAAGCUACUGCUUGGAGUGCGGGCCCGGUUGGGGUAUGUUGGGUGGAAGGAAUGGAAGUGAAGUGAGGUCUACGGUCGGGUAUUCUUAAACAUUGACGGAGGGUCAAUGAGGUUGGAUCAAGAAUGUAAGCGUGGAAAUGGGCUCUUGAGAGCCGUCCGUAUCCUUUUACCGACUUGUUUUAUUUCUUAAUUGCGUACUUGAGAUGAAAGUUAAGUGAUCUUUGUUGAUUAUGUGAUAGUUGCUCACUGAGCUUUAGCUCACUCCGUUCCAUUUGUUUUCCUUACAGGAAAAAUGACUAUUUUGGGAAAGGUUGUGCUAGUUGGUUGUCAAGUUGAGCUCAUGUAAAUGUAUAUUUUGAAUAGCUCCUUGAGGGUGAAAACCCUAAGUGUUUUGUUUCAACCAAUGGUUGGUUUGUAAUUGGCCAAUUGCACAUGUGUGAACUUGUUGGAUAUUUUGGUAUACCGCUUUGGCUUGUAAAUGUUAAAUUUCGAUGUAUAUAUGUUGGAUUGAUGUUUGGUUGAACUCCGGAUUCUGACAUGGCCGGUACUGUUCAUCAUCGGCUUCGAUUUUCAUAUUUUUUUUAUUUUGUGAUUUUGACUUGUUUGCGCGCGUUGGUGUGUUCCGGAAUGUAGUAGAUCGACGUAAACUGAUCCGUUAGUCCUGGCGAGAGCUGGGCAGGCAGUCCGCUAACCCCUUUGGUUCGCCUUAGGGGAAGGUGGGGCUGUUACAAGACGACCCUACUUGCCACUGUCUGCCAAUUAGUAAAUUUUGUCAAAUAAUUAAUUCUGGUAUAUCGGAUUAAGCAAACUCUUCGAGAACAGGGUGAAUCAAGUAACCCAUUGCACACCUAGAGUCUCUGCUCCAGUACUUAGAAUUGAUUAUUGACUACUUUUGACGGGCGUAGGGUAUACAUAUAACAUUAAGCUCAUCCUAAUCAAGUUUUACAUUUAUAAACUCCUAAAUACCCUACACGCGAUUUAUCGCAAGUAUACGAAUCGUGAGCGAGUAUAGGGUAUUAAAAGUCGAUCUCACAAGGAAGAUUGCAAUUACCGGCACUACUAAAGCUUCUCUAUUAUUUAGACUAUCAAUGAAUUAUAACAAAUUUAACCUACUGAACUUAUGCAAGAAAAUAACAAAUGAAAGCUCCUUAAGUUGUGGUAUCCCUAACUACUCAUGCAAGUGCUAUAUUUGGAUCAUUGAAUACUACUAUCUAGGCUAGUUAUGGUGUAAUUUCCUUAAACAUGUGAAACCUACUUUCGUAGUGAAUCAACUAUAUUCAUAACUAAUCCAUACAUAUUCUCAUGGUUAUGAAAUUAGCUACAAGUUCAUUUCUUCAAUGAAAUUAAUCACUAAAAUCACAUAGGUGCACCUCUACUCUCGUGAGCGUACUCCCUAUGUUUAGCACUUCUUAAACUAGUGUUAAAUCUCAAUUUUCAUUGCAGAAACAACACCUUAAAUAAUCACAAUCAAUGGUACCAGAUUAAUCAUGAUUUAAAGAGCCAAAGUACUAAAUAACUUGCUCAAAUCAUAGCAAUCAAAUAACCAAAUAAUAAAUACUAACAAUUAUAGAAAGUUCAACCAAACCCAAGGCAUAAACGUUAGAGACACAUAUUAAACACAAAAUCCAGAACUUGCAUAUCAACUAAACUUAGAAUCCAAUACAAAAGAUAAAGAGUUGGAAAAGAGAUAACCAUUGUCACAUGAGCUUCAACUCCUCCUUUUUCAUCUCCAUUUUCAUCCUAAUCUAGCUAAUAUACAAGAAUGGAAGAGCUAUACUAUUCUAAACUAAACUAUCCUACUACUCAGAAAGUGCAAGAGCUACAUCUCUGCACUCCAAGUUUCUCCUGUAUGUCUCUCUAUUCUCCCUUCAAUCUUGCAAGCUUUGGCUAUAUAAAGGUGAAAGUUGGUCAAGAAGUGAGGUUUACACCUCCCUUUUACAGCUGGGAAUGUUUCUCACAUGUCUAGCAUCACCUGUGACUUAGUGGAGGUGAAAUUGAGUUUCCCACGUAAAGAGCAGCCUUCUCUGACCACAAUCCGGCCAGAAAUCUGGCCAAGUUCCGGCCGGAUUGCUACAGUGACAUUUUGGUGCACUUUUGUUCAAUUUCCAGCUCUGCUCCAAUUUUGUGUCAAUUUCAACUGAACUUUUGUUGAUGAUAAAAGCUGAUUUAGCUCUUGAUCAACAUAAAACUUGUAGCCCUUUGAGUUAGCUUUCCAAUGCAUCAAGAAUCACCUCAUUUGGAUCUGUGUAGGCUGAGAAAUGACCGAAAUACCUUUGACUGCUCACUGCCCUAUUUCAGCUUCGACCAAUAGAAAUUAGCUACUGUAAUUCGGCUUUUUAACCUGGAAAACCUUCAAAAUAGAUUCAGAUGUCUUCACCAAAGUUGUAGAUCUAUCUCUUAUCUUCAAAUUGGUUUAAGAAUCAUCUCAAUCCGAUCAUUAUAGCUCAAGUUAUAGCCAAAAUACGAAAAUGUGUCAAAACUGUCAAAAUGCACAAAAUCCAAGUAAAAAGUGAUAAAAACCUCAUUUAAUUACUUAAAAGCAUUUUUCACCAAUUAUAGCCAAAAUGAAUCAUUUUCUUCCAAUAAUGUAACCAAAGUGACUAACAAUAAUAUAAAAUAUCAUACAAUUAUUACAUAAAUUAGUCACUUAUCAGCUUUUAUUGGCAAUUAGGUUUAUUUUUAUUAUUGCACAGGUUCGGCACCUGUCAUUAGGAGUACUGGUUUUGCUGUGGGAUUUUUCGUUUUCUUUGUCAGCUGCGUCAGCUGCAUGGUGCUUUAGAGCAUAAGCCUUUGUUUUGUAUCGAAACAUCACGGCCAAAAUUGCCAAAAGCAUAUCGAAACAUGAACACAAAAUGAAAGAUGUGAGGAAACUUUAAUGAAGAUAUGCCUUGAGAUUUAAACACCAAAGACAAAAGCUCAAAAAAUAUUAUCAACGGAUCAAAAUAAGAACUUGAUUAUUGGUAAAACACUCCAACAAGUUAAGUCGAACCAAGAUCAACAUAAUCAAUUAUUUGAUUUCAAGAGUCAUAACUUUUGCUUGUAAAGAACAAAUAAAGUUAAACAAUUUAUUGCUUUUUUCCCCCCAGUCAGCUGUGUACCUCAACAUUAUUUCACGUCAAAAACUUGUUUUUCCUCGGAUUAAAUACCCUAGCAUCUGAGGUUAUCACCAGUCUCGACACCCAAUUGUCUACAAUAUUCAGUAUAAUACUCAACUCGAGCACUAACUGUGUUUGGAUUUGCACCAUCACAUUCAAGCCGACCAUUAAUGGCACGAAUUGUAGCCCCAAAACCCUGGCCAGAAGUGAUAAGAUCAUGACAAUGGUUCAUCCAAUACCACAAGCCAGUUUUGAAUGAAAUAACAUUAUUUGUAGCUACAGUUUCAGGUUGGCUGAGUCCAUUGAAUCCAAUGCUUUCACCUGCUGGUCCAUAGUUAGAGUUCCAUGAUAACUGUAUUGGACCCCUGCCGUAAUAUCCCUUGCCUGGCACACAUGGAUACUGAGUGUUGCUCUCAUCACAGUAAUCUCUGGAGGGGCCGUCUAUCUCUUCUAUGUAGCACAAAUCUGCGCAAUAUAAAGAAAUUUUGUCACUCAAUUGAAAUGAUUGAUAAAGGGUUAGAAUCAAAGAAAAUCAGGAGGUCUGGAAUUUUUUGUAAAUUUUUAGAUUUGAUUGUUUUACUAAUGAAUUCAAUUGGUGAGAAAAGACUUUAUCCCAUUUUGUAAAAAUUGGGUUGGACAGACCUAAAGUAAACACUCUUUUUAUGAGGUAAAAUUUUAGAAUGAUUUAACAUUAUAGGGUUAUACGAUAGAUAAAUAAAAAUUGGCAAUAGCAAGAUUAAGAAGGGACCAACAGUGAUAUAAAAAUUACAAAGGUAUCAUGGACGUCUAAAAUAUAUUUGGCUAAUAAAUUUGAACUAAUUUACGGCCAAAUUUAGGUGAAAUAGUUAAUUCUACUUGGUAAAUUGGAAGUUCGGAAACGUGUAUCUGUCAGUUGUCAUACUCAUGAGCGAGCCAAUCUUAACUUAAAAAAGAAAAAGAAAAAAAGAAAAAGAAAAAAGGAAUCCAAAAGAUAAAAGUAGAAAAGGCAUGAAUUUUAAAACGUAAUCGUAAUACCUUGUACCCGAAACAAAUAUGUGCAAUACUUAUUAAGCUAAGCAAAGCCACAUGAUCUACUCUUAGAUGCAGCAAAAUAUACAACCACCUUAAGCUUGGAAUGUAAAGGCAGAAAAACUUGCUUAUGUAGAUAUAAAAGUGACCACUACAAGAAAAGUAAAAAGAAUAUGGAGAUAAUAAUCCUUCUGUUCAUCAUGAUAAAUUAUUUAACAGUAAUAAAUCUUUCAUAUUCAAGUUUUAUUUUUUGAAGAAAAAAUUCUUGGAUAAUAGUGCACAGGAGAUUCCAAGAUAUACUAUCUAGAAAUUCACAGGAGCUACUAAAAAAGUAGAAAAUAUCUUCAAAAUUUAAUUUCCAAGCUAGUGUUAUUCAAAACUUACGUCCAGUCUCAUGAGUGACAUGAGCAAAGAAAGCAGCAAUCUCCCUUUUAGAAUCAUCAACAGAACCAGCGGUUCCAAACUGGGGAUACGAGUUCAGAGCUUCAAGAAAAGCUGAUCGAGUAUAGAACCCUUUUCCAGCACAGCUUGAAGCAGCUUGAUCAGCAAUCCCAUUAAAGAAAGCGUCCGUCACAAUAUCAGCAACUGAAACGCCACUAUUACCACUGCUCGGAGCAGCGGUGCAAGGGCCGGAUUGACAGCCAGAGCCGCAGUAGUCGUUGCCGGUACCGCAAUAGCCGAAUUUGCUGCAGCACAAGUCUGGUGCACAGCCGCAGUUUUGGCUUGAAAUCAGCUGUGGAAAGGCUCCUACAAGAACUACAAUGGAGAAAAUGAUGGUUGGAAAACUCUUCAUUUUUGGAUUUGAUAAAGGAGAGAAGCUUGUGGGCAGCAGUUGUAUCAGAAAAAAGGGUAUAUGUAGGGAAGAGAACUGAAAACUGAUCAGCUUGUGUGAAGCAUGCACAGCUGCUAUUGUUGAAAAUAUUGAAUUUGAGCAAUUAAAGAAAACAGAACAGAAGACGAAAGCGUGAAUGGUUGACUUCUAUCGAGAGUAUUGACUUUGACAUUGUCAAUGAAGCGGAAACUUUCUUUCUUGGCUUCUAGAAUGGGAAAGGUCAAAAAGAAAGAUUUUGGCCAAUUCGUAUGAACAAUUGUGAGAAUAAGGCAUGUAGACUCACAAGUCCCCACUAGAAUGUGUGCAAAAAUAUAAUUUGAAGUUGCCUAAAUCAUUUAAUUUCAUGCUUGUUAUUGAGUUUAUUUGCCUAACUGUGUUUUAGUAAUACUUCAAAAUUGUGUUUGAGUUAGAACGGAAAAAAAUAUGAGACAUUUUUUUUUUAAUUGCAAUUCCAGAAAUAAAAUCUUAUAAAACAUGUAUUAGAAAAAUUUUGAGGGUAAAUGAUAUGAAAAAAAAAAAGAAGAAAUAGUUCUAUAAAUUGACAUAAGUGUUCAUCGGCUUUUGGAAAAAUUAAGAAAGAAUAAAGCAGCCGACAUAUCUAUCAUGCAUAACAACAUUAUGUGGCUUUUGUUAGUACACGCUAUGACCAUAUAUGUUUCAUUUGAGAUGCUUGUCGGACGUGUUGAAUUGUUGGCAAUGAAAUGCUCCAAAAUGUCAGCACUAUAGUUUAUAAAUAGUAUUAGGUCAUAGUGAAUUAUCGACAUAUCGUUACAUGCAGAGUCGUGAAAAUAUACAAGUCUUUCCCUAUCAUUAAUUAGUUGGUCAAAUGACAAUUUUAGAGUGGCUGCUGACUAUGUCAAGAAACAUCUUGCAGUAAAUUGGGCGAUUUAAUGUACUUUUCUUUUUCUAAAUAUUUGCACUUAAACUCUCAAAUCGACCAUAGUUUUAACUAAUUUUGCUCUGGCUUUAUUCUUGAUUCGCAAAAUUCAGAAAAACCAAAACAAACCCUUGUUACUGAAGAUAUCAAAAUGGUAACCCAACUAAGUAAUUGAUUUUGAAAAACAUUCUGAACCAAAUUUCAAGUUUUGGUUUCUUUGCUCUUUUUCUACUGAAAGGCAACUUCCCCGGGCCAAGAAAUUGAAACAAAUAGUACGAUGCUUAAGUUUUCUAUGCUCUUAUGAUCAAGUCAAACCAUGCUUAUAAUCAAUUACAUAAAAAAUUACGGGCAAUUUCGUCAUUAUUUGGGAGGAGGAGGAAUAUUAAGCAAAAAAAAAAGUUCUAUUAAGAAAACGAUUAAGCAUAUUAUUUUCCAGGAAUAAAAAAGAACGAGCAGAGAAAUACAUUAGUUUGGAUGACAUUACAACAUUUAGCAACAUGAUUAGGGAUGCAAUGGGAUGGGUGCCAAUUGGGAAUCAAUGGGAUGGGAGAAAAUGCAGGAGGGGAUGGAGGGAUUGAAGAAUAUUUCUCCUCCAACAUUAAAUGGAUACCUCCAUCCCAUCCCCUAAAACCCCUUGUUGCUAUUCCUAAACAGGAUGCUACUUAUAUCCUCUCUCUAUGAGCAUGUGUGGCUAGUGAGGAAUGCAGGAUUUUGAUUUUGGCGGGGGGAGGGUGGGGCAAAUUGACAAUCAAGAAACAAUAGAAAAAAAACCUUAGCAAAUAAAGCACACAAACUUAAAAUGAAAGUUUAAUAUACGAUAAAUAAAAUAUAAAUAUUUUUAAUAAUAAAAUACACCAUAUAAAUAAAAUGAUAGAGCAAUAAUUGGGCACCAUAAGUGCUGUUAUUUGGUCAUAAUGUUGGCUACUUAUCAUGCUAAGUAGUGCAGCUUUGCUCAUAUUUGAUAUUUGUGUAAAUUACAGGCGGUUGGUGUUGAAACUGAUCUCUCGAGGCAAAUUUUCAGAAGACUUUUUAUUUCAGAGCGUGCCGACGCCAGAAACUAUAGAGAGACUCCUCAAAGGUGGACCGCGGGACUAAUUAACUAAACUUACCUUUAUUCCUGCUUGACGCUGCUGGAAGUGCGUUAAAACAAAAAGGCAAUAAUUUCCAGCGAAUUGGGUAACAACCAAUAAGGAGGAAAAUUAGGGGCACUAGCCUACAAAGCCGGACCCCGCGAGACUGGUAGACAAAGUGGGGAAUUAGGAAGUCUUCAAAGCGGCUAUUUUCUCGUGGGCUGCAGAGGUGAAAAGGACAAGUAGUUUGAGUCUUGCAGAGAGCUUUUGAGUUCUCUUACGUUUUGUCUUGCGGUAGCCACCCGGGGGAGGAUUGAAAAAGCCAUAUUCACGUGGGAUUAGGAGAUUAGCUUUAGUUUCUUGUAUCCCUGGGUAGACGAUCUGCUCUCUGCUUUGCUUUUGGCGACUUUCUUUAGACCUUUUUCUUUACUUUUCUCCGGCACGAACACGGAACCAAAAAAGAAGCAAGACUUUUCGUUUGUCUCGUCGUUAUUUCAUCUUUCCCAACUUUUUGGUAAUUAAGUGGAUGGAAUCAAUCAAAUCACGCGAGAUUGAUGUGAUGAGGAGUGGCUAGGUUUCUCUGCUACCCAAAGGUCGACGCGAAGGCGCGGUCCAUAACAUCUGUGAGAUCUAAUCGAACUUUCACUAUUUCUUCCAAUCCGUUACUAUUCGUGCGUUUUCUGGAUUAACUGUUUAUGAUUAUUUUAUUAAUUGAGUAUCAACAGCCGGAUAUUUAAUUUAAUCUAAUAGCCUACUGUCACGUUAACUAAAUUGAAUCCGUAAUUAUUCGUUUAGUUGAUAAUUAGUGACAACCAUCAUAAUUGGCUUUAUGUUGGGAAAAACGUAAGAUCUAAUUUAGAUAAACCCUCUUAUAGCGUGUUUAUUGGUUAGGGUUGGAUUUUUCUAGCGUUAAUGCAACUGAAUAAUUAAAUUCCUACGGUCGUAUCUAGGGUUAUUUUCUGGUUAGAGAAACAGUCAACGGUCGUACCUUGGCUAUCGAAAAAGUAAGAAAAAACUAGCAGUCAGAGCUUGUUGAUCGCUAUAACCAACCUAGUGACGAAUGAGUGAAAUAUCUUUGCAUCGAUGAUCAUUUAAUUGGACCGUGCCUGAAAAGUUGAUCCUUUGGAUAGAAUUUUGCUAAUUGCUAUUUUCAGUGAAUUGUACUUGGCGAGUUAGCUUUUGAAUUUUGUUUAUUUUAUUUUCAUUUUCAUUCCAUUAAAUAUCCCCCAAUUUUGUUCUAUUGACUUGGAAAGAAACAACUUCUUACCCGUUACUUGUGGAAUCGACCCUACUUGCCAUUUUCAGAAACAACUUCUUAAAUUUUAAUCCUUAUGAAACCCAGCUUCUCUCUCAAUUUUCAGAGGUUUCUUUUCCUUCAUCAUGUCAAAGUUGCUAUUAUAAUCACUGUAAUUAGACAGCUAAACCUGUCAUUCCAAUUAUACCCUUGGUCCGCCGUGGGAAAUACAUAAAAUGUGGUAGCGCUGCCCAAUAAGUCCCACAUUGGACCAUAUAAAAUUGUUUAAGGACUAAAUUGGUAAAAAAAAUCGUAAAUGAUGAAAUUGAUUUAAGUGAAAAAGUUCAAGGACCAAAUUGGCAAUUUUUCCUUAUUAUGAUUAUGAUUAUGAUUAUUAUUAUUAUUAUUAUUAUUAGUCUGAGAUGCCGAACAAGUUGUGGAGACUUAUUUCACCUUUACAAGGUCAUUGGAGGGCUUGACGAGGUGCGAUGUGGUAAGGAAAGGCACAAAAAACUCUUUUUUCUUUAUUAAAAAACAUACAAAUUGCACUAAUAAUGGCUGAAAAUGCAUCCAACAUGCAAUAGUGAAAAAUCGUUAGAUGCAAGAUAUAUAAAAGUUAACAAAAAUUAUCUUAGUACCUCUGAUAUAUUCCAAAUUCAGAUAAAUCAUCUGCCCCCAAUGAAUAUAUGUGCAUAUCAUCAUUGUCAAAAAAUAUUUAUGCAUAUCAUUGCCGUUAGAUUUUAUAUUGAAGUGGUUAAAGCUCCAAAUCUAGUAGAGAAGAAAUUCAACACUUGAGAAAAUAAGUUAAGAAAUUCAAGAUUUGACAUACAAAUCUGAAAAGCUCUCAAAUCUAACAAAACAAGAUAUAAAAUUAUCUGAAUAAAACUCUCACUAGAAUAUCUUAGUAGAGAAGAAAAUUCUCACUAGAUAGUCUCACUAUACUUUAUUAGACAUAAAAAAAAAAAAAAGAGAAGUCAAACAGAGGGAGGAAGGCAAUCCUCCAUGGAGGAAAUAAUAAUUGUCUUGAAGGUUGUGUAGAGAGAUGGUGGAGAAACUUCUUUUGUUUUAUCUAUUGGUUAUCUUUCUAAUUGCUAGUUAACGAACAAUAAACUCUAAAUGAAACUACUAAAUUUGCAACCGAAGACAUUUUUGGGCUUGUAUCUUAGUAUCGUAAUCGUCACCCAAUUAGAGCCGCCCAUGACGGCUUCAUUAAAUAUAUAAUUUGGGGGAACCAGGAUUUAAGGCCAAAUUUCGGCAACCUUCAAGGCACUUCAUUGUUUUCUCACAAAUUUUGUUUAUUUAUUGUAAAAGAUUAACUUUAAAGUGUCCUCAAAUUUCUUCCCUAUCUUCUCUCAAACUUUACCAGUGAAAAUUGUUUGUCUUCGGGUUCGUUUGUUUCGGGUGAAAAUGUUUUCCAGAAAAAGUAUUUUCCUAAUUUCCCGUGUUUGAUUGCACAAAAGUUACUGAAAACAUUUUACAUAAAUUUUCACUCAUCUUAUGGAAAACAACUUCCCUUCCAAACUUACUGAAGUUGUUUUCCGAAAUGCAUGCAUCCCGCCUGUAGUAUGUUCCAAACUUACUGAAACCAUCUUGUAGUAUGUUCUUUUUUUUUUUUAGUGUAAACAGGAGGACUCGAACCAAGACCUCUUCCUUACACUCCCUCCCCCGUACCAUCCAACCCAACCCAACCCUCCCCCUAGUAUAUUCAAAAUAAAAAAAAACCUCAUCCUACUCAUCCUAUUCUAGUAAUUAAUUAUGUAUAAUAGGGACAUUCUUUUCUAGAGAAACUUUCAGCAAUGAUAGUGCAAGAUAUAUGUCACAAUAAGCAUUGCAUGUGAUUGAUAUUUGACACUAAAUGGCCAGCAAUUUGUUUAUUGCUUAAGGAGAUAUUUUUUAUUCAUAUAUACAUUUCUCCAAGAUUUUUUAAAGUUAAACAAUGAGAUAAAUUUUCUUAUUUUGCAUGGGAAGAAGUAUGUAGUUAUAAUGUGUAGAAAGUAAAGAUAGAGAUAAAAGUGAAAAUAUUUCAAAAGUUAAACAAACACCAAAAAAAUGAAGUAAGAAAAUAUUUUCAAUAAACUAACCAAACACCUGAAAAUGAUGAAAGAGAAAUGAUUUUCAUGGAAAAUUACUUCCACGGAAAAUAUUUUCCCAAGAAAAACAUUUUACUUCCAACCAAACAGACCCUUCAUCUCGUUGAUUGUCUCCCCCAGUGCAUACAAAUGUAUUAUGGGCAUUUUGGUGAAAGAAAGGCAUAAACUGAGUUCUGCACAACUAAAUUUUGCCAAUAGCAUAUGAAAAUAUGAAGAAGAAUAAUAAUAAAUGAAGGGUCUGUCUAAUAAGUAUUCAUAGGGAACCAUUGAAAUAUAUCUCAAGUGUCAUGUUUUUGGAAAUGUAAAAUUAAUAGAAAAAAUAAAUAAAUACAAGAGAGAGUAGAUAAAAUUAAAUAAGAAAAGUUAAUAAUUGUUAAUAGAUAUAUAUACAUAAUAGAUUAGAUGAACGUUAAAUAUGUUAACAAGUACCUUAUUAGCACCCGUUAAAAAAAGCUAUAAAUGAAAGAUGUGAUCACCAAAUCAUUGACAAAGAAAUGUGUUGAAAAUGAAACAAGAAAGUCAAACAUGAUAAGGGAUCAAAAAUGGAAUUUAAUAAUUGCAGAUACUCCAAGAAGUUGAGUUGAAAUCAGUUAUCCGAUUUCAAAUUCACAACUUCUGCUGUCAAAGAACUACAAAGGGACUCAACUUCUGCUAAUUUAUAUUAGUUUCGAAACUCUUACAAGUACCCUAGCAUCUGAGAUUAUCACCGGGAUCAACACCCAACUGGUUACAAUAUUCAGCAUAAUACUCAACACGAGCACUAACAGUGUCCGGAUUUGCACCAUCACAUUCAAGCUGUCCGUUAACGGCACGAAUUGUAGCCCCAAAACCCUGGCCAGAAGUGAUAAGAUCAUGACAAUUGUUCAUCCAGAACCACAAGGCAGUUUUGAAUGAAAUAACAUUAUCUGUGGCCACAGUUUCAGGUUCAGUUAGUCCAUCGAACCCUAUGCUUUCACCUGCUGGUCCAUAGUUAAAGUUCCAAGAUAUUUGUAUUGGACCCCUGCCGUAAUAUCCCUUGCCUGGCACACAAGGGUACUGAGUGUUGCGCUCAUCACAAUAGUCUUUGGAAGGGCCGUCUAUCUCUUCUAUAUAGCACAUAUCUGCACAAUAUAGAGAAGUCUGUAUCAAUUAUCACUGCAUUCAAUUGCUUAUAUGAAAGCCACUCAUUGAUACAUUAUGGAUUUUAGAUAUUUUUACUAUUAAAAAACCUAUAAUCUAAAUACAAAAUAAAUGAGAACAUAAAAAAAAUUAAUUAUUUAAAAUCAGAAUCUAUAGUCAGUUAUAAUAAUCAAUCAAGAACAACCCCAAAAAAUGUCAUCAAUAUUUAAGAAGGGACCAUAUGUGAUAAAGAAAUUAUAAAGUUAUAAGUAAUCACAGACUAAAUAAAUAACCAAUACAACAAAGUAGAAAAAAUUAACGUCAAAGUGGGACGGAGGGAGUAUAUGUUUUUCUUGGUAUCCUAGCAAUAUGAUAGUUGGAGCAAUAACCAUUGUCAAAUUUUGGUGUUUGAUUGUUGCUCUCAUGCUUGAGGGCAAGCAUGGUUCAGGUGUGAGGAGAAUUGAUAGGGUGUUAAUUGUUAGUAAUUUUAUUGUUAAUUUUCCCUUUUAUCCUUGCCAAAUAUUGUUUUAAUUAUUAAUAUUUACUUAUAUUUGGUAUUUGGACUCAAUUUCAGGGAAUAGAGUAGAAAACUACAAAAAAGGAGGGACUUUAUGGAGACAAUGGAGACUUCAAACAACCGGGGCCACAUGGUGCCACAAACGGAUGGCAUUUCCUUUUUACUGAUUAGGAGUUGAAGUCUUUGAUGGGCAACAGGAAACGAAAAGUAGAGAAAAAUUCGGCAGAGCUUUCUUUUUGUACUUGGACUCCCAAUUCGUUGGGGACCACAGAGAGCAUUAAGGAGUCAUACUUUUGCUUGGAAUAAAAAGAACGUAUAGAGGCUAGGGAUAGUUUUUAGCAAUAGUUUAGUUUUCUUCCUUUUUCCUUUUCAUGCAUGCCUACUGUUCGACAAAAGUCCCAACUGGAGAAAUAUCUUUCACCUCUUGAUUAUUUAGUGAAAAACCCGAUGCCUUUGCAAUCAAUUAAUUUGCGUGGAAAUUUAUUUAUGCGGCGUGGCUAAACUUUUCAUCUAGUCAAGGAUCAACUCGACGGCGCAGUCCCGAAUAUCUGUGAGAUCUAAUUAGUUUUCACGCGUUCUUAAUUUGUUAAUAAUUGCGCGUUGUCUAUUCGAAUUUCCAUGGGAUUAUUUUGUUAAUUGGAUGUCAAGGGAUCGAUGUUCAAUGUGACUUAUUAAUCUCCUGCCAAAUUAGUCAAUUAAAUCCAUAAUUGUUUGAUUGGUUAAUAUUAGUGGCAACUGGCGUGUUUACACACCAGGGGAACGUGCAAUCUAAUUUAAAUAACCCUCGUAGCGUGUUAUUGAUUGGGGUUAGGUUUUUCUAGUUAUUAAUGCAAUUGAAAAAUUAAUUCCUACGGUCGUACCUAGGAGUAUUUUCUGGUUAGGGGUAAUCAAUGGUUGUACCUUGGUUAUCAAUAAAUUAAAGAAAAAUUGGUCGUUAGAGUUCGUCGGCGACUAUAACUAGUCUAUUAAUAAAUUAAGUGAACCUCCCUUACAUCAAUGAUCGGGUAAGUGGACUAUGUUUGAAUAGUUGUAUUCUUGGUUAGAAUUUAUCUAUUCUUGAAUUAAUUCCUGUGUAUAUUCGUGUUAGUUAAUUAUUCGUUUUAUUUGAAUUGCUUAAUUAUUUGUAGUUUUAUUCUGAUGAAACACCCAUUUUACCAAUUGGAAUCUCAAAGAGACAAAUAUCCUCAAUUCCUGAGGAGACGUGUGAGAACCCGUAUUUUCCCUAAUAAUUUUCCUAGGGUUUUUCCCCUUUAAUGGCAUGUUUUCUGCAUUUUCUGGCUUAGAAAAUUUUCCUGGUGAAUUUUAUGAGUAAUUAUAGUUUUUAGAUGAUUUUUCUAGCAUUGGAUAGUUUUUGAAAAAUUACGGAUAUAUAACGGACGUGGGGCCCACUAGUGCGAAAAGUUCGGAAAAAUUCGGUCAAUAAGGUUAAGUUCCGGAUACUGAGUGAAAUUUAUCGGGUGUUAAGAGAUAAGUAUAGGAUGUGAUGUGAUUGAUGUGAGAGGAAAACAAAAGGAUAGAAAUGCAUUAAUGAAGUGACACUUGUCAUGUUGGGAUUGGUUUCACUUGUUGACAACUAUUCAUUUUUUUUGACUUUUCUUACCAAUUGAUUAAAUAUCUCAAAAAUCACAAAAAAAUUCACUCUUGUCUUCACCUUCUUGGCCGGCCACCUUGAGCUUAAGAAGGAAGAAAACUCUUCAAAAUCUUGGCUACCAUCUAGCUCAAAUCCUCCAAAACAAUUGCUUGAUCUUGUUUCUACUCCAUAAAAUCUCUCCAUUUGGUACUAGUAAGUGAUUUGGUGAAGUGUUUAAGGAAGCUAAGGUGUCCAACAACUCUCCCUCUCUUGUUUACUAGGUGAGUGGUGAUUGAACUUCCUCCUACACUUAAUGAAGCUUAAGUUGUGCUUAGUGGUAGCUAAAGUGCUGAAAUUUGUGGUUUAUUUCUUGGUUUGAGAUGAAAUGAUGAAGUUUUCAAUUUAAUGGUGUAUUUUCUGGUUUAAUGUGAUCAUGAUGUUGUGGUUAUCUAUGAUGGUUGGUAAUGAAGGGUAAUGACUCUAGUAGGUGUACAUGAUUGGUAAUUGCAAGCAAUUUUGGGUUUGGAAGGAAUUUGAGAAAGUUAGGGUUUUAUAUCCCCAAUUCUGUCCGAUUUUGUAUCUCAUGGUUAGAGGCCGAAUUGGCCUUGUCUUAAAACAUGAAAGUUGUAGGUAUUGAUGUGUUUGAGGUGCCUGUAAAAUUUCAGGUUCAUCGGAGUUGUGUAGAGUGAGAAAAGUCGAUUUUACUGUUGCUGUUCUGGGUUCUUCAGGAUGGCCGAACUGCGUCUGUAAUUGGUGGUUUUGGCUGGAAUUGCUUUGGAUUUGGUUGUUGAGGCCUUCUGAUGAAAUGUAGCUUGAUGUCUUAGCUACCGCAUGCCUUUGGUAUGAAUGAAUUUGGACUUGUAUAGACUGAGUUGGACUAAUUACAGCAUAGUGUAUUUUGUAAACCUGCAAUUAAGGUUCUGGUUUGGUAUUUUGCAUAUUUGACCUAGUUGUGCUAGGAAUUGGACUGAGUGACCUUCUACAUUGUUGUAGCCCUGUUUCUUAGCUUCGAAACGGUGGGUCUUACACCCUCAUCCGAUAAGCGUAGUGCAAUUUGUGCCAUUACCGCAAACUGAGGACAAAACUGUUUUUUUUUCAGGGCCAAGUUAGUUACAUUUCCUGAUUUUCUGGUUUGCUAUAAUGCUUAUAUAUGAAUAUGAAACCCUAUUGGGGUUGUGAUUGGCAUGGCUUUAUGACUCGUUAUCGAGUCUCAUUGUAUUUGUUUACGUGUUUUAGGACGUGACGAGGGUUCACGACGACCUUUUAACGACGGUGCAUGAAACAUCACCUACUUGAGUAGUGAGUAUACUACUCACUUGAAUGUUUAUAAUGUGGCUUUGCUAUAUGUGAUUGUGAUGCCUUGAAGGCUUGUUUGGCUAUUGGACAUGGUUAAGGUGAGGGUGUACUUGACCGCCCUCAUCCUUUUUAUCUUGUUAAUGACUGUUUACCGUUUCACUGUAAUACUGCACUUGCUAUAUGAGAUAUUGAAUUCCAUUCAUGGGAAACUGUUUGGGUGUCGGUUGGACGAGUAUCCAACGGCCCUACUGCAUUACUGAGCUCGACCCCGUUGGUAGUUACUUGAAUCGAGCCAGCGAGGGCUUGGUCGUGAAAAUUGACUAGCCACGGGGACUGAAAUGGGAAUCUUGUGGUAAUGAGACCCUUGGUUCCGGUGUACUCGAGUAUCACCUAAAGCUACUGCUUGGAGUGCGGGCCCGGUUGGGGUAUGUUGGGUGGAAGGAAUGGAAGUGAAGUGAGGUCUACGGUCGGGUAUUCUUAAACAUUGACGGAGGGUCAAUGAGGUUGGAUCAAGAAUGUAAGCGUGGAAAUGGGCUCUUGAGAGCCGUCCGUAUCCUUUUACCGACUUGUUUUAUUUCUUAAUUGCGUACUUGAGAUGAAAGUUAAGUGAUCUUUGUUGAUUAUGUGAUAGUUGCUCACUGAGCUUUAGCUCACUCCGUUCCAUUUGUUUUCCUUACAGGAAAAAUGACUAUUUUGGGAAAGGUUGUGCUAGUUGGUUGUCAAGUUGAGCUCAUGUAAAUGUAUAUUUUGAAUAGCUCCUUGAGGGUGAAAACCCUAAGUGUUUUGUUUCAACCAAUGGUUGGUUUGUAAUUGGCCAAUUGCACAUGUGUGAACUUGUUGGAUAUUUUGGUAUACCGCUUUGGCUUGUAAAUGUUAAAUUUCGAUGUAUAUAUGUUGGAUUGAUGUUUGGUUGAACUCCGGAUUCUGACAUGGCCGGUACUGUUCAUCAUCGGCUUCGAUUUUCAUAUUUUUUUUAUUUUGUGAUUUUGACUUGUUUGCGCGCGUUGGUGUGUUCCGGAACGUAGUAGAUCGACGUAAACUGAUCCGUUAGUCCUGGCGAGAGCUGGGCAGCCAGUCCGCUAACCCCUUUGGUUCGCCUUAGGGGAAGGUGGGGCUGUUACAAGACGACCCUACUUGCCACUGUCUGCCAAUUAGUAAAUUUUGUCAAAUAAUUAAUUCUGGUAUAUCGGAUUAAGCAAACUCUUCGAGAACAGGGUGAAUCAAGUAACCCAUUGCACACCUAGAGUCCCUGCUCCAGUACUUAGAAUUGAUUAUCGACUACUUUUGACGGGCGUAGGGUAUACAUAUAACAUUAAGCUCAUCCUAAUCAAGUUUUACAUUUAUAAACUCCUAAAUACCCUACACGCGAUUUAUCGCAAGUAUACGAAUCGUGAGCGAGUAUAGGGUAUUAAAAGUCGAUCUCACAAUGAAGAUUGCAAUUACCGGCACUACUAAAGCUUCUCUAUUAUUUAGACUAUCAAUGAAUUAUAACAAAUUUAACCUACUGAACUUAUGCAAGAAAAUAACAAAUGAAAGCUCCUUAAGUUGUGGUAUCCCUAACUACUCAUGCAAGUGCUAUAUUUGGAUCAUUGAAUACUACUAUCUAGGCUAGUUAUGGUGUAAUUUCCUUAAACAUGUGAAACCUACUUUCGUAGUGAAUCAACUAUAUUCAUAACUAAUCCAUACAUAUUCUCAUGGUUAUGAAAUUAGCUACAAGUUCAUUUCUUCAAUGAAAUUAAUCACUAAAAUCACAUAGGUGCACCUCUACUCUCGUGAGCGUACUCCCUAUGUUUAGCACUUCUUAAACUAGUGUUAAAUCUCAAUUUUCAUUGCAGAAACAACACCUUAAAUAAUCACAAUCAAUGGUACCAGAUUAAUCAUGAUUUAAAGAGCCAAAGUACUAAAUAACUUGCUCAAAUCAUAGCAAUCAAAUAACCAAAUAAUAAAUACUAACAAUUAUAGAAAGUUCAACCAAACCCAAGGCAUAAACGUUAGAGACACAUAUUAAACACAAAAUCCAGAACUUGCAUAUCAACUAAACUUAGAAUCCAAUACAAAAGAUAAAGAGUUGGAAAAGAGAUAACCAUUGUCACAUGAGCUUCAACUCCUCCUUUUUCAUCUCCAUUUUCAUCCUAAUCUAGCUAAUAUACAAGAAUGGAAGAGCUAUACUAUUCUAAACUAAACUAUCCUACUACUCAGAAAGUGCAAGAGCUACAUCUCUGCACUCCAAGUUUCUCCUGUAUGUCUCUCUAUUCUCCCUUCAAUCUUGCAAGCUUUGGCUAUAUAAAGGUGAAAGUUGGUCAAGAAGUGAGGUUUACACCUCCCUUUUACAGCUGGGAAUGUUUCUCACAUGUCUAGCAUCACCUGUGACUUAGUGGAGGUGAAAUUGAGUUUCCCACGUAAAGAGCAGCCUUCUCUGACCACAAUCCGGCCAGAAAUCUGGCCAAGUUCCGGCCGGAUUGCUACAGUGACAUUUUGGUGCACUUUUGUUCAAUUUCCAGCUCUGCUCCAAUUUUGUGUCAAUUUCAACUGAACUUUUGUUGAUGAUAAAAGCUGAUUUAGCUCUUGAUCAACAUAAAACUUGUAGCCCUUUGAGUUAGCUUUCCAAUGCAUCAAGAAUCACCUCAUUUGGAUCUGUGUAGGCUGAGAAAUGACCGAAAUACCUUUGACUGCUCACUGCCCUAUUUCAGCUUCGACCAAUAGAAAUUAGCUACUGUAAUUCGGCUUUUUAACCUGGAAAACCUUCAAAAUAGAUUCAGAUGUCUUCACCAAAGUUGUAGAUCUAUCUCUUAUCUUCAAAUUGGUUUAAGAAUCAUCUCAAUCCGAUCAUUAUAGCUCAAGUUAUAGCCAAAAUACGAAAAUGUGUCAAAACUGUCAAAAUGCACAAAAUCCAAGUAAAAAGUGAUAAAAACCUCAUUUAAUUACUUAAAAGCAUUUUUCACCAAUUAUAGCCAAAAUGAAUCAUUUUCUUCCAAUAAUGUAACCAAAGUGACUAACAAUAAUAUAAAAUAUCAUACAAUUAUUACAUAAAUUAGUCACUUAUCAGCUUUUAUUGGCAAUUAGGUUUAUUUUUAUUAUUGCACAGGUUCGGCACCUGUCAUUAGGAGUACUGGUUUUGCUGUGGGAUUUUUCGUUUUCUUUGUCAGCUGCGUCAGCUGCAUGGUGCUUUAGAGCAUAAGCCUUUGUUUUGUAUCGAAACAUCACGGCCAAAAUUGCCAAAAGCAUAUCGAAACAUGAACACAAAAUGAAAGAUGUGAGGAAACUUUAAUGAAGAUAUGCCUUGAGAUUUAAACACCAAAGACAAAAGCUCAAAAAAUAUUAUCAACGGAUCAAAAUAAGAACUUGAUUAUUGGUAAAACACUCCAACAAGUUAAGUCGAACCAAGAUCAACAUAAUCAAUUAUUUGAUUUCAAGAGUCAUAACUUUUGCUUGUAAAGAACAAAUAAAGUUAAACAAUUUAUUGCUUUUUUCCCCCCAGUCAGCUGUGUACCUCAACAUUAUUUCACGUCAAAAACUUGUUUUUCCUCGGAUUAAAUACCCUAGCAUCUGAGGUUAUCACCAGUCUCGACACCCAAUUGUCUACAAUAUUCAGUAUAAUACUCAACUCGAGCACUAACUGUGUUUGGAUUUGCACCAUCACAUUCAAGCCGACCAUUAAUGGCACGAAUUGUAGCCCCAAAACCCUGGCCAGAAGUGAUAAGAUCAUGACAAUGGUUCAUCCAAUACCACAAGCCAGUUUUGAAUGAAAUAACAUUAUUUGUAGCUACAGUUUCAGGUUGGCUGAGUCCAUUGAAUCCAAUGCUUUCACCUGCUGGUCCAUAGUUAGAGUUCCAUGAUAACUGUAUUGGACCCCUGCCGUAAUAUCCCUUGCCUGGCACACAUGGAUACUGAGUGUUGCUCUCAUCACAGUAAUCUCUGGAGGGGCCGUCUAUCUCUUCUAUGUAGCACAAAUCUGCGCAAUAUAAAGAAAUUUUGUCACUCAAUUGAAAUGAUUGAUAAAGGGUUAGAAUCAAAGAAAAUCAGGAGGUCUGGAAUUUUUUGUAAAUUUUUAGAUUUGAUUGUUUUACUAAUGAAUUCAAUUGGUGAGAAAAGACUUUAUCCCAUUUUGUAAAAAUUGGGUUGGACAGACCUAAAGUAAACACUCUUUUUAUGAGGUAAAAUUUUAGAAUGAUUUAACAUUAUAGGGUUAUACGAUAGAUAAAUAAAAAUUGGCAAUAGCAAGAUUAAGAAGGGACCAACAGUGAUAUAAAAAUUACAAAGGUAUCAUGGACGUCUAAAAUAUAUUUGGCUAAUAAAUUUGAACUAAUUUACGGCCAAAUUUAGGUGAAAUAGUUAAUUCUACUUGGUAAAUUGGAAGUUCGGAAACGUGUAUCUGUCAGUUGUCAUACUCAUGAGCGAGCCAAUCUUAACUUAAAAAAGAAAAAGAAAAAAAGAAAAAGAAAAAAGGAAUCCAAAAGAUAAAAGUAGAAAAGGCAUGAAUUUUAAAACGUAAUCGUAAUACCUUGUACCCGAAACAAAUAUGUGCAAUACUUAUUAAGCUAAGCAAAGCCACAUGAUCUACUCUUAGAUGCAGCAAAAUAUACAACCACCUUAAGCUUGGAAUGUAAAGGCAGAAAAACUUGCUUAUGUAGAUAUAAAAGUGACCACUACAAGAAAAGUAAAAAGAAUAUGGAGAUAAUAAUCCUUCUGUUCAUCAUGAUAAAUUAUUUAACAGUAAUAAAUCUUUCAUAUUCAAGUUUUAUUUUUUGAAGAAAAAAUUCUUGGAUAAUAGUGCACAGGAGAUUCCAAGAUAUACUAUCUAGAAAUUCACAGGAGCUACUAAAAAAGUAGAAAAUAUCUUCAAAAUUUAAUUUCCAAGCUAGUGUUAUUCAAAACUUACGUCCAGUCUCAUGAGUGACAUGAGCAAAGAAAGCAGCAAUCUCCCUUUUAGAAUCAUCAACAGAACCAGCGGUUCCAAACUGGGGAUACGAGUUCAGAGCUUCAAGAAAAGCUGAUCGAGUAUAGAACCCUUUUCCAGCACAGCUUGAAGCAGCUUGAUCAGCAAUCCCAUUAAAGAAAGCGUCCGUCACAAUAUCAGCAACUGAAACGCCACUAUUACCACUGCUCGGAGCAGCGGUGCAAGGGCCGGAUUGACAGCCAGAGCCGCAGUAGUCGUUGCCGGUACCGCAAUAGCCGAAUUUGCUGCAGCACAAGUCUGGUGCACAGCCGCAGUUUUGGCUUGAAAUCAGCUGUGGAAAGGCUCCUACAAGAACUACAAUGGAGAAAAUGAUGGUUGGAAAACUCUUCAUUUUUGGAUUUGAUAAAGGAGAGAAGCUUGUGGGCAGCAGUUGUAUCAGAAAAAAGGGUAUAUGUAGGGAAGAGAACUGAAAACUGAUCAGCUUGUGUGAAGCAUGCACAGCUGCUAUUGUUGAAAAUAUUGAAUUUGAGCAAUUAAAGAAAACAGAACAGAAGACGAAAGCGUGAAUGGUUGACUUCUAUCGAGAGUAUUGACUUUGACAUUGUCAAUGAAGCGGAAACUUUCUUUCUUGGCUUCUAGAAUGGGAAAGGUCAAAAAGAAAGAUUUUGGCCAAUUCGUAUGAACAAUUGUGAGAAUAAGGCAUGUAGACUCACAAGUCCCCACUAGAAUGUGUGCAAAAAUAUAAUUUGAAGUUGCCUAAAUCAUUUAAUUUCAUGCUUGUUAUUGAGUUUAUUUGCCUAACUGUGUUUUAGUAAUACUUCAAAAUUGUGUUUGAGUUAGAACGGAAAAAAAUAUGAGACAUUUUUUUUUUAAUUGCAAUUCCAGAAAUAAAAUCUUAUAAAACAUGUAUUAGAAAAAUUUUGAGGGUAAAUGAUAUGAAAAAAAAAAAGAAGAAAUAGUUCUAUAAAUUGACAUAAGUGUUCAUCGGCUUUUGGAAAAAUUAAGAAAGAAUAAAGCAGCCGACAUAUCUAUCAUGCAUAACAACAUUAUGUGGCUUUUGUUAGUACACGCUAUGACCAUAUAUGUUUCAUUUGAGAUGCUUGUCGGACGUGUUGAAUUGUUGGCAAUGAAAUGCUCCAAAAUGUCAGCACUAUAGUUUAUAAAUAGUAUUAGGUCAUACUGAAUUAUCGACAUAUCGUUACAUGCAGAGUCGUGAAAAUAUACAAGUCUUUCCCUAUCAUUAAUUAGUUGGUCAAAUGACAAUUUUAGAGUGGCUGCUGACUAUGUCAAGAAACAUCUUGCAGUAAAUUGGGCGAGUUAAUGUACUUUUCUUUUUCUAAAUAUUUGCACUUAAACUCUCAAAUCGACCAUAGUUUUAACUAAUUUUGCUCUGGCUUUAUUCUUGAUUCGCAAAAUUCAGAAAAACCAAAACAAACCCUUGUUACUGAAGAUAUCAAAAUGGUAACCCAACUAAGUAAUUGAUUUUGAAAAACAUUCUGAACCAAAUUUCAAGUUUUGGUUUCUUUGCUCUUUUUCUACUGAAAGGCAACUUCCCCGGGCCAAGAAAUUGAAACAAAUAGUACGAUGCUUAAGUUUUCUAUGCUCUUAUGAUCAAGUCAAACCAUGCUUAUAAUCAAUUACAUAAAAAAUUACGGGCAAUUUCGUCAUUAUUUGGGAGGAGGAGGAAUAUUAAGCAAAAAAAAAAGUUCUAUUAAGAAAACGAUUAAGCAUAUUAUUUUCCAGGAAUAAAAAAGAACGAGCAGAGAAAUACAUUAGUUUGGAUGACAUUACAACAUUUAGCAACAUGAUUAGGGAUGCAAUGGGAUGGGUGCCAAUUGGGAAUCAAUGGGAUGGGAGAAAAUGCAGGAGGGGAUGGAGGGAUUGAAGAAUAUUUCUCCUCCAACAUUAAAUGGAUACCUCCAUCCCAUCCCCUAAAACCCCUUGUUGCUAUUCCUAAACAGGAUGCUACUUAUAUCCUCUCUCUAUGAGCAUGUGUGGCUAGUGAGGAAUGCAGGAUUUUGAUUUUGGCGGGGGGAGGGUGGGGCAAAUUGACAAUCAAGAAACAAUAGAAAAAAAACCUUAGCAAAUAAAGCACACAAACUUAAAAUGAAAGUUUAAUAUACGAUAAAUAAAAUAUAAAUAUUUUUAAUAAUAAAAUACACCAUAUAAAUAAAAUGAUAGAGCAAUAAUUGGGCACCAUAAGUGCUGUUAUUUGGUCAUAAUGUUGGCUACUUAUCAUGCUAAGUAGUGCAGCUUUGCUCAUAUUUGAUAUUUGUGUAAAUUACAGGCGGUUGGUGUUGAAACUGAUCUCUCGAGGCAAAUUUUCAGAAGACUUUUUAUUUCAGAGCGUGCCGACGCCAGAAACUAUAGAGAGACUCCUCAAAGGUGGACCGCGGGACUAAUUAACUAAACUUACCUUUAUUCCUGCUUGACGCUGCUGGAAGUGCGUUAAAACAAAAAGGCAAUAAUUUCCAGCGAAUUGGGUAACAACCAAUAAGGAGGAAAAUUAGGGGCACUAGCCUACAAAGCCGGACCCGCGAGACUGGUAGACAAAGUGGGGAAUUAGGAAGUCUUCAAAGCGGCUAUUUUCUCGUGGGCUGCAGAGGUGAAAAGGACAAGUAGUUUGAGUCUUGCAGAGAGCUUUUGAGUUCUCUUACGUUUUGUCUUGCGGUAGCCACCCGGGGGAGGAUUGAAAAAGCCAUAUUCACGUGGGAUUAGGAGAUUAGCUUUAGUUUCUUGUAUCCCUGGGUAGACGAUCUGCUCUCUGCUUUGCUUUUGGCGACUUUCUUUAGACCUUUUUCUUUACUUUUCUCCGGCACGAACAGGGAACCAAAAAAGAAGCAAGACUUUUCGUUUGUCUCGUCGUUAUUUCAUCUUUCCCAACUUUUUGGUAAUUAAGUGGAUGGAAUCAAUCAAAUCACGCGAGAUUGAUGUGAUGAGGAGUGGCUAGGUUUCUCUGCUACCCAAAGGUCGACGCGAAGGCGCGGUCCAUAACAUCUGUGAGAUCUAAUCGAACUUUCACUAUUUCUUCCAAUCCGUUACUAUUCGUGCGUUUUCUGGAUUAACUGUUUAUGGUUAUUUUAUUAAUUGAGUAUCAACAGCCGGAUAUUUAAUUUAAUCUAAUAGCCUACUGUCACGUUAACUAAAUUGAAUCCGUAAUUAUUCGUUUAGUUGAUAAUUAGUGACAACCAUCAUAAUUGGCUUUAUGUUGGGAAAAACGUAAGAUCUAAUUUAGAUAAACCCUCUUAUAGCGUGUUUAUUGGUUAGGGUUGGAUUUUUCUAGCGUUAAUGCAACUGAAUAAUUAAAUUCCUACGGUCGUAUCUAGGGUUAUUUUCUGGUUAGAGAAACAGUCAACGGUCGUACCUUGGCUAUCGAAAAAGUAAGAAAAAACUAGCAGUCAGAGCUUGUUGAUCGCUAUAACCAACCUAGUGACGAAUGAGUGAAAUAUCUUUGCAUCGAUGAUCAUUUAAUUGGACCGUGCCUGAAAAGUUGAUCCUUUGGAUAGAAUUUUGCUAAUUGCUAUUUUCAGUGAAUUGUACUUGGCGAGUUAGCUUUUGAAUUUUGUUUAUUUUAUUUUCAUUUUCAUUCCAUUAAAUAUCCCCCAAUUUUGUUCUAUUGACUUGGAAAGAAACAACUUCUUACCCGUUACUUGUGGAAUCGACCCUACUUGCCAUUUUCAGAAACAACUUCUUAAUUUUAAUCCUUAUGAAACCCAGCUUCUCUCUCAAUUUUCAGAGGUUUCUUUUCCUUCAUCAUGUCAAAGUUGCUAUUAUAAUCACUGUAAUUAGACAGCUAAACCUGUCAUUCCAAUUAUACCCUUGGUCCGCCGUGGGAAAUACAUAAAAUGUGGUAGCGCUGCCCAAUAAGUCCCACAUUGGACCAUAUAAAAUUGUUUAAGGACUAAAUUGGUAAAAAAAAUCGUAAAUGAUGAAAUUGAUUUAAGUGAAAAAGUUCAAGGACCAAAUUGGCAAUUUUUCCUUAUUAUGAUUAUGAUUAUGAUUAUUAUUAUUAUUAUUAUUAUUAGUCUGAGAUGCCGAACAAGUUGUGGAGACUUAUUUCACCUUUACAAGGUCAUUGGAGGGCUUGACGAGGUGCGAUGUGGUAAGGAAAGGCACAAAAAACUCUUUUUUCUUUAUUAAAAAACAUACAAAUUGCACUAAUAAUGGCUGAAAAUGCAUCCAACAUGCAAUAGUGAAAAAUCGUUAGAUGCAAGAUAUAUAAAAGUUAACAAAAAUUAUCUUAGUACCUCUGAUAUAUUCCAAAUUCAGAUAAAUCAUCUGCCCCCAAUGAAUAUAUGUGCAUAUCAUCAUUGUCAAAAAAUAUUUAUGCAUAUCAUUGCCGUUAGAUUUUAUAUUGAAGUGGUUAAAGCUCCAAAUCUAGUAGAGAAGAAAUUCAACACUUGAGAAAAUAAGUUAAGAAAUUCAAGAUUUGACAUACAAAUCUGAAAAGCUCUCAAAUCUAACAAAACAAGAUAUAAAAUUAUCUGAAUAAAACUCUCACUAGAAUAUCUUAGUAGAGAAGAAAAUUCUCACUAGAUAGUCUCACUAUACUUUAUUAGACAUAAAAAAAAAAAAAAGAGAAGUCAAACAGAGGGAGGAAGGCAAUCCUCCAUGGAGGAAAUAAUAAUUGUCUUGAAGGUUGUGUAGAGAGAUGGUGGAGAAACUUCUUUUGUUUUAUCUAUUGGUUAUCUUUCUAAUUGCUAGUUAACGAACAAUAAACUCUAAAUGAAACUACUAAAUUUGCAACCGAAGACAUUUUUGGGCUUGUAUCUUAGUAUCGUAAUCGUCACCCAAUUAGAGCCGCCCAUGACGGCUUCAUUAAAUAUAUAAUUUGGGGGAACCAGGAUUUAAGGCCAAAUUUCGGCAACCUUCAAGGCACUUCAUUGUUUUCUCACAAAUUUUGUUUAUUUAUUGUAAAAGAUUAACUUUAAAGUGUCCUCAAAUUUCUUCCCUAUCUUCUCUCAAACUUUACCAGUGAAAAUUGUUUGUCUUCGGGUUCGUUUGUUUCGGGUGAAAAUGUUUUCCAGAAAAAGUAUUUUCCUAAUUUCCCGUGUUUGAUUGCACAAAAGUUACUGAAAACAUUUUACAUAAAUUUUCACUCAUCUUAUGGAAAACAACUUCCCUUCCAAACUUACUGAAGUUGUUUUCCGAAAUGCAUGCAUCCCGCCUGUAGUAUGUUCCAAACUUACUGAAACCAUCUUGUAGUAUGUUCUUUUUUUUUUUUAGUGUAAACAGGAGGACUCGAACCAAGACCUCUUCCUUACACUCCCUCCCCCGUACCAUCCAACCCAACCCAACCCUCCCCCUAGUAUAUUCAAAAUAAAAAAAAACCUCAUCCUACUCAUCCUAUUCUAGUAAUUAAUUAUGUAUAAUAGGGACAUUCUUUUCUAGAGAAACUUUCAGCAAUGAUAGUGCAAGAUAUAUGUCACAAUAAGCAUUGCAUGUGAUUGAUAUUUGACACUAAAUGGCCAGCAAUUUGUUUAUUGCUUAAGGAGAUAUUUUUUAUUCAUAUAUACAUUUCUCCAAGAUUUUUUAAAGUUAAACAAUGAGAUAAAUUUUCUUAUUUUGCAUGGGAAGAAGUAUGUAGUUAUAAUGUGUAGAAAGUAAAGAUAGAGAUAAAAGUGAAAAUAUUUCAAAAGUUAAACAAACACCAAAAAAAUGAAGUAAGAAAAUAUUUUCAAUAAACUAACCAAACACCUGAAAAUGAUGAAAGAGAAAUGAUUUUCAUGGAAAAUUACUUCCACGGAAAAUAUUUUCCCAAGAAAAAUAUUUUACUUCCAACCAAACAGACCCUUCAUCUCGUUGAUUGUCUCCCCCAGUGCAUACAAAUGUAUUAUGGGCAUUUUGGUGAAAGAAAGGCAUAAACCGAGUUCUGCACAACUAAAUUUUGCCAAUAGCAUAUGAAAAUAUGAAGAAGAAUAAUAAUAAAUGAAGGGUCUGUCUAAUAAGUAUUCAUAGGGAACCAUUGAAAUAUAUCUCAAGUGUCAUGUUUUUGGAAAUGUAAAAUUAAUAGAAAAAAUAAAUAAAUACAAGAGAGAGUAGAUAAAAUUAAAUAAGAAAAGUUAAUAAUUGUUAAUAGAUAUAUAUACAUAAUAGAUUAGAUGAACGUUAAAUAUGUUAACAAGUACCUUAUUAGCACCCGUUAAAAAAACCUAUAAAUGAAAGAUGUGAUCACCAAAUCAUUGACAAAGAAAUGUGUUGAAAAUGAAACAAGAAAGUCAAACAUGAUAAGGGAUCAAAAAUGGAAUUUAAUAAUUGCAGAUACUCCAAGAAGUUGAGUUGAAAUCAGUUAUCCGAUUUCAAAUUCACAACUUCUGCUGUCAAAGAACUACAAAGGGACUCAACUUCUGCUAAUUUAUAUUAGUUUCGAAACUCUUACAAGUACCCUAGCAUCUGAGAUUAUCACCGGGAUCAACACCCAACUGGUUACAAUAUUCAGCAUAAUACUCAACACGAGCACUAACAGUGUCCGGAUUUGCACCAUCACAUUCAAGCUGUCCGUUAACGGCACGAAUUGUAGCCCCAAAACCCUGGCCAGAAGUGAUAAGAUCAUGACAAUUGUUCAUCCAGAACCACAAGGCAGUUUUGAAUGAAAUAACAUUAUCUGUGGCCACAGUUUCAGGUUCAGUUAGUCCAUCGAACCCUAUGCUUUCACCUGCUGGUCCAUAGUUAAAGUUCCAAGAUAUUUGUAUUGGACCCCUGCCGUAAUAUCCCUUGCCUGGCACACAAGGGUACUGAGUGUUGCGCUCAUCACAAUAGUCUUUGGAAGGGCCGUCUAUCUCUUCUAUAUAGCACAUAUCUGCACAAUAUAGAGAAGUCUGUAUCAAUUAUCACUGCAUUCAAUUGCUUAUAUGAAAGCCACUCAUUGAUACAUUAUGGAUUUUAGAUAUUUUUACUAUUAAAAAAUCUAUAAUCUAAAUACAAAAUAAAUGAGAACAUAAAAAAAAUUAAUUAUUUAAAAUCAGAAUCUAUAGUCAGUUAUAAUAAUCAAUCAAGAACAACCCCAAAAAAUGUCAUCAAUAUUUAAGAAGGGACCAUAUGUGAUAAAGAAAUUAUAAAGUUAUAAGUAAUCACAGACUAAAUAAAUAACCAAUACAACAAAGUAGAAAAAAAAAAGGAAAACAAUAAUCCCUCUGCCCAGUUAUAAGAGACACACCCUCAUGAUAAAUUUCUUUUUUUUCUUUUUCAGUUAUGUCAUUUUAAGUUAUUUGACAAUAGAAAGUAUUUCAUAUUAAUGUCGUUAUCUUUGAAGAAAGUUCUUGGACAAUAGUGCACAGGACAACAUCCUACGUAGAACUGUACAAAGAUUUAGUAAAUAGGAUCUAAGACGUAGAAAAGUUGCUAAAAAUUUCAAAAAAACUAAAUCUCCUUGGUGGAGUUGUUCAAAGCUUACGUCCAGUCUCAUGAGUGACAUGAGCAAAGAAGGCGGCAAUCUCCCUUUUGGAAUCAUCAACUGAACCAACUGUUCCAAACUCAGAAUACAAAUUCUGAGCUUCAAGAAACGCCGAUCGAGUAUAGAACCCUUUUCCAGCACAGCUUGAACCAGCUUGAUCAGAAAUCCAGCUAAAGAAAGCGUCUGUCACAACAUCAGCAACUGAAACACCAUUAUUACCACCAUCUGAUGAAGCGGUGCAAGGGCCGGACUGGCAGCCUUUGCCACAAUAGUCGUCGCUGGUGCCACAAUAGCCCCACUGGCUGCAGCAUAAAUCUGGUUCACAGUCACAGUUUUGGCUUGAAAUCAGCUGGGAAAAGGACCCUACAAGAACUGCAAUGGAGAAAAUGAUGAUUCGAAAAUUCUUCAUUUCUGUACUUGAAGAAGGAGAAAAGGAUGUGGACAGAAAUUGUUUGAGUAAGAAGGAUAUUUAUAGCAUGGAGAACUGGAAAAGUGAUCAGCUUGUGUGAAGUAUGGAGAACUGCUAUUGUUGGAAAUCUUGAAGUUGAGCACUGAAUGGAAUGGAUAUAAAAUGCAAUAUUAGUGCUUGACUUUCAAUUAAUCUAUUGACUUUGGCACUGUCAAAAAGUAGCAACCUUCUUUCUUGGCAUUCGGAAUGGGAAUUGUGGAAAAGAAAAAUUUUGGCCAAUUGAUAUCAACAAUUGUGAGUACAAGUCACAAGUCACAAAUAUAAUGCGUGCAAAAAAGAUAACUUGAUGUUGUCUGUAUCAUCUGAUGUUAAUAAAGCCUAACUCUGUUGUAGUCCUAUUUCAGUCUCGUAUUUGAGUCAGAACACAGAUGAUAUUUGUACCAUUCUAGAUCCACGGGCUGCCCUACUACAAAUACUUUUCAUUUGGCUUAAAAAAAACAUUUUAAAGGGUGUAAGCUUUACAAUUAAAGCACGAUCUUUACCUUAUCAUGCAAAGUAUUGGACAUAUAAAAUUUUAUCAAACUGUUGUAGUGAAAAGAACUCAAAUGAUCAAAUUUUAUCCAGUUGAUAAAUAUAGAAUCCUAAAUAAAAUGCAUAGUCCUUUUUUUUUCCUUUAGAGUUCUUAUUGCAUACUAUAUGAAUUAAUUGGUAAAAUUUUGGUAGCGUAUAGGAAAUGAUACCAAUAUAAAAACUACAUUUACUACUCGAGGGCUUAUUAUGCUGCCCAAUUUUUUGGUUUCUACCAUGAGCUGAAAAAAAAUCUUUUCGAAGCAUAAGUUUCCCCAAAUUCUCAUAGACUUUACAAAUGAAAGUUAUUUGUUUCUUGUCGUUCAUUGACUCACCAUGCGUGUGCAGAUGAAUUAUUGAUUGGCCUUUUUGUGGCAGAAAGAUAAAACAGAAUUGAACCAAAGACCUCAUAAUUCCCUAAUUAGUCACUUCAGCCAGUUGAAUUAGAUCUUAUUCACAAGUUUUUUGUACUUCGGUAUAAUAGCGCUCCUGUUCCUUAGUCUCUUAUGCUUCGGUUUACUCCCAAUCUUAAUUGCCUUAACAUUGGUGCAUUUAGACCCUUGCAUUUGGUAAUUCAUAAUCUUAGUAUAGUUAUGAUCCUCAAAUAUCAUACCUUGAGAAACAUCACGGCUAAAAUUACCAACAGCAUAUUGAAACAUGAAAAGUAAAUGAAAGACGUGCAGAAACUUCAAUGGAGAGGCUUGUUGAGAGUGGAAACACCAAAGUCGAAAGCUCGACGAAUACGAUCAAGGGUUCAAAACUGGAACAUGCCUAUUCGUAAAUAGUCCAAGAAAUCGAAACAAGACCAACAAAAUCAAUUAUAUGAUUUCAAAACUUAACAACUUUCGCUUGUAAAGAGCAAGAAAGGUAAACACCUUUUGCUAAUUUUUAUUAAUUUCCAAUCAGUUUUAAGCCUUUAUAGCUCAACAUAUUACUCCCUUCCGAGCACUUUCGGCUCUCCAGAAGUACCCUAGCAUCUGAGAUUCGGACCAGGAUCAACACCCAGUUGGCGACAAUAUUGAGUAUAAUACCCAACACGAGCACUAACAGUGUUUGGAUUUGCACCGUCACAUUCAAGCCGACCAUUAAUGGCACGAAUUGUAGCCCCGAAACCCUGGCCGGAAAUGAUAAGAGAAUGACAAUGGUUCAUCCAAAACCACAAGGCAGUUUUGAAUGAAAUAACAUUAUUCCUGGCUACAAGUUCAGGUUGACUUAGUCCAUUGAACCCAAUGCUUUGUCCUGCUGGUCCAUAGUUGUAGUUCCAUGAUAUUUGUAGUGGACCGCGGCCGUAAUACCCCUUGCCUGGCACACAUGGAUACUGAGUGUUGCUCUUGUCACAGUAGUUUCUGGACGGGCCGCUUAUCUCUUCUAUAUAGCACAUAUCUGCAUGAUAUAGAGAAGUGGUAUUAGUUAUCAUUCCGUCGAAUUGCCAAAAAAGGAAAAAAUGAACGUUAGGUAAGACAAGGAUUGUCGGAUGAUAUGAUAAUGAAAAAUGUAGCAAAAUUUUAUGAGUUCUAAUAACAAUUAAUUGCAAAAUUAUAGAAUUGAAAGGAUUUAAGAAUCACAAACAAAAAUAUUUAUGUGGGAGAAAAGAGAAUAAAUAACUUAACUCAAAAUGUCAUUAAUAUUUCAAACAAAGAAGAAAAUCUCACCACAAUAAAAAUCUAAUAAAUUUUCUAUAGACUAUUUUAGGCUCUCUUAAAUUUUUAGAAAAUACUCCACCUAAUACUCUAGUGCUAAUUUAUGAGAAUCAUUGAAUAAGAAACAACACGAUUAAUUAUGAAAUAAAACACCAAUCACUAAAUAAUAAAAUUACUAGAAAUUGACUUCAAUAAAACUAAUGAUAAUUAAAUAGAAAAUUUUUGAAGCUUGGUUUAUUUUGCCAAAAAAAGAAAAGAAAAGAAGAGCCAUCAAUAUUUAUGAAUAGACCACAAGUGAUUUAAAAUUUACAAAGUUGUAAGUAAUGAUUUAAAAUUUACAAAGUUGUAAGUAAUCACAUGCUUACUAAAUUAUAAAGUUGACUACUACAACAAAGUGAAAAGAACGGAAAAUAAUAAUUUCUCUAUCCAAUUAUAAGUGGCACCCAUAUUCAUGAUAAAUUAUUACAAUAAUAAGUAUUUCUUGUUAAAAUUUUAGUUUUUGAAGAAAGUUCUUGGAUAAUAUUGCAAAGAAAAAUAGUCAAAACUUGGGGACAUCCGGUUUUCAAAAAUCCAAUAGACCAAAGUGUGCUAUACUUUCUCACCAAGUGGUUUAACACAAUUUGGACUAUUGAAUUUUUGAACAUGGGACUUACCCAAGUGUGAGUCCAGAAAAAUAAUCUAUAUAUUACUGUACCAACAUUUAGAAAAGUUACUAAAAAUAUUUUAUAGAAAGUUCCAAAGUAAUUCUCUUUGGUAGAGUUGUUGAAAACACUUACGUCCAGUCUCAUGAGUGACAUGAGCAAAGAAAGCAGCAACCUCCCUUUUAGAAUCAGCAGCAGAACCAGCAGUUCCAAACUUAGAAUACGACUUCUGAGCUUCAAGAAAUGCCGAUCGAGUAUAGAACCCUUUUCCAGCACAACCCGAAGCAGCUUGGUUAGCAAUUCCAUUAAAGAAAGCGUCUGUGACAAUACCAGCAACUGAAGCACCAUUAUUACCACCGCUGGGUGCAGCAGUGCAAGGGCCGGAUCGGCAGCCGGGGCCACAGUAGUCGUUGCUGGUGCCGCAAUAGCCGAAUUUGCUGCAGCAUAAGUUUGGUGCACAGCCACAGUUUUGACUUGAAAUCAGCUGUGGGAAGGCUCCGACAAGAACCAUAAUGGAGAAAAUGAUGGUUGGAAAAUUCUUCAUUUUUGUGCUUGAAGGAAGAGAAAUGGAUGUGGGCAGAAGCUGUUUGAGAAAAAAGGGUAUAUAUAGGGAGGAGAACUGGAAAAUGGAUCAGCUUGUGUGAAGAAGGGAGAGCUGUUAUUGUUGAAAAAAUUUAAGUUGACUAAUGAAUGAAAACAGAAAUCACGUUUGACUUUAAUUCGUGCAUUGACUUUGACAGUGUCAAUAAGUGGGAAUUUUUGUUCUUGGUUUCUAGAAUGGUAUUUGUGAAAGAUUGAUUUUGAUCAAUUGAUAUCAAUAAUUUUGGAAUUGAAUAAUGUAGACUCACAAGUCGCAACUACUGUGUGUAUUUUUAUGACUUGAAGUUGUCUACAGCAUUUAAUUUAGUGCUCAUUAAUUCAUUAACUUGCCUAACUAUGUUUUAGUCAUACUUCACAUUUGCAUUUGAGUUUAAGCACUCAAAAAUAUGAGACAGAUCAAUUUGUCAGUUACAAUUCAUGAAAUAAAAUAGUGUAGAACCUGUGUUAGAAUAAUUUUAGGUUAAAUGGUAAAGAAAAGCAACACUUUUACAUAGCAAUAUAAGUGGUAGUCAGUUUUGGAAAAGCUAAGAAAGGAUUAAAGCCCCGCUUGAUAACCUAAUUCAACACUUAAAUUUAUUGAAUUCAAAUUUUAAUAUAUUCAGACCAUUUGAUAACCAAAGAUUGAACAUCUGAAUUAAUUAAUUCGCACUGAAUUUUCUAGGUAAAACUUAUUUCCAAAAUUAAGUGAUAAGCUAUUCACUUAUCAUUGAAUAUGAUAUGCACUCAAAUAUAUUAGAUUUAAUACUUAACAACUCAAUAAUUUAACGGAUUUAAAUUUAAAUUUUCAAUUUUCAAAUUUGAGACUUCAAUUUUCACGCUUAACUUUUGUCAAACGCAUCCUAAUUAGGCCACUUGCAUAUCACGAAUGACAAAACCAUGUGGCUUCUGCUAGUACACGUUUCGACAGUAUUCCACUUCACGUGUUUGUUGGGCAUACUGGCAUGUCCAUUUGCAUCAUGUCCUAUUUCAUAACAAAAUAUUAUAUUCUAAAUAUAUAUGAAAUAUUUAAUUUAUAUAUGUUAAUUUUUUAAUACAAUAAUAUAAUGUACUUGUAAAUCAAAUAGUAUUAAGUAAAAUAACUACAUAGAAGCAGAUAAAAAUAUAACUGCAGUGCCCCUGUUAGAUUGAAUCUUUAACAAAUUGAAUGCUUUGAACUUUUUUCAUUCAGGAUUUCAGUGCUAUAAUUUAUAAACAGUAUUUCCAAAAAAGAAUUGUUAGUGAAGAUAUCAAAUUGGUGCCCCUAGUAAGUAAUUGUGUUCAGAAAACAACUAGAGUCAAAAGUCAAAUUUUCGUUUCUUUCCUGUUCUUGUCUAAAGACAAUUCUGCAGACAAAGAAGUUGGAAAAAAAAAUAUGCUCACAAUUUGGCAGGGCAAACCUCCUUGCCUAAAAAUUAAGAAAAAUCCACGCCUAAAAAUUAAGAUAAGAAAAAAAAAUCAGUUCAUUUUCUCCUCAUGUUCACUAUUAUCUUAUUAAAUUAAAGGAAACCACGCUUAUAAAUUAUAAUCACUUGCAUCAAAAUCCAACGGCAAUUUUCUCCAUUUUUUGGAAAGAAGAGGAAGGGGGAAAAAGGAAGAAGCUUCCGUAGAAAAGGAAAGAAUUGAGAAAUGUGAUAGGUACUCUGUCUCCCUCUCGGCAAGUGCGGCUUAAGCCAAGCACAGCUCACAGAAGUCCAUUGUUGAAUUAGUCUCCCUGAAAAUUUCUAGCCAUAAAAAUUUUAACUUUUCCUUUUAGUAUAAAUGGAAGAUCUCGAAGUGGGGACCUCUUAUUUACAUUUUCUCUCCUCAUAUCAUUCAACUCAUUUUUUCCCCGAAUUUCAACUUGCUACUCCAUAACUUAGCUUCAUGGAUCUAUAUUUAUGUUCUCAGAAAUGUGAUGUCAUACUUCUAGAUACAUUCAAAAGCGAUGAAUAGUCGAUCAUUUGGACAAUUGUAGUUUAAAGAACUAAGAAUUAGUGCAAAUAUCUAGUUCAUUGAAAACGUAUGGCCCUUAAUUUUUGUAUUUUGACGAUAUACAAGUCUGAAAUUCUAGAAAACAAAGAAAACUGCCAUCCUUGAACAAUUCUUUAGAGAUUUUUUGUUCUUUUUAUUUUUUGAGCAAAUGAAACAUCUUCCCGUUUAUCAUUGGAACAUAAGCUUUACAAAGGAGCAAAACCUCUUACUACAACAAAAAAUCUGGAGCGAGCUAUACCCAUUAUACAAUACUAUGCAUGUGAAAACAAACAAAACAGACAGAAUUCAACCAAGAUCAAUCUAGCAAACGUCCGUGAUCUAUCCCCCAUUCUAACAACAACUCCCAAUUUUCCUUACUACCAGGAGCUUUAGCCCAUAAGAGACAAGUCAAGUUGAACAAUUUUAACCACUGCCGAUUUAAUAAAAUUUGGAGUGAAACCCUCCAACGUGUACAGGGUUUGUCUUUCCAAAAAAACAAAAAACAAAAAACAAAACCGCUGCUGCAACUACUUCCAUUAUCAGUAUUCUGUAUACGAAAAUCAACAUUUAGUCUUUCCCAAAUUUAGUAUAUUUUAGUGCAUAAUUGAAAAAAAUUCUCUUGGCACAAGUGGAAAAUUAUAGAUUUGAAAUCAAUUACAAAAUUUCCUAGAAAAUAGACGCCCACUGAUCAACUAUGGCGCUUCGUAGUUCAGCUUUUCCAGUCUCAUACGUAGAAGUUGGUCCUAAUAGUGCAUUAAUGUUUCAUAGUUAAUCAGAAUUUUCUAUGACAAAAAAAAAGAAGAAGAUUCAUGAAGAAAAAUAAUCUAUUGGCUGUACUUUAUUUCGAUUUAGACAUCAAUAGUGCAAUGGCAAAAGGACUUUGUAGAUGAACCUAGUUGAUGUAAUGAAUUUAUGAUGAUUUAAUUAACUAAAAAGGCAAUCAAUUCGGUCUGCUUAAUGUCAUACUCAAGAGGUCAUCAUCUUUGUCAAAGGGUCUAUACAUUCCAUACAUUAGUAGUAAAUGUUAGUGGAUUUGUUACUAUUGCUGACCAUGUUAGCCACUGAUUUCUAUUAAAUCAUGUCUUUAGCUUCUUAUAAGCUUCUCUAUACCCUACCUAAUCUCAUACCAUUUUACUUUCUCUUGGAUUAUGUGGAAUGCCUACUUGACCGCAAUGUCUAUAUUUUAAUGAUACCAGUACAUUUUCAAAUCUUCAAUUAGCUUUUAAAGUAUCGAAGUUCAGUUCACUAAUUGGCCAUAAAGACAGAUCAAUAGCAAAGUUGAAAUAUGCCACUUAUCCUGAGACGUUGUAGAAAGUUGGAAUGUUAAUGUCGUCCCUUGUAAUCCGAAUAUGUGAAACUGAAGUUGUUGAAGGGUGGGGGAGAGUUGGGUUGGGUGGUACGGGGCAGGAAGUAUAAGCAAGAGGUCUCGAGUUCAAGUCCUCCCGCUUACACUAAAAAAAAUUAAAAAAAAAAAGAAGCUGUUGAAGGGUGAAUGAGUUUUUCAGUUGUAUACAAGCUGUAUAAUGGGGUUUUCAAUAAAAAGUUUAUCAUUUUCUCAAAAAAAGAAAAAAAAAAGAAGAAGGGUGAAUUGAGGAAGCUGAAUGCUAAGCGAUAUAGUUCUAUUAGUGAUAGAAUAUAACAGGUGUGUAUGGCCAGUUAUGUGAAGUGCAAUCGUUCUCCUUCAUUCACCUUUUGAUAUUACUUUACGGGCCAAAUAUAAGAAUGAGAUCUCUUGGGCUGGCCACGUCUUCUUCUUCUUCGUUUUUUUUUUCCAUUCUUCUUAUAGAUCUUUAGGCGAAUAAGCAAUCUUUGGGGAAAUAAUGUAGUAUAUUUGGACAUUGGGAUAAUUUAACAAAUCUCCAUUGAGUUUUAUGACAAAUUCAUCAUAGUUCCCCCUCAAAUUAUUGCAUUACACUUGUGUCUAUUAGCUAUUGAUUUCCAAGGUAAAUGCUGAAUUUCCCCUCUAGGUUUACCAUUGACACUUUCUAUACAAAGCGAUACAAAUUAUAUAUAAGAGAUUUGUGAAAGUGUCAUACUUCCGAGCUAUAACUCAUAAACAAAGGCAUUCGUAAAACCCUUUUGAUUCAAAUAUAUAGAUUUUUUUUUAUCCAACACCAAAAUUAUAUUGCCCAAUAAAAAAAGAAAACCUUUUUUUUUGGUUAAACCAAACUAUUAUUAUUGCAGCCCCAAAAAAGUACAAAGUUCGGGACCAGCCCUUCCCUAAGAAUACAAGCUCACACACCCUGCCCCACCUCUAAUUAACCCCUACCGCCGGCAUCUACGAAAAUUUGGAUACCCACACACAUCUAAUAUAUAGAUAUACUCACCUAUACACUUAACAAUUUAAUGUAUGCUAAAGUGAGUAGAAUAGGGUUUUGAAAAAGUACUCAAAAGUAUGCUACUUCCAUCAUUACCUUCUAGCACGCAUUGUGCAAACUCUUUUCAAAUAGAAAAAAGGGAAUGAAGAGGAGAUACAAAAAAGGGUUGCAAAUUCUUUAAAAUAUGGCAAGGGUAAGCAUGCAAGUAACAUAUAACAUGAAACAAACAUGUUAAGGAAACCUUAAAACAAGAGAGGUAACAGUAAGUUUGAAAACUUUGGUGCAGCUAAAUGAAGUCAAAAACCUAAAACAAGGUUGAUGGAAUUAUCCCUAGUAAACUCUAUGUGUCCUUCACCAAGUGAAAAAAUACUGUUCAAAAUUCUUAUUUCUAUCGGAACCAUUUCGAGGAACUCCAAUUCGGAUGUCAAUACUAAAAGAAAUUUUCCCUAUGGUACCCCUGAUUUUGAAAUUCACUAAUUAUUUGUAUAAUUGUAUCAUAUAUAUGCUUUUAUGUAUUGUGUAAUGAUUCACAUCAAAUUCAUGAGAAAUUUCGCAUCCCUCUCACAAAAGUUAGCAAAUGCAUUGUAUAUAGGAAGCUGAAAACCAAACAAGACUUUAUUAUUAGGUUAUCGAUCAGUAUUAUUGGUCCUAUCCAAGUGUCAUCACGUUUUGUUUAUUCAAGUGUCAUAAUGUUAUUGAUAGUAUAAUUGGGUUGCAUGAUUAUGGUUGAAAGUGUGGAAUAUGCGAUUAAACUCCGUGUUAGGAGUACUGGUUUUGCUGUGGGUUUUUUCGUUUUCUUUGUCAGCUGCGUGGGGGCUUUAGAGCAUAAGCCUUUGUUUUGUUUCUAAACAUCACCGCCAAAAUUGCCAAUAGCAUAUCGAAACAUGGACACUAAAUGAAAAGAUGUGAGGAAACUUUAAUGAAGAUAUGCCAAAGACAAAAGCUCGAAAAAAUAUGAUCAAGGGAUCAAAAUAGGAACAGGCGAACACCAACAAGUUAAGUCGAACCAAGAUCAACAUAAUCAAUUAUUUGAUUUCAAGAGUCAUAACUUUGCUUGUAAAGAACAAUUAAAGGUAAACAAUUUGUUGCUUUCCCCCCCUCCCCAAUCAGGUGUGUACCUCAACAUUAUUUCACGUCAUGAACUUGUUUUUCCUGGGAUAAAUACCCUAGCAUCUGAGGUUAUCACCAGGCUCGACACCCAAUUGUCUACAAUAUUCAGUAUAAUACUCAACUCGAGCACUAACUGUGUUUGGAUUUGCACCAUCACAUUCAAGCCGACCAUUAAUGGCACGAAUUGUAGCCCCAAAACCCUGGCCAGAAGUGAUAAGAUCAUGACAAUGGUUCAUCCAAUACCACAAGCCAGUUUUGAAUGAAAUAACAUUAUUUGUAGCUACAGUUUCAGGUUGGCUGAGUCCAUUGAAUCCAAUGCUUUCACCUGCUGGUCCAUAGUUAAAGUUCCAUGAUAACUGUAUUGGACCCCUGCCGUAAUAUCCCUUGCCUGGCACACAUGGAUACUGAGUGUUGCUCUCAUCACAGUAAUCUCUGGAGGGGCCGUCUAUCUCUUCUAUGUAGCACAAAUCUGCGCAAUAUAAAGAAAUUUUGUCACUCAAUUGAAAUGAUUGAUAAAGGGUUAGAAUCAAAGAAAAUCAGCAGGUCUGGAAUUUUUUGUAAAUUUUUAGAUUUGAUUGUUUUACUGAUGAAUUCAAUUGGUGAGAAAAGAAUUUAUCCCAUUUUGUAAAAAUUGGAUUGGACAGACUUAAAGUAAACACUUCUUUUAUGAGGUAAAAUUUUAGAAUGAUUUAACAUUAUAGGGUUAUACGAUAGAUAAAUAAAAAUUGGCAAUAGCAAGAUUAAGAUGGGACUAAAAUAUAUUUGGUUAAUAAAUUUGAAUUAAUUUACGGCCAAAUUUAGGUGAAAUAGUUAAUUCUACUUGGUAAAUUGGAAGUUCGGAAAUGUGUAUCUGUCAGUUGUCAUACUCAUGAGUAAGCCAAUCUUCACUUAAAAAAAAAAGUAAUCCAAAAGAUAAAGCCGCAUGAUCAUCUACUUUUACAUGCAGCAAAAUACACAAUCACCAUAAGCUUAGAAUGUAAAGGCAGAAAAACUUGCUUCUGUAGAUAUAAAAGUGACCACUACAAGAAAAGUAAAAAGAAGAUGGAGAUAAUAAUCCUUCUAUCCCCUUAUAAGGAUUAAACCUUCGUCAUGAUAAAUUAUUUGACAGUAAAAACUCUUUCAUAUUCAAGUUUUAUUUUUUGAAGAAAAAAUUCUUGGAUAAUAGUGCACAGGAUAAUUUAGAUUCCAAGAUAUACUAUCUAGAAAUUUACAGGAGCUACUAAAAUAGUAGAAAAUAUCUUCAAAAUUUAAUUUCCAAGCUAGUGUUAUUCAAAACUUACGUCCAGUCUCAUGAGUGACAUGAGCAAAGAAAGCAGCAAUCUCCCUUUUAGAAUCAUCAACAGAGCCAACGGUUCCAAACUGGGGAUACGAAUUCAGAGCUUCAAGAAAAGCUGAUCGAGUAUAGAACCCUUUUCCAGCACAGCUUGAAGCAGCUUGAUCAGCAAUUCCAUUAAAGAAAGCGUCCGUCACAAUAUCAGCAACUGAAACGCCACUAUUACCACUGCUCGGAGCAGCGGUGCAAGGGCCGGAUUGACAGCCAGAGCCACAGUAGUCAUUGCCGGUACCGCAAUAGCCGAAUUUGCUGCAGCACAAGUCUGGUGCACAGCCGCAGUUUUGGCUUGAAAUCAGCUGUGGAAAGGCUCCUACAAGAACUACAAUGGAGAAAAUGAUGGUUGGAAAACUCUUCAUUUUUGGAUUUGAUAAAGUAGAGAAGCUUGUGGGCAGAAGUUGUAUCAGAAAGAAGGAUAUAUAUAGGGAAGAGAACUGAAAACCGAUCAGCUUGUGUGAAGCAUGCACCGCUGUUAUUGUUGAAAAUAUUGAAUUUGAGCAAUUAAAGAAAACGGAAGACGAAAGCGUGAAUGGUUGACUUCUAUCGAGUGUAUUGACUUUGACAUUGUCAAUGAAGCGGAAACUUUCUUUCUUGGCUUCUAGAAUGGAAAAGGUCAAACGGGAAGAUUUUGGCCAAUCAUAUAAACAAUUGUGAGAAUAAGUCACGUAGACUAACAAGUCCCCACUAUAAUGUGUGCAAAAAUAUAAUUUGAAGUUGCCUAAAUCAUUUAAUUUGAUGCUUAUUAUUGAGUUUACUUGCCCAACUAUGUUUUAAUAAUAUUUCAAAAUUGUGUUUGAAUUAGAACAAAAAAAUAUGAGACAUACUUAUUUAUUUAAUUGCAAUUCCAGAAAUAAAAUCGUAUACAACAUGUAUUAGAAUAAUUUUUAGGGUAAAUGAUAAAGAAAAGAAAUACUUCUACAAAUUGACGUAAGUGAUCAUCAGCUUUUCGAGAAGUUCAGAAAGAAUAAAGUGGCCGAUAUAUAUAUCAUGCAUGGCAAACUAUGUGGCUUUUGUUAGUACACGUUAUGACUAUAUGUAUGUUUCAUUUGACAUGUUUGUUGGACGUGUUGAAUUGUUAGCAAUGAAAUGCUCCAAAAUGUUUUCAUGCAAGAUUUCAGCACUGUGGUUUAUAAGCAGUAUGAGGUCAUAGUGAAUUAUCGACAUAUCGUCACAUGCAGAGUCGUGAAAAUAUACAAGUCUUUCCCUAUCAUUAAUUAGUUGGUUAAAUGACAAUUUCUAGAAUGGAGCUUCAUGGUUGGCCAUGUCAAGAAACAUCUCGCAGUAAAUUGGGCGAGUUAAUAUGGUCCUCUUGUUUUACACAGGAUGUACUUUUCUUUUUCUAAAUAUUUCCCCUUAAACUCUCAAAUUGAUCAUAGUGUUAACUAAUUUUGCUCUGGUUUUAUUCUUGGUUCGCAAAAUUCAGUAAAACCAAAACAAACCCUUGUUACUGAAGAUAUCAAAAUGGUACCCCAACUAAGUAAUUGAUUUCGAAAAACACUCUGAACCAAAUUUCAAGUUUUGGUUUCUUUGCUCUUUUUCUACUGAAAGGCAACAUCCCCGGGCCAAGAACUUGAAACAAAUAGUAUGAUGCUCAAGUUUUCUAUGCUCUUAUGAUCAAGUCAAACCAUGCUUAUAAUCAAUUACAUAAAAAAAAAAAAAUCACGGGCAAUUUUGUUACUAUUUGGGAGGAGGAGGAAUAUUAAGCAAAAAAAUAUUCUAUUAAGAAAACGAUGAAGCAUAUUAUUUUCCAGGAAUAAAAAAUAACGAGCAGAAAAAAACAAAUAGUAUGAUGCUCAAGUUUUCUAUGCUCUUAUGAUCAAGUCAAACCAUGCUUAUAAUCAAUUACAUAAAAAAAAAAAUCACGGGCAAUUUCGUCACUAUUUGGGAGGAGGAGGAAUAUUAAGCAAAAAAAUAUUCUAUUAAGAAAACGAUGAAGCAUAUUAUUUUCCAGGAAUAAAAAAUAAAGAGCAGAAAAAUACAUUAGUUUGGAUGACAUUAGAACAUUUAGCAACAGGAUUAGGGAUGCAAUGGGAAGAGUGCCAACUGGGAAUCAACAGGAUGGGAAAAAAUACAGGGCGGGGUGGGGGGGAUUGGAGAUAUAAUAAAUCUAAAAUUUUGUUUCUUUAGGAAACUUACAUAAGUGAACUUAAUAUUUCCUAAAAUAAUAUUUAAAAGUUAUAUUUAUUGUAAGGAAAAUAGAUUUGCUUUAUUUUGAGAUACUUUUUAACUUAAGGAAACUAGAGUUAAUUUAUUUUAGGACACUCUUGUUAAGGAGAAAUUAAAGGAAAUUAACAAUCUAACUAAUGAUAAAUAUGUUUUUUUUAGGGCAUUCGGUUGGUGCUUGAGAACACACCCGAGUACUGCAGCGUCUGCUGGAGAUUAGAGCAUUCGGUGGAGGAGUGCAGGAAGGAUACUCAUAACGGUGCAGGAGCCUUGGUUAAGGGCAACCAACCGCAAUUUGUAUCGCAGAGUGAUACUGUUGGGGCUGUCAUGGAGGCAAAAGGCAGUUCGGUUGGUGCGUCGAAGCCGCCCGGGGGGGGGAACACUCCCAGCAGCGCUGAUGGAGGCUCCGCUCUCCAUCCCUGGUCGAGAUGGCAAAAGCCCAGCGGCAGCAGCUGCGGUAACAGGGGUGGUGCCCAGGGAGGCAGAGCUGACCCACGAGCAUCAGCCUACUCGGGUUGCUGGUGUGAGUGUGGAGCUCCUUGAGGGAAGCGGGCAGGAUGAUGGCGCGCCAGAGGGGGAGCGUUCCACAGCAAGGGAAGGAGCCUCGCUUGCGCAGGUGAAUGCUAGAGCGGAGAUAAUGGUGGAGGGGCGACGUGCGGCUGAGCUUCCAGUGGCAGCAGGCUCGAAGGACAGUGGGCAAGCUGUUGGCGCACCAGAAUGGGAUCAGGCUGAGCAGGUGGAUGCUAGAGUAGAGAUCAUUUUGGAGGGGUGCAGUGCGGAUGUCCAGACUGCAACGGGCAAUCUGUCUCCGCGGCCCAGCGCCUAUUAUGGGGAGUUGGCAGCUUCUCCCUUGGAGGCGAUGAAUGUAGAUCAGUCACGGGCAUUGGAGCCGGCUAUAAAACUCGGAAAAUCAAAGGGAAUAAGAGCGAUUUUCCCUUCCGACAGGUAGCUGCGUUCCACUUCAACAUCCUCCAAAAACGGAUUCCAGGUUCUUUCCCAUGAUUAAUAGCAUAUUUUGGAACAUUAUGGGGGUUUCCAAACCUCCUAAUUUGAGACGGUUGAAAAACCUUAUUCGAUUACAUAAAGUUCAGCUGGUAGCUAUAUGUGAACCGAAACUUGAUGUCACAAAUAUUGAGAGCAUCCGCUUAAAUUUAUCGUUUGAUGCUGCUGUUGUUAACUUGUCAGCAGAUGUUUGGGUCUUGUAUAAUUUUCCGUUAGUAUGCUCUAUAGCUGGGAAUUCUCAGCAACAUAUCUCCUUGAAUGUCCAUCAUCCAUGGCUACCUCGCUCCUUGCGAUUUUCUUUUGUGCAUGCCAGGUGUACAUUGGAAGAACGACGGGGGUUGUGGCAAGCACUUUUGGUGGACAAACCACGCGACCAGCCAUGGUGCAUCUGUGGGGAUUUCAAUGUGAUCAUAUCCCCUAGCGAAAAAAAAGGAGAUCGGCCUUUUCGUGUCUCGGAGAGGUUAGAGCUUCUGACCUUCAUGGAGGAGGCGGAAGUUUUUUAUGUGGGUUUUUCCGGCUCGAGUUUCACUUGGUGCAACAAUAGCCAUGGCCGGGCUCGGAUAUGGAAGCGAUUGGAUAGGCUAUUGGUUAAUGGAGAAUGUUCUGAAUUACCGUCAGCCGUGUCGAUCACUCACUUGGCUAGACAUCCAUCCGACCAUGCACCGCUACGAGUUUCUUUCACAUCCUGUGUAGAGAUAAACCUCAUGCGUUCCGCUUCCUGAAUGUGUGGACAUCCAGAGCAUCUUUACUUGAUGUUAUUUGAACGACUUGGCAACAGGAGUGUCGGGGUUCUCCCUUAAGGAUCUUAUGCUCCAAGUUGCUAGCAGCAAGGAGAGCUAUCCAAGAGUGAAAUAAGUCCUCCUUUGGGAAUAUAUUUGCAGUGUCUCGCGAAGCAGAGGCUUCGGUGCUUAGGGCGGAAGCACGGGUGGAAACUGAGGCAUCGGAGAAUGCUCAGAUAGAGCUUCAUAGGUCUCAAGCACAGCUCAACCGUGCUUUGUCAGUGGAGGAGGAGUUUUGGAAGCAGAAGGCUCGUGUCAAGUGGCUCCGACAUGGCGACUGUAACUCAAAGUUCUUCCAUGCCACCCUGAGACAGAGGAGGAUGCAAGGGCAAAUCCACAGGAUUAAAGAUGAGACUGGCAUAUGGGUGAAGACGGAUGAAGAUAUAUCACGUGAAGCGAUACGGUAUUUUUCUGAUUUAUUCUCUGCUCCGGCGGAAUCCUCAUCAGACUUGCUGCAUGUUAUCCCUGCCAACGUCACGGCGGAGGAAAACAUGAGCUUAGAGGCCGAUCCGUCUUUCGAUGAAGUAAAAAGAACUAUCUUUGCAAUGGACGGUGAUAGUGCAGCAAGCCCCGAUGGUUUCAUGGGUAAGCUUUUUACUUUUGCUUGGGAGGUGAUUGGUCAAGAUGUCUAUAAUGCAGUUUUGAGCUUUUUCUGUAGGGCUGAGCUCCCUCAUUUUAUUACAUCUACUUCUAUUGUCCUUCUCCCGAAGGGACCGAACCCUCAGGAUUUUUUGAUGUUCAGACCGAUUAACCUCUGCAAUUUCUUUAAUAAAGUAUUGUCCAAGAUCUUGGCUGAUAGGUUGGCUAAUAUUCUGCCAAGAAUCGUCUCACCCCAACAUACAGGCUUUGUUAAGGGCAGGAAUAUAUCAGAGAAUUAUUUUCUCGCCCAGGAAAUAAUGUCAGGGAUGCGUAGAUCGUACAGGGGUGGGAAUGUAGCAUUGAAGUUAGACAUGUCCAAGGCAUAUGAUCAUGUAUCGUGGGUAUUUCUCAUGAACGUAAUGCGGCAGUUUGGGUUUGGAGAAAGGUUUCUUGACAUGGUGUGGAGGUUGAUUUCUAAUGCUUGGUUUUCGGUUAUAAUUAAUGAAGCGUCUUAUGGCUUUUUCAAGUCGGGUAGGGGAUUACGGCAGGGGGAUCCGAUAUCCCCCGCGUUAUUCGUAAUUGGGGCGGAGCUUCUCUCACAGGCUUUAAACAAUCUCGUGUUACAUUGUGGCUAUAGGGGUUUUAAGGUCCCACGGGGGUGUCCCCAAGUCACGUACUUGGCCUUCGCUGACGAUGUAUUGAUUUUCGCUAAUGGGUUUGCUCGAGCUUUGCAGGAUAUUGUGCGGGUAUUGGAGCUUUACCAACAAUCCUCGGGUCAGUUGGUGAAUAGGCAAAAAAAUGGGUAUAUCGUCCAUCUCUCCGCCUCGAUUGCUAGACGGAGGGUGAUUGAGCAUCUCACUGGCUUUUCUAGGCAACAGGCGCCUAUUCGAUACUUGGGCUUCCCAUUGUACUUGGGCCAAAGUAAGGCUUAUUAUUACGGUGAGGUGAGUCAAGCAAUAAUCGGAAGAAUCCUCUCAUGGAAGUCCAAGUUUUUGUCUCAGGGGGGUAAGAUCAUCCUCAUCAAACAUGUUCUCUCUUCUAUCCCACUGCACUUACUAUCUGCUGCAGUAAUGCCGACUUCGGUGUUCAGGGUAAUUAAAAAGGUUUGUUCUGACUUUCUAUGGAGUUCGACGGAGAGGGGGGCCAGGUAUUACUGGAUCCACUGGGAGUUGUGCUUUUCAAAGGAGGAGAAGGGAGUAGGCUUCAGGCUUCUAAAGGAUGUUUACACAGCUUUAUCUCAUAAACCCUAGUGGAAAUUCCGCACGGGGACGUCUUUAUGGGCAAGGUUCUUACGUGCUAAGUAUUAUGGGGCUUGCCACCCUUGUCAAGUGGAGCUUAAAGUGGGCGUAUCAGCAACUUGGAAACGGAUAAUCAAUGUCAGCAGGGAGGCGGAGUUGUCUAUGCGAUGGUUGGUGAAUGCUGGGACCUGUGACUUCUGGUAUGAUAACUGGCUAGGGAAUGGAGCUCUUUUCCUUAAAGCUCCUGUUCAGGGGGAUUUAUCGUUCAGAGACUUUAUUGUUGACGGGAAGUGGAACUCGGUGGGACUUGCAGAAUACCUCCCAAGGGACAUCACAACUAUGAUCCUGCAACACUCGACCCCAGAGGGUGAGAGGCCCGAUGAGGUGGUAUGGGUGUCAACAACUUCAGGAUCAUUUUCGUUAUCCUCUGCUUUUCGUGAGGUAAGGCAAGCUCGGAAUCCCUCUUGGAUAUUUUCCCACAUUUGGCUCCCCCAACUCCCUGUAAAAGUUUCUUUAUUUAUGCUCCGUCUUUUGAUGCGGAGGCUCCCCCUGGAUGAUAUCUUGGGUAAGUUUGGCUUUCAAUUACCUUCCAAAUGUUUUUGUUCUUCCAUGGCAGCGGCGGCGGGAGAAUCUAUUGAACACAUUUUCUCAACGGGACAACUAGCGGUAGAGAUUUGGGGUGUCUUUGGAUCCUCGUGCGGUAUAUGUCUGCCGGCCGUAUCAUUGCGAGAGCGACUGGUCGCUUGGUGGUUGUCCCCGCACUCAGAUGCUCAAAGACGUCAUGUUGUUUCCAUCCUGCCAAGUUUCAUCUGUUGGCAUAUCUGGAAGGCACGGAACAAAGCAAUCUUUGAAGGGGUUGAACUGACUAGGGGGGAGAUUUGCCAUGGCAUUCUCCGGGAUAUUUUCGCAACGGUUGAGAUUAAAUUUCGUCAUGGGAUUGUAGCGCAAACAUUUGAUCAGUUUUGUGAAAGACUCUCUUAGCCGCCGCUAGUACUUCGGGUCCAGUUGGUCAAGUGGUAGGCAUCUGGAAGGGGGGUUUUCUCCCUUAAUACGGAUGGGUGCUCAAAGGGGAAUCCAGGGAUGAGUGGUGGUGGAGGAAUAUUACGGGAUUCAAAUGGUCAGGUGCUAGUAGCAUUCUCAGCCUCCCUGGGGGUCAAUACAAGCUUGCACGCUGAAGCAUUGGCACUUUUAACGAGGCUUCGCGUAUGCUUCCAGCAAGGGUUUGUACAGGUGCGAGUGCAGACAGAUUCACUGGUUCUAGUAGAUAUAUUACAACGGAGGUUCCAGUGUCCAUGGCUCAUUCGAAGAGAGGUACACCAAAUAUGGCAGCUAGUCGCGAAUCCUACACACUUUUCGCAUUGUUUUAGGGAAGCCAACAAAGUGGCUGACAUCUUAGCUAAUGUAGGUAUCUUGCAUCCGCAGGAUCAUGUAAGGGUGUAUCACCAACUCUGCUCUCUUUCACAGCUAGCAAGGGGGGAAGUUAGGUUGAAUAUGCUAGACUUUCCUUCUAUUAGACUUAUCAAAGGAUCGUCGUGAUGACCGGUCCUGGUCUCGGCUUGUAAUCUUCUGAUUGGGCAAUAAAAGUUUUUUCAAUAAAAUAAAUAAAUAAAUAAAUGUUUUUUUUGGGAGGGGGAUUGAUAAAUUUUUAAUCUGAAACAAAACUCUAUAUUGUUGUUUUGGGUGAGGGGAGGGAGGAGGGGGGACUGCCCCCACAAUAGAUCUUUUGUUUCAUUCUCUGUGUUAUUUUCUGUUUCACUUUUUAUUAUAUCAUUAUUUUUUCUUCAUAGACAUCAUAUUUUAUUUUCUUUAUUUCUUUAAGAUCUAAUAACUAUUAACUAAGUAAAAAAUAAAUACAACAAUCUAAAAAUAUAUAUAUAAUAGAAAAUUAGAAAAUAUAGCAAAAAAUUUAUUAAAAAAUCUCAUUUUUCAUGCAUUUUAAUUUUUUGAAUUUGUUAAAUUUGGUGUAUUACUCAGUUAAUAGUUAUUGGAUCCUAAGGAAAUUAAAAAAAAAAACUAAAAUAUGAUGUUUAUGAAGGAAAAAUAAUAAUAUAUUAAAAAAUGAGACGGAGAGUGGCACAAGGUGUGAGACAGAAAAUCCAUUGCAGGCUGCCCUGCUGGCCCUUUCUUAUGUCCGUCACUAUAUGGCUAGAAACAAGUACCUAUUGCUGAAUUAGUCUCUCCCUUCUAACUUCUAAGAAUUCCAAGGUUUUGUAAUGAUUCCGCAGGAAAUAAGACAAAAAUAGUUAGCCAACUAUUACCUUGCUGGAAUUGUUAUAACGGCUACCACUUGCAGAAAGAAGGUUACUGAUUAGUUAGUGGGGAAGCUUUCUAUUAAUAGGCCAAUACUAAUGUAAAGGGGCAUGCAAAUUCUGAUCAUUGAGAAUACAACUUUCCCGCUUCUUUCCCAUUCAUUCUGCUCCCUCUCUUUUCUCUCAACCUUUUUCUCUCUAUUCCUUUCUAUAUUUUUGUUCCUUAGUUGAAUCAACCAAUUCCCAACCAUUACAGUUUUUUUUUCUUGUCAAUCGACAACUUCUACAUUUAUCCUACUCCUACUCCUACUUUUUCUCCUAUUCUAACCUAUCUAAAGAAUGGCCUAACAGGGCCAAAAAUCCUAUUCCUAGUUCUAUUUCCACUCCCAUUCUAACCUAUUUAAGGGAGGGUCUAGCUGGAUCAAGGGGACCUAGAGAGAGUAGUCCCCAUCUCUAGACCAACGUCUGGAUUUGGAGGAAACUACAUACUAGUCACAAUUGCUAGAAAGUAAGAAUUGAAUUCUUGAUCUCUUACUCCAAGGCCUUUGACAAGUGACUAAUUUACACUAUAUUUGAAUGAUAUCUUAUGUUAUUUUUAGUCACUUUGGCUAUAUUAUUGGAAGAAAAUGGAUCAUUCUGGCUAUAAUUAGUUUAAAAUGCUCUUAAGUGAUUAAAUGAGAUUUUUGUCACUUUUACUUGCAUUUUGUCCAUAAUUUGUAUAGGAGUUGGAAAUAUAUUUCCUUUGGAUGAAGAGGAAGUUGACAGCUUUGACACAACUUCGUAUUUCGGCUAUAACUUGAGUUACAAUGAUCGGAUUGAGAUGAUUCUAGAACCAUUUUUAAGAUAAGAGAUAGAUGUACAAAUCUUAUGAAGACAUUGAAAUACAGUUUGAAGGUUUUCCCUAUCAAAAAUCUGAAUUAUAGUGCCAAUUUCUAUUGGUCGAAGCUGAAACAAGGCAGUGAGCAGUCAAGGGUAUUUCUGUCAUUUCUCCAUCUACACAAAUCCAAAUGAGGUGAUUCUUGAUGCAUUGGAAACAUAACUAAAAGGGUUACAAGUUUCAUGUUUUGGUCAAGAGUUAAUUCAACUUCUAUCAUCAAGAAAAGUUCAGUUGAAGUUGAGGCAAAAUUGGAGCAACAUUGAAGACUGGACAGAAAUUGCUAAGAAUGGCAGGGGAGCAAUCCGGCUGAAAAUCCGUCCGGAUUCUGGCCGGAUUCUAGUCAGAAAUAGCUGCUCUCCACUUGCACAACUUAUUUCCUCCUCCAAUAUUCAUAGCUAUUGAUGGACGUGUAACAACAACUUUGCAGCUGUAAAAGUGAUAUUUGAAGCCUUAUUUCUUGACUAAAUUAUCUAUAAAUAGCCAUGGACUUAUAAGGAUAAGGAGAGCUUGGGGGAGUGCAAGAAACACCACAAAAAUGUAGUUCCUUGGUUCUUUAGUGUAGAGUAGUGUAGGAUAGUUUAGUUUUAGAUAGUUUAUCCUUUCUUGUAUGUUAGCUAAAUGAAGAUGAAGAUGGAGAUGAAGAAGGCAAGGAAAGAGCUCAUGUGACAAGGAUUACUUUACCUUUCCAACUCUUUAUCUUUUGUACUUGAUUCUAAGUUUAGUUAAUAUAUAAGUUUUGGAUUCUAUGUUUAUUAUGUGUUUCUAAAGUUUAUGCCUUGGGCUUGGUUGAACUUUCUAUGAUUGUUAGUGUUUAUUAUUUGGUUAUUUGAUGCUAUUAUUUUGAGCAAGUUAUUGAGUACUUUACCUCUUUUAAAUCAUGAUUAACUUGGUACCAUUAAUUGUAAUUAUCUAAAGGUGUUGUUUCUUCAAUGAAAAUUGAGAUUUAACAGUAAUUCAAGAAGUGCUAAACCUAGAGAAUACACUCACGAGAGUAGAGGUUCACCUAUGUGGCUUUAGUGAUUCAUUUCAUGUAAUUUCAUAGAAGAAAUGAACUUGUAGCUAAUUUCUUAACCACGAGAGUAGGUAUGGAUUAGUUAUAAGUAUAGUUGAUUCACUACGAAAGUUGGUUUCACAUACAUAAGGAAAUUUCGCCAUAACUAGCCAAAAUAGUAGUACUCAAUGAUCCAAAAAUAACACUUGCAUGAGUAGUUAGGAAUACCAUAGACUAAGGAGCUUUCAUUUGUUAUUAUCUUGCAUAAGGUUAGCAUAGUUUUAUCUCUUUUAAUUCAUUGAUCGUCUAAAUAAUGGAGAAGCUUUAGUAGUGUCGGUAAUUGUCCAAUAUCAUUUGCAAGGGUAGUGAGGAAUUCCAUAUCUCUAGAAGCUUUCUAGUACUGAUUUUCAUUACUUUUAUAUUUAUGGUAAUCUAGAUAAUAAAGGAGUUCGAAAAACACCGGUAAUUGCAAUCUUCCUUGUGGGAUCGACCCUUAAUACCCUAUACUCGCUCACGAUUCGUAUACUUACGAUAAAUCGCGUGUGGGAUAUUUAAGAAUUAUAAAUGUAAAACUUGAUUGUGGAUAAACUUAUUGUAUAUGUAUACCCUGCGCACGUCAGCCUUUAUGGUGGCCAACAGCCCAAUAGGACAUUGGUUACAUGACAUCAUACUUCUAGUACAUGAGAAUACAUUAAAAAUCAAUCGCUUUCACAGUUCCACUUCAGACAAUUAAGAAUUACUAUCCAUUGGAUAAAACUAGUUUUAACCUUCAAAUAUCUUAUUGCAAGUAAGCCUUCUAAAAUAUGCUCACGAUUACUAUAUUUUUAGCAUUUUCACUAUGUAUAAGUCUAGAAUUGUAUGAUGAAAAGAAUUUCCAUCAAUCAAUAACUACUUAAGACUUUAUUGAGCCCAAUGACUAGCUUCUGAUAUAUUUUUGAAAGUGUACACUUUAGGUCGUUAAACCAUCAUUUUCAAGUAAAAUUACAGACCUAUUAAGCAACAGUUAAGAAAUUAUAGAUUGCACAAUACUAAAUUCACAGAAAAAUGAAAGAUUACUAAAUGAGGAUAAAUAUAUAGUUGGGAGGUGGAGCUAGAAACAAAAUUCAGUACGGAUAAACAUACUGUUAAAUUAUACUACUUUCAGUGUAUAAAAAAAGUUACAAUAACUUUUCAAAUGAAUUUCUUGUGUGUUGGGAGCACAUCAAUGAUGGAUCUAAGGGGGGGCUGGGGCCCCCCUCGACCCAUGUUUUGAAAAGUUUAAUUCAUAGUGUGUAAAUAUAUAUAUAAAAUAAUGUUGGCCCCCCUUAAUUUUUUCCAAUUUUAAUUUAUAUUAUGAGAGUUUAUAUUUAUAUAUAUAUAGUCACCUUUGAAUUAAUUUUUUUAUUCAAAAAAGUUAUUUAUUUUUUACUAAUUACUUAACUUUCAAAAAAUUAAACAUACUAUUUGAUGAUCCAUAGUAAAUUGAUCCAAUUUGACAUAUUAUAAUAAAAAGACCCAAUUCACAAUAUCAAUGGGUUAAAACAAAAAUAAUAAUUUUAUUGGCCCAUAUGCAAAUAUACAACUUAACCCAAUUGAAUGAUUGUCUAAGUAUAUACAUAGAUAGGGGUGGCAAUGGGGCGGGGAUGGGGCAGGGGACACCUCCCCCAACCCCCGCCCCCGGCUUCCCCCGCCCCGCCCCGCUUCCCCCCACGGGGGCACUCGUAGGGUUAAAAAAAUUUUAUUAUGUAAUUUCAUUAUAAUUAAAUUUGAGCAAAUAAUCAAAUAUUAAAAUAUCAACACAUCACCAAAUUAUUAUUCAUUGUAACUUCACAAUUGAAACUCAUAAAAAUAAUUAAACAAAAGUUAUUUGAAUACAAUCUAAUAUGAUAAAACAAAUAUAACUAAAAUAAUCAAGUUUUCACUUUUGAUACAAAUACAAUCACUAAAUUAUUAUUGUGUUUUUUUUAGAAAAAAGUGUUAUUGUAUUAAGUGUAGUUAGAAAUUUAACAUAAAUGUAUUAAUAAAUUUAGUAUAAAUAAUUAAUAAUUUUUAUUAAUAGACAUGUAUAAUUAGUAGUAUAAUUGAUAAUAUCAUUAUAUAUAUAAUUAUGUACAUAUAUAUAUAUAUAUAUUUUUCAAACAGGUGGCGGGGCAGGGGUGGGGCGUACUCCCCUGCCCCCCGCCCCGUUUCUAAACGGGGGGAAAAAUUCCCCCCCCCGGCCUUCGCCCCAACCCCCACCCCACUAAUCCCCCGCGGGGCGGCUGUCCGCCCCCGUUGCUAUCCGUAUACAUAGAAAAGAAAAUUGCUGAAAAAUUUAUCAUUGAUUCAAUCAUAGAUGAAUUUAGUUCUAUGAAAGAAUGUAAAGCUCAAUUUACUUUAAAAUAAAAGGUUCAAAUUUUAAGUUAUAUUAACAUAACUUUUAUCUUGUUUUAAUUGAAAAUAGAUAUAUUUAUAUUGCAUAGUUAUAUGCUUUCUUUUCUUUUUGCAUAGGUGACAUAUUGGAGUUUAUGUUCAUAAUGUGCAUCUUGGAUGGUUUGCAAUGCUAUAAGACAUUUAAUCUAAUGUUAUUUCUUGUCUUAAUUUUCGUUAUGACUAUAUUGCAUAUUUAUGAAAUAGACAUACACUUAUAAUUAAAGUUAAUAUUGGAUAUUUUUAGAUAAUAUAUAUUUAAAUAGUUGAAAUUUAUUUUGAACAUAACAUAUUAAGAUAAUUUUGUUAGAAAAUCCCCCCCCCCUCACGAAGAAAAAAAUCCUAGCUCCAUCACUGGAGCAGAGAAAAAGAAGGAAAAGAGGAAUAAACAUAAAGUUGAGUUUUUGUUAGUUAUUUUUUAUUUAUUUGUAAGAGGUGAAAUGAGUUGUUUUUUAUUUUUAAUCUAUUGAAAUGGUGAGGACAAAGUGAUAAACAAAGGAUAAUAUUAGAUACAUAUUUUAUUAGAACAUAGUGGGGAAAAUAUUAUCUAACAACGACAUGAAUUGUAUAUAAGUUAUAUGCUUUUGGUGGGUCAGUGGAGGUUAUUGUCUCCAUUGUAUCGUUUCCUAGAAUCAGUAUAUUCUAGUAAAUGAUUCUAGUUAUAUGUAAGUGAUUUAUAUUACUAAUUUUUUGUUACAAUUUUUAGAGAAUAGUUGGUUGAUUCUUAAAAAUAGAGCGAAGUCAACAACUAAUGCGCUUCAUAGUUAAUAGAAGUUUCCAAGAGGGCACCAAGUAAUAUUUUCAUAAUUGAUUAGCUUGGUUUUCAAGUGCAUAUAAAAAGAUAUCCAUGAAGACCUCCCCACCCAAGGGAAGACUGUAAGUUACGAAAACGUUUACUUUACUCUCAACAAAAUGUUGAGCAUACUUUAUUUUACUUUCGACAUCAUGCAAUGAUUAAAGGAUUUUGUAUAGGGACCUAGUUAAUUCAAUAAGCUUUAUGAUGGUUUAAUUGACUAACGGAGGAAUUUGCUCAGCCUAGUAACUCUGGUACUCAAGUAAUCAUGACCUUUAUCUAAAGAUCUACACAUUCCAUAUUGAAGUAAAUGAUAAUGGAUUUAUUACUUUUGUUGACCAAGUCAAGCAAAAAGCUGUUAUCAAAUCAUGGUUUUAGCGACUUAUAAGUUUCUUGAUAUCCCAACUAACCUCAUAGGAGGGCUACUUUAUUUCUUUUUGGUUACUUUCUAAUGCCUAGUUGCCUGUCGGAUAAAAUAUUGCCUUCACGGAUUGAUUCCAAAACUUGCUCAAAAACAUCUAUUUAUUUUUAAAAUAUUGCUUAUACUAUAUUUUGAACCAUUCAAUUGCAAAACACAAACAAUUUUUCUUAUGGUGCCUUCUUGUCGUUGAAACUAGGAAGCUAACCAAACAUUUGAAGCAAAGUGAUAAACAAUUAAUAGCAAACUAUAUUGGAUCUUCGAAAGGAAAAUUGAGGCCUCAUCUAUGAAUUUAACAUUUUCCGUUGUGAUGACAUCCGAAAUUGAUUGUGAGAAGAUUUUACAAACGCUAAAAGAGUAUCUCCAUUUAAUUGUGGAAAGGAAUUUGAUUUUGUCAAAUGCACAGAUAAUGGAAAUGACAAAAUAGCAGCACUAUCCUUGUCAUUAGGAAGCACUCAAAAGUUACGUAUUAAAUGGGAGUCUAACGUACAAGCAAUGAAACACUAUUGUAUUUGCGAUAGUAUUGAUAAAAAUUAAGAUUCUAUAGUCUUUGGAUCAUAAUGAAUUCAACGUUGGAUGACACAAUAAGUAUUCUGAAUUCUUAAAUUAUAAUAAUGUUAAAUAUUUAAAAUAGAAGCUGAUAUCGUUAUUAAGAAAUACACAUUGAAGGAAUAGUUCUCUAAGCGAUAAAAAUUUUCCAAAAGUAAAAGAAUGAAUGAUCAAAGUUUUCCAUCUUUGCCCGAUGACUCGUCUCUUUCCAUUUUACUUUCCCAAAGGAUAGCAUUUAAUAGCCUCGUGCCUGCUCUCAUUUUAAUCCUAAAAUAAGUGAUCAUGGGCUUCUUUGAGAAUGGGCUUGGUCUAAAUAUUGAACGCUCAAAACAGACUUCUUUUGUUGGAGGCGGCUUUCACUAGAGAGCGUGGGACUGAUUCAGAGUUCUUUUUUUUUUUGUAGGAAAAGGGAGACUGAUUCAGACUUCUUGCUAUCAUAGUUAUUAAACCUACCUUGGAGAGGAAUCCGGUGAAGGAGGUGGGUCAACGGAUUAUUGGUUCAAUCAGUGGAUGAGUAGUUGAAUUGGUGGGUUACUAAAUAUAUUUAAAUAUUAUGUCUCAUAAUUUUUUCAUAUAGGGUAUCUGGUUUAAACUACAAUGAACUAUACCAAGCAAAUGGUUAUUUAGGGUGUGUUUAAUAAAAUUAAAAUUUGAAAUUAAAAUCUGAAAUGUGAAUCUAUUAAGUUAUUAAAUUGUUAAGUGCUAAAUCUGAUACAUUUGUGUGUGUGUAUAUAUAUAUAUAUAUAUCAUAUUAAGUAAUAAGUGAAUAGUUUAUCACUUAUUUUUAGGAAUAAAUUUUGCCUAGAAAAUUCAUUACUAUUUAAUUAAUUCAGAUGUUCAAUUUUUUAAUAUGUUAAGAUCUGAAUCCAUUAAAUUAAAGUGUUGAAUUGGAUUAUCAAACAGGGUUUUAGUCUAAUUCAUUAUAGUCUAAUUCAUUAUAGAAUGAUUAAUUAUUAUAAAAAUCUAUAAAAUCAAAAUUAAAUUAGUAAUCCACCAAAUUUCAAGUGCAAAUAUUUACCUAUAUUUAGUGUAAUUAUUUAGUUUAUUUAUGAAUUUUAAGUGCAAGAGGUUAUUAGGAACAAUAUUUGCCUUUAAAUGAAUUGUAUACUAUGUUAUUUUUGAAAUCCAUUUCAGAACUUAUAGAGUUUGAGAAAUAAUAAAUUUUAUUAAAAUAUCCCAAAUAAUUUUUAUUUUAGAGAAAUUAUAAAAAUAAAGAAACAAUUGACUAACAUAUAAUAUAAGACAGGUGAAUAACUAGCAUGUCAGCUGUUCACCUAGCGGUAAGUACUCGUUGUUUAUAUGCAUGAGGUUUUGAGUUUGAACCAUUAAAAAAACACAAUCUUGUCUAAUUUUUCCAAUAGCAACUAAUGUUCUACCUGAUUCAACCGGUCGGAUUUUCGAUUUAAUCCGGUUGAACCAUUGAUUUGUUGACAAGUCAAUGAGACUUGUUCACAUUCAAUCCAAUUAGAGACCCGAUGUUGUUUACUGAUCAGGCUUAAUAACUAUGCUUGCUGUGUUUCCUAGGUUUGCAAGAUUGAAUUCAAGGUUAAUUGUAUUCAUCUCCUUUUUGGUUAAACCAAAUUACAAAAAUCUUUUAUAUUGUUUGACCAAAUUAAGAGUACAGGCAAAGCCCUUGACCAAAUUACAAAAAUCUACCAUAUUGUCUGACCAAAUUAAGAGUACAGGCAAAGCCCUUGAUGGCAAAACAUUUAUCAAAUGCGCCCUUAUAUCAAUAGCUGUUAAAAUUGAUGCUUACAUUAACAAAAACCACAUAUUUGAAAGCCCCAAAAUAACCUUUUACACCUUGAGUUAAUUACACUUAUCUUUAUAUUUGGCAAUUGGGUGGGUUGAACGGAUUUUGGGCGGGUUAAUAUUGGAUUUUCACUUAAAUGGAUUAUACCCAACCCGUCCAACUUUAGAUUUGGUUGAUUUUGGGUUGGGUCAUAUUGGGUUAUUUCAAACCCAUGACCCAAAAAUAACCUAUUAUAUUAAUUAAUACAUAACCUUUUUUCACAUUCAUUUUAACAUACAAAAAAGAUUUUUUUCACACAUAUAAACACAUUUUCACAUACAUAAAUGUAUUUUCAUACACACUCACUUCUUAAGUUCCUUGAAAACACAUCAUAAAUAGAAUAAUAUUUUAUAUUACUUGUAUUGUAAAUUUUAGAUAAUAAAUGAUGGGGGUUGGGUUCUGCAGCAGGUUGCGUGAUGAAGUCGUAGAUGAUGUUGGGAGUACUGGGAAAGGAUGGAUGAUGAUGAUGGAGGUGAUGAGGAGGUGGCUCCGCCAUUAUACACACAGAGUAUACAUGAAUGAGGAUGGCGCCGAUGAUGACUGCACUCACUUCUUAUUAUAUGUAUCCACAUUAAUAAUUCCUAUGUACACAUGAAACUCUGUGUGUGUGUGUAGAUACAAUAUAUAUAUAUAUAUAUGUAUGUGGCGGGACUUAAAUUAUAUAUAUAUGGGACAUAGAGCCACUGCUACUGGUCUAUAGUAUAGUUCAACAACAACAGCAGCAACGGCAUUCGACUACUCUGUUAGUGCAGUGUAUCAGCAGCUUGAGGUUAAAAAAGGUUAAAAAAGAAAUUUGUACAAUAUUAUAUGUACACGAAAUAUUGACAAACAAAAGCAAUCAUGAAAUAUUAAAAAAGAAUGCAAUUAGAAUAAAUUUAAAACUCUAUUUUACGUACACGAAAUAUUAACAAACAAAAGCAAGUAGCAACUUGAGAACAACCACAAAAAAAAAAAGAAAAAAAGAAGGAGGAAAAUAACAUACUCUUAAAAGGCAUAAUAAAUUAUUAUAAAAGUUGAGUAAGUUUAACUACUGUUAUAAAAGUAAAAUAGCUAUGAGUUUUUAUUUCAAGUUUCUUUUUUCUUUUAAAUAAAAAUUAAAAAAAUUGAUUGAAAAAAAAAAAUAUAUAUAUAUAUAUAUAUAUAUAUAUAUAUAUAUAUAUAUAUAUGAGAAUUUUGAAUACAAAUUAAUCAAUGAAUUAUUAACACAUGUCCAAAUGCAAAUAGUUAGAUAUAUGUGUAUUGAAUCUUGUAUUUAUUAUUUUCAAUUACUUUUAAACAAGUUAGAUAUUGAGUACCCAAAUAAAAAAUUCAACCCGUCCAAUGAAUAAAUUGGAUUGUUCUUACCCAACCCAAUAAAACCCAUAACCCAAUUAACCCAACCCAUCAUUUAAAAUUAAUGGACGGAUUUUGGGCUUUUUUGCUAGCUCCACUUAUCUUCCUUGGAUUUUGUCCAAACUACUUUCAUCUCUCGUGAGGGUUGUACAAAUGACAAGUAAAGCCUAUUAUUGUCCAAAUCAAUUCAAAGCUAUAAAUAACCCAAUACUUUUCAAAUACACCAUAGUCAACUUAAUUAGUUGCAACAAACUUCUAAAACAAUUCUCAAAUACCGAUUAGUUACUACCUUUUUCUUUUACCAUUUUUUCUCCUCGUAGGUUAUAGUGUUACUCCACCUAAAAACUUGAAUUCGAUUUUCGCACAUCGUUGGGCCUUGCAUGAUGUCAAAUAUCAACAGUAUUUUCGGCAAUUGAUUCUUUAGUCGCAACUGCUAUGUACAAAAUUGAAACUUUUCUCCUUGUUAGCAUGCAAAUUAUCAAAAUCCAUUUUUCAAAUAAAAGACAGUAUAAACUUAAAUCCACCUUAGCACUAAAAUUUAAGGUUUCUAUAUAAACGAUAUUUUGGAAUUCAUUAGUAAAAGUCCAAGAAAAAAUUAUCUAGAAAUUUUAGAAUAAAAGCUUAACAUCUUAAUAUGGAUAAAAAGAAGACAAUCUAAAAAGAAAGUUCCGUCUAAGCUAAGUCAAUCCUUGCUGAUGGUUCAUGAUUUUGGAGGAAAUUGCUCCAAAUGCGAGACCUGGCAAGAUGAUAUAUUCAGGCUGUAGUAGGCAGUGGGCGCGCUAUACAUAUGUGGCAGGAUUCAUGGCAUCCACAUGGACCUCUGUUACAAUACUAUGGGUAUGAUAUUGUUAAGGGUAAAAAACAAAAAAAAAAAAUUCUCCUGUAGCAAACCUAAUACAUAGAAAAGCUCUCCGUAAUUUUAAAACGUACAACAUGACACCUCAUGUUUUGAACUAAAUUGUAAAGGUGAAUGCCUUAUUGGAACCUAAAAAAAAUUUUAUACCUAAUUUUUAACAAAUAUACAUGUUCUCCCUCUUAACCCUCAAUUCUCUUUAUAUAGAAAAUAAAACGAAUGAUUUUUUUGAACUGUUUUUUACUUAAUUAUAUGAAGGCAUUUUGGUCACUUCAUCCAUUUCUGUUAAGUUUAACGGAUUCCGUCACUUUUACAAUUUAGUUCAAAGUAUGGAGUGUUGUGUUGUACAUUUUGAAAUUACGGGGAUUUUUCUAUAAAUUAGAUUUACCACGGGGGCUCUUUUGUUUUUUACCCUAUUGUUAAACAAUUUAAUAGGUUUGAGAAUGCAAGACUGGCUUCAAUUGUGAACACAAGUGCUUGGUGUUGGCCACAUGGUAGAAGAAGAACCUCUCAAGCGGAGGAUUUGAUCCAUAAACUUCCCUCUGCUUGUGUACCUCUCUACCCAGGGAAGAUGAUACCUUCUCAUGGUUAUGAGAUAAAACUGGAAUGUUACUACAAAGUCUGUUAUUGCUUCUUUGAGAGAACAUUGUAUGAAUGUCGAGUGGUAUAAACUGGGGUGGUUUAAGCAACAUAUCCUAGACAUACAUUUAUCGCUUGGCAACAUAUUCCUAGACAUGCAUUUACAAACAAGCAACAUAUUGUUUGUAAAAAUAGUUUGGCUACAAAAGAUAGGUUACUUAAAUGGGGUAUGCCAGCUUAUGUUUGGAGUAGGAUACAACAGUGCUAUUUGCUUUAUGGAGGCGUAUAUGGUUGGUCUGUAGGAUUGGCAUUGUGGGUUGGUUUCCUGUAGAAUGAUGAAUUUGUUACCUCAGUCAAAAGAUUGGCUCUUGGGGGUUUUUAUUUAUUUCCUUUGGCAUGAGCGCAAUCAAAGGCAGUUCAAUAGUAAGGUGUCGAAUGCUGAUUAUGUGAUACAGCAUAUAAUUACUACUGUUAGGCAAACUAUAAUAGGCUGGCGAAGGGUGCAAAGGACACAUAGCAGCUGGGAGUUUGGCAUUGGCUGGAAUUUUGAAUAGCAGUUUUUUUUCUUAGAUUAAUAUUUCAUGGUUAUAAUAUUUGUUUUCAUUAUAGUAUGGUGUCUUGUUCCGUUAAGCUUGUAUAGGGCAGCUUUUCUUGUUGUUGGAACCAUUCCUUGCUUAUCUAAUGAAAAGAGUUAUUUUGCCUAAAAAUAUAUAUAAUAUUCUUCUUUAUUUUUCUUACUUGCCCAACCCUUCUCACACCCUUCCCAUCCCCAAGUGCUAGGUUAUACUAUUCACUUAGGCCCUGUUUAAUAACUAAUUCAGUACUUAAUAUUAAUUGAUUCAGAUCUUAAUAUGUUCAAAUGCAUUUGAUAACAAAAUAUUGAACAUUUGAAUUAAUUAAGUGGCAUUGAAUUUUCUAAGCAAAACUUGCUUUUAAGAAUAAGUGAUAAGGUAUUCACUUAUCAUUGAACGUGAUAUACACUACAAUGUAUUUAAUUUCAUACUUAACAAUUCAAUAAUUUAAUGGAUUCAGACUUUAGAUUUCAGAUUUCAGUUUUCAAAUUUUAGUUUUAUCAAACACACCCUUAAUCUAAAUAAAUUUAUUUUUUUGAAACCAAAUUAUAUAUCUAAAAUGUAGCGGACACUUGUCAUAUGGAGAAAUUGGGUUAGGUGAGCUUCGUAGCGGCCACAAUGAGCUGUAGCAAAGAAAAAGGGGAAGAGGUUUUUUUUAAAAAAAAAAUUUUAUCUUUUAUUUGUCAUUUCUUAGUAUUGAGCAAUUAAUUAUUUUCUUUUAAUUUGGGAUUCAAUUUUUCUUGGAUGAUAUCAUGAGUUUUCUUAUGAAUUGUUUGCUAUUCAAAUGAUUAAAUUUAUAUGGCCAAACUAUAUGGUAACUCUUGUAAUAUAGACAAACGUCAAGACAAGAAAAUGUUGGUUUUUCAAAAGGCAUUUUUUGUCAUUUCGCUCAUUUUGUUGGCUGAGUUUAGACGCUGUCACUCAUGGGUAAAUGUAGAUGCAUCACGUGCAAUUUUAAGUUGACCAUAACAAAUAAAGAAAUCCAAAAACAUGAAGUUUCAAAUAUUAAUGAAGCUUUUUGAAAAUAUAAAUAUGAACCGUCACAAAAUAAUUAUUAAUACCCAUAAUACUUCAAAUACUAAUAAUUUUGGCACUCAACAAUAAGGUUUCAGCCAAUCCUCCACUAUUUUUUACUCCAUGAAAAUGACUUUAAUGAUAGACAUUUGUGUUUUUUUUAACCUCCCACCCCUCUCCACGCUCUUCCCACCCCCAACUAUCAGGGCCAAAAUUCGAACUCUCAACUUGACACAUAUGUUUAUGUAUUUGUUAAGUAUAUGGUUUACUGCCUUGGCAAAGAAAUAUAUGAACUAAUGCACAUGUCAUGAUUUUCUAAGUUAAAUUAUCUUGGCGUUUUAAAUUCUUUAAGCAAUGUGAUAAAAUACAAUUUUAUUGGUUUAAAAUAUAUAUAUUUCUUACAUAUCUGUUAUCACUUGUUGUUCAAGAUUAUUUUUAAUGGAAAUAGUUUAUUCAAGUUUUUUUCUUCCUCGUCUCUUUGGCCAGGUUUGGCAUAUAAAUUAUGAGAAAACAUAGAUUAUGUAUCUUAGUUAUUUUGGUGAAGGCAAAGUACGAAUUGAGUGUCUCAAAGUCAAUUUGGAGUUCCAAAUUCAUUGGUUCAUUGGUUCCAAGUUCCAUUAUUUUUUGGACUCUUCUAGGAUCACAUACUUUAUGCAUGAUUUUGGAACUUGCAAGUAUAAACAAAAAGUGUUACUCUCAAAUGCAAAAGAUUUUCAUAUAUAUAAUAGCCCAAGUGUCUAAAAAAUAACUUGUGGAUAUGUCUAAAUUGUAAGAAAAGGAACGAAAAAAGCAUUUAGUUUGGGAGGUUGGAAGUACUUCCAAAUCACAUGUUUGAGAAUAUGUUAUUGCCCCUCUUUUCCUACAUGAAAUUCAUAUUGGAAUUGAUAUAUCAUUUUUCCGGUGCGAUGUUUAAAUUAUUGUUCAUGCAUGCUGAUGCGUGGAACCAAAGAAGAAAUUAACAAAAAUAGCAAAAGAAACAAACUCAAACUUAAUCCAUAGUACAAUACGUUCAUAGAUAGGAUGUCAUAGAUUACACAUCUUGGUUUACAGAUCCACUCAAACUCAAGCAUAAUUACAAUACAUCAGACUUUUAUUCCCACCAUCUUGGUUGAUAAAAGCACACACAAACCAAAUAGAAACACAUGAACACUUAAUUAAGCAGAGAAUAACAGCUUCUGCAAUCUGCGUAUCGCAGCUUGAUAGUCUGAUUAGUUCUUUCCUUGAGAAAUGAAAAUGAGAUCACUUUGAGAC